This 182186-nucleotide long non-coding RNA is filed under the name Eucalyptus grandis. RNAcentral's name for it is "long non-coding RNA (EGRA_LNC003786)". The record is from RNAcentral. Lineage: Eukaryota; Viridiplantae; Streptophyta; Magnoliopsida; Myrtales; Myrtaceae.
CAUCACUGUUCUCUCUUCCGUCCUUGACGAGCCUAGACCUCAGUAAAAAUAAUCUCAGUGGUCACAUAGGCAAGUUCCUUGCCGCACCCUCAUUAGUCCAUGUUGACCUGAGUGGUAAUCAGUUGCGUGGCUCAAUCCCAAGCUCGAUUUUUCAGCUGGGGAACCUCACCUAUUUGAGUAUCUCAGGAAAUAAACUGACCAGUGUUUUAGACCUACGAUUGCUGUCGGGACUGAGAAGUCUAACAGAUCUUGAUCUUUCGGACAACAUUUUGUCACUGAGCAAUAGCAAAAAUGUCGAUUUUGUCUUGCCGCAACUUUCAAAAGUCAGUCUUUCAGGGUGCAAUAUUACUGCAAUCCCUGCAUUUUUGAGAAAUUCAACCAGCGUGGGGUGGAUAGACCUGUCGCGCAACAUAAUCCACGGUGAUAUCCCACCAUGGAUGUGGGAUGUUGGGACCAGGUCAUUGUCUUAUCUCAAUGUGUCUCACAACUUCCUCACUAGCUUCAAACAAGUUCCAUGGGAAAAUCUUAUAAUCCUCGACCUGAAUUCGAACUUGAUCCAAGGGCCAUUUCUGCCACCAUCACUCCCGAAUUUGGUUCUCAUCUUCUCGCUGGCUAGCAAUCGAGUGACUGGCUAUAUCCCUGGUUCUAUUUGUGAAAUGAAGGGCCUACAAAUUCUUGACCUCUCUGGCAACAAUUUCACUGGAACAAUCCCUCAAUGUCUAGGGAACAUCAGCGACAGCCUUUUAGUGUUGGAUCUGCAAGAAAAUGGACUUUCCGGCACUAUCUCACUUACAUUCGGCAAAAAUGCUGUCCUGAGAAGUCUUCACCUCAAUGGAAACAAAUUUGAAGGCCUGUUGCCGCGCUUUGUAAUCAAUUGCACGCAACUUGAAGCGCUAGUUCUCAGUGGUAACAAGUUGAACGACACUUUCCCAAGAUGGUUGGAAACACUUCCUAGCCUGCGGGUCUUGGUCUUGCGAUCAAACAGACUUCACGGCUCCAUAGGCAACCCCAGAACUAAAUUUCCCUUUCCGCAGUUGCGCAUUCUUGAUCUUUCCUCCAAUGAGCUCACCGGUCCUUUGCCCAGCACCUACUUUGUAAAUCUGAAAGCAAUGAUAUCGACUGAUCAGGAUGGAUCCAAGUUGCGAUACAUGGACCAAGGUUACUACCAGGAUUCCAUAAAUGUGACGAUGAAAGGACUUGAAGUGCAUCUCCCUAAAAUCCUAGUGACCCGAAUGACUGUUGAUUUAUCAAGCAACAAGUUCCAUGGAAGGAUUCCGGAUGUAAUAGGAGAGCUAGGAUUACUGAAGGGGCUCAACAUUUCUCAUAAUAAUCUCGAAGGCCAAAUACCAUCAUCUUUGGGCAACCUUUCCGAGCUUGAAUGGCUGGAUCUUUCUUCAAAUGAUCUUAGCGGGGCGAUACCAAUCGAAUUGACAAAACUCACAUUUCUGGAGGUCCUAAAUGUCUCUUCCAAUCGACUAAUAGGAUCGAUUCCUCGAGGGAAACAAUUCAACACAUUUCAAGCCGAAUCCUAUCUUGGGAACCCAGGAUUGUGCGGGUUUCCAUUGUCCAAAUCUUGUACAGAUUCCAGGGCGCCGGGGAAGCUUCCCGUCCUGCCUGAAGGCGGGAUCCACUCGUUCUUUGCAGAUUUUGUCAAACCAGAGGCCGUGGAAAUAGGAUUAUUAUGUGGCAUAGUGGUCGGACUAGUCAUGAGUAACUCGCGAUAUCUUAGAUCCAUUUGGCGAGCAAAGAGGGAAGUUAGAAAGAUAGCUAGGAAACAUAUUUCUCCAAUGGGCCCUUGAAACGGCACGACAUAUUAGCCAAGGUAGCGGAUUAGUGUUGCAGAAAAAAAAAAGGAUUAUAAGUGCAAAACAGUGUUGCCCAAUCGUGUGACUCGUUCACGCGAAUGGAGAAUCUCAGGACUACGUAAAAAGUUGCGGAAUAACUCCAUAAAUAAUAUUCCAUACAAAAAAAGUUCAUUGAAUGUUGCAAAAACACAAAAAAGAUGAUAAUCGUAAACCCCAUCUAAGCUGUGACGAGGAGCCUUCGACACCGGCAACUCGGUUGCAAGCCAAAGAGCAACAUUGGAGACGUCAAUAGGUGUCAUCGUAAACAUAAUUCAUGGGGCUGUUUCACAAAUCACAAGUGAAGAGACUCGAAAGUUAUCGUGGGGGAAAUAUUACGAAUGAUUGGGAAGAACAAUGAAGUCAAACUUUAAUGCGUGAUAUCAUUUUUUUAAGGGGGUUAUUUGCCCCACAACAUUGUUAAUGAUCACCAGAAAAUUUCCUCUAAAAUACAACAUAGUCUCGAUUGAGAAUACUAAAUAGUAAUUCUAGUGUUUGUCUAGGGUCUCUCAAGAGAAAUAAUUAAAAUGAGUGAUGUAUUUUUGGAAAGAAAAACUCAAAAAGACUUCAUUUUCAUUCGUUCUAAAACUAACGUACGUAUCUCAGUCUUAAUGAGUAAAGGCAACCCUUCAGAAAAUGUUGCAAGUGAAUAGGUACGUUUUUAAAGGUUAUCUUGAAAAUACAUAUAAAAAUUCGAAAUAAAAAAUAGCAAUUAAUUUUUUAAUAAUUCCGAAUUUUAUCAUUUCUGAAUAUACCGAAUAAACAAAUACAACCUUUCAAUUAAUAAAGAUUAUCAAGAUAAUAGUACGCAAUAAAAAAAUAAAAAUAAAAAUAAUAAAUGAGGAUUAGCUGGUAAUUAUCUCUCACGGAGGAUCACCAUAGGAUUAGUUGUAUUCUUGACCCCCUCAUGUUAGGUUAAUCGUCACCGUAGGAGUUGCUUCUUCGUGAAACACCUACUUUACACGCAACGGAGGGUCUUUGGAUGUCUUUGUCAGGCCAGUAACACCUCACCGUCUAAACAUUAGUUUUUCGUCUAUUACUCGUCAAUGUAUUUUCACUUGUCAUCCUUCAGGGCAUAGGGCUUAUCGUGUUUGGAUCUUCAUAUUCACCAAGCGUUCACUUUCCUAAUCAAGUAACUGGGUCUACAUAUGCAUCUUCAGUUCUACCUUUACCGAUCAAUGAACAUGUUCCCAAUUCCUCGCCUAUUUCUGAGAAUGCCGUUCCGGACCCCUCACCUAUUUCUUGAUGAUGCUCACAUCCCUCCUAAUGCCGCUUCCUUUGAUCGCGCAAUUUUCCCUUCCUGAAUUAUAUCAUUUGACCCUCAGCCACAACUUUCUCGACGUCCGCCCUGACCUCCACCUUAUCCUGGCACCCAUUUUAGUUCCUAUCUUUCCCGGAUUGUAUAAGGAAAAGAAAACAUAUCAACAAUUGUUUGAGGGAAAAACCAAUUAAAAUUCUUUCAAUUAUCACUCGUGAAUUCCUUGCUUCAUCAGAUUGUAUGAGGAAAAUUACUUUUUCUCAUGCAAACGUGUUAUUUUGGUGCAGACGACGCAUACGUGAAAAAAUAACAAGGGCAAAUAAACAAGAAGACUUGAAAACAGCAUCAGCCUUCACGGAAGAAUCAUGCAGACGAGAGAAAUCGAGAACGAGAUACAGAGAGAGAAAAGUGAAAGGCCGAUAUUCUGCUAUGAUAUAACUCAAGCUAAACUUUGGCCAAUUAAGCUAUAUGAAGCUUUCCCACAAUUGUGGAAUUCUGAGUAAUGAGAAGAUGGGUUUCUCAUAUAUCAAGUCAUAGUUAAUUUAUGGAAAAUGUCUCAGAAUGCUUGUCAUUGUCACGGCAUACUAAUGAAUGGUAUCUUCUCAUUGGUUAGGUUUGCAGUUUGGUUUGGAUUAGUAGUUCUUGGUGGUCUAAGUUUUUAAAUGGGUGCUUGUGAACUUCGGCAACAUUCCGACCAAAAAAAUAAAAAUAAAGAACACUUCGGCAACAUAUUAAAUGGCGCAGUCUUUUGAUGCAAUAGUUUCUCUCUCGUUCUCAUUUGAAUAUAAUAAUGCAGCCGCGCCACAGAAUUGUAAAGGCUGUAAAAGGAAAGGACAAGAUACGCACAGGGUGGUGUUUUAACUUUUAAGGGCUUGGGCACUGCUCCAUAAUUAGAUUAAUUAAGGAUUAGUUGGUUAUGCUGAAAAAGGUAACAUUUGACUGAUCUGGGACAACUCCUGAUUUAUGCAGCCGCAUGAAUUUGUUUAUUAUUUUCUGUUGUCCUCACAUUAUUCACUCAAUGUCAGCACACCUUUUCUGUUUUCAUUAUAAAUGCCUGAUGAUGCUCCAACAGCGCGAGAGACUAUUUGACAGAAAUCGCUUGUUGGUGAUUAUGAUGAUUAAUGAUGACCAUGAUAUAGAGCUGUUGACGUAGGAUGGCAAUUGUUGACCAUUAUUACUAAGUGUUGGACACGAAAUGAGAGGAGACAAGUGAGAAGGCCAAUUGAAUAUGAAUAUAUGAUUGGUAGUUAAUUCCAGCGAUAUUUAAAAAGUUGCAAUCGCUUGUGAAUUUGGUGAGAUGUGAUCAUAGAGCAUAAAGUUCAAUGAUUGUAAUUGUAACUGUUUGUAACUGCAUGAAAAUUAUUAUCUGCCUAUUAGAAGUUACUUUGUGUAGACAAUAAAAGUUAGUGCGUGCGCAUUGUAGAGCAUUCACGAUCAUCAACAAAAAAUUAUGUGUUUCUAAUUUAUCAAUUUAUGUUAGUUUUUAGUAUUUGCAUUUCUUUUCCUUUAUUAUUUAUGAUCCUUGUUACUUAAUUCAAUUCGUGUCUGAAUCACCACUGAACCCAAUUCAUAAAAAACUAAAGAUCAACUUUUGGUAAAGGUAUCUUAUUAAUUUCUAAGGAAAAAGUUGGUAAUGAAAAAGUUCAAACUCCACGAAAAGAAGUUUCGACCCCCUGAAUUUAUUGUAAAAUGAAAAAGAAAUUUCAAUGCCCACUGAACCAAAAGCUAGAUCUUGAGCUUGGGCACGACUCUGCGGCAGAGCUCAAGGUCGUAUAGCGUGGCCUAGAUCUCAUUGUCGCCGGGCUCGACCGCAUAUAGAGGAGGGCGGAGGGAACGUGGGACUGCGAAGAAGAAGAGCUGUCGAUGGAGUACUUCAGUUUUUUUUUUUUUUUGGUAAGGUAAAUGGUAUUAUAGCUUUGAACAAAAUACAAGAAAACUCAACCGGCUCCUAAUCUUGCACUCUCGAUACAAUGUAGGGAGAGUGGAAGGGAGCACAAUCAAGAAACAAGAAAAGAAGAACAACACGGACUAAACAGAGCAAGGACCGAAGGUCCAGGAGAGACAACAAAGAGCUAAGAUUAGCAAAGACCCUCCGCUGCCAGAAGAGAAGCCAACGCCCGGAUACCGAAGAGGCAGGGUGUUGAAGGACGCCGAUCUAAGUAUGUUCCUGUCGAUUGCUAAAGAUAGCUGGGUGGAAGCCCCAACUCCGCUGGAGACGUCUAUUCCUCGAGAUAUCAGGGAUAUUAGAAAAACUUGCAGCUUUGUCCUUCACACUUUUGAUAAUGUGAUUUUUGAUUGAAGUAAGGACGACCGACUCUCCACGAAAGAUAAUGGCAUUCCUUUUCUUCCAAAUGAUAUAGCACAUAGCAGCAAAAGAAUGCCGUGCUAUAAUGUGAAAAAAAUCUUUGCCUUUGAGGAACCGCAUAGCCCAGAGGAGGUUAUCCUUCCAAGGCCUAGGACGCCAGGGAAGAUUGCAGCGAGUGGCCCAAAAAUAAGCGACAUAAGCCGUUAGAUGGCAAUCAAAAAAUAAGUGGUCAGUGGAAUCAGGGACGUCAUUACAAAAAGCACAGGUGGUGUAGUCAAUUCUACCAUAUGAUAUAAGGAGUUGUUGCGUGGGUAGCCGAUUUUUAGCAAUCAACCAGAGAAUGAAUUGGAACCUGGGAGUAAUGCCGCCUGCCCAAAUGAGAGAAGCCCAAGGAGCGGGGGGUCUCUUCCUUCUGAGGCGGUCCCAUGCGGUCCCAUGCGGUCUCUUCCUUAUGACCAGGAGUACUUCAGUUCAUCACUAGGAAACUAUGAAAAGUCAAAAGAAGAAAGAAAUAAAAAUAAAUUUGACUACAUCAUAUUGUUGGAAGUUUGUUGUUUUUUUUUUUUUUUGGUAAAAAAUUGUUGGAAGUUUGUUUGUAAAACAAACUGAGUGUAAGUUUUCUUGUCCCACAUAGAAAAAAUGGGAGGAAGUUGGCUUAUUAAUAAGAGUGGGGUUUUUUUAACAUAUCUAAAAAAAUGAUCGGGUGUGAGCUAGACUCCACUAUACCAGCGUGCAGGUGCGCAAAUAAUUGCACGAUUAUUAGGCGCACUUAGCACUUGGUGCACCUGCGGUUUAAUUAGCACUAAUCCUUUCGUUAUUAUUAUUUUUCCUUAUGUUAUCUUAUUAACUUUAAUCAAUUCAAAGUCUGUUCUUUGUAGGCAAUUUUACAUUUGUUCACUUUGCAAUUUUUCACGAAGAGUUGCCUACUUUUUUAAGACUGAUUUAUAUAUACAUGUCAGUUUUCUAGAAGAGAGUGUGUGAUCAAUUUUAUUUUUUUAAGUAUUCUUUCUGAAAAACUACAGCUAUCUUUUCAAUUUUUUCCUAGAGAGAUUCUAGAGAAAUAUUAAAAUUGUUGAGACUUUGUUGUAUCCUGGAGGAUAUUUGCUGGUGACCAUUAGCAACUUUGUGGAGCAAAUAAAUCUUUAAAGAAAGUGAUAUUACGCAUCAAAGUCCGACUUGAUUACUCUAAAUAUCCGAAUUCAUUGUUUUAUCUAAUUCAAAGCCAUAUUUUCCCAACACAUAUCAUUGAUCAUGUCAUGUAAGAUGAGCAAGGUUGACCAGUCCUCCAUGUAAACGAUUUUAACUAGAUAAACUAAAUUUGAAAAUCAUAAAAAAUUUUAAGGUUAUAUUAAUCAAGUCAAAAAGUUAAAACUAAAUAAUGUUCUGUAUAAUAUAUUUAGGACUUUUUAGAUAAUCUUUUCUUAAAAAUAUUAUAGUCAAAUUUAUUUAAUGGCAAUGACCACCGAAUUCAAAAGCACUAUGGAAUUAAAAACGUUAUAGUCAAAUUCAUGUAAUGACUAUGAUCACCGAAUUAAGAAAACACUCAAAAUUUGUUUAAUGACCACCGAAUUACCAAGACUGUUUUUCUCGGUUGAAAUUAUUAAUUGACCCUGAUUUACCGCACGGAAGUUAGCUAAAAGAAAACAUUAAGCAAAGACCUUUUUUGGUCCAAUACAUCUUGGAAGUAAGAUUAAAAAAAAAAAUCAUUAAACCAAAGACUUCAAUUGGUCAAGUCGUUGGGGCCGGUCAUUCCCAACUUUAGUACCUAUUCUGAAAUAUGCUUUUCUUCUUUCUUUCCGAUGAUAGGAAGAUAAGAACCAUGCUCAAAAUUGGUCAAGUCGUGGGAGCCGGUCAAAUCUUCAGCAUUGCUAUGCUAAGAUGAUAAGAACCAUGUUAUAAAUUUCUAGUUGUGUUCAUACAGAAUGAACUGCGUCAAACCCACCUAAUUUUCUCCUUGUCUAGACCAACUCCAAAGAUUCGUUUCCUCCUUUUCCGACUAUAUUAAAAUUUAUUUACUUAUUACAAAGUAGAAUUCCCAAUGACUUGUUAUAUAUGACGUAGAAUUGUAGAUUAUUAUAUUAUAUGUGUUUCUUCUUUUCUUAGUCUAUGAUUUUUCUAGACAAAGCACGUCAUAGCGGAAAAAAACUAGUGCGACUACUUAAGGAUGUAGAUCAAACAUUUCGUGAUUUAAAUAUUGGACAGUAAUUUUGGCAUAUGAAUUGACCCGUGUAUAUGGGUGCAAGCAAAACUACAUACUAAUCGAAUUGCUUCACUUCUAAACUCUACCAAAAAACUUCUCCACCACCAUUUCAGCCCCUUUUAUCAGCCUCAAAUGCCUGCCGCCCCCAGUGAUUUAGGUAUAAUUAGGCGGUUUGGAUGAUAGCAUGUCGUGCAGUGAAAAAAACUGAAUUUUACAAUUAAAAUUAAGUAUUUAUAGCAGGCCUAAUACCCUAAAAAGCCCAUAAUUUUAACUUAGUUCUCAUCUUACCAUAAAAUUUUUUCAUUUAAUAAAAAGCAUUGGACUUUUGGUUCCGCCCCAAUUCUAAUCUAAUUGUAUUUUUUGUCUUAUAAAAAACCAAAAGUUUUAGAUUAAGUCUCAAUUUUACUUUCAACUUUUUUUCUCAUAAAAAACCAUCAACUUUUACUUGAGUCCCAUAUUAACCCAGUUAACCCUGCAUUCAAAAUCACUUUCAGUUAUGUGGCAUUUACACAUCAUUAUUCUAGUUUUUCCCCAAAUUUCAUAUCCAAGAAAAUGUCUUUUGAGGAUGAAUUUCUAUGUCAACCCAAAUGACAUCUCAUUGGAUCUGAAAUUUGAGUUAAAAUUUGAGCAAUUAGGAUUAGUUUUUUCAAUCAUUCUUACUUCUGAGAGAGUCUUCCUUCUAUCUUGCUUGGGGAUUUUCGAUUUUGCAUUUAGUUUUCAAUCAUUCGUGGUCUAAGAGCUCACGCUUGAGACACUCAACUCGGGACACUCGAGUAGCUUGCUUGGGAGUUUUCAAUCUCUCAAUUGUCAAGAGAAAUUUUGAAUGAAGAGUCAAUGGGGGCAGCUUUAGGACUCAAGUAGAAGUUUGUGAUUUUUUUAUGAAACAAAAAAAAAAUUGUGGUAGAAAGACCAAACAAAAAGUUGAUGAAUUUUUUUUUUUUUGACAAAAAAGAGUUUAAGUUAGAAUUGGGACUAGCCCUAAUGUUGGAGUUUUUAUGAGAUAAACAAAUUAGAGUAGAAUUAGGAUUGGACCUAAAGUUGAAGAUUUUAUGGGGUAUUAAAUUUUCAAUUUAGUAAGAAAUCUUCUGAAACAACUUUUCUUACCCCUGAUUUAAUAGUUGGUAAGAGAUUAAGAAGUUCAACCGUUUGAAUCCAUGAUAGAUAAGAUUGCUAGUGCAUUUUUUUUUUCUAAUUGUGUAUGCUCUAAUUUCCUUUCAAAUGUUAUUGGGUUAGUCAAUAUUACUAGAAAAGAAAAAUAUACCGGAUCUAAUAAUGGAUGACAGACCAUUAAAGAACCUUACAUGAGGGUUCCAUCAAAACACCAUCAACAAUUCAUAUAGGUUUGUGCUUUUUUUCAUCCAUUUUUUGGCUUUUGACACCCAUAUGACUUUGAAUUAACUCAAUUAUCUAUUGUGGCUCCCACUCUUUAUUUAAGAUUAUUUACUUUUUUUUUCCUUCAUUUUUUUCUUUCAAAUUUACUGAGAGACAAAUCUACUAUGUUCAACUUAAACAAUAAAUUUUAAGGUUGAAUAUAGGGAUUUACUCUUGAUUUAAGAUUAUUUCUUACCUUUUUUUUUCUUCUUUUUUAGUUUUCUCUUUUUUUUCUUUUGCUCCCUUCUAGGACAAAAUUGGUUUCCCUCUUUUCCAAACUAUUAGUUUGAAAAUAACCAAAGUACAAGUAAAAAUAAAAGAAUCGUCUACUAGUUUUAAUGAACGCAUUCGGUUUAAUUUUUAACUUUAACCUAUAUGAUUAUGUUGUAAUCCAUGUAUUGUAACUGUUCGAAUUUCGUUUUAUUUGGUGAAUCUAAUAUUUUAACUUUUAUUUAUUUUUCAUGCCAUCAAUGCAUUCAAAAUUCUAAACAUCCCUUAUUAUCAUGCAAAUUCAAAAGAAAAUGCUCCUAAUUAUGACAAUUGUAAUUGCAUUAUAAGACGCUCCAUUCAAACCAUUUGCAGAUACAUGAUACAUAGUUCUUGUCAAUCCUAAAUGCAUCAAAAUUUCCAAAGAAAGAGAAAAAAAAAAGGUAAGAAAUAAUCACAAAUCUGGAACGUGCAAGGUAAAUUAUGGUCAAUUUAAGGUGAUAGAGGGUGUCAAAAGUCACAAAAGAAAUGGAAAAAGCGUGAGUCAUAUAUAACCGGUCUGAUAUUCUGAACCCGUAGUCCAAGCAGCGUGCUGGUGAAGUAGUUGAACGGUGUUUUGGAAGUCAUUUGCUUUGAAAGUCUUCCCCAAUCAGGAUUUAUUAUUAUUUCAUUUCUCUAUCCAAAACAGAAAAAAGAAAAAGAAGACAAUGACUAUUUGAUUUAACAUGCCAUGCCAUCAUGUCAUAUAGAGGGAUCAUUAUUAAAAGAAGUCAUAAAUAUAUUGUAUAGAUGUAAUUCAGUUCUAAACUUUUCAAUUUGAUUAAUUUAGUCUUAAAUUUUCGAUUUGCCAAUAUAAUCCUUCUGCCCAAUUGUGGUUAGAAAUAGCUGAUGUGGACGCAUGUCGUUCUAUGUGGCACGACCGUUGCAUAAGCACACAUGAAAAUUUUUUAUAAUUCUUUAAUAAUUUUUUGAUUUUUCUUCUUUUUUGUUUUCGUACCUUUCUUUUUAUUGUUGACUGAUGGGGGGUUUCGUCAUGGCUGAUUUCAUUGUGGCUGAUGAGGGCUGUGACACCCUAGCUAAUUUUGGGUUAGGUGAGGGCGUUGUAUCCCUUGCUUGUGAAUAGUGACCUCUGCUAACUACUGCCGAGGUCACAGAUUGGCAAAAGAAAAUAAGGAAAAAGGAAAAAAGAAAGAAAAGAAAAGGAAAAUAAAUCUCUAUUAUUUUAACUACACUUUCAAAAUACAUAACAUGGGUGUGCAUACUAUUUAAUAAAUUUUGCUAGUUUAGCAUUUCAACGUUUGGAACGAGUGAGAUGCUCAAAAGAUUCACUUUAAAGAUUCCAGAUCCUUGUGUUGAAGAAAAUUCAAUAUCAAUAUACUGGUUACUGGUACAAUUAGGUCCACCUAAAGUUAGAAAAAUAUAUAUUAGAAUAAAAAAGGGCGGCUAGCACAAUUAUAUUCUAAUUUUAUUGAGGAAUUUUGUCGCAAUUAUAUAUAUAGGUAUGUAUGUAUGUAUGUAUGUAUUGACACACACACAACCGGGAAAUCAGUGAUUGAGCUCUUGACACUCCUAUGAAUGAAAAUCAUAGUAGAUAUUACUCCAUUGGGUUUGUCUUUGUCAAAACGCAAUUCAGAUUUUAUGAGAGGACCAUACAUAAACAUCCUACAUUAGCAUUGUAAUAAUUAAUUUUUUGUCAAGCGAAAAUUGAAAGAAGACAUUGGCAUCGUACAUAAUAGAACAAGCUCUUCGUCUCUAUCAUGCUAUAGUGAAACCAACGAUUCUAAUGCUCUUCUAAAUUUUCAAAAUCAUCUUGAUAAUGCUUAUAUCAACAAAUGACAUACAUAUUAUAACUUUUAGGUUCACGACAUGUUGAGUUGCAUCUAGUUGGUCUGUUUGUGCCUUUGUGGUGUGCUACCUAAUUGCAUUCUUUAUUUUAACGUUCCCCUUCUGCACGCCUUGUCCUCCUUUCAUUGGUAUAAUAUCCUUUUCAAGCCCCAUACCAAGCCCUACCUUUUAGUUCCUUUACAUAUGAAGGAUCCGGAGGUCCAGAUGAGGCCUCAAAUGUAGCUUUUUAAUGUCAUGCUAAGGACGGUGUUCAAUUUACUUAAAAAUCCUGCUAGCAACGAAUUAAACUGGCUUGUCAUCUAACUGUAGUCAACUCGAGUGGGGCAGGUAGAUUUCCAAGAGUAGAGAAAGACCUUUGAGUGUGAAUUUAUUUAGGGUGUGCAUGACAAAAUUUCUAUUUUAGAAAUUAAUUUUUAGCCAAAAAUUGAUUUUCUUAUUUUUAUUCCUUAAAUGAAUUUCCGAAUAAAGAAACACGUUUGAUAAUGACUCUAUAAAUUUAUUUGAUAACAAAAUAAAAUUUCUAUUUCUAGGUUGUAGUGGUCGAUGUCUUGCAAUUGACAAUGAGUGGCUGGCGUCUGAUGGUGGGCGUCCGAUGGCUAGUGGCUGGUAGUGGGUGGGUGCUAUCCGACGAAAAGAGUAAAUGAUGAGAAGAGUUUUCAUUUCUCACAUUUUUUUUAUUUCUUAUUUUUGUUUCAGAAAUAGAAAAGCUAAAAAUUUUAGCUUAUGAUUUAUGUUUCAAAUCUCUUUUUGGAAUAGAAAUCUGUUUAGAAAUAGAAAAUGAAAUUGCGUUAACAAAUGAAAUCCUGUUUCAAAUCUGUUUUAAAGAUUAGAAAAAUAAACAAAUAAAGAAAAAGAAAUUUUGUCAUGCAUACCUUUAGUCAACUUGAGUGGGGUCGGGUUGAGAAAUAGACCGGGUCCUUUGAGUGUGAAUGGUUAGGUUGAUUUUUACGAACAAAAUGGGCCCUUUGAGUGUGAAUCUAUCUAGUCAACUUGAGUGGGGUCAGGUUAAUUUUCAAGAGCAGAGAGCGGGUCCUUUGAGUGUUAAUCUAUCACCUUCAAUCUUAAAUUAAAGUUGCACGAAAUAUCUUGUGAUUUUCUUGGUUUUUACCGAUGUCUUUCUUCUUUGAGAAUGAGAAAUUUUUGCUCCAAAUGAGUUAGUCUAGUCUAGGUGGAAAUAUUGAAAAUUAAGGGUCAAUAUGUUUCCUAAAAAUAAAUGAUUAAGACAAUAUUUUCCUAAAAACUAUCAGGUUUAUCGUUUGCAAAAAUGGAUGAACUGAAUAUAUAUUUAUUGUCCACGGAGAUGUUUAGAUAUAAAUUGCACCAACGAUCAAUACAGUUUUUUAUUGACUAAUUAUUUUAAACAAUAUAAGUAUUCAUUCUAAAAAAUAAAUUUUAAAUUAUUUAUUUUUCGCGAAAUACUUGCAACUGAAGUUAUCCAAUGUUUUCUUUUCAAGUGUCGUUCGUUUGAUUUGACCCCCUUGCUUUAAUGCGCUGCUGUUGGCCAUGAAGAUUUGAGGAUUCGCUUUUGACGGGGUAAUUACUAAAAAAAAGUCUCAAAUUUAUCGUACGGAUAUUAAUUUAGUUAUAAGCUUUUAAUUUGACCGAUUGAAUCUUAAAUUUUUUUACGAUUUGUCAAUAUAGUUAGUCUAGCUCCUUCUGACCCGCAAUUGCUGAGGUCUACGCUUGCCCAGACCAGUUAUGUUACUACAAACGUUUUUCUAGCUCAAAUGCAUGGAAGCAGCGGAGAACCACAAGACGUCCUUCGGGUGGAGGCCCAUUUAGAAUCCUCCUCAUCGUCAACAUCACUUUGUUUACGCAUACUUUAACGACCCAAACGUUGGAUUUACGUGCAUGAGUCGAGUCUGGGGUCUGGUCAGGCGUCAUUUCGCAUGCAAUGUUCUAGUGACUGAUGAUGUCAGAACAACAACGUAAGCAUCUGUGGAAUCCCUAGUCCUAAGUCGCUAAAUAAAAGCCCCGUUCUGACCAAAAGAAUAAAAUGAAAAAGUAAAGCCCUCGUUGCUACCAACUCGCAAGAACUUAAAUAAAAAUGCACCUCUCUCUUCGACCCCCGUACACAACAGGAAGCAAAUCUACCUCACAAAAAAGGAUAAAUGCACCCAGGAAUCAUCAAAGACUUAGGCUCCGUUUGUUUCGCGGAAAAUGUGGCGUUUCUAGAAAAUAUUUUCCAGGAAGUCAUUUUCCUAGAAAAUGUAAUUAAUUUCCGGUGUUCGAAUGAAACCUAAAAAUGAAGUGGAAAAUAUAUUUUGCUAUUCAUUAAGGAAAAUAUUUUUCUUCAUAUACUCUUUUUCAUUUAUUUUAUUUUUUAAAAUGGAUUUUCAUAUUUUUUAAACUUGAUUUUUAAUUAUUUUUAAUUUUUAAAAUCUAUUACUAAUUUUUUUCAUUUUUAUUUUUCAUUUAUUUUUUCUUUGUUUUCCAUCUCCUUCUUUCUUGGACGAUCGCCAGUCACGGUAAUGGCCCGCAACCGACCACCCGCGAGCCUUGAGCUUGCCGACGAUCACGAGGCAUGCCACUACCUAGAUUGGUGAGUGCGAGCAUCAAGCUCAAGGUUCACCUGGCGACGGGCGACAACUAGCCAAGAAAGAAGAAGAUGGGAAACAAAGAAAAGAAAAAGAAAAAGAAAAAGAAAAAGAAAAAGAAAAAGAAAAAGGAAAAGGAAAUUAAAAAUAAUUCGAAUUAAAAAAGAAAAAGAAAAUUAAAAAACAAUUUGAAUAAAAAAAAGAAAAGAAGAAGAAGAAAUGGGAGGAAAAAGUGAGGAUUUGUAAAGGUGUGAGACAAGAAAGAUCAAGUGAUGAAAAUGUUUUUCAUUAUUCAAAAGUGGAAAACAUUUUCCCCUAAUUUUAGAAGACUUUUUUUCUUUUCAUGGAAAACAUUUUCCCCAAGAAAAUUAUGCUCCGUCAAACGAACGCUGGAAAAUCUGGAAAACGUUUUCCCGGAAAUUAUUUUCCGUGAAAUGAACGGAACUUAAGACGUUUUCCGGAAAUUAUUUUCCGUGAAACGAACGGAGCUUAAAUCUUUUCGAACAAGAUCUCCAUCAGCAAGAAGAAGCAAUCUCUUCCUGUUUGGUAAUAGACAGAGCAAUCGAUAUCUAUUCUGGAGGUUGACACCCAAACGGGGGGAAAAGCAAAGUGCUGUCUAAUGUUCACUUCGGGUUGAGCAAAGGUGUCCUAUUACUUAGAGUGACCUCUACAAACAUUUCAUUUCUUGUCCCGUUUGUAGGAUUACCUUCGGCAUCCGUUGGAACAUUGGAUCAUCUCCUCUUGUGAUUUUCCAAUAUUGUGGACAGAUGCCAGGAAGAUCCCAAUGGUGAUUUAAUUUUGACUCGCAGACAAAGAAUCGCAUGCUCGGAAGGAGCACAUUUCGCAUGUACAAAAAUAAACGGCCGAUAAAAAAAUAAAAUAAAAAAAUAAACGGCCGAUGGAGGGCAGCUAUCAGUCUCUCCAGGAUUCUUGGUGGUUGUAGGAAAAUUACGGAGGAAUUUCCUAGUUUAAGUAGUCCAAUGCCUUGAGGAAUAACGUAAAAUUUUAAACAAAGACCUGGCAGUCCUAGUUUAUGCGGUUUCCACGAGGGUAACCAACACAUCUAUAUAAGCCAACUCUGCAAAAUGUUGGCAUCAUGGUCAGCUAUUACACUUACUCCCUACAUAAAAAAUGGAACGCUUGAUAGGAUCUUGUCAGAUCAUCCUGCUUCUGUUCUCAUCCCUCAUUGGAAUUCAAGCCCUUAACUCUUCAUUUUUCUCUCCUUCCUCUCUAGGGGCAGCAGCACCCUGUCGCCCUGAUCAAAAGUCUGACUUGCUUCAUUUCAUGAACGCAAUGAUGCCUAAUAAUUCGACGUCCUUCUUCUGUCAAAUGGACGACAUUUCCACUGGACCAAAGAUGCUUCCCUGGAAUGCUGACACGGAUUGUUGCUCAUGGAAGGGAGUCAUAUGCGAUCAGAUGACAGGUCAUGUGAUUCGCCUUGAACUUGGCUGCUACACCAUAAACCCGACCUGCUACUCUUCUGCAGGGUCUUCAAACAGCACUGAACUAUCUACAUUGGAUUCCCUCAAUCUUUCUUCUCUUCACAAAACAGAAAGGCCAUCAGGGUCAAAUUCCAAUAUGCUGCUUCAAAACCUGACCAUGUUAAGAGUCCUCAUUCUCGAUGGGUUAAACAUGUCUGGCAUUGAUGUGAGUCGCUUGAUGAAUCUCUCUCCAUCUCUGGAAGUCCUCAGCCUCAGAUGUUGUAAAUUGCGUGGCCAGUUAGCAGCAAACUUUUUCCUUUUGCCAAAGCUGACAUGUCUCAAUUUAUCAGGCAACAAGGAGCUUUCGGGUUACUUACCUGAAUCAUCUUGGAACAGCUCUUUGAAGGUUUUGGACUUGUCCUUUACAGGCUUCUCUGGAGUAUUACCAGAGUCCAUCGGCGACCUGCACUCUUUGGAGAUACUCUGGCUAUGCCAUUGUAAUUUCAAUGGCUCAAUUCCAUCUUCAGUCGGCAACCUAACACGACUCACUAGUUUGGAACUCUCAUUCAAUGAGCUUAGUGGUCAGGUUCCUUCAACUCUGUCAAACCUUGAUGGGCUCACUCUGGUCCAUCUUUCCUCCAACAAUUUUGUAGGUUUAAUACCCGAUGUCUUCGACAACAAGACACAACUUCAACAAGUGCUUUUCUCACAUAACCACUUCGCGGGCCCCAUUCCUCCGAGCAUAAAGAAUCUUUCCAAUCUAGCCCAACUUGACAUUUCCAAUAACCUCAUUCGUGGGUCUAUACCGUCAUCACUGUUCUCUCUUCCAUCCUUGACGAGCCUAGACCUCAGUAACAAUAGGCUCGGUGGUCGCAUCGAAGAGUUCCUUGCUGCACCCUCAUUAAACAAUGUUGACCUGAGUGGUAAUCAGUUGGGUGGCUCAAUUCCGAGCUCGAUUUUCCAGCUUGGGAACCUCACUUACUUGAGUAUCUCAGCAAAUAAACUGACCGGUGUUUUAGACCUACAAUUGCUCUCGAGACUCAAAAGUCUAAUAGGUCUCGAUCUUUCGGACAACAUUUUGUCACUCAACAAUAGCAAAAAUGCCGAUCAUGUCUUGCCAAACCUUUCAAAAGUCAGUCUUUCUGGGUGCAAAAUUACCGCAAUCCCUGCAUUCUUGAGAAAUUCAACCAGCGUGGGGUGGAUAGACCUGUCACGCAACGCAAUCCACGGUGAUAUCCCACCAUGGAUGUGGGAUGUUGGGACUGGGUCAUUGUCUUAUCUCAAUAUGUCUCACAACUUCCUCACUAGCUUCAAACAAGUUCCAUGGGAAAAUCUUAUAUUCCUCGACCUGAAUUCGAACUUGAUCCAAGGGCCAUUUCUGCCUCCAUCACUCCCGAAUUCGGUUCUCAUCUUCUCGAUGGCUAGCAAUCGAGUGACUGGCUAUAUCCCUGGCUCUAUUUGUGAAAUGAAGGGCCUACAAAUUCUUGACCUCUCUGGCAACAAUUUCAUUGGAACAAUCCCUCAAUGUCUAGGGAACCUCAGCGACAGCCUUUUAGUGUUGGAUCUGCAAGAAAAUGGACUUUCCGGCACAAUCUCACUCACAUUCGGCAAAGAUGCUGUCCUGAGAAGUCUUCACCUCAAUAGAAACAAAUUUGAAGGCCCGUUGCCACGCUCUGUGAUCAAUUGCAAGCAACUUGAAGCGCUGGAUCUCAGUGGUAACAACUUGAGCGACACUUUCCCAAAAUGGUUGGAAAAUCUUCCUAGCCUGCGGCUCUUGGCCUUGCGAUUGAACAGACUUUACGGCUCCAUAGGCAACCCCGGAACUGAAUUUCCCUUUCCGCAGUUGCACAUUCUCGACCUUUCCUCCAAUGAGUUCACUGGUCCUUUGCCCAGCGCCUACUUUGCAAAGCUGAAAGCGAUGAUGUCAACUGGUCAGGAUAGAUCCGGGUUGCAAUACAUGGACCAAGGUUACUACCAGGAUCCCAUGGAUGUGACGAUGAAAGGACUUGAAGUGCAUCUCGCUAAAAUCCUAGUGACCCGGACCACCGUUGAUCUAUCAAGCAACAAGUUCCAGGGAAUGAUUCCAGGUGUAAUAGGAGAGCUAGGAUCACUCAAGGGGCUCAACCUUUCUCAUAACAAUCUCAAAGGCCAUAUACCAUCAUCUCUGGGGGACCUUUCAGAGCUUGAAUGUUUGGAUCUUUCUUCAAAUGAGCUUAGCGGGAUGAUACCAACCGAACUGACAAAUCUCACGUUUCUGGAGGUCCUAAAUGUCUCUUCUAAUCAACUAAAAGGACCGAUUCCUCAAGGGAACCAAUUCAGCACGUUUCAAGCCGAAUCCUAUCGCGGGAACCCAGGAUUGUGCGGGUUUCCAUUGUCCAAAACUUGUACUAAUUCCAGGGUGCCGGGGAAGUUUCCUGUCCUGCCUGAAGGCGGGGUUCACUCAUUCUUUGCGGAUUUUGUUGAACCGGAGGCCGUGGAAAUAGGAUUAUUAUGUGGCAUAGUGCUCGGACUAGUUAUGAAUAACUUGCAAUUUCUUAAAUCUUUUUGGCGAGCAAAGAGGGAAGUCAGAAAGACUGCUAGGAAACAUAUUUCUCCAGCGGGGCCUUGAAACGUCACGACAUAAUAGCCAUGGUAGCUGAUUAGUGUUGCUGUAAAACAGUGUUGCUCAAUCGCGUGAAUCGUUCACGCGAAUUGGGAAUCAUAGGACUUUGUAAAAAGUUGUGGAAUAACUCCAAAAAAUAAUAUUCCGUACAAAAAAAGUAUUAGAUGUUGCAAAAGCACAUGAAAAAGAUGACAAUUAUAAAACCAUCCAAGCCGUUACUGUGGCUGUGGGCCUCCAUUGUCGUUCACCAGAAAUAUCAACACUAGCCACUCGUUCGCAAGCCGAAGAGCAACGCUAGAGACGUAAAUAGGUUUCAUCGUACACGUAAUUCGUGGGGCUGUUUCACAUAUCACAAGUUAAAGAGACUCAAAAGUUACCGUGGACAGUAGAUGCACCAUCCAAAAGGGACGUUUAAAAAUUAGGUAACAUAUCCGAUUGGUGAAUAGCUCAUUGGUUUUAAAAUUUUCUUUUUCUUGAAGGUGCUUCUAAUGGAUAUACAUAUGUAAAUGGUAAUAGGUUCUAGGUUCUAAUUUGGACUCUCUUUUUUAUGAUUUUUUUAAAGGGCUUUACUAACAAUAGUCUUUGGCUACAUUGAGAAUAAUAACUUAUUGUGAGCCAUAAAUUCUUGAAAGAAUAGACGUCACAACAAUUUAUAAUUAAUUGUUAUUUAAUUUUUUUUCCCAGAAUAAACUGUUAUUCUCAUAGUAUAUUAAAUACUGUCAUCCAAUCAUUUAUCUUUCUUAAAUAAACGUAUUGAAAAGAUAAGAUAUAUGAGUAUAUAACCGAAUUAGAUGGACAACCAAAGGGAAAAUAAUAUUACCAGACCGAAUAAAGAUUAAAAAGGAAAUGUUAUGUUGAAAACUUUAGACUUGGAUCUUGGUCUCAAAGUCACAUGACCAUUUGCAACUAAAAGAUAGUCUAAUUAAUUUUACUCCAGAGGAUUCCAGUUGAAACCAAAUCAAGCUAGAUCGACAAACUUGUUAUUAUACAUAUAAUUUCAUUACAUAUGAACAUGCUUGUGAUGAUAAAUAUGGUAAAUUAUCGAGGAUCAUGUUGCUAUUUCAUGGUAUAAAUAUUUUAUUUUUGGCGCACACUAACACACAUAAAAGGAUAAAAAGCUGAUGCACCUGCAUGCAAGUUGGCCAAAAUGUCACGACGGUUUUGGGCCAAUUGCAUGGAUCCGACUGCUGCUUUCAGUAAGUGACUUGUCCACUGUGUUUUUCUAAUUAAAUUUGGAAACCAAUGAUUGAUCUGACCUUAUUGAUCAAAUGAACCGCCCAAGCACAUGUGCAUACAAGUUGGAGGGAAAGACUGAUUUUUCUUUUUUGUUUAUUUUACCAAUAAGAGGGACAAUGUGCAGGCUCUUGGAAACUUAAUCUUGGACCUAUUUAAAGUGGUAUUAACAAGAAAAAUCGAACAUUGAGUGAUAUAACGUUUGUCAAAAUAUGAAGUACAUCAUGUCAAAUCAUAUAUCAUGUGUAUAUAUUUUAGUGCAAAAAACGUUCUACUUGAAAAACUCAACCUAUACAAACGUUUCAUUUCUCACAGUGACCUGUACAAGCAUUUCAUUGUCCAAAACUUGUACUAAUUCCAGGGCACCGGGGAAGCCUCCUGUCCUGCCUGAGGGCGGGGUACACUCGUUCUAUGCAGAUUUUCUGGAAUCAGGGGCUGUGGGAAUGGAAUCAGCAUGUGGCACGCUUGUCGGGCUGGUCAUGUGCGAUUUGCGAUAUCUGAAAUCUUUUUUGCAAGCAAAGAGGGAAGUCAGAAAGAUUGCGACCACAAAUAUUUCUCCAGCACAUGAAAUAGAAGCUGCGGUGGCUGAUUAGUAGGAAAAAGUAUCAAAAAAAUCAUAAACCUAUUAUAUUAGUACCAAUUUAGCCAUAAAAUUUUCAAUUGGAUUGAUUUAAUCUUAAACAUUUUUGCAUUGAUACUAAUUCAGUCCAUUCGAUAAAUCUAGGUCAGAAAUUGCUAUGGACAUUUUUAAUACAUUUUUUUUUUCAAUUUAUUGAAUUUUAAUAUUUUUUUUCCUUUUUUUCCUUUUUUUCCUUUACCAUUUCCUUUGCCAAUGGCUGGCCUCGCGGAGCUGAAGGUGAGCGUUAGCCAUCUAGACGAGGGCCCCCUCGCCAAAUGUGGCGAGGCCGACCCUCACCCUACCCUAGGCGAGGGUCAGCCUUGCCCAAUCUAGCAAGGGGGCCCUCGCCUAGACGGCCAAUCCUCGUCAACCAUGGCUAUGGCUAGUGGUCGUUGAUGGCCAUCAAAAAAAGAAAAAGAAAAAAUUCAAAAAAUAUUUAAAAUAUUUUUAAAAAUAUCAACGUCAGCAACAAUCAUGACACAUCCACAUUAGCAACUUAUAAUUUAAAUUAACUGGAUGGAUUGAAUUGAUACUAAUGUGAAAAAGUUUAAAAUUAAAUUGGUCAAACUAAAAGGUUUAUGACUGAAUUACUAUCAAUACAAUAGUUUUAGGAAUUUUAUUUUUUUUAACUUUUCCCUCGAUUAGUGUUGUUGUAUAAAGAAGAUUAUGAGUGCAAAGCAGUGUUGUUAAAUCGUAAGACUUUGUAAAUAGUUGUGGAAUAACUACAAUACAAAGAAAAGUUAGUUAUAUGCAGCAAAAACACAUAAAAAAGAUGAUUAUCGUAAACCCCAUCCAAGCCGCGACUAUGAGUCUCCUUCAUCGUUGUUCACCCGAAAAUCAACACCGGCGACUCGGUCGCAAGCCAAAGAGCAACUCAAAGAUGUAAACAGGUGUUGUUGUACACGUAAUUCGUGGGGCUGUUCCAAAGAUCACAAGUUAGAGAAACUCAAAAGUUACCGUGGCCAGUAGAUGCACCAACGCCACCCCUUUCUCCUCAUAAUCAGGUUUUACUAAUUUUGAGGUCAGCGCGCGUAAGGGAAAAGUACCAAAAAGUCAUCAACCUAUUGCAUUGAUACCAAUUCAGUCAUAAACUUUUCAAUUGGACUAAUUCAGUUCUAAACAUUUUAAUAUUGAUACCAAUUCAGUCCAUUCAGUCAAUUUUGGCCGGUCGGAGCUGUCGUGGAUGUCGGCCGGUGGCCGAACGAUGACGUGGCAAUUUUUAUGAUUUUUUUUUUCGAAUUUUUCAUUAAUUUUUUUAUUAUUAAUUUAUUAUUAGUUUUUUUUUUCCUUUUAUUUUCCGCCUUCUUCUUGGCGAUGGCCAGCGAGCCUCUGGUGAGGCUCGCCGGCGAGGGUCGCGGCCCUCGCCCGGCCUCUCCCAAGGUCACCGGCGAGGAGGCUUCACUCGGAUCUCGGCGAGGCUAGCCUUGCCGGUGGUUGGCGAGGUCAUGGUAGCCAUCGCCAGCCGCCGGCGAGGGUUGCGACCCUCGCUCGGCCUCACCCAGGGCCGCAGGCGAGGCGGCUUAGCCCAGAUCUGGCCUCGCCCUGGCCUUGCUACUGAGUCCCCAGCGCCUCCUCCGCUGUCGACCCCGAAGCUUCUUGACCUUGUCACCGCCACCCUCACCUCCACGAAAUCCCAAUUCGAGGCCCUGGUCCCCCACCUCCCGCGCCUCAUGCCGCCGCUCCUCCGCCCGAUCUUCGCCUCCGAAACCCUAGCCUACCACCCCAACAACCGAGGGCUUCGUGGCCCUUGCCUCCGCCCUGGUGAUGGCCGCCAUGGCCUCGCUAGCUGCGGGCGAGGCUGGCCUCGCCCAGAUCCGGGCGAAGCCACCUCGCCAGUGACCCUAGGAGAGGCCGGGCGAGGGCUGCGAUCCUCGCCGGCGGUAGGCGAGGGCUCGUGGCCCUCGCCCUCGCCCAGUGGCCGGCGAGCCUCACCAAAGGCUCGCCGGCCACCGUGAGGAAGAAUGUAGAAAAGAAAAGGAAAAAGAAAAGAAAAAAUAAAAAAUAAAAAAAAUAAUAAUAAAUUCAUAAAAAUUACCACGUCAGCGUCCGGUCACCGGCCGAUGUCCACGUUAGCGCUGGCCAGCCAAAAUUGGCCAAAUGGACUGAAUUUGUCCAAUUGAAAAGUUUAGGAUUGAAUUGGUACCAAUAUAAUAGGUUUAUGACUUUUUUGGUACUUUUCCUGCGCGCAUAAGGAUGCAACGUAAAAGACUCAGCACAUCGAAAGAGGGUUAUUAAAAUAUAUAUUAGGUAGCAUAAUCGAUUGGUUUAUAGCUCAUUCUGACUUGGUCUCUCCUUUUGAUGAUUUUUCUACGAUAAAGGUAUCGAAAAGAUUAGAUUGUAGUGUAUAUAACCAAAUUGAAUCGACAGCCGAAGGGAAAAAAAGAUUAACGGACUGAACAAGACCAAAGAGGAAUGGUUAUAUGCUCAGACAUUUUGACUUGUACCUCAGUCUCAGAGUUACAUGACCAUUUCUCAAAAACGGAUAUAUUAACACAUGCAACUCCAAGCAAGUCUAGUUAACUUUAGUCGAAAGGAUUCAAAUUGAAACCAAAUCGAGCUAAAUCAACAAACUUGUUAAUAUGCAUAUAUUUCCAAUGCAUAUGAUUGUGCUUGUGGUGAUAACAUAAAUAUGGUACGUAUGUUGCUAUCUCAUGGCAUAAAUUAUACAUUUUUGGCUCACACCCAACACACAUGGAAUAAUAAAAAGCUGAUACACACGCAUGCAAGUUGGCCAUAUCACGACCCACUCGGGCCGAUUACAUCAAAUCCUAACUUAUUUGAUCAAGUGGACCGCCCAGGCAAAUGGGCAUCCAAGUUGGAUUGGAACGCCAGAUUUUGAUUUUUUGUCUUUUUCUUUUACCAGUGAAAAAGACAAAUGUGCAGGUUAUUAAAAAAUGUUUUUGGAAAUGAUAUUGACACGAAAUAAUCAAACAUUGAGUGAUAUAUUGAAUCUAAGUAGGUCCUUAAAAGGCUCAAGGAAAAAAAAACGGGCAGGAGAUCUACCUUGGGGUGAAAGACCCGCAAUGUCACUCUCAUAUUCCCUCAAAAAAAUUGUUUGGGAUAAGGAGCUUUUGGGUGGUGAAGAUAGAUACCUUCCAUAAUUAUCGUUGGAUAAGUAGGUAUAGUAGCUUUCCACACCUGAAUAAAAGGGAGAAUACACCUUUACAACGUUGGCUGCCCUUCUUGGCAAAGUCAAUUCAACCGACUGCCAACCCUGUAUCACGUGAAUGUGUAGGUGAAAAGGAAGUUCUGCUGGGAAAACUCAACGUGUCAAACACAAAUCUCUUUUGACGGAAAAAGAAAAAAAACAAACUGACAUUUCCUGAGUAAGUUAAAGAGGAUAAUGCUAAAUAUAUCAAAUUCGACUGCAAAAUUAUCAUGCAAAUUUGACAUGACAUAUUUAUAUCCACUAAAUCUCAUUUUAAUUUUUAAUCUAUCCAGUAUUAGUAGAUGGAAAAGAAAAGGAGUAAAUAGUUUUUUUGGAAUUUGACGUAAUGGGUCGUUCAAUUUUUUUUUUUUUCUGGUUAGUGUAUGCAAUUAGAACUCAUCACCAUAGAAAAUAUUCAUUCAUUAAUAUUUUGACAUGAGAAAUCAGAUUGAAACCAAAUCCAUUUAAGGUAAAUUUUACUUACAUCCAUUACUUUCAUGCUUUUUCUAAUAAAAUUCUUGUACUUUCAAUUUGCUAAUCAAAUCCUUUCACUUUAACAAAAUUUCUAAUCAAGUCCUUCGGUAGAAUCCCUCAAAAUCCAGUCGGCACUACCAUCAAAUAGAAUUUUUCCCACAUAGACAUGCACGUGAACAUCCAUAUUCGCUAAGUUUCAUCCCCAUUAUACUCUAAUGUAAUUGACAUUGGCUCAAAUUUUCCACGAUAGCAUCUAUGUAGGCAUCUAAGAUGACUAAAUUUUUAUGCAUAUCGUAAGUCAGACACCAUCUAAUGGUUACAUUAUCUGGAUUUGGCCGAAUUUGGUGUUAGAUGCAACUUAAUUGCAAAACUUGGGAAAAAAAACAUAAUAACUUGAUUAAACAGUUUAAAAUGUACGGAGGGAUCAUCGGGAAAAAAUGUGAAGAUAAAAGGAUGACAAGUAGAAUUUUUCCUGCCUUAAUGCAAUUAGAUUAUAUGUGUUGCAAAAUAUCUCAUAAGAAAUGGGCCAACAUUAUCUUGACGGGCCUAUACCGUCCCAUGCCAGCGAGUUAUGAAACAUGAGUAGGCUUCGUGAUAAGUUUGGCACCAAGAUCAUUCAUCAUUGUAUGCACAUGGACUUGUCUCUUGUCUUUGGGGCCAAUGCAAAUGGUUGAGAAACAAAAAAAUGGUGCAUUCCACGUUACAGACGUGUUAUUGUAGACUGAGCUGUUUUCUGUCUCCAAAAGUUUAACUACAUAAAAAGGAGACUCAUCCAUUAAACAUUAAAAAAAUUGAAAAAAAUUACCAAAUCGGUUCUAAAUCUUUUGUACAUAUGACUAUAAACUUUAUCAAUUUAGUCAUAAAUUUUUAUGCGAAAUUUAAAUGCAAUCACUCUGAUCAAUUUUCGUCGAAAAUUGUUGACACAGCAAUUCGGUAAUUACCAAUUGUCCUACAUUAGGAUUUUGCUCAAUUUUUUAGGAUCAAAUUAGCAAAAUUAGAAAUUUUAGGAUUAAAUUUGCAUCCAUAUAAUAAACUUAAGACUAAUUGGGUAAUUUUCUAUAAAAUACGUGAACAAACUGUUGGACUCAUCUCUUGAACGUUUUAGAAGACUAGUCAUUAUUAAUGCAGGACUACCUCUUGUAGUAAAGGAAAGAGGACCAUUUUAAUUUUUUUGGUUUGAAAAAAGAGGACCAUUAGAUUCAAGUAAAACUUGUCCUUAAGUUUCUUGUUUCCAAUCUCUGAUGGGUUGGCUUUGUCCAACGAAAAAAAAUGGCACGCUUUGCGGUGAAUGAAUUGUCGAAGAUUUGUCUUUGGGGUGUAUGGUUGUUAUAAUGUUAAUGUUUGGGAUAUAACUGUCGAGAUUGUCUAUUGGACUCAUCACACGCGAUGACUAGAGCGAUUCAACUAAUAACAUGCUAACAAGCGAGUACCCCUUCGGAUUUUCCCUAAACACGGGUCAACGUCGUUUCAUCGAACCCAAGAUGAGUGGGGAGCGUCGACUGAAGGGAGAAUCAAAACAGCGAUCGGGACACGAACUCAAACCAAAACCAACCCCCAAUCAGCAAAUAACCUUUAGGAUAAAACAGAGAAAGUCACGAGCAUGAGCAAGCCCGGGCCAGCAAAAACGGGGGACACGGGCUUACCUUGUGGGUAAGGCGUCGCCGAGAAAGACGAAGCUUUGGACGAAAGGAAGCGGGAGAGCGCACAGCUUCUCGGCUUCUCCGAUCGGCGGGGCCAGGUCAAUCGUAAGUGCGGCCGGACGCCGCUUAGGGGGCGACUAAUGGAGCUCUCCAGAGAACAUCGAGUGGGAACCCACCGGAAUGGAUAAUAGGUAACCUUUGACGUCACUAGAGUUUAGACAACAUUUGGGAUAUCAUCACCUUGAAAGUUCAAAGGUAGAAAUAAAGAAGCUUUAAGAGCCAAAUCCAACUCCUUGACGAAGAGAAAUUCAAAACUUUUGAUCAAUUCCCAACCUUGCUACAAACUGAGUAUUCUCUUCCGCCAUCACAAAAUGCUUUUAUAUUUGUUGCUCUCAUAGAAACCUCUAUUAGACAAGACAAAGUUAAUGUGGUAGAAAUGCGAACUUGCCUUCGAGAAAUGGACUGGCUAAGGAAAAGAAAGGAGAAAUAAAAGAUUCUUAAAGAAUCUUCAACUUCUACAAAGGAAAAGGCAAAUCAAAUGAUACUAUCCAAUCCGUUGGAAUCAUUUCUAAGAGAUCUGAGCAAUCGACAAGAAAAAAAAUGAUUGAUGUUACUUUUCGAAAGACCAGAUUCAACCUCUUCUAGAAUAGAUUCUUCCGAUCGAUUUAGACUCAAAACCAAAUUUAGCAUCUCUUUCAUCCUCCUUCUCUUUUUUGAACUGGCUAUUGAUGUCCUUUUUGGGUAAACGCCCAAGCUCUUCCAAAUCAUGACGAGUAUGAUGUCCUUUUUGGAUUUGUCACGAAGUUCAUAGGUAGCCUUAAACAUUGGUGACAAUCAAUUACAGAAUAAGAUCAAGUGUAAUUUUUGCUCUCAGCAAACUUUGGCCAAGCUAUUGCUCUCCUCUACCAUUGUUUCAUUGGCAAACCUGCUGACCUCCUUGAGUUCAAGAGAAAAGAAUUUUUUGAAAGAAAAUGUUGCUCUCUCAAAAAAAAAAACAUCUCAAACAUUAUUGAGAAAUGAUCAAACUCUUCUACAGAUUUGGAGCUGAUGCAAAAUUGAAACAGGUUUUUCUAGCCUCUAUUUCUAGAGAGUUAUUACAGUAAGUUGAGAGAUCAUUUCUCAACAAGCAAAGAAUAAUAGUGGAUAUUCCCUUAGGAGAAAUACAACAAUCGAUCCAUUUGUGUUUGAUGAUUUGUGUCUAAAACACCAGAUGAUGAAAACUUACCUCAAAGACAAUCGAGAACUUGAUUGAGCUUAUUCGCAACCGAAUUUGAAAAUUAAGUAUCCCGAAAAAGAUUAUGAUGGCUCUUAUGAAAAAUCUUCAAGAAAGAAAAAGCAUUUCAAAAGGUAUUUGGUGGAAAGGUCCGAGCAUAAAUCUAAGUAUUUCCGGAGAUAGAAAAAAUGGUGAUUCAUGUAAAGAAGAAAAGAUUGGUCAGGCCUCAAGAAAUCAACCAAAUGCUUCAUCUACAAGAAGAUAGGUCAUUUUGCCAAAAAUUGCUCCUAGUAGAAAAAAAGGUCAAAACCACUUGAUGUACUACAUUGAAAUUAAAACUGGUGUUUCACUUGAACAUGAUGAUGUUGAAUCAUUGUAUUCCAUUAAUGAAAAAACAUCUGAGUAAACUCUUUGUGUUAUUCCUUACUAUCAAAUCUUAAGUACAUUUGAUUAGGAUUCAGACUCUGAAGAUCUUUUCCAUAUAUUCUUCACCUCUUCAUAAUAAGACUCUAGUAUAUAUUCUAGUCAAGUUCAUUGUACUUAAUUUCCUGUAAAAAUUCUCACUUCAAAGUUUGUCAAAUCAAUCAUAGUUAUUACUCUUAUAGAUACUGGUGCUAGUUCUUCAAUUCUAGACACUAAAGUUUUUUCUGAAUAAUACUAGAUUUCCUACGUUUGAUAUUUCAAUUCUGUCUCAAGAUGUACUUUUUUACAAAUGUGUGAAUUACGCCAGUAACCAUCUAGUUCUUCUCUCAGUGUUUUAUAACCACCAAAAUUUUUUGGAUCUAGUCUUUCUAAUAAAGAUUUUAUUAUUGGUUGGAAUGUUAUGACUCAAAUUCUUCAGCUUCGAAUCAUUCCUAGAAAAGGUCUUUCUACUUAAGACCAAUUUUCUAAAUUUGUUAAUAUUCAAAGGUUUUUCUCUAUUUAAAUGAGUUUGCUAGAUCUGAUCAUGCAAAAGUUGUUAGAAUCUUGUUCAGAAUCUCAUUCUGAAUUUUCUCGGAAAUGUUCUCAUCUUUUAUGAAAAAAUCUAGAAGUUUUUGUUUGCCUUCCUUUAAAAAAAAUGAAGACAUAAGACCCACCAAGAUGAGUCACAUGAGAAUGAAUCUAGAUCGUCUCGCUGCUGCUCAGAGGAGUGUUCAGAGCUACUACAACAAAGUCUUAUUGAAAUAUCAUAUUCUCAAUGGGCUUUUGUAUGUCAACAAACAAGUUGAGCAGAAUAGAGGAAAAAGGCUGCUAAUGAUAGGUUACUAUCCCUUCAAUCUCUUCCUCUAAGAUGACAAGUUCCCUUUACCCUCUCAAAAUCCUUUUUAUCGGAUUAUCCGAAGUCCAUAUCUAUUCCAAAUUCGAUCUCAAAGCUGGAUUUUGGUAAUUGGGAAUUUAUCUUGAAGACAAGCCUAAGACAUGCUUCUUAUUCCAAACUAGCAUUUUCAAUAGAAAGUUAUCCUCUUUGGCCUCAAAGUAUCCUCUUUGGCCUCAAAGUAAUCACAUCCCUAUUCUAAAAGGCUAUAUGCCAUAUUUUUCAACCAAUCCUAUCAAGCACAACAAUUUUCAUUGAUGACAUCUUGUUCUAUAGCCCUGAUGAGGAAUUCCAUUGUCGACUCCUCAAUCAAUUUGUAGAUAUCGUGAAAAAAAUAUGGAAUCAUGCUCUUUCAGAGAAAGAUGAACAUUACUUAGAUAGAAAUUAAAUUUGUUUUUAUGCACCUCAAUAAAGAUACAUACUAUCCAAGGCUGCAUAUUGCAUGGGAAUUGUUAAAAUUCCUAGAAAAAAAUUUCAUGACAAAGCAAGUUCAACAAUUUCUUGGGACAAUUAUAUCAAAGACUUUAUUCCCAACUUUGCAAAAUUAUUGCUCCCAUUACAACUGAUGCUGAAGAAGAAUCCUUCGCCUUGAAAUAAAGCUCAAACCAAAACAGUUGUAGAACUAAAAGAGGUAAUGCAAAGUCUUCCCCCAUUGCAAAUACUAUCCAUUGGGAAGAGAAUCCUCUAGACUAAUACUAGUAAUGAAUAUUGGACAGCCAUUUUGUUUGAAGAAAUUGAAGGUAAGCAAAACCUUUGCGCUUACAAAAGUAGAAUGUUUUCCCAAACUGAAAUACAUUAUCACUCUACUUCCAAGGAAAUAUUGGCAAUGAAGAAUGGGAUUAAAAAGUACGAAUUCUAUUUCAUUGGUGAAAUAGCUAGUACGAGUACCUAGAGGAGGGUGAAUAGGUAUACAAAAAAAAUUUCUCGAAGCUUGCACGAUAUUUAAACAAUUAGAGAAUUUGCAACAGUUAAAAAUUCAAUCGCAAGACUGAGUAAGGGAAAGAGAGAAUUGAACACUCGGUUUAUAGUGGUUCGGCUUGAUUCAAGCCUACGUCCACUCUUCUGCACUGACAGCCGAUUGGCUGGAUUCCACUAUGAUCAAAGAGUUGUUACAGUGUUGAUCUUCCUUGAUUUCUAGGUGUAGAUGAUCUACCACACUCACUCAAGGCGUCACCAAGUAUAAACACUCUCUGUAUACAAUUUCGCUCAGUCUGAACUAACAAUCAAGGAUCUUCAGACUCUGGAAUUUUUCUAUCGAUCACACACUUAAAACAACUAGAACGUCUUCCUUUUAUACUCCUUCAUGCCAUCAUAGCCGUUGGCACUUACCAAAGGAAUUCCUCCAAUCUACCCGUUGGACGGAAUCAAUCAAGAAGAUCAUCCGAGCUAUUUAAGGAAUCUGAUGAUAGCCCAUCAAUCCUGUUCGCCCAUACAAUCAGGAUCUCGGUUUCCAAGAAUAGAAUAAUCCAAGAUUAUUUCGUCGACCAUCGGAUCUUCAAUUGAUCUUAGAUAAGAAUUAAAGAAUCCGAAAUGAUUAUCCAACCAAAGAAUCUAUUCCAGAGGAUAGAAUCAAAUCCUCAACCAUAAACCUCGGCUUUGGAUAUCCUUCAACACUGGAUUAGAAAGACUGUCAGUGAGAAUAAUUUUGAGUCUUGAGUCUUGAGUCUUGAGAUUUCAAAGUCUUGAGACUAUAAAGUCUUGAGACUUUAACUAUCGAUAUCCAGACUUAGACUGAUAGAAAUGUUUUGUCAGCUUCAAAAUAUUCUGGAAAGAUUUCUCCAACAAUCUCCCCCUUUUUGAUGGUGACAAAACUUUCUUGAAGAUUUGAACAACUUUGACCUGCAAAAACAUUUCUCAAGCAAUAUGGCUAACUCAUAAAGAUUAAUAAACAACCAGACUCUGCAUCCACAGCAAAUUGGUUAGUCUUUCAUGAGUAAUACCAUGUAACAAUACUUGAUAUAAAUGCAACCAGUCAAGCAUCAAAAUCCACAGCCAAUUCAGUCUAACACUCAAGUUCAAGUUCUCAAGUCAUACUCAAACAUAAACACAAAAGUCAAAUAAAGUUUUAAAAUAAUGUUUGUUCAAAUUGGUUCUCCCCCUUUUUGUCAUCAUUAAAAAGAGGGUGAGAAAGGAGUCAUGUCUGCUUGGGAAUGCGCACGAUCUGGAAAUCCCCAAUGGACUGGACUACUCCUUCGAGCUUCUUCAGAUCUUCUCGCAGAUGAGCUACCUCUUCUCUCUUGGCAUUGGCUUGAAGUUGCAGAGCGAGGUCUUUGAAUUUAUCUUCCAGAGAGACUGAAGAUGCUUGUCCAGCAUGCUUCAAAGCUUGGAUUUCACAGUCCAGAAUAUAUAUCUGGUUACGCAUUUCCAGAAGAAUAUUCAUGAUACUACGAAGAUCUGCAGAAUCAUCCGUCUGUGUACUGGCAUUGACUUUCUCAGAUGGUGUGUAUGCAAACGAUGGCCCUUCUGUACGGUCUGGCAGAUUUGGAAUCGACGUAUCACCUUCUUCAGGCAAUUUAGAGACCUGAACUUCUUCUGGGUCUUCUGGAGAUUGUCUUGGAUCUUCAGCAGCAUGAGGUGGAGACCUCUCUUGCUUGCUAACUCCCCCCGUCUCUAGGACAUCGAAAGGGGAAGAGUGAUGAUCAUGCUCUUGAUUUCCCUUUUCUCCAGAUUUAUCAGCAGACUGUUCUUUUUCUUCUUCUCCUUCUUCCUCAACUUCUUUCUCCUUCUCUCUCUGUUCUUCUUCUUCUCUGCUCUGCUGAAGUUCUGUCGGAUAAGACACAGAAGUCUUUGAAGUAGACUUAGGUCUGAGACAAUUGAUCACAAUCUUGUGAAGCACAAUGUUGAUAGCAUUCAUCCUGGAAUAGAUAAUUUUCUUAUCUACAUCCCUAUCUUUGACAAGAUCCAGAGUAGUUCGAGCAGGUGAGACUUUGAUUGGGAGAUAGCGUCCCCGUUCAACUCCAACUAUGUCCGCCAACAUAUUCACAUCUACCACAUAGACUUUGUCUCGAACACUGAAUGAAAUUCUAUUCGCAUCCAAAAAGCUAAGAUUUGAAUAGAAAUAAGCGGUCAGAUGAUCAUACCCGUCUGUAGAGUCAGAGCAGAAAGUCUCAAGUUGAAGCAAAUUCAACUUCUCUCUUAGGUUCAAGUUGAUGGAAUCCAGGAAGUCAAAAUCGACACUUCUAGGGUUGAUUACCCCUCUUUUCAACAGACUGAAAUACACUUUUUCCUGAUCCUUGGAUUUAAACAAAUCCAUCCGAUUUCCUUUCACCUUUGCCGCCACACCCAUUUUAGGGUUAAAUUCAAGGAACAUUUUGUCAUCAUCGUUCCCGUCAAUCAGAUUUUGUCCUGGCAUACGAGGAUCUCUUGGAAUGUUCGCAAGUGAUUCCUCUGCUUUUCCUUUCGGGGCAAUUCCCCAUUCCUCCAUUUUCUUCAGAAAAAGAUACUCAUUCCCAUAAUUUUUGUCCUUAAGGAAGUCAUCUAUAUAGUUCAAUGGAGUACCUGUGCUUUUCAAUGCACGAUAAAGUUUAUACAAAAAGGAGGGCUUUUGAACUCUUACUGGGUCGGCAUCCUCGAUUAUCUCUUCUUCCAGAUUAUGACUUGCACUUUGUGGGGCAGGAGAUGCUGAAUGACGUGGAGGAGAGCGAAUCGGACUCUGUCGCUGACUUGGUAAGUCUUCUUCCUCAGUGAGAUCGAAAUGAGUCGGUCCCUUCUUCAUUCUUUGUGGUCCCCUGUUUGCGAUUCUUGAUGAUUUCCUCGAAGACGACAUCUUUCUUUGUCUAUUGGAGGAUUCCUUCACUUGCUUUCCCAAGAAAAAUGACCACUUUCUCGACGAUGAACAAAGAGUAGAAACAGUAUCGAGAGGAGAGUGCCUUUUAGGGUUUUGAAGAUUGGGGAAAGGAAAAAAAAAACUGUAUAUAUAUAACUCAGUUUUGAAAAAGGAAGUUCAAUCGGUGCAAGGAAAGUGAACGAUCACUUCUUUUCAAAAUCAAUAACUGCCAAAAUUAUUAAACAAAAGAUCGUACCUUUUCGAGUUAAUAUAACUAAAUGACAAUUAGUACCUUUUAGAUGAAAUACAACUUACAGUCUAUAGCCACGAAUGAUUGAGUCUCAGGAUUUAGAGUCUGAAAGAUCAGAGUCUUAGAGUUGGUGAGUCUCUAGACUUUAAUUUCUUCAAGCUUCAAAAUGUUGAGUCUCGAGCGGAUAAAGUCGAACUGAUUCUUCUCCAAAGGCUUUGUGAAUAUGUCCGCUAGUUGACUUUUUGAAUCAACAAAUUGAAUCGAGAUUUCUCCAUUUUGAAUAUGAUCUCUAAUAAAGUGAUGUCGAAUCUCAAUAUGCUUUGCUCUUGAAUGAAGGAUUGGAUUUUUGGUGAGAUUGAUAGCGCUGGUGUUGUCACAUCUGAUUUCUGUGCAUGAGUCUUCAAUGCCAAAGUCUUGUAACUGUUGUUUUAUCCAUAGAAUUUGCGAACAGCAGCUUCCAAGAGCUACAUACUCUGCUUCUGUCGUUGAAAGAGCUACAGUGCUUUGCUUCCUCGAAAACCAAGACACCGUUCUGUUUCCAAGUAGUUGACAAAUUCCAGAAGUGCUCUUUCUAUCGACUCUGCAACCGGCCAGAUCUGCAUCUGAGUAUCCUAGAAGAUUAAAGUUUCCCUUCUUUGGAUACCAAAGACCGAUGCUUGAAGAUGAAGCAACGUAUUUGAUAAUUCGUUUCACGGCAAUGAGAUGUGAUUCUCUAGGAUCUGAUUGAAACCUAGCACAGAUACAAACACUAAACAAAAUAUCAGGUCUAGAAGCAGUAAGAUAAAGAAGUGAACCGAUCAUGCUCCUGUACAGCUUUUGAUCUACUUUCUUCCCUUCUUCAUCCUUGUCUAUCUUCUGAGAACAUGACAUUGGUAUGUCGAUCUUUUUGCACUUUUCCAAUCCAAACCUUUUGACAAGAUCAUUCGCAUAUUUUUCUUGAUGGAUGAAAGUUCCUUCCUUCAUUUGUUUCACUUGGAGUCCAAGAAAGAAUGUUAACCCUCCCAUCAUACUCAUUUCAAAUUCAUCUUGCAUAGACUUAGAAAAUUUCUUGCAAAGACUUUCAUUAGAGGAUCCAAAAAUAAUGUCAUCAACAUAUAUUUGAACAAGUAAAAAGUUUUUGUUUUCCUUUUUGAUAAACAAAGUAGUAUCUACUUUACCUUUGACAAAACCAUUUUGUAAUAAAAACUUACUUAGUCUGUCGUACCAAGCUCGAGGUGCUUGCUUUAGACCAUACAGAGCCUUUUUCAGUCUGAAGACUGAGUCUGGCUUCUUUGGGUCUUCAAAUCCAGGCGGUUGUUCCACAUAAACUUCCUCAUGGAUAAAUCCAUUUAGGAAAGCACUUUUGACGUCCAUUUGGAAUAACCUGAAAUUUUUGUAACAAGCAAACGCAAGUAAUAGACGAAUAGCUUCUAACCUUGCAACGGGUGCGUAAGUCUCGUCAUAGUCUAUUCCUUCUUCUUGCGUAUACCCUUUGGCCACGAGUCUCGCUUUGUUUCACAUAAACUUCCUCAUGGAUAAAUCCAUUUAGGAAAGCACUUUUGACGUCCAUUUGGAAUAACCUUUUGGUUUAGAUGUCAAUUCCCAGACAUCAUUGAUGUUGAACUGUCUGAGCUCUUCUUGCAUAGCUUCGAUCCAGCUUUCAUCAGAUAAAGCUUCUUCUAUGCUUUUUGGUUCAAUUUCAGAGAUGAGAGCCACAGCACUAGAUUCUUCAUGCCUUUUUGAUCUGGUGCGGAUUCCUUCAUUAAGUUCGCCAAUAAUAAGAUCUUUGGGAUGACUGGAUUUGUGCUUCCAGUUACCAGGUUGAUGAUCUUUUUCUUUAUUUGAUUCUCCAUGAGCGUCUUGAUGAUGGACUUCCAGAAUCUGAGAUGCUUCUUGAGAUGUAGACAUUUGAAGAUCUAGAGCGGAUUCAGUCUCUUCGUACUGAGUCUGGCCGGAUUCAUCUUGCACUGAGUCUUGGAAUUUGACAUUCAUUGAUUCUUCUACAGACUGGCUUUUUUUGUUGUAGACUCUGUAGGCUUUGCUUGAUGUAGAAUAUCCAAGGAAGAUGCCUUCAUCUGAUCUUUCUUCAAACUUACCAACUCGAUCAUUUGCAUUUUUCAAAAUAAAGCAUUUGCAACCGAACACAUGAAAGUAUGAAACAAUAGGCUUCUUACCUUUGAACAAUUCAUAGGGGGUUUUAUCAAGAAUAGGUCUUAGAAAGACUCUAUUUAUAAUAUAGCAAGCAGUUGAAACAGCUUCAGCCCAAAAUCGUGAAGAAAUUUUACUUUCAAUUAAAAGUGUUCUAGCCAUUUCUUGAAGAGAUCUAUUCUUUCUUUCCACAACUCCAUUUUGCUCUGGAGUAUACGGAGAGGAAAACAUGUGAUUAACACCAGAUCUAUCACAGAAUCUCGUAAAAUCUUGAUUUUCAAAUUCACUUCCAUGAUCUGUUCUUAUACUAGAAAUAGCACAUCCUUUUUCAUUUUGAACCUUUUUAGCAAACUUUUCAAAGUACGAAAAGGUUUCUGAUUUGUUUGCAAGAAAAUAUACCCAGGUAAAACGAGAGUAAUCAUCUACAAUUACUAGACAAUAUUUCUUACCUCCAAUGCUCUGGGUUCUUGUUGGUCCGAAGAGAUCCAUAUGAAGCAACUGCAUUACAUGAUUAGUAGAUACAUGAUUUAUUUGCUUAAAUGAAUUUCUUACCUGCUUUCCCAGAAUGCAUGGAGUGCAUAAGUCAGACUUUUGGUAUGGCAGUUUAGGUAGACCUUGAACAAGCUGCUUUGAAGAGAUUUUGGCUAAUUGCUUCUUGUUGAUAUGGCCAAGUUUUCUGUGCCAUAGAAUUGCUUCAUCUUGAAUUGAGAUUAAGCAUUGUUCUUCAUUUGGCUUUACAUCAAGGAGGUAGAUGUUUCCAUGCCUUCGACCCAUGAAAGACUGAGUCGAAUCUUUGCUAAUUCCAGAACAUAUGCCUUCUUGAAAGAAGAUCUUGUAACCAGUAUCACACAAUUGGCUAAUGCUGAGUAGAUUGUAGUUGAGUCCUUCCACUAGAGAAACAUUGCUUAUUGUGAGAUUUCCAAUUUUCACAGUUCCGAAUCCCACAAUACUUCCUUUGCUAUUUCCUCCGAAUGAAACUUUUCCACCAUUUACUUUAAUAAACUUUAUGAAACAUUUUGAGUCUCCUGUCAUGUGUCUUGAGCAUCCGCUGUCAAGAUACCACUUUACCUUCUUUUUGACAGAGACCUGUAUUCAAAAGAGAGUCUCAAGCUUUCUUUGGUACCCAAAUUUUCUUGGGUCCUUUGGUGUUAGUAGGAUGAGCAUUAUUAGGCCAUACUCUCUUAACAGGCUUCCAAACCAUAGGACACUCUUUUUCAAAAUGAUCCUGACUGUUACACUUAGAACACCUUAAAGCAUUUCGACCUACAGGCUUUACAAAAACUCUUUUGAAAUGAUUUUUAUAAGCCUCUCUCGAUGGUCUUUUCUUAAUUCUUUCUUUUACUUUCGGAAAAUCAAUCAAAGGGAUUGUUUCAGCUGUCAUACCUAGACCCGACUUAUUGAAGUAAGGUCUUUGGAUUGAAAGAACUUUUUCAAGUUUUUCAGACCCUAUUGAAAAUUUCUUUGAAAUAUUUGAUAAAUCAGUUUUUAAGAAAGCAUUUUCUUUUGAAAGAUUGUCUUCACUCUCUUUAAGAGUAGAAACAUUCAAGUCUAAAUUUUUUACCUUUUCUUCUAAAAUGUUUUCCUUUUGUUUUAAAAUUGAGUUUUCCUUUUUGAGUUCGGAAAUCUUUUUAAGAGAAGUCUUAAGACUAAAACAUAACUCAUCAAUAUAUUUAGAGACUUUGACAGGGAUUUUAUAAUCACUUACCUCAAAUUCACUGUCUGAGUCUGAUCCAGAGUCUGAGUCUGAUUGCGCCAUUAGACACAGGUUGGCAUAUUCCUCAUCACUCUCUUCACAGUCUGUAUCGCUCCAGGUUUCGGCUUUAAGAGCUUUUCGAAAUUUCUCAGCUUUUCCUCUUUUCUUUUUCAGAAGAGGACAGUUGGGUCUGAUGUGUCCCUUCUUUUUACAUUCGAAGCAAACUACAUCUUUGUUUGGUUCCUCAUCAUCAACAGACUUGGUCUGCUGUCUCUGAAAACUUUGUUUCUUUGGGAUGAACCUUCUGCCUUUUCUAUUUAGUUUUCUGAAUCUUCUUAUCAUGAGGGUGAGCUCCUCAUCAUCCAUAUCAUCUUCAGAAUCUGCAUCAUCAGAAUCAUCAUUUGAUUUUAGUGCAAUAGAUUUCUUACCUCUUGGAUCUUCGUCUUCAUUAAUUCGUUCCACUUCGUAAGACUGAAGAGUUCCAAUCAGUUCGUCUACAGAUAAUGGCAUGAUUCUUUGCGUCUCUCUUAUUGAAGUCUUUAUAUGAUUCCAAUCCUUGGAGAGUCCACGUAAAAGCUUGUUCACCUUCAUGGGAUCAGAAAUUUUUUGUCCUUGGUUCUCAAGACCAUUGACAAUAUCUGUAAAACGACUAAACAUGUCAGUUAUAGAUUCUCCUGGUUUCAUUUUGAAGGAUUCAUAUUGACCAAGAAGAAUGUUAAUUCUGGUCUCCUUCACUCGAUCUGUCCCUUCAUAAGUGAUAUGUAACCUGUCCCAGACUUCUUUUGCUGUAACACAAGAAGAUAUUCUGUUAUAUUCAGUUGGUGACAAAGCACAAUAUAAAGAAUAAAUUGCUUUAGCAUCGAGUGCUUGUCUCUUGUUUAUUUCUUCUUGAGACAUUCCGCUAGUUUCAACAGUUUCUUUCCCUCUUUCAGAGAUUGAUGCAGCAGCAGGAGUGAUUCCUUUUUCCACAACGUCCCAUUCCAGAGGAUCCUUUGAUCGUAGGAAAGCUUUCAUCUUGUUCUUCCAGAUGUUGUAAUCCUUUCCAUCGAAGUAGGGAGGUCUGGUAUUGCUUUGCCCCUCCAUCAGCCCCGGUGCUAGCAUACUAGCCAUGGAUAUUUUACUCUGAAGUAAAACACUUCAAACAAAGUAAGAACACGGGCUCUGAUACCAAUUGAAAUAGCUAGUACGAGUACCUAGAGGGGGGUGAAUAGGUAUACAAAAAAAAUUUCUCGAAGCUUGCACGAUAUUUAAACAAUUAGAGAAUUUGCAACAGUUAAAAAUUCAAUCGCAAGACUGAGUAAGGGAAAGAGAGAAUUGAACACUCGGUUUAUAGUGGUUCGGCUUGAUUCAAGCCUACGUCCACUCUUUUGCACUGACAGCCGAUUGGCUGGAUUCCACUAUGAUCAAAGAGUUGUUACAGUGUUGAUCUUCCUUGAUUUCUAGGUGUAGAUGAUCUACCACACUCACUCAAGGCGUCACCAAGUAUAAACACUCUCUGUAUACAAUUUCGCUCAGUCUGAACUAACAAUCAAGGAUCUUCAGACUCUGGAAUUUUUCUAUCGAUCACACACUUAAAACAACUAGAACGUCUUCCUUUUAUACUCCUUCAUGCCAUCAUAGCCGUUGGCACUUACCAAAGGAAUUCCUCCAAUCUACCCGUUGGACGGAAUCAAUCAAGAAGAUCAUCCGAGCUAUUUAAGGAAUCUGAUGAUAGCCCAUCAAUCCUGUUCGCCCAUACAAUCAGGAUCUCGGUUUCCAAGAAUAGAAUAAUCCAAGAUUAUUUCGUCGACCAUCGGAUCUUCAAUCGAUCUUAGAUAAGAAUUAAAGAAUCCGAAAUAAUUAUCCAACCAAAGAAUCUAUUCCAGAGGAUAGGAUCGAAUCCUCAACCAUAAACCUCGGCUUUGGAUAUCCUUCAACACUGGAUUAGAAAGACUGUCAGUGAGAAUAAUUUUGAGUCUUGAGUCUUGAGUCUUGAGAUUUCAAAGUCUUGAGACUAUAAAGUCUUGAGACUUUAACUAUCGAUAUCCAGACUUAGACUGAUAGAAAUGUUUUGUCAGCUUCAAAAUAUUCUGGAAAGAUUUCUCCAACAAUUGGCCAUCAUUUUUUUGGUAGAAUUGGAUAUGGCAUCCUUUCCUCAAAUGAUCAAAUUCAAACAAAAGUAGAUUUCCCUUUCUUAGCUGCUUCGAUGGGCUGAAUGGUUUUCGAAAUACUCUUUUGAAACCAAGUACAUUAUAGGAAAGAAAAAUGUUCUUGUUGAUUCUCUCUCCAGACCCAAGGCACUAGCAAAGAUUAACAUGUAUAUUUUUUAGGCAUGCUUUUCCUCAACGGGAAAAGUACAAGAUUGAAAGAACGCGGGAUUGGCCAAGCUUGGAAUAUCCUCAGGAAAUCAUUGAACAUAUCCAAAGUGAUAAUUUCAUUGAAAAUCUUGAUAAUCUCAUGUGGCAAUACCAUACAAAUUUAUUUAGAUUCUAUAAAGGCUCAAUUCUUUAUCAUUUUGAAUGAAACUCCAAGUAUCCAUUUAUUCAUCCAUUAAUCUAGAAAGAAGAUGAUUUUCUUGGUUAGCUUCUAUGGUUGUUUUGGUAAUUAAUUAAUAAGUAUUUAAUAGAUGUUGAGUUCCUUGCAAAAAAAUUCAUUGUUCAUUUAUUAAAACUGAUUGCGCUUUGGUGUAAUGAAAGGAGUGAAAGUGACAAAAAUCUCUUGGCCGUACUUAAUUGAUUCAAUCAUCCUCUGUACAAGAACUAGGAAAAGCCCCUUGAGCAACACUAGAGCUACACACAGUAGUGUUUUUUCGGAGACCAUGGACUUUUAUGUGACAAAAUGGUACCCUCACUAGUGCACCCGAAGGAAUAGGAACCAUACCAUACAAGCCUCAACCGCAUCUCCUCAAAGCCCGUAUUUAUAGGACAUUUCCAAGCUAUGUUGGAUCCUUUGAAUACAACUAUAGAGAACUCCAGAGGGUCCUAUGCCAAAAAAACCGAACCAUUCCUAAAGAAGUAUGGGACUACACAUUACCUCUCUCAUGGGACCACUAUGGUCUUGCGUCUGAAGCCAAACAAGUACUUGAGGAAUUCAAUCAAGCACGGAAUCAAGUAAGGACACCACCAUCACAAGAGCAAGAAAUGGCAAACACAGAUGAUCCUGCACAGUCUUCUCAAGAAUCCUAUGCUCAGGCAUCCUAUGCCCAAUUAAGAGGUCCUCUUUCUCAAGACCCCUAUAAUUAAGGAUCUUUGUCCUUAACUCUUGGAAUGGACCCUAGCAUAAUAUGCCAUUGUGCUCAAACAUCAAGCUAGCCCUAGCCAGUCAUGCCUGCCAACACUUCAGGACCCUCUAGGAUUCAUGAAGAAGAACCUGCCUCAAGUAUUCCAAGUAUGUGGAACGCCCUAAUCUCACAAAAGGGACCCUCUCACAAUACCAAUAGACCUCCUAAUGAUGACAUUGGAAUGAAACAACGCUAUGAGAAAGAAUGGUUGGGAAGACAUAGCUCUGAUGGACUAUGAUUAUAACUCUUGGGAUGAUAGAUAGACCUGUUGCAAAAGAUAUUGUAGCACAGGUCACUGUAGCAAUAGGUUAGAGAAAUCAUUGUUCACAGUCACUAUUCAUACCACCUAGAAUAAUUCGCAACCAGAAUUCCUAGAGCCUGUGUGUUUUUAGACUUCCUUGUUUGUUUGUAAUCUCUUAAUGCCUAUAAAAGGUAAAAAUGAUGUAAUGUUUUAGGCAGAGUUCCUUGAAAUGAAGUGUGUGCUUAUGUAAAUUCUCUCCAUAUCUCUCUAAACACUUCUUCUUCUCUAGCUUGAUAGGAUCCUUUGAACAUCUCUAUGUUCUGAUCCAAAUUUCAUAGCUAAAAAGUAGUCCCUUAAAGGCUUGAACAAAGAGAUUCACCUGUUAUGGGAUAGCAUAACUACUGUGACUAACUUGGUCUUCCCCGGUUCUAAUCAUAGAUCCCCUUAUUGAGAGUGUUAAAAAAGCUGAUUGGACGUGUUGAUCAAGUGUCGAACAGUAUUUGAGAAUGUCGAACAUGUGUCAGAAUGUCUAACACAACAUAAUGGCCCUUGAAGAGUGUCGGUGCUUCUUAGACCUGACCUCGAGCUUUGAAGCUCACAAGUGGCUGCAAGCCGCCAUGGCCAAGCUUUGAAGCUCACGGCCGCCAUGACCACUCUUAGCUCGAAGCUUGGUUGAGGGUCUGACGUUGACCCUUGAAGAUCACGAGUAGUCACAAGCCGCCAAGGCCAAACUUCGAAGCAGCUUGAAGGUCCAGCUUCCAAAGUCGCGGGUGGUCGCAAGCUGCCAUGGCCAAGCUUUGAAGCUCAUGAUCACCAUGACCGCUCUAGCUUGAAGCUCGACCUCAACCUUCAAAGCCGGUGAGUAGUCGCAAGCUACCAAGGCCAAGCUUCGGAGCAGCUUGAAGGUCGAGAUUAGAAGCUCGCGGAUGGUGACAAGCCGCUAUGGCCAAGCUCGGAAGCUCAUAGCCACCAUGGCCGCUCAAGCUCAAAGUAGGCUUGGUCUGACCUCGAUCUUCAAAGCUUGUGGAUGCUUGGGCAAGCAUCGACGAGCACCGCCGGAGGUCGAAGUAGCAGUAAGCAGCGCAUCAAGAGUGCCAGAGGAGUUUGGCUAAGUGACUGAAGAAGAUGAACGCGUGAACAGUACUUCGCGAUGUACUGGAGAAGACAAUGAACAGUACUUUUUUUCUUUUUUAAAUUUCACUUUUUCCUUUUAAUUUUCCAAUGUGGUGCUCGUGUGGCGUCACGUUAGAGCCAUUGUUCCAUAAAAGUGCCAUGUCAGAUCCAUGUCAAACAUUUUAACCAUGAUUUUGGACGGAGCUCUAAUGAACGAUAAACAUGCCACAAUAAGUAUAAUUUUGGAUUUUUGAUGGUUUUUUUUCCAUUAUUUUUUCAUUAUCUGAACGAAAAUCGGCGUCCAAAUGAAAAUACAUGAAAUUUCUAUUCGAUUUGGUUUCCCAGUUCAGUUCUAGCAACCCAGGAGACACCAAGACGCAGACAUGACAGUGGAAAGGACCAUAACUCAGCCAUAACUUUCUUGAACAAGAAUAAAUCCUCUCUCUUUGAUGGUAGAAAAUAUGUUCCAAUUAUACCUCUAAUUCAUGGAUUACAAGUUAUAGAUAUUAUCCACAUUUGGCCUCAACUGAAACUCAUUUAACAUAUAUCCAUAAUUGGGAUCAUCAAUAAGAGACAUGAUUGGAGGGAACUUUGUCUCAAUAGGGAUGGAGAAAACAUACCUAUUUGUUAUCAUGAGUGGACUAUGAAUUAAUUUUUUUUUUUUUGGUCGGAAAGACAUUUCAUUGAUUAAUAUUGGGAUGACGGAUUACAACUAGACUGAAAGUCCAAACAUAAUAUAAGAUAAAGUUCGUGCGGGGGAUGGGAUACCCAAUUGCUUGGAAGAGAGUCGGUGUUGUGUGACUUGGCAAUCCAAUCAGCCGCUUGGUUGGAUUCUCGUGCUUCAUAUCGCAAGGAAACGUUUGGCAUUUGGGCUAGUAGUUCUCUGCAGUCCAGGACAGUAGGAUAAGAGGCCCAUGACACUUCUUUCUGGCCCAAGAUGGAGUCCAUGGCUGAGAUGCAGUCGCUGGAGAUACACACGGGGGAAAAGAAGCGCAGAUCAGUUCGUGCGCCUGAAGGGGAUGCUGUCAGAGCAGUUCUGUUUCUCCUCAGCCAAAGUAACGCCUGUUGGACAGCUAGGGUUUCUCCCACUUGAGCCGAUUGAGCUCGAAAUUUCUACGCAAAGCCUCCGAUACACACCCCCGCCUCUCCUCUGCAUAUACCAGCAAUAGAUCCCUCCAAUUUCUCGGCCAGCCAAGAGCAAUCCACGUUGAUCUUCAAGGUACCCGGAGCUGGAGGAACCCAGGUAUGCCGUUCUGGUUUCGUUGCUUUUCUCCGUGUGUUCCAUUUCUCGUAGAGUUGUUGAGAGAGAAGGGCUUCAUUAAUGAUUUGUUCUUGUGUUUUUCGCCGGCCUUGGAAGAUCAAAGCAUUACGCGCUUUCCAGAUUAGCCAAAGGGUGGUCGCAAAAAUCGCUUUUUGACUUGCUGUGAUGCCAGAUCUGAGGUAUUCAGUCACCCAUCGGUCUGUUCUUGUUAUAGAGGUUGAGGAGACAUCCAUGUCGGUAUAAUAAUUUUGCCAAAUUUUUCUUGUCCACAGGCAAAGCCCAAAAAGGUGUUCGGAGGACUCUGGAAAUUGGUUACAUAGUGGGCAUGUCGGCUCAGGUAUGAUUUUUCUCCGGUAUAGAUUGGCUUUGGUAAGGAGGCCUUCGUUACAUAAACUCCACAUGAAGUGCCUGAUUCUGGGUGUCGUCUGUAGAUGCCAAAUUUCUGUCCAGAGUUGUUUCGGUACCUGAUAUGAAGAGGAUGCAUGGCCUUCUGUUAUGCUUGUGUUGGCUGCUCGUAAUUUAUGAUACCCGUUUUUGAUCUUAUACUCCCCUGAAUUAUGUCCUGUCCAAAUUAGACGGUCAGGUCUGGUAAAGAUGCUGAGUGUGGUUGCUUGAAUUUCCUCUGCUAUGUGGCUGUCAAAAAGCUCUGUGAUAAUAUGAUUUUUCCAUGUGCGCGUAGUUGGGUCAAUGAUCUCUGCCACUAGUUUAGGAUCAUCUCGGUUCGCCGGUCCCCCAAUACUUCCUGACAUUAGCCAGCGAUCAUCUCUCAAGUUGAUUGAUUUACCAUCCUCGACCUCCCAUUUCAGAUCAGAUUGUAGGGCAUCGCGGCCUAUUAAAAGACUCUGCCAACCCCAAGAUGGUCUGGCACCUUUUGUAGCAGUCCAUAGAUUACCGUUAGGGAAGUAGAGGCCUUUAAAUAUUCUGCUCCACAAGGCCUCAGGGGCUUUCUCUAAUCUCCAGGCUUGUUUUCCCAACAUAGCUCUAUUUAACUCCACUAAAUCUUUAAACCCCAUUUCUCCUUGUUCCUUCCUCUUCUUCAGAACUUCCCAACUCUUCCAGUGAAUACCUUUUUGUUGUGCAUUCUGUUUCCACCAGAAGGCUGAGAUUUUUCUUUCGAUCGCUCGACAAAUAGAUAAAGGUAUUUUGAAGAUAUUCAUGGCAUAUUGAGGUAACGCCUGAACAACCAUUUUAAUUAGCACAUCUUUCCCUGCCUUCGAUAUUAAUUGCUCUUUCCAUCCCUCCAGUUUUCUGUCCACCCGUGCUAUGAUCCAAUCUAACAUCUGUUUUUUUGUUUGGCCCCAAUCGGAUGUAUCCCUAAAUAUUUCCCAGUUUUUUCUAGGAUAGGAACCCUCAGUUCAGCUGCAAUAUUUUGUUUUAAAUCCUGUGGACAGCUGGCCCCCAGAAAAACUCCAGAUUUGUUAAGGUUGAUCGACUGACCAGAUGCAAAGCAAUAACAAUUUAGAAUAUUGGCAAGAUUCUGAGCUUCCCUAAGAGUACCAUCUAAGAAGAAAAUGGCAUCAUCAACAAAGAAUAGGUGGGAUAAGAUAGGGCAGUGUGGAUUUAAUUUGAUACCCUUUAAGGUUCCAUCCAUGAUAGCAUUAGUCACCAUAUAGGAGAGAACAUUCGCCAAAAUAAUGAAUAGAUAAGGUGAGAGAGGAUCCCCUUAUCGAAUACCUCGAGAUGGAGUGAAAGAUUCCCCUGGUUGGCCGUUAAUUAACACACGAAAGUGGGCUGAGGAGAUACAAAAUUUGACCAUAUUCACCCAUUUCUCAUUGAAACCCAUCUUCUUCAUACAAUCGCAUAAAAAGUCCCACUCAACUCUAUCAUAAGCCUUCUGCAUGUCUAGCUUCAGCACGGCUUGGAAUUUUCGUCGUCCCUUUCUAACCCGUAGUUGAUGUAGGACUUCUUGAACAAUAAAGAUAUUGUCUUGUAUUUGCCGGCCCCCUACGAAUGCGCUUUGUUCCUGGGAUAUAAUGGAUGGGAGCCAAGGUUUGAGUUUGUUUGCCAUAACCUUUGUAAUGACUUUGUAACUAAAAUUACACAAACUUAUGGGUCUGAAUUCUGUUAUACUCUCAGGAUUUGCCACCUUGGGGAUAAGUGUGAUAAAGGUCUCGUUAAGGGCUGGAUCAAAUCUGCCUUCUUUGAAAAAGGAAUCCACUAGAUUAAAUAUGUCUUCUUGAAUAGUAGCCCACUGACUUUGAUAGAAUAGACCACUUAGGCCGUCUGGUCCAGGGGCUUUUGCUGCCCCCAUUUGGAAAACCGCUUGCUCCACCUCCUCCAUAGUAAUGCGUGAUGUUAACAGCUCAUUCAUUUCCUCAGAAACAACAGAUGGACAAUGCUAUAGAAUUGGCUGAUAAUACCGAGAACCCACGGAUCUAUACAGCUCUUUGUAAUAAGCUGUUAUGUGUUGUUUAAUGACACAAGGCUCUCGACUCCACCUAUUCUCUUCAAUCUUCAGCAUCUUGAUUUUAUUUCUUUGUCUCCGUUGAAUUGUUGUAGCAUGGAAAAAUUUGGAGUUUCGAUCGCCCCACUUUAACCAGUUGAUUUUGGAUCUAAUACCCCAAUACAUUUCUUCUUGGCGCCACAAUGAGCUGAUUGUCUCAGUAAUCUUAUUGUAUUCCUCUGCCCUGUCUGUCUGAUUUGUCCUGUUAGUGAUUUGAAUGAGCUGAUUGCUAAGCUGGUCUAUUUGUUUAGAAGCAUUUUUAAAGGAUUCCCUGCUCCAUUUUCUCAAAUCCUCGGUUACCGUUUUUAUUUUUUGGACCAUAUCUCCUUGUUGCCAAUUCUCUGACUUCCAGGCCUUGUCUACUACAUUUGCACAUUCUGGAUGAUCUAACCAGAAGGCCUCGAACCUGAAUAGUCAUUGUCUUUUCUGUUCACAUGCAUUUAAACAUAGUAAUAGGAGACUAUGAUCAGAUCCUAUUGCUGGAAAUGCAAAGGCUUCGGCACUGGGAAAUAAAAGCCUCCAUUCUAGGUUGCAAAAGGCUCGAUCAAGCCGUUUUUUAACUAAAUCUUCCCCAUCUCUUUUGUUUGUCCACGUGAAUGCGCACCCAUUGCUUUCAAUAUCUAUCAAAGAACAUGAGUCAACAAAGUCCCGAAACGCCGUCAUUCGAAAUCUUUCUGUUAAUCUUCGGCCCAUCUUCUCCCAAUGAUAUAGCACCUCAUUGAAAUCACCAAUACAAAGCCAGGGUGCUAUUGUCGAUCCAUGUCUAGCGUAAAGUAGAUUCCAAAGGGAUACUCUCUCUUGGAAGUUAGUUGAUGCAUGUAGGAAAGAGAUCUGCAUUUUAGAACUAUUUCCAGCCACUCUACAUGAAAGGUCAAUGAACUCUUGGCAGCUGUGCUCAAUAGUAAGUUGUACCAAGUCAUCCCAUAGUAAUACCAAGCCCCCCACUGUUCCAAUAGGAUUAACAGCAAACAUAGAAGAAAAUUUUAGACUUCUUUUGAUGUUUUCCACCAUCUGGUACUGAUUUUUGGUCUCCAUAAGAAAAACCAGGUUAGGUCUCUCGCGAGCCACUAAGGUUCGUAGGUGCUGGACUGUCAAGGGAAAGCCUAAAUCUUGACAGUUCCAGCUUAGCACCUUCAUGGCUUUCUUGGUGGCUUAUUAGGGCUAGCCACCAAAGCCCCUGCUGCUUCGCCUUCCCAUAGUUGAAUUGGUGUUUCCAGAAAUUUGUCCAUGUCCACAAAGGUCGUCAUACUGCCAUUUCUCUCAUACGGGGUGAAUCGUUUUAUCUUUUUGGAUGCUUGUUUUUUUUUUACCAUAUUUGGCUGCUCCUUGAAUACCCAUCUCUGCACCAUGCAUUAGAUUCUCCAUUGGUUGUUCCAUGUACUGCUAGAUGCGUUUACCUUUUUUCUGUGCUACAAGUUCUGUUGAGAGUGAUAAUUCUGGUGUUGGUUGUAUUGUAGGAUGAUAAAGAACUAUGGCUUGGCUGCCAUCUGUUAAUGGUUUGCUGUUCGGAUCAUCAGUGGAAGAAAUAACCGGUGUCUCAGGGAUCAUUUCCUCUUCAGAUAAGGUGAGAUCUAUCUCUCCAUAAAAGGUAUUCUAGCAAGGGCUGAAUGUUUUCACCUCUGCUUUCAACCAGGAUCCAUAACGUCCCGGUUUAUCUUGAGGAAGUCCAGAUUCUUCAUAGGGAAAUGUUGGGCAAUAGUUUGCAUAAUGGCCUAUGUAACCACAGGAGUAACAAUAGUGUGGUAGUCUCUCAUAUUUAAAGUCGAUCCACCAAUUUCUAUCUCCCACAUGAAUUAUUGUUCCAGUUUUAAGGGGAUGAAAUAGAUUCAGCCUUACUCUUGCUUUGUCAAUUCUUCGAGAACUAUUAUUCCGAGCAUCAAUUCUGCCUUCCUCUACUUUUCCCAUUUUUCCAGCAAUCAUGCGAAUACAGUCCUCCGACAUAGCAGCUCUUGGAAGCCCCAUCAGAUGCACCCAAAAGGAGCAAUGUUUGAACUCAUAGCAGUGCUCGGGAAUGGUAGGGUCCCCUUCCUGUAGAACUAACAGAUUGCUUGAAAAGGACCAAGGGCCUGUCUGCAAAAUUCUUUUCUGUUCUUCCUCUGAGUUGAAGAUGAAUACAAAGAAACCUGAUUCAAUCACCUCACACCUGACCUCUUCUACCUUCCAAGCCCUCUUCAUUGUAUCCCAGAAUGCUGGGAAGUUGACAUUAGGUUUCGAGAACAAUUUUCCAUAUAAUAGAUACUCACCAGUCUGUUUGUGUACCUCAAGGAUGCAGCCAUUCAGUUCCGUGAUAUCAUUUGCUGCCCAUAAAUCUCCCAUCCGUUUACAAAGAGCCAACAUUCGAAGAUGGUUUUCCUGGUUGCCCUCCAUGGCUGAAUGGAGUUGGACCCCAAAGUUCAAAAGAUGCAGUGCGGGGAAUAUUGGUUGGGCGAGAAAGUUAGGGUUAGGGUUGGGUGCUGAGAAUGGUUUGGAAAUGAAGGGAGCUCUGCAGGUUAUGGAUUACACUAGAAAGCUGGAUAAGACAAGUUAGGGUUUCAAAGCUGAUUUGCGGAUUGUGGGUUCAAGAGAGGGAAGAAGGAGGAGCUAAUCGGGUGGAGAGGCUAUAUCCACAGCCAUUUCUCACGAGGGUAGUUGAAGGCGUAAUCACCAGAAGGGGAGAAAAGGGAGCUCACCUUUAGCGAGAGGGGAAGCUGCCGUCGGGCAGAGAGGAGCUCACCUUCAGCGAGAGGGGAACGCUGGACUAUGAAUUAAUGAAAAAUUGACAUGAGACAUGAAGAUAAAUGAAAAUCGGCGUGUAAUAAUGUGAAGAUAUAAAGAUGUGUUAUAAAUGAAAAUUUUCUUUUGGGUACAUUGCACAAUAAUGCAAAGAUGUGUUAACAAUAACAACUAUAGAUGUGUAAUUCCUCACACCAAUAUCAAACAAAUUAUGUUAAUUCUAAAUUUUACUUUUAGGGAAAAGUGCCAAAAAAGUCAUAAACUUUUUGUCUUUGUGCCGAUUUAGUCCUAAACAUUUUUUUUUGGUGUCAAUUUAGUCUUAAACCUUUUUACGUUACAUUGUGUCAAUUCAAUCAUCUUCAGCUAAUUUUGGCCGGAUUUUGCUGACUGGACGCCGGCUGGCUGACGUGGCUUGAUCGGUGCUAAUGUGGACAACUUUUAAUAAUAUUUUAAUUUAUUUUUCUUUUUUCUUUUUCUUUAUUUUUCUCCUCUUCUUCCUCCAGCCGGUCGCCGGACCUAGGCGAUUGACCAGAGGCAACAGCCGGCGAGGUCGACCUCGACCUCGCCGGCCACCUCACUAGUAGCCGUGAGGGCGGCCUCGUGCGAGGCGGCAAGGCUCGCCCGCCUCGCGCAAGGCUGCCCUUGAGGCCUGGGCGGCGAGGCUCACCCUCGCCGGAUCUGGUGACAAGUUGGGGUACAAGUCGGACUCCGUCAACGAGCUCGUCUCCAGGGAGUCGUUCUUCUCUCCGAAGAAGGUGGGGUACCUCGCCGCGAGGUUGGAAUCCACGGCGAAAGCAAAGCUGCCCCCGUCGCCGCCGAGGCAAGUGGAGGAGCUCGAUGGCUCGGGUUGAGGCGAGCCCGAGGAGCGUCGUGAAGGAAUUGGCGCUCUCCGGGGGCGAAGCCAUCAGGUGCUAAAGAUCCUCGGGGAGCACUGACUCUAGCGCGGCGUCAGUGGAUCCGGCUAAGGUUAGAGAUGUCGUCUCCAUCGGGAAUCGGCUUCGAGAGCUGAUCAAAUCGAGCUGGCCUCCUCGCACCGAGCUGGCAGGGCUCGCCCUCGCCAAAUCCGGGGAGGGCGGCCUUGCGCUAGGCGGGCGAGGCUCGCCCUCAUUGGAUCUAGCGAGGUCGAGCCUCGCCGGCCAUGGGCGAGGCUCGCCCUUGCCGGAUCUGGUGAGGGCGAGCCUCCGGUGAGGUCGACCUCACCGGCCGUCGCCUUUGGUGGAGGAAGAAGAGGAGAAGGAAAAAAAUAUUAAAAUAUUAUUAAAAGUUGUAUACGUCAGCGCCGAUCAGGCUACGUCAGCUGGCCGGCGUCCAGUCAGCAAAAUCCGGCCAAAAUUGGCCGGAAAUGACUGAAUUGGCACAAUGUUAAAAGGUUUAGAACUAAAUCGACACAAAAACAAAAGGUUUAGGACUUUUUUGGCACUUCCCCCCCCCCCCUUUUCUUUUUGUUUCUCACUGGAUUUAUCCUAAUACCAUUUGGGAAGCUACCUGGAAGUGGACCACUUUUUUUGUUUUCGUUUUUAUUCUUUAAUCGCAUCAUACUUUAUGAUGUUUUUAACUAUCUGUUAUUUGAAUCUGUAUGAGGAUGCCCGUCUUUGCUUCAGCGAAUUUUACACUAGACUAUGCCAACAAUUGCCCAAUACCAAUAUUUCCAUCACUGAUCCCUACCAGCGGUUCUAUGAAAAUUAGCGACAGCACCAGUCUCAGUGCAAUCGAUCCAGGUGGAGUAUGAUGGGUGGGCAGGCUUUGGCUUUUUCGGUGCUGGAUGCACUCCGGAUGGAUUGGCCUCUCGCAAUUGCACCACCGGUAAUUGCGAAGGAAGAGACUGUACUGCAGAGGACAGUCCGGUUGCAACAAUUUACAUCAUUUCCAGUGAAGGUUACAUCCCUAUAUCCACAGAAUGGGGGUAUAAUCUCGAACUUGAGAUUAUGAAAAUGUGUGAUGGCUGCGGCCCGUCUGCAAGCUGCAAAGCCCAGUCGGAGAGCAGCCCAAAUUAUCUGAGGGUAUGAAACAGCUCAAGAGCUGUGGUUGGAUGCAAGCCAGGCGGGAGGCUACAUUUCUCUGAGAGUCAAUGCACUAUCCCCGGUGAUUACAGUAUUUCCACGGUGAGAAUCAGUUGUCCUUUGAAGAAUGGCAUUAUAAAGAUUAGGGUAUCGUGUCAACAUUAAACACAAGAACAUAGAUUGAAUGAGGAUUAUGCAGCAUGAUUACACUUUAAACAAAGGUUUCUGGAAAUGUUACUUAACACAGUCGAUGCCACGGCUCCUUGUUACUUGUUAUCCUGGAUUCUACUCCAUGCUUUUUAAAUCGAACUUCUUGGCAAAUCAUCCAGGUUCCGAGAGAAUUGAAACAUCUGUGCGACUGCAUAAAAUGUUUUUAACAGUACAGAACUAAGGGAGAACAUUAACGAUUGUCCCACCACGGUACAAUGCAGUUAUAGAAUCAGUCAUUAGGGACGCAGCCCAGUGAGCAAUAGUUUUGACUGUUGGAAUUAAGAUCCACUCGAUUUAGAGACUCUAUCGUUUGGGGAUAGUGCAAAAUCACUCAGAAAGUCGGCUACCUACCUUUUUUGUUCCAAGGUAUUUGGCCAAAUUUGAAAAAUCUAUAUUCUAAAGACACCCGUGAUAAUUUUGUAUAAGCGGAUUGAGUUGAGCAAUUAAAAAGAUCUCAUCAUUAAUCCUGCAUAUUAUCACGAGAGUAACAUCAUGAACUACUCAAGAUGCAUGCUUCGAUAAAAAUUUCGUUACACAAAAUUAAACAAUUACUAACUUUUUGAAAAAAAAUUAUUUAAAAAGUCCUAAAUUUUUUAUAUUUUUGCUAGUUCAGUCAUAAAUCUUUUUACCUUUUGCUAGUUAAGUCAAUUUGGCCAAAAUUGGCCUAAAAUUGUUGACGUUGAUGGCAAGUGCAGAUUAAGACAUUUUUCAAUAACUUUUUUGAAUUUUUAUGAUUUUUUUUCUUUCUUUUUUUCCUUUUCUUUGUUUCUUUUGGGUUUUGGAGAGAGGUCUGGCGACCCUCCCAGCCAAAAGCACGGUCUGGCCGACCCUCGUUGGCUUUCUCACCAAAAACUUAAAAAAAAAAAAAAAAAACAAAACAAAGACAAAGGAAAAAUAAUAAAAAAAUAAUAAUUUUAUUAAAAAAUAUUCAUGUCGGCGCCGGUUGUGCCACAUAGAAUAGUUACAUCCAUGUCAGCGAAUUAGAAAAACUCAAUUGGCAAAAAAUGAAAAAGUUAAAGAUUUAAUUAACAAAAUUGAAAAAUUUAUAAUUGAAUUGACAAAAGUACAAUAAAUUUUGAACUUAUUAGACAAUUAUCCCCCAAUCUUUUUGAAAGAUAGAAAUACUAGGUCUACAGUCACAAGAAUCAACUUUAUGCAUACAAAACACGUGAAAAAGGAGGCGAUGCAGAUGUCUAAACACUAACAAUUAUUUUUUUGUUUUUUGUUAGAGCCUGAAUUUCAUUUGAGAAAUAUCAAGCAUAAAACUAAAUCAGUUGCGCUUACCUAAUGGGCUUCGUGCGGAAGUCAUCUUUGUGUAAUAGGAUCAGGUCCUUUUUAGCCACCUACCUGUAUGUAUAUCAAAAGAAGUCAUUUGUUGUAAGAGAACAACAAAAUUUGAUUUGAGAGACGAGGACGAGGCAAAGUAAAAACUAUUUAGAAUGUCCAAUCCAAAAAGCAAAGAAUUUGACUAAUGGAGUGGACGCAUAUCACGAGCCGACAGAUUUUUGGCAGAGCGCAGUCUCGCGUUGCCAGAGCGCAGUCUCAUGUUGCCGCUUCUGUUCAUCAGAGUCACGUUGGUCGUGCCGGAAACUGCUGCUGCUUGCCCUUCCUCCUCCAACGGUGUUCUUCCAUCCCUAUCGAACUUCCGUUUGAUGUGCUGCUUUCCACGCGAUCUCGCAACCAAGAUUCCAUAUGAGUGUCCCACUGGCCAUUAUCGACCUUGCCAACAGGAAGAAGGCCUCUCAUGUGCUGGUGAAGACAAUGAGGACGAGAAAGAGAGAGGGUUUUUUUUUGCAUAGUGUCUAGAAUCAGGAGUACUCAUUAGACAUGCCGGUUCUAGAUACCAGGUGAAACACAUAUCUAACUAGCACGAAGAAAGCUUCAGAUAGGGGCUUCCAACGGUAAUCUGAUAACCUGACGCCCAGCUUGGAUGCGUUCCUUAUCUUAACAUGCCGAUGCUUGAUGCCCUGUCCCCAAAUUUUACAUCUCAAAGUUUAGACAAAGUAGUUUUAGGACAUACUCAGGUCCAAGAGGCCUCUCAUGUGCUGGUGAUGAGAAGUUUGAACAGGAGGGUGAAGAUAUUGAGGACGAGAACGAGGGAGGGCUUUGCUCCCUUUUGACAUUCUCAGCUUCUUCAAACUCCACAAAACCUUCUCUAAGAUCCAUGUCCUCCUCUCUUUUUCCACCAAUAUUCAAAUAGAUCUUCAGAUUUUGGAUAUGAGGCAAACCAAACCAUAACCCAAUUCAAGAAAGUGGACGAGGGUGAGCUUUGCCAGAGGGAGGCGAGAUUGGCCCUUGUCUAUGGCUGGUUGUUGGUCAUCGCGGAGGCCCAGUGAUUGAUGGAAUAAGAAGAAAAGAAAAGAAAAUCAAAAAAUAAAAAAAAAUUGCAAAAAUUGUUUUCAUCAAAGUCAAUGAUGCCACGUGACAUGGCUGGCAUCCAUAUUGGCAAUUUCCAGCCAAAAUUAACUAGAUAAACUCAAUUGACAAGUUCUCAAAAGGUUUAAAAUUAAAUUGGUAAAAAAAAAUCAUGAUUGAAUUAGCAUAAUUGUAAUAGGUUUAUAACUUUUUUGGUAACUAUCCCCUCCUUUGUUUGACUAAGUGAUCGAUUUUAGAAUGAAUUUACAAGGAAAGGGGGACUUUUAGCAAGAGAAGAAAACUGAUUUCCACUUCUUCAUCUUCAUUUGUCACAAUUCAGAAGGUAAAUUUGCCCAAAAUUAAAGGAAUUAGGGUUUUCUGCAAUUUGGGAAUACGCCUUGAGUUUAAAAGGGGAAGUUCAAAGAGGAAAAGAGAAGCGCUCCAGGCCGAGUGCUUCCAGUGAGGAAGCAUGGUAUUUAACACGAAGAAGGUUUUCGUGGCUCAUAUUAGGGUGCGAUGGGCGCACAUCAACAAACUUUGGGGGCUUCCAUGGCUGCUCUUCUGCUUAGCUCGAGCGUCAUGUUCCUUGGUUGCUUUGCAUGUUAGGGUUUUUUUAAUCAAUAAAGCCACAGCGACGUCGUUUAUUAUGUGUAUGCCAAUUAUAUUUUUCUAUUGAGUCACGUUUGCCCAUUUAUAAUAAAUUAAUACCAUGUCAGAUUUUCUCACGAUAUAAAUUGUUGAUGGUACUUAAGUGAAUAAUUUUUAAUAAAUAUGGCAUUUCAGGUGAACAAUUUUUAAUAAUACUUCCGCUAUUUUUAUGCUUUUUCUGAUCGAAGGUCUAAUUUACUUUAAAAGCCACUUAACGUUAGCCCAAAAGGAAAACAUUAAACAAAAACUCCGAUAGGUCAAGUCGUUGCCCCAAGUCGUCCGUAAUUUUCUCCUUGUCUAAGCAACACUUCGUUCUCUUCCGAGUACAUAAACAAAAUCACGUGCCCGCAAGAUUUCAUGCGUGAGUAACAUUACUUCUUAGAAAGGCGGAACUCUGUAUGACUAGUCAUCCAAGAUUUCUUCGAAAUAAUGUUGGGUCCGUGAAUGGCCCCACCAUCUGGGACCAGAUAAUAAUUUUUCCGACAACUAAUCUCGCGGAGAAAUUGUCACGCCUGAUAGUUAUGACUUUUUGAAACGUUAUGGACGGCGGACGAUUGAAAACUGAGGUCCCAUCGAAACGCUAUUUACAAUUCAUCGAACUUGCCUCGUCUUCCGAAUCCUAUGGACUAAGGAGAGUACCGAUGAACUCGUUGCGCGGAGUUCUGUCGAAAUUCAUAUGAUUUAAUUUGCAGCAGUCAUGUCUUCCAUCACCCGGGUCCUUCAGGCUUCAAUUCAUCGAGGCCAGGCCCAAGCUCCCGAUGCCCUAAUCUAGGUUCAUAGAAGUCGAGCUUAGGACCUUGGUGCCAGUGUCCAGAUCUUGGCACUUGAGACACAGGUCCUUGCUCCCAUGCCCAAGCAUGAAAUAUCUUAUUUAAGAGUCAAUGUUUACUUAUACUUUAGAAAUUUAUUUAUGUUUUUUAGAUUAUUUUUCUAAAUUUAAGUUUAAGUUUUUUAUUGAUUCAUUUUCUUAAGUGAUUCAAAUACUGAAAAAUGAGGAAGGCAUUUUCUCUUGAAUAUAUUUGUGUGUCAAACAAAAUGAGCUAUAUCUAAUCUACAACUCAAUCAAGGAUGUUGAUCCACAUCACCUUCACUCAGGGCGAAGAUUGGGUAAAAAGUCACUAUCAGCAGUGAGCGCCCGUCAAUUUCUUCCAUAGCUAGUCGGCCAACAGAAGUUUCUCUUAUUGCCAACCAAGUCUUCGUCAAUCUUUACCCCAAGUCAAAAUUAAUUUCCUAGAGUGUGCCCAGUUUUGGCCCUCUAAAGUCAAGUCAUGGUGUGUAUUCAAACUUUUCCGGACCACUUUGCCCGACUCGGUCCCUUGCAUUCGAAGAAGUCGUCCAAGUCUCCGCUAUUUGGUUUUAGCAAAUGGAAUGAUUUUCGUCUUAUUUGAUUUAAUUUUGCAAUUCUGGCCGGGGGCUGGGGCGGGCCGGGGCGGGGGGAGGGGAGAGAGAGAGAGAGAGAGAUGGUAAGGUCAGGUGUUCUUAAGGAAUAAGACCUCCAAGCAUACUAUUGUCAACAAAAUGAGGCGAGGAAGUCAUGAACCUGCGUAUAUUAAGCAUAAUUGCAAUCAAAUGUGCAGCCAGUAAAGUCAGAGAUGAUAGGUAUACCUGUUCCAAACAUCAACCACUCAUCAGCUUGGUACAUCUCAUGUUACUGAUAAAAUACAUUGUUUGAAUGAGACUAGUGCGCACGUAUAUUACUCCGAGAUAUUGACGGCAGUCUUCAGUACAUUAACUAGUCUUAAUUGCAACCAAUGUUUGGCGAAGUGCCUUCCUUGUGAUCCACAUGGAGGCGUAUCCUCAAAGGAUCCUUUUUGAAAAUGAAGAGAAAGAAGAUGCCAUCAAACAUUCCUAUCUUCAGGAUCAACACGAAUUCUAAGCUUUUGACGCAUGGAACAUGACGUAGUUCAUUCUUACGCUAUACGCGCAAAGAAAAGACGAACUCUGAAAGGGAAGCUAUAGCUAUACCAGGGUCCAGGACUGCAUUUACCCGAUCAGUUCUAGACGCAGAUAGAGUAUCAUGUUCCUGCAUAUUUCAUUAUUGGAACAAUUAUGUGUCUAGAAUAGGGAAAAGUUUAUGGAGAGACUUGGCAAGAAAGACUUGGCAAGUCUCCACCGAACAUGGUUAUAAAUUUCCACAGGAGUUCCUCAUAAUAUCAUUACUAACUCCAUAUCAUUCGCAUAUACACCUAGGCUAACUCCGAAAGGUGAUCCUGCAACCGAAGGGUAAGGCUUUUGCAUCCCUAGAUUAAAAAUGCAACGCUUGUCAAGAUCUCUUCAAACUGCCCUGUUUCUGUUCUCAUUCCUCAUCGAAGGACAAGCAAUGCGCACCAUGUCGUCCCCCUCUCCCUCUUCUCUCUCUCUAGAAAGAGCUCCAUGUCGCCCUGAUCAAAAGUCGGACUUGCUUCACUUCCUGCGUGCUUUAAUAUCAGAUAAUUCCACGUCAAUUUUCUGCCAACUGGAUAUUGGUUGGCUCAGGAGACCAAAGAUGCUCUCCUGGAAUGUUGCAUCGGAUUGUUGCUCGUGGGAUGGAGUCAUAUGCGAUCCAAUGACAGGUCAUGUGACUCGCCUUGAACUCGGCUGUUCACCUCCGAACCCGACCUGCUACUCUUCCACAGGGUCUUCAAACAGCAGCGAACCAUCUACCCUUGGUUUACUCAAUCUUCCAUCACCCCAGGAAGCUGAAAGACCAUCGAGGUCAAAUAAGCUGCUUCAAAACCUAACCAAGUUGAGAGUCCUUGCUCUCGACGGGUUAAACCUGUCUGGCAUUGAUGUGACUCGCUUAAUGAAUCUCUCUCCAUCUCUGGAAGUCCUCAGCCUCAGUUACUGUAAAUUGCGGGGCACAUUAGCAGCAAACAUUUUCCUUUUGCCAAAGCUGACAUGUCUCAAUUUAUCAGGCAACAAGGAGCUUUCGGGUUACUUACCUGAAGCAACUUGGAACAGCUCUUUGAAGGUUUUGGACUUGUCCUCCUCAGGCUUCUCUGGAGUAUUACCAGAGUCCAUCGGCGACCUGCAUUCUCUGCAGAUACUUUGGCUGAACCGGUGCAGCUUCACAGGCUCUAUUCCAUCAUCACUUGGUAACCUAACACGUCUCACCCAUCUGGAACUUUCGUAUAAUGAGUUUAGUGGGCAGGUUCCUCCAACUUUGUCAAAUCUUGAUCAGCUCACUUUGCUCGAUCUUUCCUCGAACAAUUUCAUAGGUCCAAUACCCGAUGUCUUUGACAAUAAGACACAACUUCUUCUUCUAGAUUUCUCUCAUAAUCUCUUCACGGGUCCUAUUCCUCCAAGCACAAAGAAUCUUUCCAAUCUUGCCCGACUUGAUAUUUCCAACAAUCUCAUUGGCGGGUUUAUACCAUCAUCAUUGUUCUCUCUUCCAUCCUUAACGAGCCUAGACCUCAGUAACAAUGGGCUCAGUGGUCACAUCGGUGAGUUCUUUGCUGCAUCCGCAUUAGAACAUGUUGACCUGAGUGGUAAUCAGUUGUGUGGCUCAGUCCCGAGCUCAAUUUUUCAGCUUAGGAACCUCACUUAUCUGAGCAUCUCAGCAAAUAACCCAACCGGUGUCUUAGACCUACAAUUGCUCUCAAGACUCGAAAGUGUAACAAAUCUUGAUCUUUCAGACAACAUUUUAUCACUGAGCAAUAGCGAAAACACUGAGCAUGUCCUGCCAAGCCUCUGGUCCGUCAGUCUUUCUGGGUGCCAAAUUACAGAAAUCCCUGCAUUCUUGAGAAAUUCAACCAGCAUAGAAUGGAUAGAUCUGUCUAGAAACAGAAUCCACGGCGAUAUUCCAUCAUGGGUGUGGGAUAUUGGGGCCAUGUCAUUGUCUUAUCUCAAUCUCUCCCACAACUUUCUCACUAGCUUUGAACAAGUUCCUUGGAAAAAUCUUAUAAUUCUCGACUUGCAUUUGAAUUUGAUCCAAGGGCCAGUUCCACCUCCAUCACACCCACAUUCAAUUAUUGUCUUCUCGCUAGCUAGCAAUCGAUUGACUGGCUUUAUCCCUGGUUCUAUCUGUGAAAUGAAGUGCCUACAAGUUCUUGACCUCUCUCAUAACAAUUUCACAGGCAUGAUUCCACAAUGUCUAAAGAACGUAAGUAACAGCCUCUUAGUGUUGGAUAUGCAAGAGAAUGGACUUUCUGGCACAAUUUCCCUAACGUUCACUAAAGAUGCAGCCCUGAGAAGUCUUCAUCUUAAUGGAAAUCAAUUUGAAGGCCCGUUGCCACGCUCUCUAAUCAAUUGCAAGCAACUUGAAAUGCUGGAUCUCGGGGGCAAUAAGUUGAAUGACACUUUCCCCGAUUGGUUGGAGACACUUCCCAGCUUGCAAGUCUUGGUCUUGCGAUCAAACAGACUUUGUGGCCCUAUAAGCCGCCCCGGAACUGAAUUUUCCUUUUCAAGGUUGCGCAUUCUCGACCUUUCCUUCAAUGAUUUCACUGGUCCUUUGCCUAGUGCCUUCUUUGCAAACCUGAAAGCAAUGAUAUCAAAUGAUCAGAAUGGAUCAGAGCAGCGAUACAUUGACCAAGGUUACUAUCAAAAUUCCAUGGUUGCAACGAUGAGAGGAUGGGACAUGCCGAUUGCUAGAAUCCUAGUGAUCUUGACGACCAUUGAUCUAUCAAGCAACAAGUUCGGGGGAAAAAUUCCUGAUGUGAUAGGAGAGUUAAGAUUACUCAAGGGGCUUAACCUCUCUCACAACAGUCUUGAAGGCCAGAUCCCUUUGCCUCUCGGGAACCUUUCCAAGCUUGAAUGGUUGGAUCUCUCUUCAAAUGAACUUAGCGGGAUGAUACCAAUCAAGUUGACAAAUCUCACGUCUCUAGAGGUCCUAAAUGUCUCUUCCAAUCAACUAACAGGAUCGAUUCCGCAAGGACACCAAUUCAACACGUUUCAAGCCGAAUCCUAUCAUGGAAACCCAGGAUUGUGCGGGUUUCCACUGUCCAAAGCUUGUACUAAUUACAAGGCUCCGCGGAAACUCCCCGUGCAUCCUGAAGGCAGGGUCCAUUCAUUCCGUGUGGAUUUUCUUGAGCCAAGGAUUGUGGAAAUAGGAUUAGGAUGCGGCAUCUUGCUCGGACUAAUCAUGAGUAUUUUGAAAAUCCUUAUUUCUGUCUGGCAGGCAAACAGGAAUUUCAGAAAGAUUGCAACACUGAACACAAUUUCAAAGAACGUAACCGUUCAGGUACACAAUUCUAGAUUGUGAUUAUUUGAAUAUCUAGUGUCUGAUCUCUUCUUAAUAGGAUGCAAAAAAAAUUUAGGUGCCGAUGUUCCCCAUUGAAGAAAAAAAUCUUUGUAGUUGCUAUUCUUUCUGUUCAUAAUGCCUGUAACCCUCUCAAAAUAUUUCAGAUGCCAUUUGGAGAAGGCAAGCCUUUGCCAGUGAAAUCCCUGGCGGUGUUAUACCUACUCGGUGAGACUCCGAUUGGACCGCUUCUUCUGUUGUCAUUUUUAUUCUUUAAUCGCUUUAUGAUGUUUUUAAUCAUCUGUUUUUUAAAUUGGUCAGGACGGAUGCCCGUUUUUGCUUCUGCGAGUUUCACGCUAGUCUAUUACAACAACUGCCCAAUACCAAUAUUUCCAUCACUGAUCCCUACCGGCAGUUCUAUGAAAAUUGAAAAUAUUACCAGUGCAAUAAAUCAAAGUAAAGUACAGAAUUAUACUCUGCCAGAUGGUUGGGCAGGCUUCGGCUUCUUCAGAAUCGGAUGCACUUUGGACGGAUUGGCUGCUCGCAAUUGUACUGCAGAGGACAGUCCGGUUGCAACAACAUACAUCAUUUACGAUGAUGGCAGCAUCACCAUGUCCGCAGAAAGGGGUUACAAUCUCGCACUUGAGAUUAUGCCAAUGUGUGUUGGUUGCACGUCUGCACGCUGCAAAGCCCAGUUGGAGAGUUGCCCAACUGAUCUCAGACUAUUAGACAGCGCAGGAACUCUGGUUGGAUGCAAGCCAGGUAGGGGGCUAUAUUUCUCCGAGAAUCAAUGCGCCAUCCCUGGUGAUUACAGCGUUUCCACGGCAAGAAUCACUUGUCCCCUGAAGAAUUGCAUUACAAAGAUUACGGUUUCAUGUCAACACUAAACAUACAAACUAGGUUGGAUGAGGAUUAUGUGUAGCAUCAUUGAACUUCAAAUAAAGUCGACUACUUACCUUUUUUUUAUUCCAAGGUAUUUGGCCAAAUUGGAAAAACCUGUUUUCCAACGUCACCCAUGAUAAUUUUGAAUAAGUGAAUUGAGUGGAGCAAUUGAAAGGAUCUCAUCAUUAAUCCUGCAUAUUAUUGCGAGAAUAACAUCAUGAAUUACUCAAGAUGCAUUGUUCAAUAAAUUUUUUUUACACAGAAUGAAAUGAUUACUAACCUUUUUGAAAGAUUGAAAUACCCGGUUUGCAGUUAUAAGAAUCAACUCAAUGCAUACAAACCACGUAAAAAGGGAGGUGAUGCAGAUGUCUAAACACUUGACAAUUAUUGUUUUGUUUUCCGUUAGAGCCCGAAUUUCAUUUGAGAUGCGUCUUCUUAUCAAGCAUAAAACAAAAUUAGUUGCGGUUAUCUGAUGGGCUCCGUGCAGAAGUCAUUUUUGUAAUAUAGGAUUGGGUCCUUUUUAGGGGUGCAUGAUAACCAAAAUUUCUAUUCCAGAAAUAAUUUUUCUGUUCCAGAUCUGAUUUUGGAAGAGAAAUCCGUUUGAUAAACCUAUUCCGUUUUUCUAUUUCUGGAAUAGAUUUCUAUUCCAGAAAUAGGUUUGGAAGAGAAAUCAGAAGUAGAAAAAAUCUACUUCUCUAUUUCUGAAACAGAAAUUAGAAAUAAUUUCUCCCACAAACUCUAAUUUCGGUAACUCCCAUAUCCUCUAUGACGUCUUGCCUCCUCCUCCUCCUCCGCUGGUCGCCGCCCGCCGCCACCCACCACCGGCCCCUGCCACCGGCCGCCGGCCCCCGCCACCGGCCAUCGGCCGUUGCCGCCGCCGGUCGUCGCCACCGCCGGCCGCCGGUCGCUGCCACCGCCUGCCGCCGCCACCGGCCACCGACCGCCGCCGCCCGCAGCCGGCCGCCGGCAGCUGCCGAUCACUGGUUGCCACUGCCGCAACCGGUCACCGGUCGCCGCCGGUUGCAGUCGCCAGUCGCCGCCGCCGGUCGCCAGUCAUUGGUUGUCGGUUGCCCGCGCGGUCGUCGGCCGCCCGCCGCUGUUGGUUGUUGCCGCCGGCCAUCGGUCGCCGCCGCCGCCGCCGAUCGCCGCUGCCGGUGGCGGCGGCUGACCGAUCGCCGGCCGGCAACUUAGAAAGGAAGAAAUUUUAUAUCGUUAUCAAAUGAAUUUAUAUUUUUAGAGUAGAAAUUUGGUGACGCUAUCAAACGUUUAUUUUUGCUUAAAAACUCUUCUAAAAAUAGAAAUAGAAAAAUCUAUUUUUAGAACAUAAUAGUUGUCAUGCGCGCCCUUAGCCACCAACCUGUAUGAUGUCGAGACAAAAUUUCAUUUGAGAGACGAGGAUGAGGCCAAGUGAAACUGUUAGAAAGUCCAACUCAUGUCACGAACUGAUAGAUUUUUGGUUGCGGAGUGGCCUGUGCAGCAUCUUGUGAGACGAGAACACCAAGCCAACCUUUUCUCUAAAGAUUGUUUAUGGAAAAAUUGCAUUUUCACAUCGGAUCGUAUCACAUUCAAUUUAGCUUGGAUAUUCAAUUCCUCAAGCGAGACAUAUAGAACACUUUGGUACAACAACUGGUUUCGGCUUAUCAUAGCCUCGUCAGGAGAGUGAUAUCAACUCCCAACCAGUUUGAACCCAGGAGGUCAACCCAGUCUUCAAAGAUUUUCUAAAAUGAUAUUCAUCAUGGAUAUUGGGGGCUUGAGGACAAGCCCGAUGGUAGCUCUUGCCGGUGCACAUGCGGCCUGGCAACGACGUGGUGGACGUCGAGAGUUCAAAUAAGAAGCUGAGAUUGUCCAAGAUUGAGGGGGUAAAACAAGAGUACAAACAUACUAAUGAGGGCAAGAUUGGCAGGAAAAAAUUCAUUGAAGCUUGAAGUAGCAUUUGAUUUUCUAAAAACUCAAAAGUUGGGAGAGUUACCAAAAGGCUCAUGAGACUGUAUUACUAAGGCCCAAAGUUGCUUGAAAUGUAUCGCCCUAAACGCAGCUCAUUCAAUCAUUCAACCUCCACGAAUCUUCUCACCACUCGGCGGCUCGUGAUCCUCCAAAAGGUAGAAAUUCAUCAGGGCAAUCAAUUAAAUUUUCAAUGCCCUCCGACUAUUCGAUUUCUUUCUUUACUGUCAGGAAUUUUGGAUCGCGAGGCUUGCGUUGCUGGUGCUCGGUCUCGCGUUGCCGCUUUUGCUCAUCAGAGCCGAGCUUCUGGUGCCGGAAACUGCUGCUGCUUGCCCUUCCUCCUCCAACGGUAUUCUUCCAUCCCUAUCGAACUUCCGUUUGAUUUGCUGCUCUACACAUGACAUCGCGAGGGAAGAGAGACGUUAAAACGAAGAUCUGAAAGAGGCGAGAUUUGCCGGAGGAAGAGAGGCGUCACGAAAUGAGAAAGUAAGGGCCUGCAGCGUGCUGAUCCGGUUUAUCAAUUUAGUCAAGUUAAAAAAAAAAAAAACGUAAAGAACGUUCGAAACUGAAACAAAUCUGAUUGAUCGAUUGGAACCCAACGCACGUUGCCCUUUUCCAAUUGGCUUAGUGUUUGACGAAGACUUUGCGCCCGGUCGUUUCUAACUUUAGUACCGGUUCUUCGGGGAAAAAGAGAUGGAAACUGCAAGCGAACUUCCUUACGUUUUCGUGGCAACUCUUCCACACGUUGCAUCUGCUCUUUCACAUGUGGCUGGGGGACCCUUAAAGAUCCUUGUAUUGCUCUUCCAUGAAGUAGCCAUGAACAAGUAAUGCGACUUGUCUCAUAUUCUGCACACGAUGUGCUAAUCUACAUACUAGUAAAGUAGGCGAGCGGUGUGCUUUGAAACACAUUCAUUUUUAAGAGACCAGCGAAUGCUUUGCCAUCUUUCCAUCUUUUAGCUUAGCAUUUGGACAAAAGUCAUAAUAAGAUCCUUAGCGUUCGAUUCUUGUAAUGCCUGUAAAAACUAUAGGACGAACCCUUGCUGAGGCUAUCCAAUGAUAUUAAUUAUGUUUGCUUUCUUGUAAAGUUACAGAAAAUAAUAUAACCAAAAACCAAACAAAUCCUUGCAUUUCCUUCUCUAACCCCUUCCCCCUCCUCCCCCGACACCAGAUUCAGACGGACUGCGAUUGCUCACGAUGCUGCAAGUCACGCCUCUGCACCGCCGCUGCCAUCACACCCUAUUCUGCACUCCCCGUGUCUCUUGCUCCUGUGGUAAGGCACGAACUGUGGCCGGCGGCAAAGGCUUGGCUCAGCUACAAGAUCUCAAUAUUAUUAUCUCCUUAAUCUAUCAAAAACUGAAAAAAGAAAAAGCUUAAUAUCACGAAAAAUUUCAAAUUGAUACAUAUAUGAUCAAUUUCUUCCAAAUUAAUUUUUUGAUCACAAAAAAUCCUAAAACUUAUACACUUAUAGCAAACUUUUGUGAUAAAUUUAUCCUCAUUUAAUUUAUGUUAAAUUGGAUUUAAAACUCUAAACCGGUACAUCCAUCAAUUGUCAUGUGUCAUUUAAUAAUUUACUAAUAAAAUUUAACGAAAAUCAAGAGUAAAUUUAUUGCAAGUGUACAAGCUCAGGGAAAAUUAGUUUAUGGGAAAUUUAUUACAGAUGUAUCAGUUCAAAGUUUUCCAUAAUAAUUUCCCAAAAAAAAAAAGAGGAAGAAACAAUGCGAGAGAAGAGAGACAUUAAAAUGAAGAUUUAAAUGUGACAUUUGAGAGAUCAUAAGAGAUGCUAAAAAGGAAAUGGUUAAUACCCUGAAAAACUCUAAACUGGUAUAAUUGUGAUAAAUUUACCCCAAAUUAAUUUUUUGAUCACGAAAAAUUCCAAACUGAUAUACAUAUGAUAAAUUUUCCAUAAAUGACAAAAAAAAUCCUAAAUUUGUAUAUCUGUAACAAAUUUACCAUCAAACUUCAUUAAAUUAGAUUAAUAUUAUGAAAAAUCACAAAAUCAGUACAACUAUGACAAACGGAGAGUAAAAUCAUAAAUCGAUACAACAAUCAAUUGUUACGUGUCAUUCAACUUACUAACAAAGGGUAAAUUUAUUACAAAUAUACUAUUUUGAGGUAAAUUUGUAAUAGAUAUACUAAUUUGGGUAUUUGUUACUUAAAAAAAUUAAUUUUGGAUAAAUUUUUUAUAUAUGUAUUAAUUUGAGAUUUUUUAGAAUAUCAAUCUUAAAGUAAUUGACUUGUGGAGUGCUAACCUGGGUUGCAAGGUCAUGAAAUUUGUUGAUGGGAUUUGUAAAUGCAUGAAAAAUGAUUGGCGCAAUUAAAACGUCUUAAACGGCUUUUUCAGUCUAAUGUAUUUGGGUUAAUACCCUGAAAAAUCAUAAAUUGGUACACUUGUGACAAUUUUACCAAAAACUAUUUUUUUUACUAUGAAAAACUCCAAACUAGUACACAUGUGACAAAUUUAUCUCAACUGAUCAUAAAAAAUGCUAAGCUGGUACAUUUAUAACAAAUUUACCACAAACAAAUUUAUUCGACCGUAAAAAAAAAAACUAAACUAAACUAAAUUGGAUUAAUACCACAAAAAAAUCGCAAAAAUUGUAAACUGUGACAAACGGAGCGUAAAAUCCCAAAUUGGUAUACCAGUCAACUGUCACGUGUCAUUUAACUUAAUAAUUUGAUAGUAAAAUUUAACAAAAACCAAAAUAGGGUAAAUUUAUCAUAAGUGUACCAGUUUGGGGUAAAUUUAUUAAAAGUAUACUAGUUUUGAGUUUUUUGUGGUUAAAAAAAAUUAGUUUUGAAUAAAUUUAUCACAAGUAUACUAAUUUGAAAUUUUUCAAGGUAUUAUUAACUCAAUGUAUUUAGUACGAAAAGUUAGCUUGGAAGUUAGCCCAAAAAGAAAACAUCAAACAAAGACGUCAAUCGGUCAAGUCGUUGCCCGUAGUCGUCCGUAAUUUUCUCUUUGUCUAAGCAAGCCCGAAAUAUUCAUUUCUCUCUUCUGAGUACAUUAACAAGAUCACGUGCCUGCACGAUUUCUUGCGUGAGUGACGUUACUUCUUAGAAACGCGGAGCUCCCGAUGACUUCUGAUCCAAGAUUCCUUUGAAAUAACGUUGGAUCCAUGAAUGGCCCACCAUACGGGACCAGAUGAUAAUGUUUCCAACAACUUUCUCGUGGAAGAAAUUGUCACGCCUCAAAAUUAUGACUCUUUGAAGCUUUUGAAAGCUUUGUCAAAAAAAAAAGAGAAACUUUUGAAAGCUGACCAAAAAGCAGAAAAAGAAAAUAAAAAAAGCUUUUAAAAGACUGUGGUCCCAUCAAAACGCUAACAGUCAAUCAAACUUGCCUCGUCCUCCUAAUCCUAUGGACUAAGGAUCGUACUGGUGAAGCCGUUGAGUGGCGUUCUACCAAAAUUCAUAUGAUUUAAUUUGUGAUGCCGUUGUGUCUCACGUCACACAAGUGUCCUUUAAGCUUCAAUUUCUCGCGCCCAAGCUUCCAACGCCUCGGUUUAGGUCCACAUAAGCCGAGCUUGGGACCUUGGUGUCAAUGCCCAAAUCCUGGCACCUAAAACAAAGGUCCUUACUCCCAUGCUCAAGCAUAAAAUCUUCAAUCUAAGAACAUAUAUUUACUUAUACUUUAAAAAAUGAUUUUUUAAAAUGAUUUUUGGAAUUUAGAUUUCUUAUUAAUUCAUUUUUUAAGCAAUCUAAAUAUUGAAAAAUGAGGACGGCAUUUUUUCUAAUUUUUUUUUUUUUGCGUGAAACAAAAAGAGCUAUGUCUAAUCUACAACUCAAUCAAGGAUGUUGAUCCACACCGCCUUCAAUUAGGGCGAAGAUUCAGUGAGAAGUCACCAUCAACGGUGGACCUUUCUCCUGGUGAGCGCCCGUCAAUUUCUUCUAUUGCUAGUCGGCCAACAAAAGUUUCUUUUAUUGCCAGCCAAGUCUUCGUCAAUAUUUACCCCAUCUCAAUAUUAAUUUCCUAGAGUGGGCCCACUUUUGGCCCUCUAAAGUCAAGUCAUGGCGUGUAAUAAUACUUUCCAGGACCACCUUGCCCGAGGCGAGUUCCUCGCAUUCGAAGAAGUGGUCCAAGUCUCCGCUAUUUGGUUUAAGCAGAUGGAAUGAUUUUCGUCUUAUUUGAUUUAAUUUUGCAAUUCUGGCUGGGGGCCGGGGCGGGGCGGGGCGAGGGGAGAGAGAGAGAGAUGAUAAAGUGUUCUUAAGACCUCCAAGCAUGCUAUUGUCAACAAAACGAGGCGAGGAAGUCAUGAACCUGCGUAUAUUAAGCAUAAUUGCAAUUAAAUGUAAAGCCAGUAAAGUCAGAGAUGAUAGGUAUACCCGCUACAAACAUCAACCACUCAUCAGCUUGGUAUAUCUCAUGUUACGGCAGAAAUACACCCCAAGUGCCAAAGCUUAGCACGGAGAGAUAUUUAAUUGAAAGAUACACUUAGUGUCAAAAUCGAAGUAAAAUGGAUCACUUAAAUGACAUUUCGGCCAAAUUGUUGACGUGACAAUUUUCCGACAAUGUAAGUGCAAAAUGACGUUGUUUUGCAUGCUGACGUGGUGAGAAAAUGCAAAAAUAACGUCGUUUUGUCUUUGAUGUGUAAAUAAUUAAUAUAAAAAUUACUUAAAUUAAAUUCAAACUAUUAUUUAAAAUAUUCUAAAAAAUAAAAAACUUAAUUUUUUUAAAAAAAAAAUGGGGGGCUGAAGGCUCACCGGCUGAGGGUUGAGCCUUCGCCGCCGCCGCCUCCCCGCCGCCUCUGGGAAAAGCCAGCGACGAAGGGGGGAGGGUCGGCCAGGGUCGCCGGCCCCUGGCUGAUCAGCGGUGAGGGCCGCGACCCUCGCCCCAGAUCUACGGGCCCUCGCCGCCUCCCCGCCAUCGCCGGAAGGGCUGGCGACGGUGGGGGUAGCUAUAUUGAGUCCAGACAGUAUCUGGUUGGCUUAUUCAAUCUUCAUGAAUCGAGUGCCGAAUAACCCCCUGACGGCGGAUACAUGAAACAGUAAAGACUUGACGCAAAAAGAGACUCACUAAUAAUCUAUAAAUAGAUACUCAGUUGUGAAUUAUCUUCUGUAUGAUGUAUCUAUAUAGAUAGAGCAGUGUUUUUGUAGAUCAAAUAUAUAUAGACUAUCAUAUGUUUUUGCAUGCUACAUAGAGCGUUGUGUUGAGCACACACUCUAAGCUGCCUCUCGCUGACAAACUUUCAUNNNNNNNNNNNNNNNNNNNNNNNNNNNNNNNNNNNNNNNNNNNNNNNNNNNNNNNNNNNNNNNNNNNNNNNNNNNNNNNNNNNNNNNNNNNNNNNNNNNNAAACGGAGAGUCCUAAACUUAUUUUCACUUAUUUUGCAAGGUUUCAAACCAACGUCUGGAUUCUGAUUAUUAUUUCAAUCCUGAUCGUGGAAAGGUCUUGUCUUUUUCACGUUCUCAUGGUCAGCAGAGAUGGGGCACAGCCCCGUCGGUCCGGUUAAAGGGCAAAAGACCGAACCCCGAUUUUCGAUGUGGGGGCAUGAAGACGGGGGGGCACUCCAACCACACUCCUGGGAAGAUCGGGGGGGGAGGUUUACACCAUAGGGGGGGGGGCCCCCCCCCCCCCCCCCCCCCCCCCCCUAAAUUUUAAGUUUUUUAUUUUUUAGAAUAUUUUAAAUAAAUUUAGUUUUUAAUUUAAUUUAAUUAAUUUUUAUAUUAAUUAUUUACAUAUCUGAGACAAAACGACGUCGUUUUUGCAUUUUCUCGCCACGUUAGCGACUUAGCGUGCAAAAUGACGCCGUUUUGCACUUAUCUCGCCGGAAAAUUGUAACGUCAACAAUUUGGCUAGAUUUUGGCCAGACUAGCACUUUAAGUUAUCCAUUUUAUUCCGAUUUUGGCACUUAAGUAUACAUUUCCAAAGUUUUGGCGUUUAAAUGUCCCUCCGUGCCAAGUUUUGGCACUCCAAGUGUCCGUACCUCCUCAUGUUACUGAUAAAAUACAUUGUUUGAAUGAGAUUAGUGCGCACGUAUAUUACUCCGAGAUAUUGACGGCAGUCUUCGGUACAUUAACUAGUCUUAAUUGCAGCCAAUGUUUGGCGAAGUGCCUUCCUUGUGAUCCACAUUGAAGCGUAUCCUCAAGGAUCUUUUUUGAAAAUGAAGAGAAAGAAGAUGCCAUCACACAAUCCUAUCUUCAUGAUCAACACGCAUGCUGAGCUUUCGACGCAUGGAACAUGAUAUAGUUCAUCUUUACGCUGUCCACCUGCUUGCCGAAAAAGUGAAAAGCCUUGAAAAGAUGAACUCUGAAAGGGAAACUAUAGCUGUACCAGGGUUCAGGCCUGCAUUUACCCGAUCAGUUCUAGACGUAUUAUUGGAACAAUUAUGUCUCUAGACUCGGAAAAAGCUUAUGGAAAGACUGGGCAAGUCUCCACCGAACUUGCUUAGAAAUUUCCACAAGGGCUUUUUCAUGAUAUCACUAAUAACUCCAUAUUAUUCGCACAUAUACAUAGGCUAACUCCGAAAGGUGAUCCUGCAACCGAAGGGUAAUGCUUUUGCAUCCCUAAUUUAAAAAUGCAAUGCUUGUCAAGAUCUCUUCAAACUGUCCUGUUUCUGUUCUCAUUCCUUAUCGAAGGACAAGCAAUGCGCACCGUGUUGUCCCUCCCUCCCUCUUCUCUCUCCCUAGAAAGAGCUCCAUGUCGCCCUGAUCAAAAGUCUGAUUUGCUUCACUUCCUGAAUGCUUUAAUAUCAGAUAAUUCCACGUCGGUUUUCUGCCAACUGGAUAUUGGUUGGCUCAGGAGACCAAAGAUGCUCUCCUGGAAUGUUGCAUCGGAUUAUUGCUCGUGGGAUGGAGUCAUAUGCGAUCCGAUGACAGGUCAUGUGACUCACCUUCAACUUGGCUGCUCACCUCUGAACCCGACCUGCUACUCUUCCGUAGGGUCUUCAAACAGCAGCGAACCUUCUACCCUUGGUUUACUCGAUCUUCCUUCGCCCGAGGAAGCUGAAAGACCAUCGAGGUCAAACAAGCUGCUUCAAAACCUGAUCAAGUUGAGAGUCCUUGCUCUCGACGGGUUAAACCUGUCUGGCAUUGAUGUGACUCGCUUAAUGAAUCUCUCUCCAUCUCUGGAAGUCCUCAGCCUCAGUCAUUGUAAAUUGCGGGGCACAUUAACGGCAAACAUUUUCCUUUAGCCAAAGCUGACAUGUCUCAAUUUAUCAGGCAACAAGGUGCUUUCUGGUUACUUACCUGAAUCAACUUGGAACAGUUCUUUGAAGGUUUUGGACUUGUCCUCCUCAGGCUUCUCUGGAGUAUUACCAGAGUCCAUCGGCGACCUGCAUUCUCUGCAGAUACUUUGGCUGAACCGGUGCAGCUUCACAGGCUCUAUUCCAUCAUCACUUGGUAACCUAACACGGUUCACCCAUCUGGAACUUUCGUAUAAUGAGUUUAGUGGGCAGGUUCCUCCUACUUUGUCAAACCUUGAUCAGCUCAGUUUGCUCGAUCUUUCCUCGAACAAUUUCAUAGGUCCAAUACCCAAUGUCUUUGACAAUAAGACACAACUUCUUCUUCUAGAUUUCUCUCAUAAUCUCUUCACGGGUCCUAUUCCUCCAAGCACAAAGAAUCUUUCAAAUCUUGCCCGACUUGAUAUUUCCAACAAUCUCAUUGGUGGGUUUAUACCAUCAUCAUUGUUCUCUCUUCCAUCCUUAACGAGCCUAGACCUCAGUAACAAUGGGCUCAGUGGUCACAUCGGUGAGUUCUUUGCUGCAUCCGCAUUAGAACAUGUUGACCUGAGUGGUAAUCAGUUGUGUGGCUCAGUCCCGAGCUCAAUUUUUCAGCUUAGGAACCUCACUUAUCUGAGCAUCUCAGCAAAUAACCCAACCGGUGUCUUAGACCUACAAUUGCUCUCAAGACUCGAAAGUGUAACAAAUCUUGAUCUUUCAGACAACAUUUUAUCACUGAGCAAUAGCGAAAACACUGAGCAUGUCCUGCCGAGCCUCUGGUCCGUCAGUCUUUCUGGGUGCCAAAUUACAGAAAUCCCUGCAUUCUUGAGAAAUUCAACCAGCAUAGAAUGGAUAGAUCUGUCUAGAAACAGAAUCCACGGCGAUAUUCCAUCAUGGGUGUGGGAUAUUGGGGCCAUGUCAUUGUCUUAUCUCAAUCUCUCCCACAACUUUCUCACUAGCUUUGAACAAGUUCCUUGGAAAAAUCUUAUAAUUCUCGACUUGCAUUUGAAUUUGAUCCAAGGGCCAGUUCCACCUCCAUCACACCCACAUUCAAUUAUUGUCUUCUCGCUAGCUAGCAAUCGAUUGACUGGCUUUAUCCCUGGUUCUAUCUGUGAAAUGAAGUGCCUACAAGUUCUUGACCUCUCUCAUAACAAUUUCACAGGCAUGAUUCCACAAUGUCUAAAGAACGUAAGUAACAGCCUCUUAGUGUUGGAUAUGCAAGAGAAUGGACUUUCUGGCACAAUUUCCCUAACGUUCACUAAAGAUGCAGCCCUGAGAAGUCUUCAUCUUAAUGGAAAUCAAUUUGAAGGCCCGUUGCCACGCUCUCUAAUCAAUUGCAAGCAACUUGAAAUGCUGGAUCUCGGGGGCAACAAGUUGAAUGACACUUUCCCCGAUUGGUUGGAGACACUUCCCAGCUUGCAAGUCUUGGUCUUGCGAUCAAACAGACUUUGUGACAGCCCCGGAACUGAAUUUUCCUUUUCAAAGUUGCGCAUUCUCGACCUUUCCUUCAAUGAUUUCACGGGUCCUUUGCCUAGUGCCUUCUUUGCAAACCUGAAAGCAAUGAUAUCAAAUGAUCAGAAUGGAUCAGAGCAGUGAUACAUGGACCAAGGUUACUACCAGAAUUCCAUGGUUGCAAUGAUGAGAGGACGGGACAUGCCGAUUGCUAGAAUCCUAGAGAUCUUGACAACCAUUGAUCUAUCAAGCAACAAGUUCCAGGGAAAAAUUCCUGAUGCGAUAAGAGAGUUAAGAUUACUCAAGGGGCUUAACCUCUCUCACAACAGUUUUGAAGGCCAGAUCCCUUUGCCUCUCGGGAACCUUUCCAAGCUUGAAUGGUUGGAUCUCUCUUCAAAUGAACUUAGCGGGAUGAUACCAAUUGAGUUGACAAAUCUCACGUCUCUAGAGGUCCUAAAUGUCUCUUCCAAUCAACUAACAGGGUUGAUUCCUCAAGGACACCAGUUCAACACAUUUCAAGCCGAAUCCUAUCAUGGAAACCCAGGAUUGUGCGGGUUUCCACUGUCCAAAGCUUUUACUAAUUACAAGGCUCUGCAGAAACUCCCCCCUGCAUCCCGAAGGCAGGGUCCAUUCAUUCCGUGUGGAUUUUCUUGAGCCAAGGGUUGUGGAAAUAGGAUUAGGAUGCGGCAUCUUGCUCGGAUUGUUCAUGAGAAUUUUGAAAAACCUUAUCUCUAUCCGGCAUGCAAACAGGCAUUUUAGGAAGAUUGCGAGGAAAGACAUUUCUACGAUAGGGCUUGAAACCGUACACCAGAUGAAAGCUGGGGUUGCUGAUUUGUGAAUCCGUGCAGCUGGGGUGUCAAAGAUACCCGAACCGAAAAUUUCGGGUCUUAUUCGGUUCGGCAGACAAUUUAAAAUGAAGGGGUAUACCCGAACCGAAAAGGUACAGUUAUCUUCCUCCCUCGGUACUUCUAUCACCUCCCUCAACCCUACCGCUAACAUCCCUUCACCUUCACUAGCAGGUCUGGCUCCGUUGCCCUCUUCGCCACCAUCCAACGGACCUCCAUCGGCGGCGCCUCCUCUAGAUUGACCCGAAGUGCUCACCACCGACUCUGCCGGCGCCGUCGUGCAUGGUGGUUUUAGCUUUUAUGGCAGUCCAGCUCUGGAUUCGUCCAUAGACGCCGAGAUCUUGAUGUGCUCGAACUCUGUUUCUUUCCUCCGUAAAUCUCGAUUCAUGGAUCCGUGGGUCUGUCUCACUGUUUUCAAGUUCUGUAAAUACACUGUAAAUAGCGAAAGUUCAAGGACUCACCUUCUCUGAAGUCUCCUCCCAUAGGGGUUUCAAGAAUGUCCGGUCAACCUCUCUCUCCCCUCUCCUCCCCCACCCCCCCGGGGCAUUUGUUAAAUGUAUCAAAUGAUUGUUCUCACAUCAAGAAUCUGAACUGGGAAUUUUUCACUUUCCUGUUUUGCCGUGAGCCCUUUGCUGAAUCUGAAGGGGCGAAGAGAAAGGCACACCAAAACAAAACAAAAAACGACCACAUCAAUUUCGGGCCAGAUGUGGUUUGGGUCGGGAUUUGGGCCUCAGCGAACACUUAUCUAAACGUUUCGGUUCAGUUCGGAUAUCACAUAAACCUGAAUCAAACUGUUAACAGCCCUCGAGACAUUUACGGGUGAAUUGUUCCAAGUUUGGUCCAAAUUUCACCUAAAAUCUGAAAAUUAUCUAUCUAGACAGAUUUUCUAAUUUUUAAAAUUUGAAAUCUACUAUGCAUGCUUUAGAAUGUAAAAUCUACAUUGUCACAGUUUUCAAGUCGAUUUUAAAGUCUAUCUAAGUUCAGUUAUACUUUUAGUUGAAUUAAAUAAUUGUAGUGAGUCAUCACCUUUAAUAAUUACUAUUUGUUAUUAUCCAUUGAUCACAACUCAUAUUUAAAUAUAGAAAAAUUAUGAAAUACUAACAAAAUAAAUAUCUCACUUAUGGAUAUUAUUUAGAUUAAUAGUUUUAGAUUAUAACUCAUCAUUGGACAUUAUAAAAUAUCGUAAGAUCAUGUGAAUGUAUAAAAUAAAAUAAAAACAUAAAAGAAAACAAAAAUUUGUUCCAAAUUUUAAAUUCCCAAUUCAAUUUGAAAUUUAUCUGUUAGAAUAGAUUCUCAAAUUUUUGAAACCUAAAACUUACCCGGCAUAUCUUAAAACUCAUAAUCGAAUAGGUGCCCACCGGGAUCAUGUCUCAUGGUGUCGUGCAGUGCCUCUUUAUUUGUCAUGCCCGUUCUCGAUAAUCUUAGAAUUUUCACUUGCGUUACAGUCUACGAUCUUGGAAUUCCCAUAUUCUUGGAGAGCAUGUCCCUAAGCUCAUUAAAUUAAUUUCAAGCUCUCGUAAUGUUGAAAAUUUAAUUAUGAGCCCGCCUUCCCUUUCCGAUUCACGUUUGAGUUUCAAGAAAGCUGGAAAUUUUAGUCUCGAUUCCGCCUCACCUCCUUAAUCAUAAAUUCUUCUCCGGCCAGAUCCUCAAGUUCAUCUCUGACACGCACCUAUGCAACGGAAGUUAGUUUAAAAAUGCAAUGAAGUGCAACCUAAAAUCUACAUGCCAUCUGAAUGUGGAUGACGUAAAUGAUAUUUUUAUUUAGAGAUCGGGGUUGAUUUCUAAUUUUUUAAUAUAACAUAUGAUGAAAUUGGGUCAUCAAAAAUUAGACAUCAACAAAUAAAAAAAGAAGAAGAAAAUAUGGAUAUUGAAUAAUUUACUUUAUAUUAAAAUCUGUAUUUAUUUUUUACAUCAACUAGGAUUACACUCCAAUCCCUCGUUGCAAUUCAUGAAUAUGACUGAUUAAGAACAAUAAUUAAAGUGAGUGUUACUUAGCAGAGUGCGUCAUGAGCUUGAUCUAUGUAUAUACGUCGAGUAAAAACUUAAAACUCAUCCUUAAAUUGACAUGAUUAUGACUGAAACAAUUAAAUUAUAAGAGAGAAACUAAAGUGAUAUUAAUAAUUUAUCAAUAACGAGAUGCCUGAGUUUAGAUUCUUGUAUUAAAGUUAAUUUUAUAUAUGCAAUUUUUAACGUCACAACAAGUCUCUCUCAUAAUAUUUCAUUCAACAAGGAAACGGCGACGCGAGGAAGUGGACACAAAUCUCAAAUUGCUUUUCUCUCUCAUUUCUGAUCACCCUUUUGAUCGAAUCAAAUUAUGUACGUGUGUUAACAUGGACCUUUAAAUGAAAAUAUGAUGUGCCUAAAAUUUUUCGGACCACUUCAAGGUUUGCCUUGAUAAAACCCAAAUCCCAAGUCCUUUCUUAUGUUUUGGGGCAUUUCGGUAAGCUCUCCCAUAUCAAGGAAUUUGUUAGGUCACCUAAUUUGCCCUCACUAACUUUUGAGAAUUAAUAUAUUGCCCUAAAUGCUCUCUCCAGGGACGGGAGCUUCUCCGACCUUGGCCAUCUGCGACCCUAACCCAACCACUAUACGAUGUGGCUGUCACCACAACCACAACCACGGCCCUAUAGAGAAGGUCUAGGAGACACAGCCACGCCGACGGAUGUGACCUCAGGGCUAGCAACCCCUGGCCACACGACAUGUGGUCGCACGUGAGCUCGGCUUGAGCCAAUCACCGGGAUGUGACAACCCCGGGAGACAUUUGUCUUGCUUGAGGGCGCCUGACCAAGGUGUUGCCUCGCCGUGCCAUGCCCCGAUCUAAAAAUGAAGUUGGGGGCGCCUGGAGCAGCGUCCCCCUGGCGGAGUGGGGAACAAAACUCAGAAAUUUUUCAAGGAGACCUCAGUCCUGUUCGAUGGGCUCCUUUUCUUUUAUCUUCAACAGCAGGGUUUUGAAUGGACUGCGGGCGGUGCGGGAGCUCCAUCUGGCAUUGCCGAUUUUGUUCGUGAGAGUCACAUUUGUGGUGCUGGAAUAUGCUGCUGCUGCUUCUUGCUCUUCUCCUCAAACAGUGUUCUUUCAUGCCCAUCGAAUCUCCGUUAAAUUAACCACUGAGGUUUGCCCCAGUAGCCACUCUUCCAAUACAAAAAGAGGAUGUGGGGGGUUCAAAUCCCCACUUUCUCGAGGGGAUUGAAGUUGGGACAAUUUAGUUUCAAGUGUGGAUUUCGAUUUGCAGAAUAAAAGUUUGAGAGUGAGAAUUAAAAUAGGAAUAAAGUAGGACUAAAAAAAAAACAAAUCUCCGUUAAAUUUGAUGUUUUCCACAUCGGGAGAGAGAUGUUAAAAGGAAGCUUUUGGGGGUGAAAUUUGAAAGAGGAAGAGUGAUUUCAAAAAGGAAAUGAAGAAGUGAUUGCUCGUUGAGUGCUGACGCGGGUUUCGGGGAAAUGACGCGGGUUUCGGGGAAGUUAAUUUUUUGAUCGAAUCGUCAAUGAAGAACCCAAGUAAUGAUGAAUCGAAUCCAAUGGAAGUUAGCUAAAUUAAAUAUUAAACGAAGACUUCUUUCUGUCGAAUUUAUUUAAUUGCCACCGAGUUAAAAAGCAUAGUACGACCAACGAAUUAUAAAUCACUGUGGUCGAAUUUAUUUAAUGGCUACCGAAUAGAAAACAUUAUCUGGCUACAUGAUGAAAAAACAUUUUGGUUGGAAUUAAAUCAAAGCUGCGGUUGCUGAUCUGUGUCUGCACAGCAAAUUAGAUCAGGAAAGAAAGAAGCCUCUUUAUGUAUACAUUUUCCACAUUGGUCAAAUUAUAUUUUAGGGGUGUUGAAAGCCUUGAAAUGUCACGUUUAGGAAUUGAUGUUGCUGCCGUUGUUCCAAACGCACAGGUGAAGUACCAAGAUCGAUGCAUUAAGGAGACUAAAUGAUCUAACAUUCAUCUAGAGAUAUGCUAAGUUCAAGAUACAAAGUCAUAAAAUUCAAAUUUGCUCUUGCAUCUUAAAGGUUUGGAGUAUUCAAUCAUAAAAUUUUGCUUGAAAGGGCUAGUAAGAACACCUAAAGGGGGUGAAUAGGUGUUAAAGAAAUUUUUGCGAUACUUAACAACUCAAUUCGUCUUUCGAGAGCAAUAGACUGAAGAUGUAAAAGACUAUAAACAGUUAUGCAAUACUACGAAUUAAAAUAAAGAAUUUAGGGAAAGAGAAUUGGAACACAAUGUUUAUAGUGGUUCGGCUUAUACUAAGAUUACGUCUACUCUUCCAUAUUGACAGCCCACUGGCUGGAUUUUAACUAAAAACUAAAAGAGAUUUUACAGUCUCACUUCCUUGAUUCCACAGUGUAGAGCCUCUACUACACUUCCUCAAAGUCUCAUAAGUAUUUAAUCUCUCUUUUGAGUACAACUUAAGCUUAACGAUUGAAUCAGCAAAGAACUAUAAGUUUCAGACUUUGGAAUUUUUCUUUCGUACACUUCCUCAAUCAACUUGAGCAUCUUCAUUAUAUACUCCUUCAUGCCAAUAUAGUCGUUGGCACCUUCCAAAAGAGUUAUUCCAAUUUACCCGUUGGAUAAAAUCAAUUAAGGAGAUCUCGAGUUAUUUAAGGAAUGUGAAGAUAGCCUACUAAUCCUGCUCGUCCAUACAAUCAGGAUCUAGGUUUCCAUAAGUAGGACCUUCCAAGUAUACUUUGUCAAUCAACAGAUCUAAUUAUCUGAAUUGAUUCCAAUAAGAAUAAUUGAUCACGAGAUGCUAUCUCCAGCCGUGAGAUCUUCAACAACCGAUCGAGCCAAAUUCUUAAAGAUAUACUUGCAUCUGAAAAGGUCUUCUUUAUAGGAUAAGCUUUUUUUUUCUUCAUCAGUUUGGAAACUAUCAGUGAAGAUAGACUUUGAAUCUUGAGUCUGAAGGUCUUUAGACUUUAACGACAGAGUCUGCAAGUCUUCAAAUUAGACUGAUGGAAACGUUUUGUUAACUUCAAAACAAAUAAGGAAGUUGUCUCCAACAUUGCUAACUUAAAAGCGUCGGCCAAAUUGAAGCAGACUUAGGGAAAAGGACAAGUGCUGUAUGGAUAGAGAUCUUUACCAGCUUAAUAAGACAAAAGGAGAGACUGACAGGAUAGUCAACUCAAGACUUCAUAUUGGACUUUGUUUACAGAAACUUUCGCGUGUUCAUCUCUCUCUUAGAGAAAAACCCCGUUGGAAAAGCAAGCAUUUUGCAUCUUGAUAUGGGACCAUCAACGAUCCUGCAAGUCCGUAAAGCAUCUCUUGUUGAUCCCAAGCAAUGAUGACCACAUUUGGCCAGCUGACGUGGACGUCGGCCAGCGCCAGCAAACAAUUUUUUCAUAAUACUUUUCUGAAUUUUUUUUCUUUUUUAUUGUUAUAAUAUUUUCUCCUCCCUCUUCUUCCUAUUGUUCUGGCAACUGAGCAAAGGGGAGGACCGGUUUUGAAAGAGCUAGUAUAAACACCUAAAGGGGGGUGAAUAUGUAUAAAAAUAGAUUGAUCUAAAGAUGCUGUAAAAAUAUUUUUCUUCAAGCUGAGUCUAUUAGACAAUAGACUUCUGAUAAAGAUUCAGACUCAAAUAAGAUGCUUUUAAAAUAUUGCGAAACUCAGAAAAAUAUCACAGCAAAAGAAGUUAAGAGAAGAGAAAAUUGAACACAAAAUUUAUAGUGGUUUAGUUUAGAUCAAGCCUACGUCCACUCUUCCACGCUGACAGCCUUUUAGCUGAAUUUCACUAUGAAUCGACAGAAAAUUACAACAGUAUGAAACUAUUUGCUCAGUAAAGAGUUUCUUUUUCUUUCACUAAGUCACUUCUUUGUAUUUUUCUCUCUCUCUCGAAUAUGAAUAUGAGCACUAUCAAUGAAGAACAAGUGAUUUGAGAAGCUUCAGACUUUGGAAUUCUAGUUUUCAUGCUCUCUUUCAAAUGACCCGAAAAACCUCCUUAAAUACUCCUCCAUACCUUUAUGACCAUUGGCACUAUCAAGAGGAAUUCUUUCAAUCAACUCGUUGGAUAUAAUCAAUCAAAGAGAUCUUGUAGCCGUUUGAAGAUUGAGAUGAAAGUCCAAUGAUCUUGGUCGCUAUACAAUCAGAAUCUUGGUUUCCAUAAGUAGAUUUUUUCCAAAAAAAACUUGUCUUCGAAAUUGAUUUCACCAAUCCGUGAUUGAUUUUAUCAAUAUUUUCCAAAGGGAUAAAUGUUCCAGAAGUCCUAAAACUUGUCACGAAAAUGCAUUUCAGUCCUAAAACUUGCAAAAAGUGCAUUUUAGUCCUACAAUUUGUCAAAAUGUUUCAAACGAGUCCUAAAAUCGACGCCAUCUAAUUUCUUAACGGAAAAAGCUGACGUGGCCCCUGUGUGGCUUUUUUUAAUCGUUUCUCUCUCCUCCGUUGCGAAUAGUUUUUAUAAAAAAAAAGCCACGCAUGCAUAACGACGUCGUCUCUUCCUUUCUUCUUCACCACGACGUUGUCUCCUCCUUUCUCCUUCACCACGACGUCGUCUCCUCCUUUCUCCUUCACCAUGACGUCAUCUCCCCCUCCAUCUAUACGUCUUCUUCACCAUCGUGUUCUCCCUCCCCUCUCCAUCUCUACGUAUUCUUUCGCUUUCCGAGUGUCCCUUAAGCCCCAAAUCGAACUCGUCCGAACCCUAAGUCCCAAAUCGAAUUUGUCCGAACCCUAAGCCCCAAAUUUGAUGAUCUACGGUUCUCUUGCGAUUUGGGUCCUCAUCAACCUCGAGUUCGACGCUCGUCAUGAGUUCGUGUUCUUUCCUUCCUUUGACGAUUGCGAGUUCAUGUGAAGACCUCUUUGCGGGAGUCUGGAAAUCUCAGCGGUGAAGCGAUUGGUGUCGGGGAUGACGACAGGGUCAGCGACGACGAUGGCGACUCGUCCUCACGCAGGUAUCGCUUUUUGCAUUAUAGCAUUUGGGUAUCUCAUGGUAAUACUACGAUUUUUUUUGUUUUACAAAGGUGCUUUAAUCUCUGCAUUAUGUAAAACGAUGUCAGUUGGCGUCCUCAUUUCUUCAUUAUUUGGAGUUCAGAGAGCUCGAGUUUGACACACAUCAACUUUAUGUUCUCUUCUUUGAUGAUUGCGAGUUCGUGCAAAGACAUGUCUUGUGGGCAUCUCAGCGUCUUAGCGGCGGAGCGAGCGGCAUCGGGGAUGGCGAUGGUGACUCCUCAUGUAGGUAUCACUCUCUACAUUACAGCAUUUGGGUAUGUCAUAGUAAUAUUACCAUUUUUUUUGUUUUGUUUUGCAAAGGCGUUUUACUCUCUACAUUAUAGCGGUGUUUUACUCUCUGCAUUAUGGUUGUUUUGCAUUUUCCAAUUCUUGCGAUAAAUUAAAACAUUGCUGCAAAUUAGAACAUUGCUCUCACUAUUGAUCAUGUAGUUGCAUUGUGGUUGUAAAGUGGAUUAUGCUAAUUUGUUGUUUCUGUAUUGAUUGUUAGUCUUUUAUAAAAAUAUCUUCAAUUUAGAACUUGAACAUUGCUUCAAUAAUUUGAUGAUUGAAAGUGCUCUGCUUUUUGUUUCUGUUCCUUUGUAGGUCCAAUGGCCGAGAACAAAGUUUAUGUCACUGUUCGCUAUGGAGGUAAAUUUAAAGUUGGCCCACCAUUGGAAUACAUAGGUGGAAGGGCUGAUGUUGCUGAAAUAAGUUUAAGUAAGAGUUCACUAUCUAGUAUAAUUGAAGCUAUUGAGGCUUUGGGUGUGUGUAGAGUAGAGAAACUCUUUUACAGAGUUCUUGGAAGUAAGACUCUUGUGAACGGAAUAACUCUUAGGUAUUUAUGGGAUAACUCUGAUGUGAUGGAUCUAUUUUAUCAUCAUAUGUGCUAUGAAAAUAUUAAGCUAUAUGUUGAGCAUGUUGAUGAUGAAAAGGCAGAAGCUAAGAUGGGGGGUGUUGAGAUGGAAAUUGGAGGUAUGUCUAAUGUGAUUAGGAAUACUGAUGAUGACGGGAAUCAGGCUGAAGUUGCUAAUAGGGAUCUAAAUGAGGAAGAGGAUGAUGAUGCACAUAAUUUGGUGGAUAUGGAACAGUCAAGUGAUGAUGAUGACUUUGAACUGGUUGAUACAAUGAAAAAAUUAGUUGAAUUUUCAGCAAGACAUAGGCUCCAAUUUUAAAUUAUAGUGACGCAAUUGGUACUUCUCAACCACCGAUUGUGGAUGAGGCUCAAUCGUUAGAUGAUUUUGGGUACGAAGCAGAGUAUGUUGAUUCAGAUGAUGAAGACCGUCUUCAAUCAAUUUUAAAUGAUGAGGGUGACGAAGAGGUUGAUGUUAUUUCAAGGAUGAGAAGUAGGUUCCCAUUAUAUGAUCAAAGUGGUACAAAUCCAUAAUCUAUUGUUGGCAUGACAUUUGAGGAUGAAACUGAGUUCAAGAAUGCAAUUUUGAAGUAUUUUGUGGCUGAGCAAAGAGCAAUCAAAUACACUAAGAACAUAAAAAGCUUUGUCAGAGCUAGGUGUGCCGAGAAAAAUUGUAACUGAAUGAUCUAUGGUGCUUUUGAUAGCAAAACUGGGUCAUUUCAUUUGAGAAGGUAUGUAAAUCAGUAUAUAUGCAGUAUCACUUUCGAGAAUAAGAGAGUGUCUAGCACUUAUUUAGCUAAGCACUUCAUGAUUCUCAUUUCUGCAAUGCCUAAAAUCAAAGCACCUGAGUUAAAGAAAUUAGUUAGAGAACAACUUGGAGUAAAUGUCACUUUCAGUCAGUGUAGGAGAACAAAGCUGAAAGUAUUGAAGGAACUGUAAGGCAAUUACAAGAAGGAAUAUACACAUAUGUAUGACUACUUGGGAGAGCUUUACACUGCAAGCCCUUCAAGCAAUUUUAAAUUGAAAGUUGAAAGGCCAUUGCCAAAUUCUCUACCAGUAUUUGAUAGGAUUUACAUUUACUUUGAUGCUUGCAAGAAAUGUUUUUUGGCUGGAUGUAGGAAGAUCAUUGGAUUAGAUGGAUGUUUUUUGAGGGGUUUGAUCAAGGGUGAGUUGUUAUGUGUCGUCGGAAGGGAUGUCAACAAUCAAAUGUAUCCAGUGGCAUGGGCAGUGGUAGGAAUCGAGAAUAAGGACGCAUGGACUUGGUUUAUUGAAUUGUUGAAGUCAGACCUCGAUAUGUGUAAUGGUGACGGAUGGGCUUUGAUAAGUGAUCAACAAAAAGUAUGCUUUUCUUUCUGUUUUCAUUUGUAAAUUGAUUGUGACAUUACAAUGUUUUUCUUUCUAUUUUCAUAGAUAUUUUCUUUUUUUUAGGUAAUUGUGAGGGUCUCGUCCAAUUUGUAGUUGAACUGUUGCCAAAUGCAGAGUAUAGGAUGUGUGCAAGGCACAUUUAUUCCAACUGGGGUAAAAAAUACAAAGGAAAACAGUUGCUGAGGCAAUUUUGAAGAUGUGUCAAGAGUAAUAAUAUGUCAAAUUUCGAGAUGCAUAGAUAGAGGUUGAAGGAAUUGACUCGAGAAUGUCAUGAUGAUUUAUUCCGUAUUAAGCCAAAACAUUGGUGCAAAGCCUUCUUUGACACCGACAUUAAAUGUGAUGUCGUUGAUAAUAAUCUGAGUGAAGCUUUCAAUGGCAGGUGUGUGGAAGCUAGGUACAAGGCCAUUGUGAGUAUGUUGGAGGAUAUUAGAAUCAUGGUUAUGAAUAGAAUGCAUACUUAGAGGGAUGAAUGUGCUAGGUGGACUAGACAUUACGGUCCAAGGAUUAUGCGUAAGUUACAUGAGAAUACAACUACUAGUAGGUAUUGCCAUUUGAUAUAGAAUGGAAAUGAAGGAUACGAGAUUACAGAAGAUGGUGACAAAUAUGUUGUUGAUUUGAAUUUAAAAACUUGUUCUUAUAGAGCUUGGGAACUUAGUGGAAUUCCAUGUUGCCAUGCCAUUUGUGCAAUACACCAUAAGAGAAAUGAUCCGCCUGACUAUCUAGCUAAGUUCUUUAACAAGGAAAAGUAUCUAAGUGCUUAUCAAUUCAUGAUGCCUAUAGUAAGAGGACAGAAAUUUUGGAAUAAAGCCAAUAAAGAAACUCCUCAACCCCCACCAAUGAAGAACAUGCCUGGUAGGCCAAAAAGGAGUAGAAGAAAGCAAUCGAUUGAGCUUGUAAGAGGUGAUAGAAUGACUAAAGAGGGUAAGCAAAUGACUUCUUCUGCUUGCAAACAAAUUGGACAUAACUGCAAGAGAUGUCCUUUAAAAAAUGUAUUUCCUCAACUAACUGAUCAUCUUAAUGCUGGGCAUGUCACUUUAACAUGUUGUUAAUCAAUACUUAAUGUGCUUCUCAAGCCAAUACCGGGGCCAAUGUAUGUACAUCCAAUGCUGGGGCCAAUGUACGUACAUCCAAUGCUCGAGUCAAUGUAUGUACAUCCAGUGCUCAUGCCAAUGCAAGUACAGCUGAAGCUCAUGCUCAAUCUCAGGCUAAUUCCACUGGUCCAAGGCUCGAAAAAAGACAAGUAAGUUGUCAUCUAACCAUUAUUAUAAGUUUUAUAUAUCAAGGUUCCAAUUUAGUAAUUUUGAAUAUAUAUUCAGGCUAAAGCUAAAGCAACAACAAGCGUAGCUGAAGGAGGAUCCGAAAGCCAUGCCAAUGCUUCUGCAAAUGCCAAUUCAAUAGGAGACAAUAGUGGGCAUGUUAAUGCUUAUGCUCAGGCUAGUGCAGAUGUAAGAGAAUGUAGUGCUUAUGCAAAUGUAAGAGAAUGUAGUGCCACUGCUUCUGCUCAUGCUAGUGCUGAUGUUAGAGGAUGUAGUGGUGAGGCCAAUGCUUUUGGUGAAGUUCGUUCGGAUCAAGGGGAAGGCAGUGCACCGGCCAAUAUAAUGGCUAAGCAUAGACGUGAAAAAAUUCCGGUGAGUAAUACCUCAAUCCUCAAGUAUACAUGUAUUGUGACUACGUUCUCAUGUUGAAUGAAUUUUUUAUUAUUCCAGUUUAAAAGACCUGCCAUUGAAAAUUACAUGAUAUAGAGAGAAUCACAAGCCAAGAGGAUGAAAAUGGUAGAGUUGGGUGUUGACGCAAAUCCUAUGACAAACCUUCAUAUUCGCAAGGUGAGUAAUAUUUUUAAAAUUUUAUAAUGACAAUUGCUUAUCUCUUUAAGCUAAAAAGAUGCUCAUUCUUAUGUAGCCUAAUAUAAUUGGUGCAAGAAUCGUUAACCUACCGGAGAAAUGGGUAGUUUCAAGAGCUACGUCAACAACAAAGGUGCAUUCCCAAGUCAGUGCACAACCUCAGUUAUAUCAUGUAUCAGCAGCUCCUCGAAAACAAAUUACGGUGACGCUGAAGCCACUAUUACAACCUAAGGCCACUUCCCAACGUCAGUCAUAUCAUGCAACAGUAGCUCCUCCAAAGCACGUUGCAAUGAAGCCAACGGCACUAUCGCAACCUCAGGCCAGUUCCCAAGUUCAGUCAUCUCAAGCUAUAAUAGCUCAGAAGCAUCUUGGUUUAAAGCGAAAGGUACCAUCACAACCCCAGGUAAGUUCCCAACUUCAAUCAUCUCGUGCAACAUUACCUCCUCGAAAGCAUGUUGCGCUGAAGCCAAAGCCACUAUCGUAACCUUAGGCCAAUUCCGAAGCUCAGUCAUCUCAGGCUACAAUAGCUCAUAAACAUCUUGGUUUAAAGUGAAAGGCACCAUCACAACCCCAGGCAAGUUCCCAAUCUCAAUCAUCUCGUGCAACAUUACCUCCUCGAAAGCAUGUUGCGAUGAAGCCAAAGUCACUAUCACAACCUCAGGCUCAGUCAUCUCAGGCUACAACAACUCCUCCAAAGCCUAUCGCUGCGAGACCAUAUAUAAGGAAAAGCGCCAGAAUUCUGAAUCAAGUGAAGGCUCAACCUACUGGACCACUGGAAACCAUCAUAUUGGAUUGAUAUGUUUGCUGAAAUUGGUGUUGUUAGGUGAAUUUAUAUCAAUUAUUAGCUGGUUUUUUGUAUGAGACGUGUAGCGUUUGUGCAUAGAACCUUUUGUGCACUGAAAGUGCAUAUUUUGUUGAACAUAACCUUUUGUGCACUGAAAGUGCAGGCAUUUUGUUGAACAAAACCUUUUGUGCACUAAAAAUGUAAGCAUGUUGCUUUGUCAAUGAAUCGUGUUUCAACGAGUUAUGUGGGAUGCUUGGUUUUGGUUUGGAUAAUGCACGAAAGUGGUUGCUCUUUAGGAUUGUUAAUAGGUAAUUACUGAAAUUGGCCAUGCAGAAUUUUCUUUCUUCCAAUACUUUUGUCAUCUUCUUUCCCAUACAUUUUUCUCGAGUUCCUCGGGGGCAUUAAUGGUAACCGAUACCACCACCUCUUAUUGCUAAUUUUUCAUUUUAGAAGAUGGGGUUUUGCUCUAUGUGGUCUUUGUGGCCCGCAUUGGAUGAUUCAUGGAAGAUUUGGUAUUGUAGCCGACUGCUUUGAUUUCACUUGAUUUUUUACACAUUCCAUUUGAGGCAAGCUCGUUAUUAAAAACAUGAAGAAAUCACCAAUUAACAAUCUCGAUUGCAUAAUAAGGGAGUUGUCACCAUUUUUUGAAGUUCCAAAUUUAUUCUGGUGGCAAUAGCUCAUGUAGUGCUAUUGACAAGCACACAAAUCAAGCAACAUUUUGCAAUGCAAAAGUAAUUUCUCGCAUGGCAAGCAACCGUUCUUGCAAAUUACAAACUCACAUCAGAUUUCAUUCCCAUCUCAAUUAUCCACAACUAGUGUUCAAAUUUACAAACUUAGAAAUUUCCCAUUAACUUUCACAUUACAUAUAACCAAUAUAGUGAUAUAACACAUGCAUAGAAUGAAUGCUGAUUGAUAUAGCAUCUUUCCUUUCUUUACUUGUGCAAGCUCCUCCUUUAAACAUCUAUUUUUCACCUUUUGAGUCUUCAUUUCAGCUAGCAAUGAGCUCACAUCGACUCUGUCACCCCUCAAUUGGCUUGAUUCAGACAAUGCUUGAUUUCUUUCAAGGAGGUCAACUAUCAUGUCCGUCACAUGAUCUGGUAUCUUUGGAUCCACCCAUAUGAAGAAAUUGCAGCAACUUGGACUAUCAAACUUACCACAUCCAUGGAACCUUCUUCCUGCGCUUUUCUUUAUCUUUGCCAUAAGAAUUAGCGAUUGAAAACCACAAUAACAUGUUGGCUCCGAGUUGACCUCAUUAGGAGUUACGCCACUUGAUGCAGAUGUUGCCGCCCUCAUUCUUCUGGGCUUUAUAUUAUAGGAACCUAAUAGAAGUAUAUUAGCUAUACUAUGAUUCCUUCAUAACGUCUUCAUAUUAAUAACUUCUGCAUAAUGCAAUGUGUUUACUUAAGAGAUUUAGAAGAUGUUUUCAAUCUCCAAAAAACAUCUCUUUUUUCAUAUGCACUGGAUGAAUAGACAACCAUAACUUACUUCUGCAUCAAUGUUCUAAUUUGUCACUAGUAUCGGAGAAUGGAAAACAACAAAAUGCUAUAAUGCAGAGAGCGAUACCUGUGUGAGGAGGAGUCGCCAUCGCCGUCGUUGACCCUGUCAUCAUCCCCGACGCCAUCGCCGUCGUUGACCGCUGAGAUGUCGAGACUCCCGCAAGCGAUAUCUUCACACGAAUGCACAAUCGUCAAAGGAAGGAAAGAACACGAACUCACGACGAGCGUCGAACUCAAGAUCGAUGAGGACCCAAAUCACAAGAUAACUGCAGAUCGUCAAAUUUGAUUUGAGGCUUAGGGUUCGGAUGAAUUCGAUUUGGGGUUUAGGGUUCGGACGAGAUCGAUUUGGGGCUUAGGGUUUGGACGAAUUCGAUUUGGGGUUUAAGGUUCGGACGAGAUUGAUUUGGGGCUUAGAGUUCGGACGAAUUCGAUUUGGGGUUUAGGGUUCGGACGAGAUCGAUUUGGGGCUUAGGGUUUGGACGAAUUCGAUUUGGGGUUUAGGGUUCGGACAAGAUCGAUUUGGGGCUUAGGGGACACUCGGAAUAGAGAAAGAAGAAGUAGAGACAGAGGGGGGAGGGGGAACACGAUUGUGAAGAAGGCAUAUAGACGGAGGGGGAGACGACGUCGUGGUGAAGAAGAAAGGAAGAGACGACGACGUUCUGCAUGCAUGGCUUUUUUUUUAAAACUAUUCGCAAUGGAGGAGAGAGAAAGGAUUAAAAAAAGCCACGUGGGGGCCACGUCAGCUUUUCCCAUUAAGAAAUUAGAAGGCGUCGAUUUUAGGACUCGUUUGAAACAUUUUAACAAGUUGUAGGACUAAAAUGCACUUUUUGCAAGUUUUAGGACUGAAAUGCAUUUUCGUGACAAGUUUUAGGACUUCUAGAACACUUAUCCCUUUUCCAAAAGGUAAGUGAGAUUUUCAUUCAAAAAGCCAGAUAUAUCUUGUUCGUACUAAAUCCUUGUUGAAAUAUCAAUAAUCCUGAGUCUGAUUAUUUCUUCGUUCUUCACUUGAAUUCAGUCUGGAUCUUCAUCAUAGUGGGGCUGACUUCUGAUGUAAAAUAGAUUUUGACAGAGUACAGAAUUCUAGUAUCUCUUAGGAUAAGAAUAAGAAUAAGAAUAGGAAUAGGAAAGUUUUGUCAACUUCAAAAUCUAAUAUGAGUUUUUUCAACAGGUUUGGCUAGCUUGGUCGACCUCGCCCAGAUUCGGUGAGGCAAGCCCUUGCCAGUGGAUCGAGAAGGCAAGCCCUUGCCCAGAUCCGACAAGGUCGACCUUGCCUAGCACUAGCAAUGGCAAGGUGAGCUCGCCACUAGCUAGUUGCCUCAGUCUGGUGAUUGACUCCCUUUUGGCCAACCGCCGGAGCAAGAGGAAGGAGGGAGGGGAAAAAAGGAAAAAGAAAAGAAAAAAUUAAAAAUAUAUUAUUAAAAAUUGUUUGCUGACACCGGCUGGCCAAAUUUGGUCGAAUGGACUGAAUUGGCAUAAUUGUAAAAGGUUUAAAACUAAAAUGGCAAAAAAAAAAAAAAGAGUAAGGUAUUAAAUUGAAAAUUUUGUAAUAAAUUUAGGACUUUUUUUUUUUUGUAAUUUUCCCAUAUAAAGGAAUAUCAUAUUAGAUAUUACUUCGUUGUUUUUGUUGAGUUACUAUCCUGAUUUUAUGUGAUUGUCAAAUUACAAUUCGGAUUUUAUGUGAGAAUCAUGCAUAAACAUCCUACAUUAACAUUCAAUUCAUUUUUUUGUUGAGUAUGAAUAUUAAAAGAAGACAUUUGUCACAGUCUAUGAAAUUUCGAGAAGUAUCGUACAGGAUAAAACAAGCCCUCUGUCUGUCACGCUAGAGUGAAACCGACGAUUCUCAUACUCUUCUAGAUAUUUCAAAUCAUCUUGGUAAUGCUUGCAUCAACAAAUGACACACAUAUUUGAACUUUUAUGUUCACAACAUGGUGAGUUACAUCAAGUUCGGUUUACUUUAACUACAACGAAUAAACUGGCUAAAUGUCAUCGACAUUUAGUCAACUCAAGUGGGCUCAGGUUGAUUUUCGGGAACAAAGUGAUUCUUUGAAAUCUAAAAUCUGUACAGGAGAAAACAAGCUCUCUCUGUCUUUGUUAUGCUAGAGUGAAACCGACAACUCUCAUGCUCUUCUAGAUAUUUCAAAAUUAUCUUGGUAAUGCUUGUAUCAACAAAUGACACACAUAUUAAAUGUAAUGGGCAACAUUUGUUCCUCGCGCGGGUACUGUUCAUCGGGUACUCUCAUCCAAGCGAUUUUGGCACUGUUCACGGACUGAUGUUUUGCUUGGUCCCGGAAUUCUAACUAUCGGUUUGCGCUGAUUUUGGAGGGCAGGAUCCUCUCGCCUUCCUCUUCAUCCCCAUUGAAGGAAUUCCUAUGGGUUGGUCUACAUCAAAAGUUAUCCUCUGCCUUAGGGUUGUUCGCAUUUCCAGCUUGCUGGACUGGUUUUCUGCUCACAUCUGGAGUUGUAGUCGUUGGUUUGGGCCAAGUUUUGGAGGGCAGGCUCCUUUGACCCUCCUCCAUCUUCCCACCGAACCAUUUCCUCAGAUUUGGUCUACGCUUCAAGUUACGAGCUGGCCCUGGUCGUAAUUCUAUCGCUGGUUUCCCCCGUUUGAAGUGCUGGUCGUCCAAGUGGCUUCAGGCGGUUGAUUGGGCUGAGCCUUGGACGAAUUGGUCGCUUGACCUAUUCCUUCAUCCUCACCAAGCCUUUUCGGUUGGGGCUUCAAGUCUUUAUUCCUCCUCUGGCCUCCAUCAGUGCGUUCGUAUAGCUGUUCUUCUGCCCCGAGCCUGCUGGAGCUGUGAUGGUUGCUGUCUUUGGGCCUUUUUUGGGUAGGCAUGACCCCUCUUCUCCCCCGUUUUGGCUCGCUAUGGGAUGCCCUGGUAAGUCCCUUUCCUUUCUAUGGGCUAUUUGGGUUAGCGUAUGGACUGCACACCAGGUGUUUGGGAUAUGGCAUCAGCCGCUGUUGGGGUUGGAAACCCCUCUCGAGAGACCCAACAUCCUGCUGGAUCCUCAAUGGGGCAAAGCCCCUCCUCCCUUGCCAUUGCUGGCCUACCUUCUGAGCGUUCAGGUCAGGCAAACGCCCCCAAGUCCGGCCCUACUGGUCUAUCAGACGUUCAAUGAGCGCUGCAGAAGGCCCCUGCUCGCCCAGGCUGAUCUCGUGGUCGGAGCCAUGUGCGAUCCCCCUCCAAGCGACCGCAGGAUCCCACUUUUUGGCCUGGUGUCUUGAAGCCUACCCCUGCCCACACCUGGGCCAAUGUUGCUUGGCUCGCUGCGCGUGGCUAUGAUUUAUCCUAUAUUCCGCCUACCUUUGUGGAAAGCAAGCCUGUUGUUAACUUGGUUGAAGAGGUGCUAGAUGCGGUUGAUCCCAAGAGGCAUGAAUGCCUCGUUGGGUACUUUGUAGGGAGGAAGCUCCCUUUUAGGCUCACAGUACAAUCCUUGAUGAGCGCUUGGGGUCCUAAACUCGUGGAAGUAAUGGCCAAUGACCAAGGUUUCUUUUUCCUUCACAUCCUUGACUCGGUGUUCCGGAGGAAAAUCCUUGAGGAUGGACCCAUUACGGUUGUGAGGGUACCCCUCAUUCUUCGACAAUAGCAGUCGUUCAUGGACCUUAAGAAGGAAACCAAUUCUUAGUCCCGAUUUGGAUUCGGUUGAAGAACUUGCCUUUCGAUUUUUGGUCAGCACCGGCAAUGAGUGCUAUUGCAAGUGUGGUGGGGAAGCCACUUUAUGUGGACCAACGAACGGAGCAAGUGAAGAUAGUUUCGUUUUCAAGAGUGUGUGUUGAGAUUUAGACAAAUCAACUGAGAUGCACGUCUGUUGAUGUGGUCUUGAAUGGGGUAUCUCAUACGAUUUCCAUUGAGUUUGAAUGGCUCCCGGUCGAAUGCCCUAGCUGUGGGACUUUCGGCCAUAGGUGUGAGGACACCCUUCACGCCUAUUCCUUGAUCUGCCCGCCUAGAAAUCCGCAACCACCCUAGGUCGAUUAUGCUCUCUCAGCCCCUAUUGCGGCUCCCGUCCUUACUUCGGUUGUGGCAGAAUCGCAGGUUGAUCCGGAGCAACCCUGGAAACAAGUUAAGGGGAAAAAAAUAUCCAUGCCUUCGAAGGAAGGACCCUCCACCUCCCGUCCAAUCAGUUCUGGCAAUGAGGGGCAAACCCGACGGCUGAAGGUCCCUGGAUCGGUGAAGAUCAGUCCUUUCGUUUCUUCUCGGAGGUCGUUAAGGGGGCGGAGCGUUCCUCCGAAGGUGGUGCCCUCUCUUACUAGCCUAAAGGAGGAUUCUUCCCGGCCAAUCGAAGCCCCAACUUUGAUCCAAUCCGAGAUAUGGAUUUGGAUGUCUCGGCUAGCCUCUCUUGCUCGGAUGAGGACUUGCUUCUCCCUGCCCGUCCCCAAGGGCUGCCUCGUCGAAGCUGGAGACGAUGCAGGACAAGCUGCUUUCUCUCGCCCCAGAUCUGCCUUCGAAGAUUACUCUUGCGGCACUAGCGUAUUCUCGCCGAAAGCCUCCCAAGCGAAGGUAGGCCUUCCUGCCUUCCUUUACCCUCUUCUUUUGCUUAGUGUGUGUGUAUACAUAUAUAUAUAUAUAUAUAUAUAUAUAUAUAUAUGUAUACACACACACAUAUGUGUAUGUAUAUAUAUGUGUAUGUAUUUUGGAUUUUAGAAUAUAAGAGGUCUUAAUGACCCCUUGAGGCAAGCCAAGGUCAGGAACCUUGUUUAUUCCAACGGCCUUUGUCUAAUUGAUUUAUUGGAGACCAAAGUGCCGGAGUCUCGAUUCUGUUCCAUUUCUGCUAGGCUCUUGACGGAGUGGAAGUGGAUUGCCAAUUAUGACUCCUUUCAUAGGGGUAGGAUUUCGGUUGGAUAGAACCCUUUUUUGGUGAACUUUGAAGUGAUUUCUUCCAAUAGUUAGACGAUCCAUGGCAGAGUGAAGUUCCUCAUGUCUGGAUUGUGUUGCUGCACCUCGGUGAUAUAUGCUGAACAUACUUUUAUAACUCGAAGGCCUUUGUGGGCAAACCUUCUUUAGAUGAGUGCUUGCUUCCAGGACUUUGCUUGGCUGGUGGCCAGGGACUUCAACACCAUCAGGGACCCGUCUGAUCGGAUUGGGAGCUCUAACACCUGGAUCCCUCACUUUGAUGAUUUAGGCGGAGUUAGAGAACUUGAGAUAUGUUGGCUUUCGAUUUACUUGGUUCACUUCUUUCGGGGUUAAUCGGAAGGCUAGGAAGAUUGAUCGUGUGCUGGUGAAUGCUAAAUGGAGCCUUGAGUUCUCUUACUCGGAAGCGUCUUUUCUGACUCUGGGCAUUUCUGACCAUACACCGAUGGUGGUUAAAGUGUUACAACCAAUUCUUUGAAAAAAACCUUUCAAGUUCUUUGAGUCUGAACUAAGCACCCGUCCUUCCAUGACAUUGUUUCGCAAGUAUGGGCGAGCCCGGGUAAAGGGAUCCCUAUGUUUAGGUUGGUCAGCAAGCUAAAGACCCUGAAAAACCGUUUAAAGUAGCUCAAUAGAGAUUCUUUCUCUAACAUCUCCAAAAGGGUUGCUACGUCGAGGAAUGCAUUCAGGCUAACCCAGAUUGGCCUUCAACAAAACUCGACCAGCGAACUUCUUGUAGAGUUAGAAAAGACUCAUCGGAGGACUUUCGUGGAGUUGAGGAGUUGGGAAGAGUCUUUCUUCAGACAGAAGUCCAAAAUCAGGUGCCUUGAGGAAGGCGACGGGAAUACUAAGUACUUUCACUAUUCCGUCAAUAGAAAACAACUAAGGAACAUGAUUCUAUCGGUUCUUGACACCGCUGGUAAUUUGGUCUCCGAACCAAGCUUAGUGCAGCACACCUUUGUCUCUCACUUUCAGGAGCUUUUCGCAAUGUGCACCCUAUCCUCUAGACCCUCAUUACUAGACCUUCAGCAGGUUAUUCGAUGCCCUCUCAAUAAGGAACAUGUUUGUUUUCUCUCUCAUCCCUUCUCUGAUGAGGAGAUUCAUGAUACCUUGUUCACCCUACCUUGUGGGAAAGCUCUUGGGCCAAAUGGGUUUGGUGUCAAGUUUUUUAAGAGCAAUUGGGAGCUGGUAGGGCCAUCGGUCAUUGAAGCGGUGAAGGAUUUCUUUGCCACGAGGAGACUUCUAAGGGAGAUCAACAACACUAUCCUAGUUUUGAUCCCGAAAGUUCCCAAUACGACUUCAAUCAACUACUACAGGCCUAUUGCCUAUUGUAAUACUAUUUAUAAAUAUAUUACCAAGAUUUUAGCUAACCGUGUCGCUGCAGUUUUUCAAGGUAUUAUCAGCCCUUCUCAAAAUGCCUUUCUCAAAGGGCGGCGAAUCAAAAACAAUUUUCUUCUUGCCGAAGAGUUAUUUGCCGAUUUCCAUCUUCAUCCACAUGUUCCUAAGUGUGCUAUCAAGGUGGAUUUCAAAAAGCUUAUGAUAUGGUGGACUGGGACUUUCUUGAGCUGGUUCUUCGUGCUUUUGGCUUCCCGAACCACCUUCUUCGGUUUAUCAUGGUAUGUGUGCAUACUCCUAAGUUUUCUAUUUCUUUGAAUGGAGAAUUACAUGGGUUUUUCCCUAGUAGCCGAGGCUUUCGUCAGGGGGAUCCCAUGUCUCCCUACCUUUUCACUUUGGUUAUGAAGAUCUUCUCCGGGAUCCUUAGUGCUCAUGCUACAAAAUUGGGGUUCAAUUUUUUUUGGAGAUGCAAGGCUAUGAGAUUAUCUCAUCUUUUUUUUGUGGAUGAUGUAUUUCUCUGAGUUGAUAUGGCCUAGAUCUCUCUCCUAAAGGAAGGUUUAGAUACCUUCUCGACAUGGAGUGGACUGAAGUCAAACAACAAUAAAAGUGAUAUCUUUCUUGCUAGAGGGUCGGAUGAGCUGUGGAGUGAGAUUCUUCUUGCCCUUGGUUUCCUUGAAGGGAAGUUGCUAGUGCACUACUUGGGACUUCUAUUAUCUCCUCGCGGCUAGGCAAAGCAGACUAUGUGUACCUUGUUGAUCAUAUAACCACCGGGGUCCAAUCCUGGACAUAGCGUUUUCUCUCUUUUGCUAGUCAUCUUCAAUUAAAAAGGUCAGUCCUUCAUGCGAUCCAAGCUUAUUGGACAAGUGUCUUUAUUAUCCCUAUUGCAGUUUUGGACCGCAUCGAGCAAAUCCUCAGACAAUUUCUCUUGAAAGGUGCGGACCUUUGGAAGGGUGGAGCGAAAGUUUCGUGGGAAGACGUGUGCCUUCUGAAGGAGGAAGUUAGGCUUGGCAUUCGUAGGUUGAGGGAUUGUAACAAGGUAGCAAUGCUAAAACACAUUUGGAUCCUGUUUAUGGACAAUGAAUCCUUAUGGUGCAAGUGGAUCCAUUCGAUUUUCCUGAAAAUGAAGAGUUUCUGGGUGGUUAUGAAGCCUACUUUCUGCCCUUGGACUUGGAAGAGAAUCCUCCACCUCAGAACCGAAUUCCGACUCUCUUUCCUCUGGAGGGUAGGGGAUGACCAAUCAGUCUCCUUCUGGUUUGAUCACUGGCACUCGAGAGGCCCUGUUUUCUCAAAUUCGAUGAUUUAUAACUCUGGUUUAUCCAAGCACGCUAUGGUGGCUGAGCUUUUUUCACUGUCUAAGCAAUUCAUGAAGACAGUGAAUCUUGGGAGCAACCCCUUCCUAUCCUAUCUCAGGUACCGAAUCAUUUUACUUGGCUAGAAAGCUCUUCUGGUUUAUUCUCGGUCACUUUGGCAUGGCAUGUUGUCAAAAGGAAGAAGACUAGGGUUGAUUGGGCUUCCUUCAUCUAGAACAGUGUUAUCACUCUAAGAUAUCAAUUCAAUCCCUGACUUAUUAUCAAGAACCGUCUUCCCACUCAAGCCUUACUUUUGUCAUACAGUAGGAUUAGGGAUGCGGUGUGUGCUUUUUGCAAGCUGACGCUGGAUUCAUCGAUCAUCUCUUUUUUGGGUGUUGCAUCACAGCCAGCUUUGCUUUCUUUUGGGCGGCUAGGUGCAACCUCCCUUGGUGCAAUAGAGCCGAGUCUGAGAACCUUUGGUGGGCGUUGAAGUUUCUCUUAGGUAAGGAUUUCUAUCGUUCCAUUGCCCGCUUUUUGUUUGGUGCUCUUUGCCACCUCAUUUGGAAGUUCAGGAACGACAUCAUGUUUAGAGACCAUAUAUUGGCUGUUCCAGCUGUUAAAAAUCAUCUCAUUAAAGUUGUUAAGGACAAAGCCUUAACGUUCAAAAAUGUCAAUGAUAACUCGAGAAAUAGGAGACUUCAACGCAACUGGGGGAUAGAUCCUUGCAUCUUCUCUUCUACUCCUGCGGAGCCUUAAUGUAAGGACCUGGGUCUCCCACUAUGUAAUAUUAUCCGCUUUGGGCCUUCGAUCCUCACGGCUUUAAAACACAUGUUGACACCUAAUUUUUGUUUUCAAGUACAUAAAAAAAUCUAAUUUUAAAAAAAUUAUUAUUAAUUACUAAUUAAAAAUUAGCUAAUUAAUUAAUUUAAAAAGAAAUAGAAAAAGAAAAACAACAAAAAAAGAGAGAAAAAGAAAAAAAAAAACCUAGAGAAAAAGGGGGAAAAGAGAAAACCGGAAAGAGGAGAGAAACGGAGCUGAGGGGGGGCAAGCUGGGGGUGAGCUAGGGGAGAGCAGGAGAAGUAGAGAGAAAACAGUGAGAGAGAGUGAAAAUAAAAAAAGAGAGAGCUGAAAAGAAAGGCGCCGCCACCUCCGCCGCUGCCACCACCCUCCGACCCCAACGCUGUUCCAGCCACCGCAAACCGAGCCCCCUUGCAACUUGCCCGCUGCCCGCACCGCCAUGCCUUCACCUCCGCCUCCACCGUCCACCAUCACUCGUCGCCAUGCCCGCUGCCCCCUGACGCCAACAGAACUCUGUCGUGCCGAGUCAGCCCCAUCAUUGCAUCAGCCCAUCGCCUUUUUCGCCUGAAAUCUUGGCCGUCGCUGCCCUCAACCUGCCGGCGCUCCACCCGGAACCCAAGCCGCUGUCCACCACGUUGCGCUGUCCGCCGCGUCGCCGCCGUUAACUUCUCAGCCAACCCCUCUAGUGUCGUGGGUCACCGAGCUCGAGGUUUCCAGAAUCCGGGUCGUGCGAGCCGGGUCAGGUACAAUUCUUGGGUAGGGUUUUCGUUCAUUUGGGCUUGUCACGACGGGCCAUGUGACUUUUGGGUUUGUGGGCUUGGGCUGGUGUAGUGUGGGCUUGUGGGCCUGUUUUGUUUAAAAAAAAAAAAACAGAGAGAUAAGAGGGGGACCUCUUGGGCUGGGCCCAAGCUUCAGGCCUACCAAGCCGAACCCGAGUCCGGUCAGACCGGACCCAACUUGGUUCGGUCUAAAAAAAUAAUAUUAUUUUUUUAAUUAUUAAAAAAAAUUCAAAAAAAAAAAUUUAGAAAAUUCAAAAAUGAUGGGGUUUUAUUGGGAAUUGUCAUGUUUUGCAUUUUUAGUGUAAUUAGGAAUUUAUUUGCUCGUAUAUUAAUUAUAUUGUAUGUUUAAUUUGCAUAUCUAAUUAUGUUUAAUUGCACGUGUUUAAUUUUACUGCAAUUAGGAUCUUGGUAGCUAUGAUUGUUACUUUAAUGAUUGCGCACCCGCAUGAUCAUCUCGCAUGUUAGUGGAUAGAUAUAAAAUCAAUACAAGCUACCUGCCAAAAAAUCAAUUUGUUAAAAUGAACAAGAUUAGGUACCGAAAUGGCACUAAUUGAUCAAUUAGUGUAAUCAAGUCCCAACCCUAGAUUCUCUGGUUGCAUAGGAAGUGAGGUACAUUCCCAUGCCUCACUUGGUUUCUAGCCGACCCCAAUAGGCUAAUGGUGACUCCUUUUGUGCAAAAUUCCUGAAAGAAAUAUCUCAAUGUCACGCGGGGUAUGGGCUUGGGAGAGCCCGCACUUAGUCAUAGGCCUAUGGCCCAUCCUUUAGGUAAUAGCCCUAAACAUGUUCCCUCCCCCAGAGAGUAGGUUGCGACAGCUUGGCGACUCCACUGAGGACUUGGUUUUAGACCUUAAAGGACUUAGACUAAAAUUAAUCUUGUUCAAAAAUAUUUUUGUUUGGCAGCGAAGAUAUCAGGUACGUCCCUAACGUGUUAGGUGUUAAAUGUUUUUGCAGUUGAGAGUUAUAAAGGGAGGAGUGAUUGUUAACCCAUUGUCUUGCAGGUGUGGAGUUGGGAAUCGAUGUUUAUGUUUUGAAUUUAUGAAGUGAUGCUUGCUAAUAAAUUGUCAUACCUGCAUUUCCUACAUUGCACUACACCAUGACACACGCUACCUGCUGCCGGACUUGAGCCACAUAGGAUCACUUAAGAUGGUGUUGAGGUGGAUACCACUUUGACUACAACCGUGUAGUACGAGUCGCCCACCUCUACCCUGAAAUUUCUUUCUUCAUGUCGAAAGUACCCACCCCUGUAUGCAAUCAAGUGACACAGGUCGAUUCUUUGACAAAGUCAGAGUCAUAGGUAACAUGACCUAGCCGCGAUCUUGCUGGUUCGGUCCGGUGAUCCUAUGGCUCCAUUUUGAGCCGUAUAUAGUAGAAAUCGAACCACAUCCCCAUGUGCAUGUCUAUGUGAUUGAAAAAAAGAAAGCAAAAAAAAAAAAACAAAGACAAAGAUCGACACCCAUUGUAAGUAUCAUUUUCCUUUUUUAUUUGCUCAUUUUGUAUUGAAUUUUAAUCUUGAAAUUCGUGGAAAUUAAUCGAAUGCCCACGGUGUUGUAGGCUUAUGAUUAAAAAAAUUGGCAAUCACUUUUAAUAAGUGAACAUUGAAUGCAAGUUCUAAACACUUUGAUUUGGCCCCGUUGAACACAUUGUUUUGUUUAAAUUUCUAGUUAUGGGCUUGAAAUCAUUUUGAAAAAACAAACAAACAAACAAACAAACUUUCAAGUUGUGAUUUUAUAUUGGGACACAAAAAUUGAAAUUGCAUUUUUUAUCAAAUUCUCUCAUUAUCACAUUUUGGGACUAAAAUGCAAAUCAUUUUGUGUACAAAUUUCUCAAAAUAGAAGUCACUUCAUUUUUCUAGGAGUAAAGUCACAAAUCAAUUUUUCAAAAAUCAAUGACACUUUUGCAUACAAAACUUUUGGAAUAAAAGUGGACAUUUGAUUUAUGGCCGUGGAUCGAUUAUUUUAAUGAUGUCGUCUCUUAUGAUAAAAUCUUGGCGAAAUACUAAAACUCCAUAGUAAGGACUGUGGGGCAUGUACCGUCGCUUCAAUUUUAUUGUAAGAAGCGACCUCAUUGAGAUAUCAUUUUCUCUCAUUCACUUACUGACAUUGUCGUCUUUUUGCAGGUUAUGUGCGAUGCUCCUUGACAUUCUCGUGGUGACCACAUAAAGAAGUGAAUUCUAGAGCUAGGACAAGAGUUAAUUUUUACUCUUACCUAUACAAGAGUCUCUUGUAUUUUAUCAUUGUUCUUAUUCUUGUUAAGAAUCAUGUUUUCCAUUUUGGGUUUUGAUUGCGAAUCCAAUUGUUGCUUUUGUAAAUCAUGCGACUCAUUUUUUAAUAAUGGAAUUCAAUUUCGUGAAAAUCAUAAAGAAAAAAAAAUUCAGAAGUGUUUCAAGCAAACCUAUACGUUAACCUUUCAACAUGAAUUUCAAGAAAGCUUUGCUUAAGACCCUCUCUUCAUGUGGUCGCUUUCUCGGGAAGAAUGAGGAGUUUAUUUGAAGUCGGCAUCUGCCCCUUCUAAAAUAUAAAAGUGUAGGCUCAAGGAACUUGAGGAGUAAGCAUGCGUCAAGGCAUCGUCGGCGUCAAUUUUCCAUAGAGGUGGAACGAAUCGAAUUCCGUUCUGGGAAAUUUCGUUAUACGUAAAUGCCUUAGGUGCCAAAAUAGCCUAUCGGUCUCAUUCACUUUGUAUGAUGAGACAAAUGAAGGGAGUUGCCAAGUAUUCAAAAGGGCGAAUUCGAAGGAAAAGUAAACUGUAUCGAUUCCAAUUAUCCAUUUCUGAUACCGUUUUUGACAUGAUUUUCUUUUCAUUGUCAAGGAGACAUCAGGGGUACCAAGUUUGUAACAUUCCAACAAACAUGAUGGAGCGUUAUUGAGUCAUGUUCAUCUUAAACAAAGAAAGAUUCAAAUGAUGAAACAGAGGGGCGAUAUUAUCUCUUCCUCCAUGAGAGAUACCUUGGGAUGUUGACCGCUCGACUUUGAAAAUGAUGUAUCUCGUUCCUAAACUUGAUUCCCUUCAGCAUAAAAAAUGACAUGUCCUUUUCUUUGAUAUAGGACAGACUCGAACAGAACAAAGGCUUGUCAUAUAAAAUGUGGGAGAACAACGUUUGAUUUAGAGAAAAAUCUCUCCUUCACCCACCAAUGAAGUGUGCUGGAACAACAUUGUCAAAUUCAUCAAGAAUGAUGUAUCGUUCCUCAGUUGAACCUAACUAAGAGUGGAGAUAACUUGUUUCAUCUCCCUUUCUCGCAGGGUGAUAAAUGGAAAAAAGUUGCACCUUGACUGUAGAAGCGGCGCCUUCUACCAAGGAAUCAGGAAAAUAUCAAACAAUCAAAGGUGAACGCAAGGGAAGGGUAUUGUCAAGUUACUAAAUAUCCACGAAAGUGAAUCCAAGAGAUGUUAGCACCCAAAGGAUGAAAGCGAAUGAAGGGUAACAAUGUAUUGUUUCCAACAUUUCAAUCCCUAAAGAUUUUUGCACUAACAUAUUCUCUCACAUUCUUUACAGGGUUACCGAGUCACCAAGCCACAGGUAAGUACCCUUCUUCUCAACCUUUUUAAAAAAAAAAAUGAAGAAUUUCCAUUAUAAAAUGAACCUUUGGUGUUUUCCUAAAGACAAGCACAAAAAUAAAAAAAUUGAAAAAAUAAUUUUCUACAAACUUUUUCAGCGUCAUUUUUAUCUCAAAAUUGUUUUCUCGUUUUGUGGGUUAUUCAUUUUAAAUCAAAUUUCCCUAUGGAGAUUGAUCUACUUAGAUGACCUCGGCAAAGUGAAAGAUAAAACGUUAACCAUGCCAAACAAGAAGUGCUUAGGAUGAAGAAAGGUAAGCUAUUUCCAAACACGUCCUUCAAACACUUUUGAGAGUUGAGUGUCCUUCAAACACUUUUGAGAAUUGAAUGAAAAGUGACAUUUUCUUAGGACGAAUUAUUCAUUCGCAUUGAGCGCAAAGAUCGAAAUGAUAAAGGCAUUUCCUUCAUCAAUCCCAAGCAUUGCACUAAUCCCUUGCUACCCCUUUGGGCCAAAUAAAUAUGAUCCUUCAAAGUACCCCUAUCGAGAACGACCCUACAUCGGGGCAACAUAGGAGGUUACAGUUGUGUUGUAGAGCGAAUGAUUGAGAAAGAUUCUAUUACUUUCACUUGCAUCAAUCUUUUGGCGAUAGCUUCAAAGGGAUUCUCAUCAGGGCUUGACUCAUCCCAAGGUGCAUAAGAGCAUUUCCUUCUCUACCCAAACAUUGAUACCCAUUGCUUUAACCAAUUUGGGCCUGAUUAUUCAUUUCUAAACCCCGAGCGGUGAUCAUCUCCCUUUACUGGGGCAAGGCAUAAGAAUUGACCAAAUACAACUGACAGUCACAAGAAAAUGUGAAAAACAUCUCAAAAGUCAUAAGAGCUACAAAAGUUCAAAGAGCAAAAAAGUUCGAAAAACUGGGGGGCAUGAAAAAGCAAUGUGCUUGGUAAAAGCAAGGCCAAUGCCUGUCGAGAAAAGGAGCCAAAAAGCUGCGUCUUAUAAAAUAAUAUUAAUAAUAAUAAUAAAUUAAAAAAAAAAACUAUUAUCAAAGUCCAAGUACAUGCGUAAAAAAAUCAUCGCAAGUGCAAAGGAAAUUAGAGAAAGGAGCAAAGCUCCCAUGCGGAAAUGGUUAGUAAAUGGACCUUCAAGAUGUGAUGUGUUCCAAAAGCCAACUACUUUCGAAAGGUCAAGUGACCUAGUCACGAUGCCAUGAUGAUCACCAGCUCCUCUUUUAAAAACCCUCUUGAAAAUUUUGAGCCUUUCGAGCUUUUCCCAAGCCAACAUUACAACCCUCUUCCGAAGUCUCUUCUUAUUGGGAUGGUUGAGUGAAAAUGAGAAUGCCACAAGGAAGCUACUGCUUGAAGGAGUGGAGGUAAUUCGAUCUUGUCUUAUCUUCCAAGUUCUCAACUUGUAAACACGAUGAACAUAGCAACAUAUUUUCCUUUACUGGCCUCAAAGCAAUGAUCCCUUUGUGUAAGCCCAUGACCAAACCUAUAUUGUGGUCCUUUCAAAAGACCUUUUUUAUCGAUCAGACUGUGCUCAUUGCAAAUGUUUCUAAAAGCCUUCGACAUAGGUUAUGUGAGAUACCCUCAGCAACCAGUUAUCUCCCACAUGAAUGGGAUCAAACUGCCAUUUUAUCGAGAGUGUGAGAAAUCCUUUCUGACUAAGAAGCUCUAGUUUGGCAUGAUUAAUGAGUCUUGUUCACGAGUCAUGGCCGUUCUGAUAAGAACUCGACUCCUAGAGAAUUUGAUGAUUAAUAAUACAUCCCCAAGCAAGAUAACAAUUUUGCGCCACAUGAUGCGGAUUGACAUCGAAUGUUUUUCUAAAGCAGUCAGACUUAGCUUGAUUAGCUUGUUCAAUUAAUGCUGUAAUAUUUCCAAUACUUCUCUUGAUAACGUCUCUAAUGACAUUUGCUCAAGUUGAGUUUGAUAGGAUUCCUCAAUGAAGCCAUGAAGUUUUCAAGGGGUUAGCGGGUGCUUCUCUAAAAACCAAAGGUUCAUGGUCAGCCUUAAACCAUGUCAUCUCCAAAGGUUCAUGGUCGGCCUUAAACCAUGUUAUCUCCAAAGGUUUAUGGUUAGCCGUAAAUCAUACCAUCUCCAAGGGUUCAUGGUUAGCCUCAAAUUAUGUCAUCUACAAGGUUCAUGGUUAGCCUUAAACCAUGCCAUUUCCAAGAUUGGUGGGUUCAUCCAUAAACCACAUUUGUCCGCAUCUAGUCGAAACUCGUUCGUACACGGUGAGACUUAUCUCCCAGUCAAAACCCGUUAUUACACGGUGAGACCUCAUUUCUCUCUUCUUAUAACCCGGAGAGUUUUGUAUCUUGGAGUCUUCUCUCUUCUUAUGACUCGGAGAGCUUUAUAUCCCGGAGUCUUUUCUCUUCUUAUGACCUGGAGAGCUUUGUAUUCUGGAGUCUUCCUCUCUUCUUAUGACCUAGAGAGCUUUGUAUCCCGGAGUCUUCUCUCUUCUUAUGACUCGGAGAGCUUUGUAUCAUGGAGUCUUCCUCUCUUCUUAUGACUCGGAGAGCUUUGUAUCAUGGAGUCUUCCUCUCUUCUUAUGACCCGGAGAGCUUUGUAUCCUAGAGUCUUCUCUCUUCUUAUGACCCGGUGGGUCUGUAGCCCGGAGUCUUCCAUUCUUCUUAUGACCCGGUGGGCUUCUAUAGCCCGGAGUCUUCCUCUAUUCUUAUGACCCGGUGGGCUUCUGUAGCCCGGAGUCUUCCCUUCUUCUUACGACCCGAUGGGCUUAUAUAGCCUAGAGUCUUCCUUCUUCUUAUGACCCGGUGGGCUUAUGUAACUCGGAGUCUUUCUUCCUCUUAUUGACAAGACGCACUUUCAUAGUUAUGAGUCAUUUCCGUCGACCUGAUACGUGCAUAUGCACCUAAGGUCUCUCUAUUGCUGAAAUAAUUUAAGUGUCUUUUGUCUUUGGUUGCUGUUCGUAGAGGGCGAUCAUGCCAGCUUAGGGGUUCUUAGGUGGUUCCUAUUGUUGCUUUGAGUAGUGCUGGCUUUUGCCUGCUUUUUCCUUGUUUGCCGCUACUUUGUUUAGCGGCUGUCUUUUGCAUUCGGCUCUCUUCCACUCAUUAUGACUUGUUGUCUCGUUGAGUGCAAGUUUUGUGGCGCCGGAUCUUGUAUAUAUUGUUGGUUUAAAACUCAAUAUAUUAUUACCGUUUACCAAAAAAAAAAAAAACAAAUGACACACAUAUUUCAAUUUUUCUGUUCACAACACGUUGAGUUACGUCAAGUUCGAUUUACUUUAACUACAAUGAACUAAAUUGGCUAAAUGUCAUCGACAUUUAGUCAACUCAAGUGGGGCCAGGUUGAAGUUUAGGAACAAAGCAGUUCUUUAAAGUUUGAAAUCUAUCCCCGUCAAUCUUAAAAAAAUAGAAUUACGCGAAAUAUCAUGUGAUUUGCUUGGUUUUGUCAAUGUCUUUUUUCCUUUGAUAGGAUUUCCAAUUAUAAAAUUAUUUAGAAUUAGAAAUUUUUUGUUUUGAAUGAGUUAGUCCAGUCAAAAAGAAAAUAUUGAGAAUUAAAGGUAGUCUAGUCAAAAAGAAAAUAUUGAGAAUUAAGGGUUCAUUUAUUUCACGAAAAAUAAAUAAUUUUUAAAUAAUUUUUCUAAAGAUUAUCACUUGUAUUGUUUGCAGAAAUGAUUAAACAUAAAUUACAUCAACAAUAAAUACAAUUUUGUUAUGAAUAUUCAUUAUAUUCAUCUUAUUUAAUGUACUUACUAUGGUAAAUUUGUAUCAUACAUUCUAAGUACAUCUCCCUAUACAAUGAACAUUCAUCUCCCCUAUCCAAUACAUGUAUCAUUCGAUACAUUGAUAUUAAUGAUAAUUACAUUCUUGUUCUCCUAUAAAUAGGAGUUUAGUUUUGAUGUACAAUAGAUAACAAUCACAAACACAGUGAAAUACAAUGAUACACUGGAAAUAAAACUCUCUUUUCUGGCUUUCUCUACUAUCUCUGGUGUUUACUUGCUUUCUCUUCUCAAUCUCUUUUCUAUUAUAUAUUCGCAACGUAAUAUUUUACAACACGUUAUCAGCACGAAGAUCUACCGACUAAGUAAGUAAGUUUUGCAAGGUGAGUAUUCUUUUUAUUAAUCAACUUAUACUUCAUCUUCUUCUAUCAAUUCUUCAUUUUUAUUUUUCUUGGCCCGAAGCCAAAUUUCAAAUCUAAAAGUAUCAUUCUGCUCCUGAAGUGGCGGUGGAUAUUUGGAAAUCCUUUUAAUUAAUAAGGAUUUAUUUUUGUAAGGAUUAUGGCAAAUAUUGAAAAGCCCAAAUUCCACAUCCUGGAAGUGAGUGGAAAGAAUUAUCUAUCCUGGUGCCUUAACAUGGAAAUGCAUCUCUAAGGGCAAUGUCUCGCUAAUACAAUCAUGGAGGAUGGAACCUCAAAUGAAAAGUAUAAAGCAAAUGCAUUGAUCUUUAUUAGCCGUCAUUUGCAUAAGAGCCUGCAGACUCAAUAUUUAUUCGUUCGAGACCCUCAUAUCUUGUGGAGGAGGUUAAAGGAUAGGUAUGAUCAUACCAUGACCGUUAUUCUCCCUCAAGCACAAUAUGACUGGCAAAAUCUCAGACUGCAAGAUUUUAAAUUAGUGUCUGACUAUAAUUCCGCUUUAUUUGAUAUCGUUUCUCGGCUUGAAUUAUGCGGUAUCAAACUCGUUGAUGCGGAAUUGUUAGAGAAAACUUUAUCCACCUUCCAUGCUUCAAAUAUUGUAUUGCAACAGCAAUACCGGCAGCGUUAGUUUGCCACAUAUUCUAAAUUAAUUUCUAUGCUCCUCACUGUCGAGCAAACUAAUGAAUUAUUGCUCAAAAAUCAUGAUCUUAGACCCGCUGGCUUAAAAGCAUUGCCUGAAGCACAUGCUAACUUUGAGAAAAAUACUAGCCAUUUUAAGGGCUAUAAGCGCAAGCAAGAAUAUAAUCCUAGAAGGAAUGGCAGGAAAUUUAACCGUCUUAUGAAAUCAAACUUUGGCCUAAAUCAUGGCAAAGAAAAGAAGCCAAAGAAGAUGAUUAAUGAAAGUAUUUGUCAUCACUGUGGUAUGACUAGGCACUGGUCACGUACCUGUCGUACGCCAAAACAUUUUGUUGAUCUAUACCAAGCAUCUUUAAAGAAUAUGGGCAAGCGUGAUGAAUCUCAUACCAUUGAAAUCAAUCCUACUGCCAUAACCACUGUUGAGGCCAACAAUAUCUCCGUUGGUGGGACUCAUCUUGCUCUUGAAGUAACAAAUGCAUCUUUGGAUGUCUCUAAUUUCUUUGAGGACCUCUGAUUACUUUGAUAAGGCAUCAGAUUGAUAGAUGAUAAUUUGAACUUUGAAUUUUAUGUUAUUUCGCUUUAAAUGUAUUACUUUUUAUUGCUCUUUAAUAUGGUUAUGAAAUGCUUAUGAAUAUUAUAUAAUAUUUAUUUUUGAAAUUUUAUUCGACUAUAUAACUAAUAUGCAACUUUUAUGAUACUUGACACCCGAAGUUGUCAAUAUAAAUGCAAAUGGAAAAUACCGAGAAAAAUAAAGAUGUUUGUUUGCUUGAUAGUGCAACAACACAUACUAUAUUUCGUAAUAGACACUUUUUCUCAAGUAUGACAUUGCGUAAGGCACAAAUCCAUACAAUAUCAGUAACUGUUCCGAUUAUUGAUGGUUUUGGGAAUGCCACAAUUAUUUUGCCAAAUGGCACCAUCUUGCAUAUUGAGAAUGCAUUUAUAAGCAUUAUAUCCAAAAGGAAUCUACUUAUUUUUAAAAAUGUACACCGUAAUGGGUACCAUAUUGAGACUAUUUAUGAGCAAGAUAAAAAAUAUAUUGGCAUUUCCUCUUAUAAGAUGGGUCUGAAGACCAUCCAUGAGAAGCUAGAAGCUUAUUCUAUGGGUUUGUAUUGUAUCAUGAUUAAGGUUGUCGAAAACUACGCCACCACAUCCUAGAGAUUGGUAAGCCUUGAUCAAUUUGGACUGUGGCAUGAUCGCCCUGGUCAUCCUGAUGCUUCAAUGAUGCGUAGGAUAAUUCAAAAUACAAAAGGGCACCAUUUAAAGGAUAUAAAGGUAUUGUUGUCCAAUGAUUAUAAUUGUGAGGCUUGCUCACAAGGCAAGCUCAUUAUCAAACAUUCCAUAACAAAGGUUAAUCUUGAGUCCCAUUUAUUCUUGCAAAGAAUUUAGGGUGAUAUUUGUGGACCAAUAUAGCUACUAAGUGGACCAUUUCGAUAUUUUAUGUUAUUAGUGAACGCAUCCUGUAGAUGGUCCCAUGUUUGCCUAUUAUCUACACUCAAUGAUACAUUAUUAUCAUAUUCCAGCUGCAAAUGCUCAAGCUAGGAUAGCUGUUCCCAAAGGACAGGCUAAAAUGGAUCAAAAUCCCCCGCACUUGAAAUGUGGUAGACCGAUAGGAUCAAUGAAGAUACUACUCCUCGAAAAUAAGGGGAAAGAAUCAGGAAUCCGCUCUAGAAGAGCCUGGUGUUGUGCUUGCUCUUAAGGAGCUUAUUGCCCUUGAAGAGGUGCAAACCCAUGAAAGGAACACCAAUCUCGGGAAUACUGACAAUUCCAUUAUAUAUUGUAAUGAAAUUUGGGAUCAAAAUGAAAUCAUCAUUGAUGAUGCUUUUGCAUUCUCAGUUGCUUAUAAAAUUAUGGAUGAUGAUUGUGAGCUGCAAUCUAUUAUUGAAUGCCGUCAAAGGCAAGACUGGCCUAAGUGGGAGGAAACAAUUAAGGCUGAAUUAGCUUUCCUAGCUAAACGAGAGGUUUUUGGACUUGUAACUUGUAUUUUCGAUAAUGUAAAGCCCAUUGGAUACAAAUGGGUAUUUGUUCGGAAACGAAAUGAGAAAAACAAGGUCGUCAGAUAUAAAGCUCAACUCGUUGCCCAAGGAUUCUCCCAAAGACCUAGGAUUGAUUAUAAUGAGACAUAUUCACAUGUAAUGGAUAUGAUUACAUUUCAUUUUCUCAUUAGCCUAGCAAUCUCUGAAAGAUUGGAAAUUCGUCUUAUGGACGUUGUGACGGCAUAUUUAUAUGACUCAUUAGACUCUGAUAUUUAUAUGAAAAUUCCCGAGGGAUUCAAAAUGCUUAAAGCAUGCACUCCCCAUAAUUUAUUUUCAAUAAAAUUGCAAAGAUCCUUGUACUGGUUAAAGCAAUCCGGUCGCAUGUGGUAUCAAUGCCUAAGUUAGUACCUAAUUAAGGAAAGGUACAAGAAUGAUCCUAUCUGCCCAUGCGUAUUUAUUAAGAAAUUAGAAUCAGGAUUUGCUAUUGUAGCAGUUUAUGUCGACGAUAUAAAUUUAAUUGGAACUCCAGAAGAGUUAUCUGAAACUGCUAAGUAUUUGAAAAUGGAGUUUGAAGUUAAAGAUUUGGGUAAAACCAAACUUUGUCUUGAUCUAGAGCUUGAGCAUAAAGCAAAUGGAAUAAUCGUCCAUCAAUCAGCAUACAUUGAAAGAUUGCUUAAAUGUUUCAACAUGGACAAAGCUCACCCAUUGAGCACUCUUAUGGUUGUAAGGUCUUUAGAUCCCCAAAAUGACCCAUUUCGUCCUAGAGAAUCUGAUGAAGAGAUACUUGGUCCUGAAGUACCAUAUCUCAAUGCAAUUAGGGCUUUGAUGUACUUGGCACAAUGUACGAGACCAGAUAUCGCGUUUGCGGUAAAUUUAUUGGCACGUUUUAGUUCUGAGCCAACUCGGAGACAUUGGAAUUGAGUUAAACAUAUUUUUUGUUAUCUCCGAGGAACCAUAGAUUUGAGAUUAUAUUAUUCCAAGGAUUCCACUAACUCUGGUUUAGUUGGAUAUGCUGAUGCUAGAUAUAGAUUUGAUCCACAUAAGGCUUGCUCUCAAACCGGGUAUUUAUUUUGUUAUAUCGGCACCGCUAUUUCUUAGCGUUCUACGAAGCAAUCGCUAGUAGCUACAUCUUCUAACCACUCUGAGAUUAUUGCUUUAUAUGAAGCUGGAAGAGAGUGUGUUUGGUUAAAAUUCGUUAUAACACAUAUUCAUAAUUCUUGUUGCUUAAAACCGGUUACAAAUUCUCCCACUAUAAUUUAUGAAGAUAAUGUUGCUUGUGUUGCACAAGUCAGGGGAGGAUAUAUCAAAGGUGAUAGGACCAAGCAUAUCUCGCCAAAAUUUUUCUAUACUCAUGAACUCCAAGAAAGUCGACAAAUUGAUGUUAAACAGAUUCAUUCCAUAAAUAAUCUUGCAGAUCUUUUUACCAAAUCAUUGCCAACAUCAAGUUUUGAGAAUUAGUAUAUGGCAUUGAUAUGCGGCAAAUUCACAAGAUGCAAGAUUGAUUAGCCCCAGAAGUGGCUAUAUGGCUCAAUUGAGGAGGAGAUAUUAUGAACUAUGCAUUGUAGCAUUAAUAUGCUGCGGCGAAUUCACAAGAUACAAAAAUGAUUAGCCCCAACAGUGGCUAUAUAUGCAUUGCACUCUUUUUUCUUUUUGUCCGGUUUUUUCCCACAGAGUUUUUCCGGCUUAAAGUUUUUAACGAGGCAAUUAAUGCAUCCAUAAAAGGGAGAUAUCAUAACAUUUGUGCUCUGCACUAUUUUUCCCUUUUGUCUGGUUUUUGUCCCAUUGGGUUUUUCUGGCUUAAGGUUUUUAAUGAGGCAGUAUCAUUCGAUGCACAUUCAUAAUGAAUACGAUGAAUAUUCAAGGGGGAGUGUUAUGAAAUACAUGAAUGAAUAUUCAUUAUAUUCAUCUUAUUUAAUGUAGUUACUAUGGUACAUUCGUAUCAUACAUUCUAAGUACAUCUCCUUAUACAAUGAAUGUUCAUCUCCCCUAUCCAGUACAUGUAUCAUUCGAUACAUUGAUAUUAAUGAUAAGUACAUUCUUGUUCUCCUAUAAAUAGGAGUUUAGUUUUGAUGUACAAUAGAUAACAAUCACAAACACAGUGAAAUACAGUGAUACACUGGAAAUAAAACUCUCCUCUGGCCUUCUCUACUAUCUCUGGUGUUCAUUUGCUUUCUCUUCUCAAUCUCUUAUCUAUUAUAUAUUCGUAACGCAAUAUUUUACAACAAAUUUUUCAUUGACUACUUAUUUUCAGUAAUACAAUUGAUCGUUUCUAGAAAAAUAAUUUUAAAUUAUUCAUUUUUUUUACAAAAUAAACGGAGCAUAAAUUAUUGAAUAUUUUCGUUGAAAUUUCUUUAUGGAUCUUUCUUCUGAUUUGAACCCGUUCCUGUUUCUUCUUCUUGCUUAAUUCUCCCCUUUCCCGUUUCAAAACUUGUCUAGUCUCAAAGAAAAAAUGGCAGGUGGCAACACCGCGUAUAGGAGAAUUUUGUUGACCAGCCUUUAGUAUAUUUGUUAAGUAACUAACUUGAAAAUUUUAGGAUCUGUAUGUUUGGGAUUAAGUAAAAAUAAAAAGUUUUUUUUUUUUUUUUUUGCUUUUCUCAUCAAAUUUAAAAUUACAGUUUUAAAAAAAUAAUGAAGCGAGUAUAUGCGAAUAUGCUUGUCAAUAAUUAUAUGUUAUGAAAGUUUCAAUUGCUUUGGGUUCAAAAAAAUUCAAAAUGUGUCUAUCAAAAGAUAUAAAUUAAGAAAAUAUGAAAAAGAAAAAGUCUAUCAGGAUACACUUUAAAAUUACUGAUGUAACUACUUAGAUCGUUUUAUGUGCCACUCAAACUUCUGAAAUUGAGCUAUCUCAUAUAAUACGUCCUUAACUAGUAUUUGGACACCCAUUAAUAUAACCAAAAUUGUAAUAAUUCCAUAUCUAUUAUGAUUGAGAUUUACAAAAUGCAAAUACUUAGUGAAGUAUUAUAUAUGACUCACACAUUUGGCUUAUUAUUUAUCACGUCUCUAAAUUUUCUGAGGGCCAAUAUGGAUAGAGUAUUACUUUUGACUCUUUUAAAAAUAAAAAUAAAAACUACUUAGCAAUUUGCACACUUUAUUAUCUUUUAUGAGUCCGAAACACCUGAAAUUUUCACAAAAUGAAAAAAAUUGAUUCCUAAGUCAACAUACGAUUUCCUACAAAUUUUUUUUAGAUUUGAAUACUAUUGUAAUAUUAAAUGGAAAAUAAAACAUUUUUAUUACCUUUAAUUGAGCUAAAACAAAUUGAUCCUAAAUCAACGCUAAUUAAGUGAAAGAAUCUUCUCCUUCGGAGGGAAAGAAUGUAGAUUCGUUUGCAAGUCGUCAAAUCCGCAAUCAGUGGUUUUUUGAACGGGGAAGCAUUAAGGUGUGUUUUUGGAUAGAAUAAUUAUCAUGUCUCUAAAUUUUCUAUAGGUCAAUAUGGAUAGAGUAUUACUUUUUCCUCUCUCUUAAUAAAUACUUAGCAAUUCAAACCAGGAACUUUCUUGGAUCCUCGACGUGGUUGAAGGGUUACCUGAUCAAGAAAAGGGAAUUUCUCCCCGGGGCCUCUUGCACCUGUCCUCAAUUUGUGGAGCGGGCUGUUAGAAUGUAUUCUUUAUUUUAACGUAUCAAUAUCCACACAUCUUAUAACUUUAUUAGUACAGCUCCUUUUUCCUACCCUAUUCUUAGGAGUAUCCUCCAAUCGUUUUACAUCUCAGGGAUUUUGAGAUCCGAACGAGACUUGAGGUGAACUCUUUCCUUUCUUUUAAUAAAUACUUAGCAAUUUACACACUUUAAUUAUUUUUAAUGAAUCCCAAACACUAGAAACUUUCACAAAUUGAAAAUAUAGAUGCCUAAAUUCACAUAUAAUUUUCUAUAAAUUUUCUUUUUUGAAAUGUGAAUAUUAUUGUAAAUGUUAUAUGGAAAAUAAAAUAAUUUUUACCUUUAAUUAAGCUAAAACAAAUAGGUCCUACUCAACACUAAUCAAGCAAAAAAAGUUUUUCUUUUUUCCUCAAUCUCCAAUGGAAGAAGAAGGGAAAUAAAAAGGAAAAAGGUAUAGCUGAUGAAGAAAAGAAAAAAUUCAAAAAAAUAUUAUAAAUUCAGUAAAAUAAAAAGAAUUUGUCAACAUUGGCGUCGACCACAUAUUGACAAAUCGUUCCCAAAAUUGAGUUUAGUCGAAUCUAGUCUAAUUCCAUCCGGUCUAGUUAUAUAUUAUUAACAAUUUUCUUCCCCCCCCCCCCCCCCGAAAUAUUAAAUUAUGAGAAAUUUGACUUCUGCCUAAUAUAACAUAAGAUCAAUGUCCGAAACAGAGACAUCAUUCGGAUUUCCCUACGGCUCCAGUGAGGCCCAAUUAGAAUUAUGCUAAUUGUCAACAUCAUUUUGUUUAUGGAAACUUUAAUAACCCAAAAGUUAGGUUUAUGUGCAUAAAGUCUGUGGUUUGGGUAGCCGUCAUUUCGCAUGCGACACUCGAGGGAUCCUGAUGUCAGAACAGUGACGUAAGGAUUUGCUGAACCUCUAGUCCCCCAUCUCGUUGCUAGCAAAACGUACGUCUAUCUCGACCGUCGUACGCAACAAGAAGCAAAUCUACCUGAAGGAAAGGAUAAAUGUACGAUGGAUCAAUCAACGAGAAGAGGCAAUAUCUUUCUGUUUGGUAAUAGACAAAGAGCAACCGAUGCUGGAUACAUUAAGCCCAAAAGCAAAGAUACUGUCCGAUGUUCACUUUGGGUUGGAGCAAAGGUGUUCGGUCACUUACAGGGGCCUCUACAACACUUCAUUCCUCAUCCCUGUUGUAGGAUUGCCUUCGGUAUUUGGGGGAAUGUUGGAUCAUCUCCCCCUGGGAUUUUCAAUAUUACAAAAGCCAGGUUGCUUUUCAUGCUCAACGAUCCUAAUGGCGAUUUAAUUUUUGACCCAUCAAUGAAGAAUCACAUGUACGGUAUGAGCAUGAUUCACAUUUCAAAGAAUAAACAAUUUACGGUGGGCAACUAUAAGUCUCUCCAUGAUCAUAUGUGCUUGUGGAAAACUACAAAGGAAUUUCCUACUUUAUGCGAUACAAUGUUUCGAGGAGUACGGUAAAAUCUUAAACAAAGACCUAAUAAUCCAUGAAAAAUCUCUAAAAUUUUAAGGGGGCGCUUUCAACUGCAGUAAUCAAAGCAUCUAUAUAAGCCAACCUGCCAAACGUUGAUAUCACAGACAGCUAUUGCACUCCACACUCUAAAUAAAAAAUGGAACGCUUGGUAGGAUUUUGUCUGAUCAUGCUGUUUCCGUUCUCAUUCCUCAUUGGAAUGCAAGCCCUUAACUCAUCCUUUUUCUCUCCUUGCUCUCUAGGGGCAGCUGCGCCCUGUCGUCCUGAUCAGAAGUCUGACCUAGUUCAGUUCAUGAAUGCGAUGGUGCCGAAUAAUUCGACAUCCUUCUUCUGUCAAAUGGACGACAUUUGGCUCAAUGAAAAAAAAAAUAUGGUUUCCUGGACGCUGACAGAGAUUGUUGCCUGUGGGACGGAGUCACGUGCGAUCAUAUGACAGGUCAUGUCAUUCGCCUCGAACUUGGCUGCUUGCCCCAAAACCCGACCUGCUAUUCUUCUGCAGGGUCAUCAAACAGCACUGAAGUAUCCACGUUGGGUUCCCUCAAUGAUUCUUCUCCUCACAAAGCAGAAAGUCCAUCAGAGUCGAAUUCAAACAUGCUGCUUCAAAAUUUGACCAAGUUAAGAGUCCUCAUUCUCGAUGGGUUAAACAUGUCUGGCAUUGACGUGAGUGGCUUGAGGAAUCUGUCUCCAUCUCUGCAAGUCCUCAGCCUCAGUUCCUGCAAAUUGCGCGGCACGUUAGCCGCCAAGAUUUUCCUUUUGCCAAAGCUGACAUGUCUCAAUUUAUCAGGCAACGAGGAGCUUGCGGGUUACUGACCUGUUGGGAUUAACGGAUCCCCAAAAAGCGGAUUCGACACUAAAUCGAACCCCUAAAACGAAUGCGGAAGACAAGCCCGGGAAAAUCACGUAUCACCGAUCCUAAAGCACACCACGGAUUCGAGCGUACCUUGUUAGCCACAUAUUAGACACCGACUCCGAUAAGAGGAAGAGAAUUUGUCCAUGUUCGAUCCGAUGACGACAAUUCGCUUGGAAGGGGAGAAGAAAGUUGCCUUGUACUUACUGUUUCUUCUAUUUGAGAGAGAGAGAGCGUUGGAAAGAGAGGGAGACGUACGUAUGUUAAUGCCAAAAGGUACGUUCUGCCUCUCUCUCCUCCCUUAUAUAUGUCCCUUCAAAAAACAAUUAAUCGUGCCCCUUCAUCCAUGGGCCCUACUCUUGUGGGCCGGGCUUUUAGGCCCAACAUGGGCGGACGGGCCUUAAGCCCAUCACUAAUAAAACUAUCAUCUCCCACUCGCACAUGGUGGGUUGAACAUGAUUCUCUUUACCUCUCUUCAACAUUCAUACCGAUGAAUAAUCCGUGCGACCAGCAUACUUUGAGAGCUCGUUGCUAUGCAUCUGUUAGGAAUAUAUAGCAGCUCAUAAUGGGUGUCUCACUCUGAGUAGAUUUAGUAUGCAGUACCCUAGAUCGAUCGAUCACAUUUAUAUCUAUCUUGAUCUCUUUUAAACAAUGAUACAUAUAUUGUAUUCACAAUUAUAAUUAUCACAAAGACAGUCAUAAUUGGUCGACCAGUGAAUACAAAACUACAAUGUGAUUCCCCAAAAUCGAUCUUCCUCUUUCCUUCAAACUCUCAAUUUCAGUUCAGCUUGUUUUUCUAGAAAUGUCUCAUUAGAUCGAAUCAACUCAUGACCAUUGGCAACAUUCUAAGAUAGCAAACACUAAAUAGAAACCUUGAGAAUAAGUAAAAGUCAUGAGGGCACUAAAAUUGAGGAACUCUUUUUCUCAAUAGUCUCACACGUCAUAAAAGUUGAGAUUAAACUUUUUGCCACUCUUAUUGGUCGGCUCAUGCAUACGUAGUAUGAAAUACAUAUUACGGUAUUAACUCAUUUCCCAUGGAGCGUAUGUCUACACCUUUCAAUACCGUACAGAUGAUAGUUCAGACAUACCCAAUGUCUAACUUGAGUUCACGUAUCUACUCAUUCACAAAAAUUCAUCAGAACUCACAUCUGGCAUUAUAGACAGAUAAAGUAAAAUAUGUGGGUUAUUUUACUUUCGGACAUAGUAAGUAUUAUGUCAUCAUCUUAACACUCAGUUAAGGCGACAUACGUAUUUUAAGCUUAAGCUCUCGAUUAUCACCUAGAUAAUAAGCUUUAAAACAGUCUAAUCUCUAUUUAUCACACAGUAAAUAGAGGCGAUUACCCAUGUGAGUGGGCUAAUCUUUUAUCUGCCCGACAUACUUUCUCAACUUAAAGUAAUGCACUGAGCAUUAAGAUGCAUAAAGAUCAAACAAAGAUUUAUAGGCAUUAAUCAAUGAAAAAACAAAAAAUCAUAAAUGUGAACAACUCAAGGAAAUUACAAUUCAGUACAUCAGACUCUACGCAAUCCUAGAGAUUUUACAUGACCACAAAACACAUCUCUAGGUAUUGGCUUUGUCAUAGGAUCUGCUACCAUUCUAUGCGUAGAUAUGUACUGUAAGUUCACAUCCUUUCGUGCAACCAUAUCUUUGACAAAGUUAUACUUGGUAUCUAUAUGUUUGGUCUUGCCAUGAUAUUUUGGAUCUUUGGUGUACGCUAUAGCUGCUUGGCUAUCACAGUUAACUAAUAAUGGAUUUGCAGCUUUCUCAAUAACACCUAAAUGAUCCUCAUCAAUCAUUGUAAAAUCAUAUGCCAUUACGGCAUUAUGAAAACGUAUAUACCAUUGUCUCGAUGACUGCUUGAGGCCAUAUAUCGAUCUCAAAAGUCGACAUACCUUUUCUUCUUGGCCUUUCACUAUGAAACCAGCAGGUUGUUCCAUAUAUAUUUCUCCCUCUAAUUCUCCAUUGAGGAAAGCAGUCUUUACAUCCAUCUGAUGUAACUCAAGAUCCAUACUAGCUACUAUUGCCAGAAUAAUGCGAAUCGAGGUAAAUCUCACUACAGGAGAAAAUGUAUCUUCAUAAUCAAUUCCUUCCUGUUGAUUAUACCCCUUCGCUACAAGGCGAGCCUUAUGCAUUUCUAUCGAGCCAUCAGCCUUUCGCUUUAUUUUGAGAACCCACUUGUUCCCAAUAGCUAUGCGUCCUUUUGGAAGAUCAACCAGUUCCCAGACUUGGUUUGAUUUCAUUGACUCCAUUUCCUCUUCCAUUGCAUGAAUCCAUUUUUCCUUACUAGGGCAGUUCAGAGCCUCAUUAAUAUUUCUUGGCUCAUCCUCAUCUUGUGGAGCAACCAUAAAAGUUUCCCCUUCAAUGUCAAAACGUCGACGGGGAAUACUUUGGCGACUUGUUCGCCGUAUGGGAGAUUAUACACUUUGCACAUCAUUCCCCAUUAUGCUCCCACUUGGAUUAGAUAAUGAUGACAUCAUCUCAUCAUGUGGUUGCAAUUGAGAAUGAGUUGAAUUCAAUUCAUCACUUCUCAUAUUACUCCCACUUGAACGAACUCCACUAAUAUCAUUAUCUUGAUCCAAGGUUUCAAAUAGGGAGUGAUUUUCCCCUAUUUCGCCAUUUUUAGGAAAUUCAUCCUCUAAGAAUGUGACAUCCCGUGAUUCAAAUUCAGUUAUACUCCCACUUUCCUGCUCACCUAUGAACACAUACCCUUUCGAGUGUUCAGAGUAUCUUAUGAAAAUACUCUUCUUUCCUCUGGGACCCAAUUUCCCAAAUUUGUGAGAGGACUCAUGUGUAUAGGCAGCACAACCCCAUGGCUUAAGAAAACUUAAGUCCGGUUUUCUACCUGUCCAUAACUCAUAUGGAGUGGAAGUAACUGAUUUAGAAGACACACGGUUAAGUAUAUAGGUAAGUUAGCAUGCACCAUCAUGGACCUAACCAUUUCCAGUAGGGUUCUGUUUCUUCUCUCCGCAACACCAUUUUGUUGAGGAGUAUAUGGAAUAGACAACUGUCUUUCUAUUCCUUUUUCAUCACAUAAUUUUCUGAACUCAUCAGAUAAAUAUUCUCGACCUCGAUCGGAUCUCAAUGCUUUUAUUUUCUUGUCUAAUUGAUUCUCUACCAGGUUCAUAAACCUUUUGAAACAACUUAUUGCUUCAGAUUUAUGAGAAAUCAAAUAGACAUAUCCGAAUCGAGUAUAAUCAUCUAUAAAAGUGAUGAAAUAAACAGCCCCAUGCCUUCCUCACAUUCAUUGGACCACAGACAUCAGAAUGGAUUAAAUGCAGAGGAAAUUCAGCUCUUUUACCUUUUCCAAAUGGUUUCCUUGUCGUUUUCCCUUCUAGGCAAUGCUUACAUAUGGGCAAAUCGACUUUUUCAAUGUUGCCCAACAAGCCCUCUUUGGCUAGUCUAUUCAUAUGCUGUUGGCCAAUGUGACCAAGUCUAGCAUGCCACACAUUCACAUCAUUUUCAUAUGUAUUAGGAGACGUGAGAAGGGAAUAACAAACAUUUGCAUUAACAUAAUCAAUAUCUAAUACAAUGAAACCAUCCAGAAAAUAACCACAACCAUAGUAAUUCGUAUUCAAAAACAAAUCCACACCUCUAUUAUAGAAGUUCAUAUUAAAACCUAAUUUAACCAACACUAAAACAGACACUAAAUUCCGACGAAUCUCCAGAGCAUACAACACAUCAUGUAGGAACAAAGUGCGUCCACCACGCAUAUUCAGUUGGCAUGUACCAAUUCAUUUCACUUCAGCUCUGGAGUUGUUUCCCACAUAGAUCCACUUAGUUCCAGUUGGUACUCGUCAGAAUUCCACGAAGGAUCCUCUAUCCUUCGCUACAUGGUAUGUCGCUCCUGAAUCCACAGUCCACAAAGGAUUAGACUCAGUUAAGAACACAGAACUCGACACAAAAAGCAAAGUUCUGAAAAGUACAAGGGGUACAUACCUUCUUUGGCUCACGACAGUCGCGAGCAUAGUGACCCUUCUUGUCACAGUUGUAGCAUUUCACCCUUGCAAGCUUUUUCAUGCGAGGACGCUUUCCUCUUUCAUGUUGGUUAAACUUGGGUUUCUUCCCUGAAGGACCUGCUUCCUUGCCUUUCCCUUUAUCAAACCAGUUAGGGCGUUUGCGCUUGGAGCUCGAAGCUCCAUGUGAGCUAGAACUAGCAUGAUAGAGUUCAGCAUCCGGCUUAGCCGCCAAGAGGCGGUCCUCUUCCAGCUCAAGAUGGCGCACUGCAUCCUCAAAAGUUUUGAUAUUUUCAUUAUGGGUCAGGUGCACCUUCAUAUGCUCCCAACUCUGAGGCAAGGAACGAAUCACUGCUUGCACUUACUGCUCAUCAGUGAGGACAUGGCCAGCAUCUUUCAGCUCAUUUAUCAUGUUUGACAUCUUUCUAAGAUGUUGCUUCAUGGUCUAACCAUGAGGCUUCUUAUAUGAGUCAAACCUAAUAGUGAGCUGUCUCAGUCUGGUCAUCGAAGUAUGACCAAAUCUAGCUGCCAAUGCCUCCCACAUUUCCUUGGCAUUGUCAAAAUGCCUAAACUCUCGCAUGACGUCAUUUUCCAUGCUACUCAGCAACGUGAUGCGAGCAAGAGAGUUCUUUCUUUUCCAUGCAGCAAAAGCUUCUUUAUCUCUCUUGUGCUGUGCAGUGUUUCCUUCUUCAGGUUCUACCAUGGUCAGGUUAAGAGCUUCAAGUGCCUCUUGCUCUUCCAGCACAUAUUGGAUUUUCAUGUGCCAUAUCUUAUAGUUGUCACCAUUGAGCUUUUCACCUUUGUUCAACUCGGCAACUAUGCUUUUUGUGGCUGAAGCCAUUAAUCUGAACACAUUAGACAUAUAUGCACGAAUUAGUUAAUGCCUAUCAUUUAUGCAUCCCUUUUGCAUAGACCCAUCAUAUUAAUAAACAAUUUCAAGUAAGGUUUCAGAAUCAAAAGGUCACUAAGUUUCCAAUCAUCCUCCAAAAAUCCUAACUUAAAACUAUCAUUAAUAUAAUUGUUUUAUGCAAAAUAAAUUCUAUGAAGUUACAAAAAACUUCUAUAACUACCCACAGCAAACUACCCACAGCAACCAGCAAUAACAAAAAGCAACAGAUAAUUGACAUCCAAUAAAACAAUAAUGCUUUCACAUAAUACAACUAACAUAUCGGUUGCUACAUCAACAAUAAUCAGGUAGUAAACAUUACAUAAGAUGUCCACAAAGCACACUUAACUAAGAUCAGACAAUACAUCUAACACCAAGUCAGCACACGAACUGAGAAAGAUCCUCUUUUGUUCAAUUUCUUGAUCUUUUCCCUUGUAAUAAUCCAGUAAUAUUCAUUUACAAAAUCCAUCACAAUUUUCUUAUAAGAAGCAGCUCUGUUGACAUCCCAUAUGCGAUUCAACACUCCUUGCCAUUCAGGUGGAAGGGUGUUCAUGAAAAAUCGCACCAUCUCUAACUGUGGCAUAGGACGACCAUUCCAUAUGACAUUUUGAACUUUCCCGUUGACUUCAAGGACGUGAUCAAUUAAGUCACUACUCUCCCAUCGAUGAUCCGUCAGCUCAGCUAUCAACUUAGAAAGCCUUUCCUUUUGUUCAUCGGUAAUUGCGCGAAUAGGUGUGCGCUGUUGGAGAAAUCCUCGUGAAGAGUUUUGAAGUUGACAAAAUGUUUCCAUCAGUCUAGUCUGAAGGUCAGCAGACUCUGUUGGUUAAAGUCUGAAGACUUCCGGACAGCCAGACUCAAGACUCAAAGUCUAUCCUCAUUGACAGUCACUGAUCCGUUGAAAAAAGGUUAUCCCGAACUGGAUGUUUUGUUCAGGAUUUAACCUUAUCAUCUGGAGAAGAUCUCGUGGCUGGAGAAGACGUAUCAGAAUCCUUUGAUUGAUCAAGAUUGAUUCAAUGACUGAAGAUUCGAUGAUUGUCUAAAUAUUAUUGGAAGGUUCUACUUAUGGAAACCGAGAUCCUGAUUGUAUGGGCGAACAGGAUUGAUGGGCUAUCAACACGUUCCUUUAAUAGCUCGAACGAUCUUCCUAAUUGAUUCCGUCCAACGGGUAGAUUGAAGGAAUUCCUUUGGAAAGUGCCAACGGGUAUGAUAGCAUAAAUGAGUAUAUAAGGAAGACGUUCUUAGUUGUUUAAGAAGAGUGUGCGAUAGAAGAAUUCCAAAGUCUGAAGCUCCUAUUUGUUUAGAUAAAUCUCUUGAGCGAAUACUUGUAUACAAAAGAGAGUCUAUAUUUGUGAGAGACCUUGAGGAGGUGUGAUAGAACAUCUACACUGUGGAAUCAAGGCAAAGCUGUGCUGUAACUUCUCUUUUGAUCAUAGUAAAAUCCAGCCGGUGGGCUGUCAGUGCGGAAGAGUGGACGUAGGCUUGGAAUAAGCCGAACCACUAUAAAUCCUGUGUUUGAUUUUCUCUUCCUUACUCUCUCUACAUCGAUCGUAUUUCAAUCUGUUGCUUCCGUAUAUCGAAAAAUUGUUUGUGCGCCUAUUCACCCCCCUCUAGGUGUUUAUACUAGCUAUAUCAAUUGGUAUCAGAGCCCGUGUACUUACUUUAUUUGAAGUGUUUUACUUCAUAGUAAAAGAUCCAUGGCUAGUAUGUUAGCACCAGGGCUGAUGGAAGGGCAAAGCAAUACCAGACCACCUUACUUUGAUGGAAAGGAUUACAACAUCUGGAAGAACAAGAUGAAAGCUUUCCUACGAUCAAAGGAUCCUCUGGAAUGGGACGUUGUAGAAAAAGGAAUUACUCCUACCACUGCAUCAGUCUCUGAAAGAGGAAAAGAAACUGAAGAAUCCAGCGGAAUGUCUCAGGAAGAAAUAACCAAGAGACAGACACUCGAUGCAAAAGCAAUUUAUUCCUUAUAUUGUGCUUUAUCACCAACUGAAUAUAAUAGAAUAUCUUCUUGUGGUACAGCAAAAGCAGUUUGGGACAGAUUGCAUAUCACCUAUGAAGGAACAGAUCGAGUGAAGGAAACAAGAAUCAACAUUCUUCUCGGUCAAUACGAAGCCUUCAGAAUGAAGCCAAGAGAAUCAAUAUCUGACAUGUUUAGUCGUUUUACAGAUAUUGUAAAUGGUCUUGAAAAUCAAGGUCAACCAACUUCUGAUCCCAUGAAGGUAAACAAGCUACUGCGUGGACUCUCCAAGGAUUGGAAUCACAUAAAGACUUCGAUAAGAGAGACGUAGAGAAUUAUGCCACUAUCUGUCGAUGAGCUGAUUGGAACUCUUCAGUCCUAUGAAGUGGAAAGGAUCAAUGAAGAUGAAGAUCCAAGAGGUAAGAAAUCCAUUGCAUUAAAAUCAAAUGAUGAUUCUGAUGUUACAGAUUCUGAAGAAGAUAUGGACGAUGAGGAGCUUGCUCUCAUGAUAAGAAGAUUCAGAAAACUAAACAGAAAAGGAAGAAGGUUCAACUCAAAGAAACAAGGCUUUCAAAGACAGCAGACCAAGUAUGUUGAUGAUGAGGAACCAAACAAAGAUGUAGUCUGCUUUGAAUGCAAGAAAAAGGGACACAUCAGACCCAACUGUCCUCUUUUGAAGAAAAAGAAAGGAAAAGCUGAAAAAUUUCGAAAAGCUCUCAAAGCUGAAACCUGGAGUGAUACUGAGUGUGAAGAAAGUGAUAAUGAAUAUGCCAAUCUAUGUCUGAUGGCACAAUCAGACUCAGACUCUGGAUCAGACUCAGGAUCAGACUCAGACAGUGAAUUUGAGGCAAGUAAUUUUAAAAUUCCUGUCAAAGUUUCUAAAUAUAUUGAGGAACUAUGCGUUAGUCUUAAGACUUCUCUCAAAAGUAUUUCCAAACUAAAAAGGGAAAACUCAGCCCUAAAACAAAAGGAAAAGGUUUUAGCAGAAAAGGUUAAAAGUCUAGACUUGUCUGUUUCCAAUCUUAAAGAAAGUGAAGAAAAUCUUUUAAAAGAAAAUGCUUUCUUAAAAACAGACUUAUCUAAUAUAUCAAAGAAGUUUUCUAUGGGAUCUGAAAAACUUGAGAAAAUUCUUUCAGCACAAAGACCUUACUUCAAUAAGUCUGGUCUGGGUAUGACAGAAGAAACAAUUCCCUUGAUUGAUUUUCCUAAAGUAAAAGAAAGAAUUAAGAAAAGGCUUUCAAGUGAGGUUUACAAAAAUCACUUCAAGAAAGUCUUUGUAAAACCUGUAGGUAGAAAUGCUCUCAGAUGUUCUAAGUGCAACAGUCCGGAUCACUUUGAAAAAGAGUGUCCUAUGGUAUGGAAACCUAUUAAGAAAGUAUGGGCUAAUACUGUUUAUCUUACUAACACCAAAGGACCCAAGAAAAUUUGGGUACCAAAGAAAGCUUGAGACUCUUUGUUAAAUGCAGGUCUCCAUCAAGAAACAGGUAAAGUGGUAUCUUGACAGCGGAUGCUCAAGACACAUGACAGGAGACUCAAAUUGCUUUAUAAAGCUUGCUCAAGUAAAUGGUGGAAAAGUUUCAUUUGGAGUAAACAGCAAAGGAAGUAUUGUGGGAUUUGGAACAGUGAAAAUUGGAACUCUCACAAUAAGUAAUGUUUCCUUAGUGGAAGGACUCAAUUACAAUCUUCUCAGCAUUAGUCAAUUGUGUGAUACUGGUUUCAAGAUCUCCUUUCAAGAAGGAACAUGUUCCGGUAUCAGUAAAAACUCUACUCAAUCUUUUCUGGGUCGAAGACAUGGAAACAUCUAUCUUCUGGAUGUGAAACCAAAUGAAUCGCAAUGCCUUAUCUCAAUUCAAGACGAAGCAAGCUUAUGGCACAAAAAGCUUGGUCAUGUCAACAUGAAGCAAUUAGCCAAAAUUUCUUCAAAACAGCUUGUUCGAGGACUACCCAGAUUGCCAUACCAAAAGACUGAUUCAUGCACUCCAUGUAUUCUGGGAAAGCAGAUCGAGUUGGUAAGUUUGAAGAAAGAUCAGAUGAAGGUAUCUUCCUUGGAUAUUCUACUUCAAGCAAAGCCUACAGAGUCUAUAACAAGAAGAGCCAGACUGUGGAGGAGUCAAUGAAUGUCAAAUUUCAAGACUCAACGCAAGAUGAAUCAAGUCAGACUCAUCAAGAAGAGUCUGAACCUGCUACAAACCCUCCAAAGUCUACAACUCAAGAAGCAUCUCAGACUCUGGAAAACCAGCUUCAAGAUGUUCGUGAAGAUCUAAACAAAGAAAGAGAUCAUCAACCAGACAAAUCAACAAGUAACUGGAAGCAUAAGUCCAGUCAUCCCAAAGAUCUUAUAAUCGGCGAAAUGAAUGAAGGAAUUCGCACCAGAUCCAAAAGGCGAGAAGAGUCUAGUGCCGUGGCACUCGUUUCUGAAAUUGAACCAAAGAGCAUAGAAGAAGCUUUAUCUGAUGAAAGCUGGAUUGAAGCUAUGCAAGAAGAGCUCAGACAGUUCAACAUAAAUGAUGUCUGGAAAUUGACAUCCAAACCUAAAGGUAAAACUGUUAUUGGAGCUAAAUGGGUUUUCAGAAACAAGAUGAACGAGAAAGGAAAAGUCGUACGAAAUAAAGCAAGACUCGUGGCCAAGGGAUAUACGCAAGAAGAAGGAAUAGACUAUGAUGAGACUUACGCUCCAGUGGCAAGGUUAGAAGCUAUUCGACUAUUACUUGCGUUUGCUUGUUAUAAGAAUUUCAGGUUAUUCCAAAUGGACGUCAAAAGCGCCUUCCUAAAUGGAUUUAUCCAUGAGGAAGUAUAUGUGGAACAACCGCCAGGGUUUGAAGACCCAAAGAAGCCAGACUCAGUCUUCAGACUGAAAAAGGCUUUGUAUGGUUUAAAGCAAGCACCUCGGGCUUGGUACGACAGAUUGAGUAAGUUUUUAAUUCAAAAUGGUUUUGUCAAAGGUAAAGUAGAUACGACCUUAUUUAUCAAGAAGGAAAACAAAAGUUUCUUACUUGUUCAAAUAUAUGUGGAUGACAUUAUUUUCGGAUCCUCUAAUGAGAAUCUGUGCAAGAAAUUUUCUAAGUCUAUGCAGGAUGAGUUUGAAAUGAGUAUGAUGGGAGAAUUAACAUUCUUUCUUGGUCUUCAAAUAAAACAAUUGAAGGAAGGAACUUUUAUUUAUCAAGAAAAAUAUGUGAAUGAUCUUGUCAAAAGGUUUGGACUGGAGAAUUGCAAAAAGGUCGACAUUCCAAUGUCAAGUUCUUUAAAGAUAGACAAAGAUGAAGAAGGGAAGAAAGUUGAUCAAAAGCUGUACAGGAGCAUUAUUGGAUCACUUCUUUAUCUUACUGCCUCUAGACCUGAUAUUUUGUUGAGUGUUUGCAUAUGUGCUAGGUUUCAAUCAGAUCCUAGAGAAUCUCAUCUCAGUGCUGCGAAACGCAUCAUUAAAUACGUCGCUUCAUCAUCAAGCAUCGAUCUUUGGUAUCCUAAGACGGGAGACUUUAAUCUUCUGGGAUAUUCAGACGCAGAUCUGGCCGGUUGCAGAGUUGAUAGAAAGAGCACUUCAGGAACUUGCCAGUUGCUUGGAAGCAGGACAGUGUCUUGGUUUUCAAGGAAACAAAGCACUGUGUCUCUUUCAACAAUAGAAGCAGAGUAUGUAGCUCUUGGAAGCUGCUGUUCGCAAAUUCUAUGGAUAAAACAACAGCUAAGAGACUUUGAAAUUGAAGACUCAUGCACGGAGAUUAAUUGCGACAACACCAGCGCUAUCAACCUCACCAAAAAUCCAAUUCUCCACUCAAGAGCAAAGCAUAUAGAGAUUAGACAUCACUUUAUAAGAGACCAUGUUCAAAAUGGAGAUGUUUCAAUUCAAUUUGUUGACUCAAAGAAUCAACUGGCGGAUAUAUUCACAAAGCCUUUGGAGAAAAAUCAAUUUGAGUCUAUAUGGACCAGACUCAAUAUUUUGAGGUAUGAGGUUAUCAAAAUCUAAAGACUUUCAGACUCAGGCGUACAAGACUUUAUCUACUGUCUUGGCUCGACCUUCAGACUGUAAGUCUUUCUCUCUCCAAUCUUAUCUUGAAAAUGUACGAUCAUCACACUGUGUUUAAAUUGUUGCUAUAUUUAAUAAAUAUUGCAUCGAUUCACUUUCAAAAGGGAAGUUAUUUUUAAUAACUAUUUUUGCGGAUAAAGACAGUUAUUUUGAAAAGGCAUAUUUUUAUUUCCUUUGUGACGGUUUGUUUACUCUUCUUUUUAACCGAACAAGCACUAUCGAUUUCUCUUCACUUUUCUACUCUCUCUCUCAAAAACCCUAGAAAGCAUCGAUCCUCCAUUCCCGUUUGUCUUCUUCGCUAAAUCUUCAAAAAGUUAUCAUCUUUUCUAGGAAAGUCAAGCUAGGAAACUUCCAAACUCUGUUAAAGAUGUCUUCUUCACGAAAGUCGUCAAGAAUCGCAAGCAGGGGACCACAGAGAAUGAGUGAGGGGCCUACGCACUUCGAUCUUACUGAAGAUGAAGUUUCUCCAGAUCAGCAACCGAGCCCACAACAUUCUCAGUAGCGUCAUUCUCCACCUUCUAGUCCUCAAGGCGUUGUUGAUCAGCAUCAGGAAGAAAUCAUCGAGGAGGCAGACCCCGUAAGAGUUCAAAAGCCCGCUUUUAUCUACAAACUAUAUCGUGCUUUAAAAGGAAUUCGUACUCCUUUGAACUAUGUUGAUGAUUUUGUUAAAGAAAAAGGAUAUAGGAACGAAUAUAUCUUUCUGAAAAGAAUGGAAAGUUUGGGAAUCGCUCGUAAAGGGGUGGCUGAGGAAACCCUUGCGAAUAUCCCAAGUGAUCCUCGUGACUGGGGGCCAAAUCCUGUAGAUGGGAAUGAUGAUGACAAUCUGUUCAGUCUAUUUCAACCGAAAAUGGGUAUUGCGGCUGAAAUUCAAGGAAAAAGGGGAGAUUUGUUCAGAUCAAAGGAACAAAAGGAUCUGUACUCGAAAUUGCUGAAGCGUGGGCUAAUAAACCCUAGGAGUGUGGACUUUGAUUUUCUGGAUGCUGUGAAAGUGAACUUGAGGGAAAAGUUCAGUUAUCUUCAACUUGAAAAGUUUUGCUCUGACUCUACUGAGGCUUAUACUGAAUUGACUGCAUAUUUCUAUUCAAAUCUUAGCUUUUUGGAUGCGAAUAGAUUCUCCUUCAGUGUUAAAGAACAAGACUAUGUUGUGGAUAUGAAUAUGCUGGCAGAUGUGCUAGAAGUUGAGAGAGGCAGAUAUCAUCCGAUUAAAGUUUCCAUUGCUGGGGCUACACUUGAACUAGUGAAAGACAGGAGAACAGAUGAGAAGAUCACUUACUCACGGAUGAAUGCAUUCAACAUCUUGCUUCACAAAAUUGUGAUCAAUUGCCUUCGGCCGAAAUCAACUUCCAAAACUGAUGUGUCAAGUUCUGAGGCAAAGUUGAUGUAUGCCAUCCUCUGUGGUAAGAAGUUUUCUCUCCCUCAUACUGUUAUGUUUCAUAUGUAUAGAGCAGUGAUGAAGGACAGAGGUCAACUCCCUUACCCAAGCCUUGUUACGAAGUUAUUCAGACAUCUGAAUAUUCAGCCUCCGCAAAUCUUUUGUGUUCGAUCAUGCGAUCAUAUGGUGGUAGGACUGAAAAUGGUAACCAAAAUGCGUCUGAAGGAACUGAGCAAGGAAUUGGAGAAAUUCAAGGAGAAGACUCCUACCAAAUCUCAUCAAUUCUCUUCUUCUGCUAAGAGAAAAGGGAAGGAGCCCAUGGCUGCUCCAUCAAAGAAAAGAAGAGCUCUCCUCGUUGAGGAUGAAGAUGAUGACGAUGACAUCACCAUCUCUGCAAUGGAUUUGAGGAACUUAAGUCAUCCUGUUCCACAGAAAGAAUCGGAACAAAGGUCGAAAGAAGCAGAGGAGAAGGAAGAAGAAGAAAGAGAAGCAAAGGAGAAGGAAGAAGAAGAAAGGGAAACAGAGCAAGAAGCAGAGCAAGAAAGACCUGAAGAAGAAAGAAGAGAAGGAGAACCUGAGGAAAUCUCUUCUCCACCUGUAGGCAUGAAAACAGGGGGAGUUCAGGAGAAAGGAGUGACAUCUUCAUUUCCAGAUGAAAGUGAAGGAGUUAGUCGUUCGCCUGCAGACCCAGAAGAUGUUUAUGCAUCUCAAUUUCCAGAGGAAGGUCAUGAAGCUUCAUCGCCCAACCUGCGAGAUUAUGCUGAUCCACCAUCGUCUGCUUUUACUCCAUCAGAACGAGCAGAAGCAAGUACUCAGACUGAUAAUGGAGCAGAUUUUAGCAGAAUCAUGGAUAUUCUCUUAGAGAUGAAAGGUCAGAUUUAUGCCUUGGGAUGCGAAGUUCAAAGCUUGAAGAAUGAAGGUCAAGCUUCUUCCUGUUCAUUAAAUGAAAAGAUGCAAGCCCUCUCUAUUCAGAAUCAGGCCAAUGCCAAGAGUGAGGAGGUUGUACAGCUAAAGGAAGACUUUAAGAGGCUGGAAGGCAUUGUUCAGUCUAUGGAAGAUUUCCAGCUUGUCCGCGUUCCCAAGCAAUCUUGAUUUCAUCUCAUCCUUUUUAAAUGAUGACAAAAAAGGGGAGAGAUGCAUGAUUUGAAAACUUUCAAUUUUUUUUAACUGUUUGUUGGAUUGUGUUUAACUGUCUGUUUGUUUUUUACAGACUUUGACUUGUGUAUGGAUAAGAACUGCCUAGACUUGGAUUUGACUGGAUUUGACUGCUUCUAUUUAUCAAUAUUGAUAUCUUAUGAAUGGCUUAAAUCAUAUAUUGGACUAACCUAUUUUCUGUGGUUGCAGAUUCUAGUGUUAUUCUAUUAGCCAUUUAUUUCCAUAAGAUAUGCAUAUGUGUUUGAGAAAUGUUUUGCAGGUCAAAGUUAUCCAAAUCUGCAGGAAGGUUUUGUCACCAUCAAAAAGGGGGAGAUUGUUGGAGAAAUCCUCGUGAAGAGUUUUGAAGUUGACAAAAUGUUUCCGUCAGUCUAGUUUGAAGGUCAGCAGACUCUGUUGGUUAAAGUCUGAAGAUUUCCGGACAGCCAGACUCAAGACUCAAAGUCUAUCCUCAUUGACAGUCACUGAUCCGUUGAAGAAAGGUUAUCCCGAACUGGAUGUUUUGUUCAGGAUUUAACCUUAUCAUCUGGAGAAGAUCUCGUGGCUGGAGAAGAUGUAUCAGAAUCCUUUGAUUGAUCAAGAUUGAUUCAAUGACUGAAGAUUCGAUGAUUGUCUAAAUAUUAUUGGAAGGUUCUACUUAUGGAAACCGAGAUCCUGAUUGUAUGGGCGAACAGGAUUGAUGGGCUAUCAACACGUUCCUUUAAUAGCUCGAACGAUCUUCCUAAUUGAUUCCGUCCAACGGGUAGAUUGGAGGAAUUCCUUUGGAAAGUGCCAACGGGUAUGAUGGCAUAAAGGAGUAUAUAAGGAAGACGUUCUUAGUUGUUUAAAGUGUGUGCGCGAUAGAAGAAUUCCAAAGUCUGAAGCUCCUAUUUGUUUAGAUAAAUCUCUUGAGCAAAUACUUGUAUACAAAAGAGAGUCUAUAUUUGUGAGAGACCUUGAGGAGGUGUGAUAGAACAUCUACACUGUGGAAUCAAGGCAAAGCUGUGCUGUAACCUCUCUUUUGAUCAUAGUGAAAUCCAGCCGGUGGGCUGUCAGUGCGGAAGAGUGGACGUAGGCUUGGAAUAAGCCGAACCACUAUAAAUCCUGUGUUUGAUUUUCUCUUCCUUACUCUCUCUACAUCGAUCGUAUUUCAAUAUGUUGCUUCCGUAUUUGAGAAAAAUUGUUUGUGCGCCUAUUCACCCCCCCUCUAGGUGUUUAUACUAGCUAUAUCAUGCGCAACCUGAGGGGAGGCAUAGUUCGUGCAACAAAUGCAGAACUAUUCCUGCAACAAAUGCAGAACAAAUAAGGGAUUACAUAUAAUCCACAUAAACUUAAUUGAAAAAGAAACAUAUUCUUUUCCCCUUCUUUUUUUUUUGGUCAACGGUUGUCGGUCAACGGUCAACGGUCAGGUCGCCGGUCGUCUGACCGGUCGGGCUGGGUCGGACGAACCGACCACACGUGCCGUGCGCAUGCGCGGGCUGACGCGGGUCGGGUCGGGUCGCCGGUCGAGUCGUCGGCCGGUGACCGCCCGGCCAACCGUCGUUAGCGCUGACGUCAUCCCAACGGUUACCGACCGUUGGGUGACGUCAGCACACGUCGGUCCGCCGACCGGCGCAUGCUGGUUCGCCGCCGGCAUCGCGCACAUGCCGGUUCACCGACCGGCGCAUGUGACGCACGCACUGGCCGAGCCAGCGCUUCCGGCGCGUGUGGGCGCGUGCGGGCGCGUGCGACGUCUCCCGGCAGUGCACGACAUGUCGCCGGACUCGUCUCGACGAGCCCUUUCACCCUAUGCCUUCAGAAAUCGAUUUUGAGUUACAGAAACUCGAAAAAACGGACGAACAGUGCUCGGGUGUCGGUAUUUUGCGCCCCGAUCCGUGUCGGCCGAAAAUUUUCGCGAAAAUUCAAUAAAAAAACAUGAAAGGGGUCGGGAAAACAUGAACUAGGGCUCUGAUACCAAUGUUGGGAUUAACGGAUCCCCAAAAAGCGGAUUCGACACUAAAUCGAACCCCUAAAACAAAUGCGAAAGACAAGCCCAGGAAAAUCACGUAUCACCGAUCCUAAAGCACACCACGGAUUCGAGCGUACCUUGUUAGCCACAGAUUAGACACCGACUCCGAUAAGAGGAAGAGAAUUUGUCCCUGUUCGAUCCGAUGACGACAAUUCGCUUGGAAGGGGAGAAGAAAGUUGCCUUGUGCUUACUGUUUCUUCUAUUUGAGAGAGAGAGAGCGUUGGAAAGAGAGGGAGACGUACGUAUGUUAAUGCCAAAAGGUAUGUUCUCCCUCUCUCUCCUCCCUUAUAUAUGUCCCUCCAAAAAACAAUUAAUCGUGCCCCUUUAUCCAUGGGCCCUACUCUUGUGGGCCGGGCUUUUAGGCCCAACGUGGACGGACGAGCCUUAAGCCCAUCACUAAUAAAACCAUCAUACCGAAUCAACUUGGAAUACUCUGAAGGUUUUGGACUUGUCCUCCACGGGCUUCUCUAGAGUAUUACCAGAGUCCAUCGGCGACCUUCAUUCUCUGGAGAUACUCUGGCCAUACGAUUGUAAUUUCAAUGGCUCCAUUCCAUCAUCACUCGGUAACCUGAGACGACUCACCAGAUUGGAACUCUCAUUCAAUGAGCUUAGUGGUCAUGUUCCUCCAAUUCUGUCCAACCUUGAUCGGCUCACUCUGCUUGAUCUUGCCUCCAACAAUUUCGUAGGUUCAAUACCCGAUGUCUUCGACAACAAGACACAACUUCAACAACUGCUUUUCUUACUUAACCACUUCGUGGGCCCCAUUCCUCCGAGCAUAAAAAAUCUUUCCAAUCUAGCCCGACUCGACAUUUCCAAUAACCCCAUUGGGGGGUCUAUAGCAUCAUCACUGUUCUCUCUUCCGUCCUUGACGAGCCUAGACCUCAGUAAAAAUGGGCUCAGUGGUCACAUAGGCAAGUUCUUUGCUGCACCCUCAUUAGUUCAUGUUGACUUGAGUGGUAAUCAGUUAAGUGGCUCAAUCCCGAGCUCGAUUUUUCAGCUGGGGAACCUCACCUACUUGAGUAUCUCAGGAAAUAACCUGACUAGUGUUUUAGACCUACAAUUGCCGUCGGGACUCAGAAGUCUAGCAGAUCUUGAUCUUUCGAACAACAUUUUGUCACUGAGCAAUAGCAAAAUUGUUGAUUUUGUCUUGCCGCAACUUUCAAAAGUCAGUCUUUUAGGGUGCAAUAUUACUGCAAUCCCUGCAUUUUUGAGUAAUUCAACCAGCGUGGGGUGGAUAGCCCUGUCGCGCAACAUAAUCCACGGUAAUAUCCCAGCAUGGAUGUGGGAUGUUGGGACCAGGUCAUUGUCUUAUCUCAAUGUGUCUCACAACUUCCUCACUAGCUUUGAACAAGUUCCAUGGGAAAAUCUUAUAAUUUUUUACCUGAAUUCGAACUUGAUCCAAGGGCCAUUCUGCCGCCAUCACUCCCGAAUUUGGUUCUCAUCUUCUCGCUGGCUAGCAAUCGAGUGACUGGCUAUAUUCCUGGCUCUAUUUGUGAAAUGAAGGGCCUACAAAUUCUUGACCUCUCUGGCAACAAUUUCACUGGAACAAUGCCUCAAUGUCUAGGGAACAUCAGCGACAGCCUUUUAGUGUUGGAUCUACAAGAAAAUGGACUUUCCGGCAUUAUCUCACUCACAUUCGGCAAAAAUGCUAUCCUGAGAAGUCUUCACCUCAAUGGAAACAAAUUUGAAGAUCUGUUGCCGCGCUCUGUAAUCAAUUGCACGCAACUUGAAGCGCUAGUUCUCAGUGGUAACAAGUUGAACGACACUUUCCCAAGAUGGUUGGAAACACUUCCUAACCAGCGGGUCUUGGUCUUGCGAUCAAACAGACUUCACGGCUCCACAGGCAACCUCAGAACUGAAUUUCCCUUUCUGCAGUUGCGCAUUCUUGACCUUUCCUCCAAUAAGCUCACCGGUCCUUUGCCCAGCACCUANNNNNNNNNNNNNNNNNNNNNNNNNNNNNNNNNNNNNNNNNNNNNNNNNNNNNNNNNNNNNNNNNNNNNNNNNNNNNNNNNNNNNNNNNNNNNNNNNNNNGACGAUGAAAGGACUUGAAGUGCAUCUCCCUAAAAUCCUAGUGACCCAAACGACCGUUGAUUUAUCAAGCAACAAGUUCCUGGGAAGGAUUCCGGAUGUAAUAGGAGAGCUAGGAUUAUUGAAGGGGCUCAACCUUUCUCAUAAUAAUCUCGAAGGCCAUAUACCAUCAUCUUUGGGCAACCUUUCCGAGCUUGAAUGGCUGGAUCUUUCUUCAAAUGAUCUUAGCGAGGCGAUACCAAUUGAAUUGACAAAAAUCACAUUUCUGGAGGUCCUAAAUGUCUCUUGCAAUCAACUAAUAGGAUCGAUUCCUCAAGGGAAACAAUUCAACACAUUUCAAGCCGAAUCCUAUGUUGGUAACCCAAGAUUGUGCGGGUUUCCAUUGUCCAAAUCUUGUACAGAUUCCAGGGUGCCGGGGAAGCUUCCCGUCCUACCUGAAGGUAGGAUCCACUCAUUCUUUGCAGAUUUUGUCAAACCAGAGGCUGUGGAAAUAGGAUUAUUAUGUGGCAUAGUGGUCGGACUAGUCAUGAGUAACUCGCGAUAUCUUAGAUCCUUUUGGCGAGCAAAGAGGGAAGUUAGAAAGAUAGCUAGGAAACAUAUUUCUCCAAUGGGGCCUUCAAACGACACGACAUAUUAGCCAUGGUAGCGGAUUAGUGUCGCCUAAAAAAAAAAAGAUUUAUUAGUGCAAAACAGUGUUGCCCAAUCGUGUGAUUCGUUCACGCGAAUGGUGAAUCUUAAGACUAUGUAAAAAGUUACGGAAUAACUCCAAAAAAUAAUAUUCCAUACAAAAAAGGUUCAUUGAAUGUCGGAAAAACACAAAAAAGAUGAUAAUCGUAAACCCCAUCUAAGCUAGGAGCCUUCGUCGUCGUUGUUCAUUAGAAAAAUCGACACCGGCAACUCAGUUGCAAGCCAAAGAGUAACGUUGGAGACGUUAAUAGAUGUCAUCCUAAAUAUAAUUCAUGGGGCUGUUUCACAAAUCACAAGUUAAGAGACUCAAAAGUUAUCGUGGGGGAUAUAUGAUGAAUGAUUGGGAAGAACAAUGAAGUCAAACUUUAAUGUGUGAUAUCACUUUCUUUAAAGGAUUAUUUGCCCCACAACGUUGUUAAUGGUCACUAGAAAAUUUCCUCUGAGUUACAACACAGCCUCGAUUGAGAAUACUAAAUAGUAAUUCUAGUGUUUGUCCAGAGUAUCUCAAGAGAAAUAAUUAAAAUGAUUGAUGUAUUGUUGGAAAGAAAAAAUCAAAAAGACUUCGGCUCCGUUCGUUUCGCAGAAAAUGUGGCAUUUCUGGAAAAUAUUUUCUAGAAAGUCAUUUUCCAGGAACAUGUAAUUAUUUUCCAGUGUUCAGAUGAAGUCUGAAAAUGAAGUGGAAAAUAUUUUUCGUUGUUCGGUAAGGAAAAUAUUUUCCUCCAUAUACUCUUUUUCGUUUAUUUUAUUUUUUAAAAUGGAUUUUCCACAUUUUUUAAAAAUUUGAUUUUUAAUUAUUUUAAAAUUUUAAAAUCUAUUAUUAAUUUUUUUUUCAUUUUUCAUUUGCUUUUCUUUUUUCUUUGUUUUCCAUCUCCUUCUUUCUUAGCCAGUCGCCGGCCACGAUGAUGACUUGCGACCAGCCAUUGGCGAGCCUCGAGCUCGCCGACGAGCACGAGGCUUGCCGCUCCCCAAAUUGGCAAGCGCGAGCGUCAAGCUCGAGACUCACUAGAUCGACAAGCGCGAGCUUGAGAUCGACAAGCUUGAGGUUUGCCUAGCGACGGCCGAUGACUAGCCAAGAAAGAUGAAGAUGGGAAGCAAAGAAAAGAAAAGGAAAAAAAAAAAUAAUAAAUAGAAAAUAAAAAGGAAAUUAAAAAUAAUUCGAAUUAAAAAAGAAAAAGAAAAUUAAAAAAUAAUUCAAAUAAAAAAAGAAAAGAAGAAGAAGAAAUUGGAGAAGAAAGUGAGGAUUUGUAAAGGUGUGGGAUAAAAGAGAUCAAGUGAGGAAAAUGUUUUCCACUUUUCAAAAAUGAAAAACAUUUUCCCCUAAUUUAGAACACUUUUUUCCUUUCAUGGAAAACAUUUUCCCUAAGGAAUUCAUUUUCUGUGAAAUGAAUGCCGAAAAAUCCGGAAAACGUUUUUCUGGAAAUUGCUUUCCACGAAACGAACGGAGCGUUCAUUUUCAUUCAUUCUAAAACUGAUGUACUUAUCUCAGUCUUAAUGAGUAGAGGCAACCCUUCAUAAAAUGUUGCAAGUGAAUAGGUAUGUUUUUAAAGGUUAUCUUGAAAAUACAUAUAAAAAUUCGAAAUAAUAAAUAAUAAUUAAUUUUUUAAUAAUUCCGAAUUUUAUCAUUUCUGAAUAUACCGAAUAAACAAAUACAACCUUUCAAAUAAAUCCUUAAAAUUUUUGGGAAAAAUAUAGCUUCGAAUUGGGUAAAACAAUAAAGUCGAAUCUUUAGAGUAAUAAAGUCCGAUUUUGAGACGAGAUAUCAAUUUAUUUGCCCUACAAAGUUGCUAAUAGUCACUGGCAAAUUUCCUCCAGGAUACAACAAAGUCUCAAAUGAGAAUACUAGAUAGCAAUUCUAGUAAUUCUCCAAGGUCUCUCAUGGGAAACAAUUAGAAACAAUGGCUGUAGUUUCUUUAGAAAGAAAACGAAAAAAUGAAAGAAGAUAUUAGUUGGAUCUCAAAACAAACAUACUUAUCUUUGUCUUUCGAAUAGAGGCAACUCUUCAAAAUGUUGCAAAAAGUACAAAGGCAACCUUUCGGGAAAUGUUGCAAAAUGAAUAAGUACGUUUCAAAUGUUACGUUCAAAAGACAUAAAAAUUUCGGAAUUAAAUAAAUAAUAAAUAAAAUUAACCGUAACUUUUUGUGAACAGUCGCACUGUUUCAACAAGAUUUUAUAGUUAAUUUUUAUAGAAAUAAAUCCAAAUUUUUCCAAUAAAUAAAAAUAAUGAUCAUUGGUUAAUGCCAAAUCUCGUCCACGUGCGCACUCACAUCUUUUCGAUAUGGGACAAGGCAUCUCUUUAUUUGUUUUAUAAACAAAUUACCAACAAUCCCCCACUUUUGUUUAUAAAACAAAAACAAAAAAUAAAACUUCGAAAUAUAUAGCCAAAAUUUCCUUGAGAUUAAUAUACAUACAUAAAGGUCUCUUUCGAGUUAAACCUUUACUUAGUGCAAGUAUCUCAAAGCUCUAUCAAAGUGACAAGUAGUUCGGCUUUAAACUUGUACUUUUAUAUAAUAGAAUUGGACAUACCGCACAUAUACUAACAUCUUGUUUCAGCGAGAAGUUCUAUAUUACUCCGCACUAUUAUGGCAUUGUGCUUGAUCUUGUUUCAUGAGCUCUCUAGAAAGCAACCCUAACUUUUGUAAGAAGCAACACCACUUCUAAGCUCAUAUAGGUGAAGUAUCUACUAUGUGUUUCUGUUACUAUCAACACAUUACAAGUUUGUACUAUACUUCAUUAAGAAUUCAAUUCAACCUUCAAAACGUAACAGAUGAUACUGACUUCUCAUAUCAGGGCUACGUCAGUAUCAAACAAUCACAUUCAGUAACUUGUUUUUACCCAUUAAACCUUGUAACUAGUGAUGUUCUAGAAAAAUGUCAGGUUACCAUUAUUGGUGAUUUUAAUUAAAGGGUUCCAGCCUCGUUUCUUAUGAGGUCAUUAUUACCAUGUCUCUUGAGAAAGCCUUUGUUGAGGGAUCGAUUGACCUCACAUAGACAAUUAUUAUAGUACCAUCUUUAAUCAAUUGUCUCAUAUACUCAUGUCAUAGACUAAUAUGUCUAGACUUAUCAUUAUAGGUGCUACUAUAGGCUCUUGCCAAAGUAGCUUGACUAUCAUAACGGAUAGAAAUAGGAGGCAUAGGACUAGGCCAUAAUUUAAUAUUCAACAAUAAAUUCCUAAUUCAUUUGGCCUCGUUCCCAGUUGCCACUAAAGCAAUGAAUUCAGGUUCUAUCAUCAAGUAAGUUAUGUACAUUUGUUUCUUGCUCGUCCAAGAAACAACACAUUCAUGUAAUGUGAAAAUCCAUCUAAAAGUUUCAUCUCCCACACUUAUAACCCGACUAACAUCUGUGUAUAAUUUCAAUACAACUGAAUAAUUAUUAUAGAACAAUCCCAAAUUUAUAGUCUUCUUAAGAUAACCCAAUGUUCUAUACUCGGACUACUAAUAUACUUACUCAACUUGCACAAUAUCAAGUCUAGUAUAAUGCAUCACAUACAUUAAAGACCUUAUAGAACUAGCAUAUUUAAAUUGUGCUACUGGUCUACCAAUAUUAUAAUUUAAUAAAAUACUGGAAUCAAAUGGAGUAUUCAAUUCUUUGAAACCAAGAUGUUAAAAUUUUAUUUAACAUCUUUUCCACAUUAUCACUUUGGCUCAAAGAAAUAACCCCCACUAUGUUUUUAACUUUAAAGCCUAAGAUAGUAUCUACUUUACUCAAAUCUCUCAUUUUAAUAAUGAAAGUUAGAUACUUCUUAGUCUCAAUGAUUCCAUUUAUAGUAGUUCCAAAAUAAGGAUAUCGUCAACCAUGGCUCCAAAGAAAUCACAAAGAUAUGCUUAUUUGGCUUCCUUCUUUUUGUCUCAGCCGCCUCCUCCUUUCCCUUUUGCAGCUUUGAAGCCUCGGAAGAACAUUUGAGACAAGAAACAAGGGGACCAGCAAAUUAAGAAGCGAGCACAACCAAGCAUUGUCAUGAAGCAUUGGUCGAAAUAAGACAAGUUUUUUUUCUAGUUCUUUCCACGUGAAAGCCCCAAAAACAUUUAGAAUUAUCAAUCCACUCAUUGAUGCCUGUCAUGGCUAUCGUGACCACUGGAAGCUGUAAGGAAGCAUUAAUGACAGCAUUCUAACACAGAGUCUGCCCAUGGGAAGUGGACCUUUUACACUUCUCAAAUCCCAAUUUACACUACACUCAAAAAUUGGGACUUUGUCAAUCAUUAACCAAAAUCCUUUGUCCACUUUGCAUGCCAAGUUUUGCAUAUAAUCCCCUUAUCUUACGUCCUUUAAGGCUCUUGCACACAAGAUGUUAUGGCGAUAACAAUGUAAUAAAUAAACAAAAUCUUCCGAAGCUAUAUCAAGGAACCUCCUCUCCACAUGAAUUUCCACAUAACAUAUUUACCAUAUCCAUUGGUCAAUUAAGGACCAGCCACUCAUAAACUACACAUGUGACACGAUACCUACGGCUUCCUUGCCUCUUCUGCAUGUCUUACGUGGCAUUUAGAAAGAACCACAAUUUACACAGACUGAAAGUAAUAUCAAGUCAACCCAUUUAAUAUUCUAAUUCUAAGCUCCUACAGCAACCCAAGCAAUUGUAGGAUUCCUAUUACACAUGCACAUAAAAAAGCAAUGCAACCACAGGGGAAUAACCACCGUUCUUAUAGAUAUGACAACCUAAUGUAAAAGUAAGAGCAGAAUGAUAAAAAUCAGCAUAUAGUUUGUAUUCGCCAAUCGGGGGAUAAAACCAUACAUUGAUGAACCCAGAUUAGAGACCAAAUUUAUGAAAUAUCUGUCAAAGAUGUGUGCAAUCACUGACACAAACUCGAAUAGAGCCGAUUCAAAUCCAAUCUAAAACAUGCCAUGUUGUUUCCUUUUCUCAUUAAAAUAGACUGUGACAAAGCAGUAGAUAUUACCUUGUUAAUAGAUUGGCAAGAGGGUUGAUGGCAAAAGCUUCGGUUAUCAUUGACGAUUGGAAUCACAGCCAAAAAUCUCGACCGAGAUCCAGUCGCUUCAGUUUCUCGGUCGUGAAGCAGAGCAAAAUAGAGCACGCUUUAUGUUUUCUCCGAACAAUUGCUACACUUCCCAGUCAGUGAUACUCGGCCAGUAUCACGGAAGUAAUUGAUUCUUUCCCCGCCCCGCACUGGGUGACCUUGCAUCACGCACUCGGUCAUUGCUGGAGGGAAGAAGGCCCUACGGUCUGACUUCCCAAACCCAAACUGACAUUCAGAGAUUAAUGGGGAAGAGAACCGUGUGUAUCCUUCAAUUUUAGCAAGAAUCUGCUAUCCUCCAAAUUCCUCAAUUUACAUGAUCCAACUGUGGGGGUUCCAUAUGAAACGUCAAUCCCUAGGUCUUGAAUUUCUAGCCACGAAGGGUGAUUCAGGAACUGCACUUCGCUCUUGCGCUACGCGAUGUUGGUAGCGUAGCCAUGGUUGCAGUUGUUGAUCUAACGAGCAAAAUUUGAGUCUCCAAGACCAAAGACAAGACCAAACAGGGCAUCCUUUGUGACGGUCGAGUGAACAGAAAUGAUACGCACUCCUAUGAAGGCAACGAUUGGCAAUUAAGAGGUAGGAGGGAGUUUGAAGGAAAUCACCGAGAAAGCCACUCCAAAGUUCCAUUAGUCUAAGCCACCAAUGCCCUCUACCCUGAUCUCUUAGUAUCUCCAUAGUUCGACAAAUGCCGCCAAUUCUCAAAUUUGGCGGUGUAAGGCCGCCGUUGGAAGUUAUGUGCCAAUCCGGGCACGAAUUGGCGGUGUAAGGCCACCGUUGGAAGUUAUGUGCCAAUCCGGGCACUUGACGUCACCUGUGGAAGAUCGAACUUGAAGUUUACUCUGGGCCAUCUCGCACGCCUAGGUUUGCUGAGUUCGAGACCAUUCGGGGUUUUCAGCGCUAUGAGCGAAAACCUCUCGUACCCCCACAACUGCACCAGCCUAAACAGCCCUCAACAACCACGGUGACAAGAAAGUCGCGUGCUCGAUCUUUGCUGCCGUGGAAUGAAGAAGAGGAUGACAUUUGCAUUUUGCACAUCCCUUGCUUAACCCAUCAUCAACCGCAUCCUUAACUCCAUUGGUGCACAAAUAAAUCCUUAAAAUUGUUGGGAAAAAUAUAACUUCAAAUUGGGUAGAACAAUAAAGUCGAAUCUUUAGAGUAAUCAAGUCCGACUUUGAGGCGUGAUAUCAAUUUAUUUGCCCCACAAAGUUGUUAAUGGUUACCGGCAAAUUUCCUCCAGGAUAAAACAAAGUCUCAAAUGAGAAUACUAUAUAGCAAUUCUAGUAAUUCUCCAAGAUCUCUCAUGGGAAACAAUUAGAAACAAUGGCUGUAGUUUCUUUCGAAAGAAAACGAAAAAAUGAAAGAAAAUGUUAGUUGUAUCUCAAAACAAACAUACUUAUCUUUGUCUUUCAAAUAGAGGCAACUCUUCAAAAGGUUGCAAAAAGAACAAAGGCAAUCUUUCGGGAAAGGUUGCAAAAUGAAUAAGUACGUCUCAAAGGUUACAUUGAAAAGACAUAAAAAAAUUCGGAAUUAAAUAAAUAAUAAAUUAAAUUAACCGUAACUUUUCGUGAAUAGUCGCACUAUUUCAACAAGACUUUAUAGUUAAUUUUUAUAGAAAUAAAUCCGAAUUUUUCCAAUAAAUAAAAAUAAUGAUCAUUGGUUAAUGCCAAAUCUUGUUCACGUGCGCACUCACAUCUUUUCGAUAUGGGACGAGGCAUCUCUUUAUUUGUUUUAUAAACAAAUUACCAACAAAAACCAAUUAAAAUUCUUUCAAUUAUCACUCGUGAAUUUCUUGCUUCAUCAGAUUGUAUGAGGAAAAUUACUUUUUCCCAUGCAAACGUGUCAUUUUGUUGCAGACGACACACGUAUGUGAAAAAAUAACAAGGGCAAAUAAACAAGAAGACUUGAAAACAGCAUCAGCCUUCACGGAAGAAUCAUGCAAAUGAGAGAAAUCGAGAACGAGAUACAGAGAGAGAAAAGUGAAAGGCCGAUAUUCUGCUAUGAAAUAACUCAAGCUAAACUUUGGCCAAUUAAGCUAUGUGAAACUUUCCCACAAUUGUGGAAUUCUUUUAUCUUGGCGAGUAAUGAGAAGAUGGGUUUGUCGUAUAUCAAGUCCUAGUUAAUUUUUGGAAAAUGUCUCAGAAUGCUUGUCAUUGCCACGGCAUACUAAUGAAUGGUAUCUUCUCAUUGGUAAGGUUUGCAGUUUGGUUUGGAUUAGUAGUUCUGGGUGGUCUUAAGUUUUUAAAUGGGUGCUUGUGAACUUCGGGAACAUUCCGACCAAAAAAAAUAAAGAACACUUCGGCAACGUAUUAAAUGGCGCAGUCUUUUUUAUGCAAUAGUUUCUCUCUCGAUCUCAUCUGAAUAUAAUAAUGCAGCCGCGCCACAGAAUUGUAGAGACUGUAAAAGGAAAGGACAAGAUACGCACGGGGUGGUGUUUUAACUUUUAAGGGCUUGGACACUGCUCUAUAAUUAGAUUAAUUAAGGAUUAGUUGGUUAUGCUGAAAAAGGUAACAUUUGACUGAUCUGGGACAUCUCCUGAUUUAUGCAGCCGCAUGAAUUUGUUUAUUACUUUCUUUUGUUCUCACAUUAUUCACUCGGUGUCGGCACACCUUUUCAGUUUUCAUUAUAAAUGCUUGAUGAUGCUCCAACAGCGCGAGAGACUAUUUGACGGAAAUCGCUUGUUGGUGAUCAUGAUGAUUAAUGAUGACCAUGAUAUAGAGCUGUUGACGUAAGAUGGCAAUUGUUGACGAUUAUUACUAAGUGUUGGACACGAAACGAGAGGAGACAAGUGAGGAGGCCAAUUGAAUAUGAAUAUAUGAUUCAUAGUUAAUUCCAGCGAUAUUUGAAGAGUUGUAAUCGCUCGUCAAUAUGGUGACGUGAUCAUAGAGCAUAAAGUUUAAUGAUUGUAAUUGUAACUGUUUGUAACCGCAUGAAAAAUAUUAUCUACUUAUUAGCAGUUACUUUGUGUAGACUAUAAAAGUUAGUGCGUGUGCAUUGUAGAGCAUCCACGAUCAUCAACAAAAAAUUAUGUAUUUCUCAGUUUCAGUUAUCAAUUUAUUUUAGCUUAGUAUUUGCAUUUCUUUUCCUUUGUUAUUCUUGAUCCUUGUUAUUUUUCGUGUCUGAAUUACAACUGAACCCAAUUCUUAAGAAACAAAAGAUCAACUUUUGGUAAAAGGUAUCUUAUUAAUUUCCAAGGAAAAGGUUGGUAAUGAAAAAGUUAGAACGCCACUAAAAGAAGUACCCCAUGAAUUAUUGUAAAAUGAAAAAGAUUCAAUGACCACUGAACCAAAAGCCAGAUCUUGAGCUUGGGCACGACACUGCGGCAGAGCUCAAGGUCGUAUAGCGUGGCCUAGAUCUCAGGUCGUCGGGCUCGACCGCAAAUAGAGGAGGGCGGAGGGAACAGGGGACGGCAAAGAAGAACUGUCAAUGGAGCACUUCAGUUCAUCACUAGGAUCAGUUCAUCACUAGGAGACUAUGAAAAGUUAGAAGAAAGAAACAUAUUAUCGAUAGUGUCAUGUAAGAUGAGUAAAGCUGAUCAGUCCUACAUAUAAACAAUUUUGGCUAGAUAAACUAAAUUUGAAAAUCGUCAAAAGUUUUAAGGUUAUAUCAACCAAAUCGAAAAAAUUUAAACUAAAUAAUGAUCUGUGUAAUAUGUUUAGGAAUUUUUAAAUAAUUUUUUCUUAAAAGUACUAUAGUUAAAUUUAUUUAAGGGCAAUGACCAUUGAAUUUAGAAGCAUUUUGGAAUUAAAAACGUUAUAGUUGAAUUCAUGUAAUGGUUAUGAUCACCGAAUUAAUAAAACACUCAGAAUUUGUUUAAUGGCUACCGAAUUACCAAGACUGUUUUUCUUCGUUGAAUUUAUUAAUGGACCCCGAUUUACCGCAAGAGAGUUAGCUAAAAGAAAGCAUUAAGCAAAGACCUUUUUUGGUCCAACACAUCUUGGAAGUAAGCUAAAAAAAAUAUUAAACCAAAGACUUCAAUUGGUCGAGUCGUUGGAGCCGGUCAUUCCCAACUUUAGUACCAAUUCUGCAAUAUGUUUUUCUUCUUUCUUUCCUAUGGUAGGAAGAUAAGAACCAUGCUUAAAAUUGGUCAAGUCGUGAAAGCCAGUCAAGUCUUCAGCAUUGCGAUGCUAGGAUGAUAAGAACCAUGUUAUAAAUUUCUAGAUGUGUUCAUAAUGAAUGUACUGCUUCAAACCCACCUAAUUUCUCCUCGUCUAGACCUACUCCAAAGAUUCAUUUCCUUCUUUUCCCACUAUAUUAAAAUUUAAUUACUUAUUACAAAGUAGAACUCCCAAUGACUUGUUAUACCUGAUGUAGAAUUGUAGAUUAUUAUAUUAUAUGUGUUGCUUCUUUUCUUAGUCUAUGAUUUUUCUACAGAAAGCACGCCAUAGCGGAAAAAAUUAGAGCGACUACUUAUGGAUGCGGAUCAAACAUUUCGUGAUUAAAAGAUUGGACAGUAAUUUGGGCAUAUGACUUGACCCGUCUAUAUGGGUGCAAGCAAAACUACGAACUAAUUGAAUUGCUUUAAGAUGGUGGCGUGUGGUGCAGGUAAAAAGCUGAAUUUUACAAUUAAAAUACCGUAUUUAUGGGAGGCCUAAUACCCUAGAAAACCCCUAAUUUUAGCUUAGUUCCAAUUCUACCAUAAACUUUUUUUCAUUUCAUAGAAAGUGUUAGAACUUUUGGUCUGUCCCAUUCUAGUCUAAUUUUUUUUUUUUCGGUCUUAUAAAAAACCAAAAGUUUUAGAUCAAGUCUUAAUUCUACUUUCAACUUUUCUUUCUCAUAAAAAACCAUCAACUUUUACUUAAGCCCCAUAUUAACCUUAUUAACCCUACAUUCAAAAUCGCUUUUAGUCAUGUGGCAUUUUCAUGUCAUUACUCUAGUGUUUUUCCCCUAAAUUUCAUAUCCAAGAAAAUGUCUCUUGAAGAUGAAUUUCUAUGUCAAACCAAAUGACAUCUUAUUGGAUAUGAAAUUCGAGCAAUUACAGUUGGGCUUUUCAAUCGUCCUUACUUUUAAGAGAGUCUUCCUUCUGUCUUGCUUGGGGAAUUUUUCUUUUGAGCACAGUUUUCAAUCUCUUGUGGUCGAAGAGCUUGUGCUUGAGAAACUCAACUUGGGAUGCUCAAACGGCUCGCUUGGGGGUUUUUCAUCUCUCAAUUGUCAAGAGAAAUUUUGAACGAAGAGUCAAUGGGGGCAGCCUUGAAACCCAAGUAAAAGUUGGUGGUUUUUUAUAAGACAAAAAAAUUUGUGGUAGAAUUAAGACCAAACAUAAAGUUGGUGAUUUUUUUUUAUAAAAAAGAGUUUAAGUUAGAAUUAGGACUACCCCUAAUGUUGGAGUUUCUUAUGAGAUAAAAAAAAUUAGGAUAGAAUUGAGAUUGGACUUAAAGUUGAAGAUUUUAUAGGUAUUGGGCCAUUUAUAGCCUAAGUUUUCAAUUUAGUAAGAAAUCUUCUAGAACAACUUUUCUUACCCUUGAUUUAAUGGUUGGUAAGACAUUAAGAAGUUUAACUCUUCGAAUCCAUGAUAGAUAAGAUUGUUAGUGCAAUUUUUUUUUUUUUUUACUAACUGGGUAUACUCUAUUUUCCUUUCAAAUGUUAUUGGGUUAGUCAAUAUUACCAGAAAAGAAAAAUAUAUGGGAUCUAAUAAUGGAUGACAGACCAUUAAAGAACCUUAUAUUAGGGUUCCAUCAAAACACCAUUAACAGUUCAUAUAUGAUUACGCUUUUUUCAUCCUUUUUUGGCUUUUAACACCCAUACGACCUUGAAUUAACCCAAUUAUCCAUUGUGGGUUCCACUUUUCAUUUAAGAUUAUACCUUGUUUUUUUUUUUCAUUUCUUUUAUUUCAAAUUUACUAAGAGAAAUCCACUUUGUUCAACUCAAACAAUAAAAAUUAAGGUUGAACGUGGGGUUUACUCUUGACUUAAGAUUAUUUCCUACCUUUUUUUCUUUUUCUUUUUCAGUUUUCUCUUUUUUUCUUUUGCUUCCAUCUAGGACAAAAUUGGUUUCCCUCUUUUCUAAAAAAAUAGUUUAUUUGGCAUAUAGCUAACAAAUAAUUGAGUUAAUGAGUUAUAUAGUUCUUUUCUUUAGCUAGGAAACCAUUAGUUUAAAAAUAACCAAAGUAUAAGUAAAAAUGAAAGAAUCGUCAUGAAUGCAUUCGGUUUAAUUAUAACUUUAACAUGUACUAUUAUGUUAUAAUCCAUGUAUUUUAACUACUCAAAUUUCGCUUCAUUCGGUGAAUCUAAUAUUCCAACUUUUAUUUAUUUUUCAUGCCAUCAAUGCACUGUUUUUUCUAAAUAUUUUCAAACAAAUUUAAGAAUAUGAAAAAAUUCAUUACAUUCAAAAUAAUAAACAUCCCUUAUUAACAUGCAAAUUAAAAAGAAAAUGCUCCUAAUUAUGACAAUUGUAAUUGCAUUAUAAGACGCUCCCUUCAAACCAUUUAUAGAUACAUAAUUUUUGUCAAUCCUAAAUGCAUCAAAAUUUCCAAAAAAAGAAAAAAAUAUAAGAAAUAAUCUUAAAUCCGAAACGUGCAAAGCAUAAUAUGGUCAAUUUAAGGUGAUAGAGGGUAUCAAAAGUCACAAAAGAAAUCUUACCUUUACCAAAAAAAAAAAAAAAAAAGUCACAAAAGAAGUGGAAAAAGCGUGAGUCAUGUAUAACCCGUCUCACAUUCCGAACCCGAAGUCCAAGCAGCGUGCUGGUGAAGUAGUUGAACGGUGUUUUGGAAGUCAUUUGUUCUGAAAGUCUUAUGCAGUCAGAUUUAUUAUUAUUUCAUAUCUCCAUCAAAACAGAAAAAGAAAAAGAAGACAAAGACUAUUUGAUUUAACGUGCCAUGCCAUCAUGUCUUACAUCAUAUAUAGGGAUAAUUAUUAAAAGAAGUCAUAAAUCUAUUAUAUGGAUACCAGUUCAAUUAUAAAUCAUUUAAUUUGAUUAAUUUAGUCUUAAAUCUUCAAUUUGUUAAUGUAAUCCUUCUGGCCAAUUGUGGCUAGAAAUAGCUGAUGUAGACGUUUGUUGUCCUAUGUGGCACAACCGUUGCACAAUCAUUAACAUGAACAAUUUUUAUAAUUCUUUAAUAAUUUUUUGAUUACCCAUCUUUUUAUUAUGGACUAAUGACCCCUGUGGCCCUUCAUUGUGGCCAAUGAGGGCUGUGACACCCUAGCUAAGUCUGGGUCAAUGAGGGUGAUGUAGCCCUCGCUUGUGGCUAGUGACCUCUACUAACUACUGCCAAGGCCGCACACUAGCAAAAAGAAACAAGAAAAAAGGAAAAAGGAAAAAAGAAAAGAAAGAAAAGUAAAAAAAUAUAUCAAUUAUUUUAAGUACAAUUUCAAUACAUAACAUGGAUACGCAUACUAUUUAACAAAUUUUUCUAGUUUAGCCUUUCGACGUUUGGAACGAGUGAGAUGCUCAAGAGAUUCACUUUAAAUAUUCCAGAUCCUUGCGUUGAAGAAAAUUUGAUGUUAAUAUGCUGGUUACGGUUAGGUCCACCUAAAGUUAGUACAAUAUAUAUUAGAAUAAAAAAAAGGGCGGCUAGUGCAAUUAUAUUCUAAUUUUAUUGGGGAAUUUUGUCGCAAUUAUAUGUAUGUAUGUAUGUAUUGACACACACACACCCGGGCAUUCAGUGAUUGAGGUCUGGACACUCCUAUAAAUGAAUAUCAUAGUAGACAUUAUUGCAUUGGGAUUGUCUUUGUCAAAGUGCAAUUCAGAUUUUAUGGGAGGACCAUACAUAAACAUCCUACCUGAACAUUUUAUUAAUUUUUUUUCAAGCGUAAGUAUUUAAAGAAGAUAUUGGCACCGUCUGCGAAAUUUCGAGAAGUAUAGUACUAAAUGGAACAAGCUCUCUAUGUCUUUGUCAUGCUAUAGUGAAACUGACAAUUCGAAUGCUCUUCUAAAUUUUUAAAAUCAUCUUGAUAAUGCUUACAUCAACAAAUGACACACAUAUUUCAACUUUUACGUUCAUGACACGUUGAGUUGCAUCCUAUUGGGCUGUUUGUGCCUUUCCGCCAAUGCGGUAGGCUACCUAAUUGCAUUAUUUAUUUUAACGUUCCCCUCCCACAUGCUUGUCCCCCCUCGUUACCACAAUAUGUUUUUCGAGCCUCAUACUAGGCUCUCUCGACCUUUUAGUUGCUUUAUAUAUAAAGGAUCCAAGGUCCGGAUGAGCCCUCAGAUGUAGCCUUUUAAUGUCAUGCUAAGGACAGCGUUCAGUUUAUUUCAACAUCCAGCUAGCAAUGAAUUAAACUGGCUUGUCAUCCAUGUUUAGCGAACUCGAGUGGAGCAGGUAGAUUUCUAGGAACAGAGCAGUUCCUUUGAGUGUGAAUCUGUUUAGUCAACUUGAGUGGGGUCGGGUUGAGGAAUAGACUGGGUCCUUUGAGUAUAAAUGGUCAGGUUGAUUUUUUAGAACAGAAUGGGUCCUUCGAAUGUGAAUCUGUCUAAUCAACUCAAGUGGGGAUCGGGUUAAUUUUCAAGAACAGAGAGCGGGUCCCUUAAGAGCGAAUCUAUCACCUUCAAUCUUAAAUUAAAGUUGCACGAAACACCUUGUGAUUUUCUUGGUUUUUACCAAUGUCUUUCCUCUUUGAGAAUGAGAAGUUUUUGCUACAAAUGAGUUAGUCUAGCCUAGGUGGAAAUAUUGAAAAUUAAGGAUUAAUUUGUCUCCCAAAAAUGAAUGACUUGGACAACAUUUUCUUAAAAACAAUCAAUUUUAUUAUUUGCAAAAAUGGAUGAGCUAAAAAUAUAUACAUUGUCCAUGAAGAUGUUUAGAUAUAAAUUGCAAAAAUGGAUGAGCUAAAAAUAUAUACAUUGUCCAUGAAGAUGUUUAGAUAUAAAUUGCAUUGGCAAUAAGUAUAGUUUUUUAUUGACUAAUUAUUUUAAAAUAAUAUAAGUUUUCAUUUUUUAAAAAAUGACUUUUAAAUUAUUUAUUUUUUGCGAAAUAAUCAGAACUAAAAUUAUCCGAUGUUUUCUUUUCACGUAUCGUUGGUUUGAUUUGAACCUUUUGCUGUAAUGCGUUGCUGUUGCAUAUUUAGUUCCUAUUGUAACUGCUAUUGUUGUUUUCUUCCCCCGUUUCAAAAAUUAUCUAGUCUCCAAGAAAAAAUGGCAGGUGGCAACACGCACGUAUGAGGAUCCUGUUAACCAGUCUUUAGUAUAUUUGUUUAGUAACUAACUUGAAAUUAUGAGAUCUGUAUGUUUAGGAUUAAGUAAAAAUAAAAAGUCUUUUUUUUUUUUUUUUGCUUUUCCCCGAGUACGUCCUUAACUAGUAUUUUGACACUCCUUUAUAUAAUCCAGAUUGUAAUAAUGCCAUGUUUAUUAUAAUUGAGAUUUACAAUACGAAAAUACUUAGUGAGGUGAUAUAUAUUUUUUACUACUAUAUAUGACUCACACAAUUUACUUCUCUUACUAUUUUAUCAAGCCUCUAAAUUUUCUAAGGGUCAAUACUGGUAGAGUAUUGCUUUUUACUUUUUCCAAAGAAUUGCUUAGUAGUUCACACACUUUAAUUAUUUUUUAUGAUUCCGAAACAUUGGAAACUUUCAUAAAAUGAAAAUAUUGAGCCCAAAUCCACAUAUAAUUUUCUAUAAUUUUUUUAAAUAUAAAAAUUCUUGUGAAUGUUAAAUUAAAAAUAAAAUAAAUUUUUACCUUGAAUUAAGGGUAAACAACUGGGUCCCAAGUCAACGCUGAUCAAGCAAAAGAAUCUUCUCUCUCUUUGUUUUUUUUUUUUUUUUAAUGACGGAAAAAGGAUAUUCUCUUUGGGAGGGAAAGAACGUGGAUUCUUCGGCAAGGCGUCAAAUCCACAAUCAGUAGUUUAUACGGGGGGAAGCAUUAAGGUUUGUUAGUAUUUAUCAUGUCUCUAAAUUUUCUGGGGGUCAAUAUGGAUAGUAUUAUUAUUUACUCUUUUUUUUAAGAAAUACUUACCAAUUCACACACUUAAAUUAUUUUUUAUGAGUUCAAAAUACUCCAAACUUUUACAAAAUGAAAAUAUUGAUGCUUAAAUUCACAUAUAAAUUCUAUUUUUUUUUUUUAAAUUGGAUAUUGUUGUAAAUGUCGAAAGGAAAAUAAAAUAAAUUUUUUUAACCUUUAAUUGAGCUAAAACACAUAGGUCCUAAGUCAAUGCUAAUAGACCAAAAGAAUCUUCUCUCUGGGAGGAAAAGAACUUAGACUCUUCUACAGGACGUCCAAUCCGCCAUCAAUGGUUUUAUAAAAGUUUUAGGAAAUCCCAAGCCAUACUUUCAGGAAAAGUUCUGAACAACCUUACGGAAAAUAAAUUAUCUAAAAAAUUAAUUCCUAAAAAUAACCAUUUAUAUUGCUCGAAAUAAUUAGUCGAUGGAAGACCGAGGUGGCGUGGAUGGUAGAGCCUUGGUACUCCCCGGUGGAGGCCUUGGUUCGAAUCCCCUACAAAGCAGGGAGGCAGUCUUAGCUACAUGGUGACUCAAGCGUGACGUCGGGGUGGUGGUUUCCCUGCUAGCGUCACCGGGGGGUUUACGACGCACUGUCUGUGCAAGCUGGUUCCUCCUGUCCCCAAAAAAAAAAAAUAAUAAUAAUAAUUAGUCGAUGAAAAAUGUUUCAUUAUCAACAACAAGUUAUGUUUAAAAACUUUUGUGAAUGAUGUAAAUAUUAUUCGUUUAUUUAUUUUUAUAAAAGAUAUAAAUGAUUGUUUUUAAGAAAAUAUUUUUCAAAUAAUUCAUUUUUUGUGAAAGAAAGAAAGCCUUAAUUGAUAAAUAAACAUCAAUGUAAAAAAAAAAUCGGUUGGGUUGAGUUGUCACGGCAUCAUAAAACAAAUAACUGCAUCUAACAAAAGUAAUAUAUGUGAUUUCGUCUAUGCGUGCUUACGGUCCUUUAGUUGACGUACCUCAUGGUAUUGAAAAGUCGUAAAUGUGAGAUCAUCAAUGGAAAAAUUGCACCGGGCGGACUAUGAUAAACUUAGAGUGAGGCAACAAGUUCAAGCAUUCUCUCGUCGAGCAUCUUCAUUUUUUCUGGGUUUCGUUUAUGUAAAUCAGGAGUAUAACGUAGAGAUUUAAUUAUAUACAUAGAAUACCAUGGAAAGCCCAAGAACCAUGUUUGGGGAUACAUAAAUUUACUGUAGCUUGCUUUGGCUGUGGAGUUGGAACUGCGAGAAGCAUGGAAACCCCUUCGAAGUGAGGCACCGACCUAAAGCUGUCAUGAGAAAGUUGUACCAAAUAGACAUGUAUGGCAAUGUCAGAGGAAAUCAAUCUGCCAGCAUGCCAAAGAGAUUGGCAAAAAUGGACGUAAGCCGAGGCAAUAAAGAAUUCAGAUGAUUAAAGAACACAAUGUUCCUACCUAAGCACAAAAUGCAAAAUGGAGUUGGCAAAGAGUGCGAAUAUUACGGAUCUAAGUGCAACGAAAAAUAACGUCCUUUGGAAAUAAAAUUAUAAUGAAUUAAAAGGACCAAGGAAAUAAAAGAUAUAAGUAUCGAUAUACUUGUUGGUCAUGAAAAUUUGAGGAUCUACUUUUGAUUGGGAUAAUUACAAAAAAGAAAUUUCUUAAAUUUAUUGUACUAUGCUUAUUCAAUCAAAAAAAUUUCAAUUUGUCUAGUUGAGUUCUAAAUAUCAAAUAUUUGGACGAUUUGCCGAUAAAGUGAAUCUAGCUCCGAUUGACCCGCAGCUGCAAAUACUUUUCUAUAGCUUAAAUGCGCAGAAGCAGCGGAGAACCACAAGACGUCCUUCGGGUGGGGCCCAUUUAGAAUCCUCCUCUUCGUCAACAUCAUUUUGUUUACGCAUACUUUAACAACCCAGACGUUGGAUUUAUGUGCAUGAACCUGUGGCCUGGUCAGGCGUCAUUUCUCAUGCAAUGUUGGAGUGACUGAUGAUGUCAAAACAACGACGUAAGCAUCUGUGGAACCCCUAGUCGUAAGUCGUUAAAUAAAACCUCGUUCUGACUAAAAGAAUAAAAUGAAAAAAUAAAGCCCUCGUUGCUAGCAACUCGCAAGAACUUAUAUAAAAAUGCACCUCUCUCUUCGAACCUCGUACACAACAGGAAGCAAAUAUACCUCACCGAAAAGGAUAAAUGCACCCUUGAAUCAUCAAAGAAUUAAAUCUUUUCGAACGAGAUCUCCAUCAACGACAAGAAAGCAAUCACUUCCUGUUUGGUAAUAGACAAAAAGGCAAUCGAUAUCUAUUCCGGAGGUUGACCCCGAAAGACGGGAAAAAGCAAGUGCUGUCUAAUGUUCACUUCGGGUUGGAGCAAAGGUGUUCUGUUACUUACGGUGACCUCUACAAACAUUUCAUCUCUCAUCCCUUUUGAAGGAUUUACCUUUGGUAUUUUGUGGAGAGUUGGAUCAUCUCCUCUUGUGAUUUUCCAAUAUUAUGGAUGGAUACCAGGAAGAUCCCAAUGGUGAUUUAAUUUUGACUCAUCAACAAAGUAUCACAUGCUCGGAAUGAGCACGUUCUGCAUGGACAAGAACAAACAGCUGAUAGAGGGCAGCUGUCAGUCUCUCCAGGGUCGUAGGUGGUUGUAGGAAAAUUACGGGGGAAUUUCCUAAUUUAUAUGGUCCAGGACCCUCAAGGAGUAAUGUAAAAUCUUAAACAGAGACCCGGCAGUCCUAACCAACACAUCUAUAUAAGCCUACUUUGCCAAAGGUUGAUAUCACAGCCAGCUAUUGCACUUAUUCUAUACAGAAAAAAUGGAACGCUUGAUAGGAUCUUGUCAGAUUAUCCUGUUUCUGUUCUCAUCCCUCAUUGGAGUUCAAGCCCUUAACUCUUCAUUUUUCUCUCCUUCCUCUCUAGGGGCAGCAACGCCCUGUCGGCCCGAUCAGAAGUCUGACCUGCUUCAGUUCAUGAACGCAAUGAUGUCUAAUAAUUCGACAUCCUCCUUCUGUCAAAUGGACGGCACUUUUGCCACUAGACCAAAGAUGCUUUCCUGGAAUGCUGACACGGAUUGUUGCUCGUGGGAGGGAGUCAUGUGCGAUCAGAUGACAGGUCAUGUGAUUCGCCUUGAGCUUGGCUGCUGCACCCAAAACCCGACCUGCUACUCUUCUGCAGGGUCUUCAGAGAGCACUAAACUAUCUUCAUUGGGUUCCUUCAAUCUUUCUUCCCGCAAAGCAGAAAGGCCAUCGGGGUCAAAUUCCGAUAUGCUGCUUCAAAACCUGACCAUGUUGAGAAUCCUCAUUCUUGAUGGGUUAAACAUGUCUGGCAUUGACGUGAGUCACUUAAUGAAUCUCUCUCCAUCUCUGGAAGUCCUCAGCCUCAGUUCCUGUAAAUUGCGCGGCACGUUAGCAGCAAACAUUUUCCUUUUGCCAAAGCUGACAUUUCUCAAUUUAUCAGGCAACAAGGAGCUUGCGGGUUACUUACCCGAAUCAACUUGGAAUAGCUCUCUGAAGGUUUUGGACUUGUCCUUUACGGGCUUCUCUGGAGUAUUACCAGAGUCCAUCGGCGACCUUCAAUCUCUGGAGAUACUCUGGCUAUGCCAUUGUAAUUUCAAUGGCUCCAUUCCAUCAUCACUCGGUAACCUAACACGACUCACCAGAUUGGAACUCUCAUUCAAUGAGCUUAGUGGUCAGGUUCCUCCAAUUCUGUCCAACCUUGGUCGUCUGACUCUGCUCGAUCUUGCCUCCAACAAUUUCGUCGGUCCAAUACCCGAUGUCUUCGACAACAAGACACAACUUCAACAACUGCUUUUCUCAAAUAACUGCUUCGUGGGCCCCAUUCCUCCGAGCAUAAAAAAUCUUUCCAAUCUAGCCCGACUCGACAUUUCCAAUAACCUCAUUGGCGGGUCCAUACCAUCAUCACUGUUCUCUCUUCCGUCCUUGACGAGCCUAGACCUCAGUAAAAAUGGGCUCAAUGGUCACAUAGGCAAGUUCCUUGCCGCACCCUCAUUAGUCCAUGUUGACCUGAGUGGUAAUCAGUUGCGUGGCUCAAUCCCAAGCUCGAUUUUUCAGCUGGGGAACCUCACCUACUUGAGUAUCUCAGGAAAUAACCUGACCAGUGUUUUAGACCUACGAUUGCUGUCGGGACUCAAAAGUCUAACAGAUCUUCAUCUUUCGGACAACAUUUUGUCACUGACCAAUAGCAAAAAUGUCAAUUUUGUCUUGCCGCAACUUUCAAAAGUCAGUCUUUCAGGGUGCAAUAUUACUGCAAUCCCUGCAUUUUUGAGAAAUUCAACCAGUGUGGGGUGGAUAGACCUGUCGCGCAACAUAAUCCAUGGUGAUAUCCCACCAUGGAUGUGGGAUGUUGGGACCAGGUCAUUGUCUUAUCUCAAUGUGUCUCACAACUUCCUCACUAGCUUCAAACAAGUUCCAUGGGAAAAUCUUUUAAUCCUCGACCUGAAUUCGAACUUGAUCCAAGGGCCAUUUCUGCCGCCAUCACUCCCGAAUUUGGUUCUCAUCUUCUCGCUGGCUAGCAAUCGAGUGACUGGCUAUAUCCCUGGCUCUAUUUGUGAAAUGAAGGGCCUACAAAUUCUUGACCUCUCUGGCAACAAUUUCACUGGAACAAUCCCUCAAUGUCUAGGGAACAUCAGCGACGGCCUUUUAGUGUUGGAUCUGCAAGAAAAUGGACUUUCCGGCACUAUCUCACUCACAUUUGGCAAAAAUGCUGUCCUGAGAAGUCUUCAUCUCAAUGGAAACAAAUUUGAAGGCCUGUUGCCGCGCUCUGUAAUCAAUUGCACGCAACUUGAAGCGCUAGUUCUCAGUGGUAACAAGUUGAACGACACUUUCCCAAGAUGGUUGGAAACACUUCCUAGCCUGCGGGUCUUGGUCUUGCGAUCAAACAGACUUCACGGCUCCAUAGGCAACCCCAGAACUAAAUUUCCCUUUCCGCAGUUGCGCAUUCUUGAUCUUUCCUCCAAUGAGCUCACCGGUCCUUUGCCCAGCACCUACUUUGUAAAUCUGAAAGCAAUGAUAUCGACUGAUCAUGAUGGAUCCAAGUUGCGAUACAUGGACCAAGGUUACUACCAGGAUUCCAUAAAUGUGACGAUGAAAGGACUUGACAUGUAUCUCCCUAAAAUCCUACUGAUCCGGAUGACUAUUGAUCUAUCAAGCAACAAGUUCCAAGGAAUGAUUCCUGAUGUAAUAGGAGAGCUAGGAUUACUGAAGGGGCUCAACCUUUCUCAUAAUAAUCUCGAAGGCCAUAUACCAUCAUCUUUGGGCAACCUUUCUGAGCUUGAAUGGUUAGAUCUUUCUUCAAAUGAGCUUAGUGGGACGAUACCAACCGAAUUGACAAAACUCACAUUUCUGGAGGUCCUAAAUGUCUCUUCCAAUCGACUAACAGGACCGAUUCCUCUAGGGAACCAAUUCAACACAUUUCAAGCCGAAUGCUAUCUUGAGAACCCAGGAUUGUGCGGGUCUCCAUUAUCCAAAUCUUGUACUGAUUCCAGGGCACCGGGGAAGCUUCCUGUCCUGCCUGAAGGCGGGGUUCACUCGUUCUUUGCAGAUUUUGUCGAAUUAGAGGCCGUCGAAAUAGGAUUAUUAUGUGGCAUGGUGCUCGGACUAGUCAUGAGUAACUUGCGAUAUCUUAGAUCCUUUUGGCAAGCAAAGAGGGAAGUCAGAAAGAGAGCUAAGAAACAUAUUUCUCCAAUGGGGCCUUCAAACUGCAUGACAUAAUAGCCAUGGUAGCUGAUUAGUGUUGCUGUAAAACAGUGUUGCUCAAUCGUGUGAAUCAUUCAUGCGAAUCGUGAAUCUUAGGACUUUGUAAAAAGUUGUUGAAUAACUCCAAGAAAUAAUAUUCCAUACAGAAAAAGUAUUAUAUGUUGAAAAAGCACAUGCAAACCCAUCCAAGCCCUGACUACGAGCCUCCAUGGUCGUCAUUCACCAGAAAAAUCAACCCUAGCGACUCGGUCGCAAGCCAAAGAGCAACGCUAGAGACGUAAAUAGGUUUCAUUGUACACGUAAUUCGUGGGGCUGUUUCACAUAUCACAAGUUAAAGGAGAACCAAAAAAGUCCUAAACAUAUUGUAUUGGUACCAAUUCAGUCCUAAACUUUUUAAUUGGAUCAAUUUAGUCCUAAACAUUUUAAUAUUGAUAUCAAUUCAAUCCAUCUGGCUAAUUUUGACUGGUCGGCACUGAUGUGGACGUCGGCUGAUGGCCGGACGCCAACGUGGCAAUUUCUUAUGAUUUUUUUAUUAAUUUUUUCUUUUUCUUUUCUUUUUUCCUUUUCUUUCAUCCCUCUUUCCUCCUUAGACCGUCCUUGCGGUGGCUGGCGAGCCUCGAGGGUUGCGGCCCUCGCCUGGCCUUGCCUAGGGCCGCGACCCUCGAGGCUCGCCAGCCACCGCAAGGACGGUGUAAGGAGGAAAGAGGGAUGAGAGAAAAGGAAAAAAGAAAAGAAAAAGAAAAAUUAAUAAAAAAAUCAUAAGAANNNNNNNNNNNNNNNNNNNNNNNNNNNNNNNNNNNNNNNNNNNNNNNNNNNNNNNNNNNNNNNNNNNNNNNNNNNNNNNNNNNNNNNNNNNNNNNNNNNNGCUUUCAACCCGGAAGUCUAAUGUAAAAAGAUUUAGGACUGAAUUGGUCUAAUUAAAAAUUUUAGGAUUGUAUUGAUAUCAAUGCAAUAGGUUUAGGACUUUUUUGGUACUUUUCCCCAAGUUAAAGACACUCAAAAGCAACCGUGGAUGGUAGAUGCACCAUCAAAAAAGGGACGCUAAAAAAUUAGGUACCAUAUCCGAUUGGUGAAUAGCUCAUUGGUUUUAAAUUGUUGUUUUCUUGAAGGUGCUUCUAAUAGACAUACAUACAUACAUACAUACAUACAUACAUACAUACAUACAUAUGGUAGUAGGUUCUAGGUUUUAACUUGAACUCUCUUUUUGAUGAUUUUUUUUUAAAGAACUUUACUAGCAUAAUAAUCUUUGGGCUAUUGUGAGAAUAACAACUUAUUAUGAUUCACAAAUUUUUGAAAGAGUAGAUUUCAUAUCUAUUUAUAAUAAUUUGUUAUUUGACCUUUCGUAGUUCAGAAUAAAUUGUUAUUCUCAUAAUACAUUAAAUAUUGUCACUCAAUCAUUUCUCUUUCUUAAAUAAAGGUAUUGAAAAAAUAAAAUAUAUGAGUACAUCACCCAAUUAGAUGGACAACCAAAAGGAAAAUUAUAUUACCGGACCGAAUAAGAUUAAAAAGGAAUGGUUACAUUGAAACCUUUUUGAUUUGGACCUCAUUCGUAGAGUCCCAUGACCAUUUGCAACUUAAAGAAAGUCUAAUUAAUUUUAGUUUAAAGGAUUCCAAUUGAAGCCAAAUCGAGCUAAAUCGACAAACUUGUUAUUAUACAUAUAGUUCCAAUACAUAUGAGCAUGCUUAUGGUGAUAAAUAUGGUAAACUAUCGAGGAUGCAUGUUGCUAUUUCAUGGCACAAAUGUUUUAUUUUUGGGGCACACUUACUCACAUAAGAAGAUAAAAAGAUGAUGCACAUGCAUGCAAGUUGGGCCAAAAUGUCACGACGGAUUCGGGCCGAGUACAUGAAUCUGACUGCUGCUUUCAGUACAUGACUUGUCGACUGUGUUUUUCUAAAUACAUUUGGAAACCAAUGAUUGAUCCGACCUCAUCGAUCCACUGGACCGCCCAAGUAAAUGUGCAAACAAGUUGGAGGGAACGACUGAUAUUUCUCUUUUGUUUAUUUUACCAAUAAAAAAGACAAUGUGUAGGCUCUUGGAAAAUUAAUUUUGGAUCUAUUUAAAGUGGUAUUGACAUGAAAAAUCGAACACUGAGUGAUAUAACGUUUGUCAAAAUACGAAGUACAUUAUGUCCAAUUAUAUAUCAUGUGUAAAAAUUUGGGAAAAUUGCAAAAAAGAGCCUCAAAUGUUUUAAUUUUCUCAAAUAAGGGUCUAAAGUAAGCAUUGUCUCAAAUAAGGGCAUGAAGCGACUAAAUUAUUUCAAAUAAAGACUUAAAGUGGCUAAAUCAUCUUAAAUAAGGGCCUUUGGUCGGCGAUGACUCUUUCGGCCUUAGGAGAAGGGGUAUUUUGAUAAAUAAAAAAAAUGUAACUAUAUUUUUAAAAUUUGUUGAUUUUUUUUCAUCCUUUGUCUUUUCUUUUCUUUUUUCCUCUUCCCUUCCCUAACAUGGUCGGUGAUAGCCAACGAAGGUCACUUGACUUGGGCGAGGGCGUCCCUCACCAAAUCCAGCAAGGGAUACCUACACCCGACACCGUUGAGGGCUACCCUUGCCCUCCCUAGCCUAGGCGAGCCCUCUUACCCAACCCUCACCUCUAAUUAGCCAAGGUCGCUAGCCCGUCCCGACUCCCAAGGCGCUGGCAACUCGGUCGACCUUCGCUGCUACCCCACCAGUGAAGGGGUGGCAGCCACAGGCGAGAGGGAAUACCCUCCCGCUUGUGUUUUCUUUUUAUUAUUUUUUAAAGAAAAAAAAGAAAUUUAAAAAAAUUAAAAGACGUAAUUGCCCUUCAUAUUUGGUGAGUUCAAGCUAUUCUUUGAAAUUAAUAUAUGCAUUUCAAGCCCUUAUUUGAAAUAAAGUUCACUUCAUACCCCUAUUUGAGAAAAUAUGGGCACUUCGGCCCCUUAUUUGAAAUAAUAUUUACUUCAAGCCCUUAUUUUAAAAAAAUGAGAGUACUUCAUGCCCUUAUUUGAAAUUUUUCCUAAAAAUUUAAGUGAAAAGGAUAUUGUACUUGAAAAAACUUAACUGGAGAAAAUAUUCAGUGGUUGCUUCUCACCACAUCAUCAUCCCACGUGGAGUGCAUUUUUUUGAGUUUAGUCAAUCACCACUUGACAUGUGUAUUUGACAUGGAAUCACAAAAAAUUGAAAAUCUGCUAAUUAAUUCUUUAUCUCUCUUCGUCCUCCUUUGGCCAAAGUCAUCUCUAUGCAUCCAACAUCGAGGCCCAUCCAAGCCAACACUGUUGUGCGUCCAAACCAUACCACCCCUCCAUCGUCCUUGUUGUUAGCUUCGUCUUCGCCGGAAGGAGUUCUCCAUCUCCGUCGUCUUUGUCGUCAUCUUUACCCAUUUUUGGCUAAGAGCAAAUGGCCAAAAAUUUGGAAAAAAAUAGAAUUCUCUUGAAGAAAAAAAAAUCGAGGGAACAAUCUUUGAGACAAGGAAGGGGUAGUGGGUCUCUCGGCUUGUCUUUUAAGCCAAAAGAUCUGGAGUUUACAGAGCAACGCGGGUAAAAAAUCAAUGCUCUCUUGGUUUGGCCAAAAGUGAGUCUCUUGGCUUGUCCUUUUGGCCAAAAGAAGAAGACAUGGCUACAAACGACUUGAGUUAUGGGGAAUCUGUGGCAGCUGGGUUAUGGGAAAUCUGUGAAAACAAAAAACAUAGAAACUUGAAUGCUAAAGGUCUCCUUUUUUUCAUGGCAGCUCAUCGCCAGAAUAGGAAAAAAAAAGAAGAAAAAAGAAUCCCAAACUUGAAUGCUAAAGUUGACUCAGAAAUUGAAAAUCUGCUCGCGACUCCCUCUAUAUGUCUUCGUCUUCGUCUUUGUCUUCCCAACGACCAACUUCUAGAUCUGAAACAAAGCCUCGUGCAUGGCGGCGACAAAUGAGGUCGAGAUCCCAAUUGUUGUUGGGCUCCGGCGAAGGGAGGGAACUCAGAUCACGGCUAGCGCGGCGACCACGGCAAGGUGGAGGGCUUGUGGAUGGAGGUUGCAUCGGAGCGAGGACUGGAAUUUGAUAAGAGAAGCCGGAGUGGUGGCUGCGAAGGAGGAGGAAGAGAUAGAAAAAAAGAUUUUUAACUUAUUUAUUUCCACAUAAAAAUACAUGUGUCAAGUAAUGAUUGGCUAAACUCAAAAAAUAUUCCACGUGAGAUGAUGAUGUGGUGAGAAACAACCAAUGAAUAUUUUCUCAUCAAACUAACAUUUCCAGACUAAAUUGAGAAGGAUAAUGUUGAAAAUAUUUAAUUCGAUUGCAAAAUAAUCACACGAUGAUUAACAUGACAUGACUAGCGGUCCUCUCAAUUAAACACACAUUUGCAGUUUCCCACUUCAAUUUGUAAAUCAAAUUUAUAAAUCAGUUUUUAUUUUCCAAGUAUGAUUAGAUUGAAAAGAAAAGAAUAAGUAGUUUUCUGAAAUUUGACGUAAUGAAUACUUCAUGUUAUUUUCUUCUGGUUGUUUAUGUAAUUAGACCCUAUUAGCCGAACAACUAUUUAUUCAUUAAUAAUUGACCAAAGAAUUCAAAUUGAAACCAAACCGAGCUAAAUCGACAACCUCAUUCGAAAAAAAUUUAAAUAUGAAUUAUAUCCUUCAUUCAUGUACUUUCCCUUCUUUUAAUGUUCUUUCUUUUAAUUUGUCUAACCAAAUCUUUUUACUUUCCCAAAUUUUCUUAUUAAGUCCCUUCGACACCUAAUAUCUCCAAAUCAACUGUCGUUGCCAUUAAAGUUUGACAUGGACAAAGUUUUUCCAACAUGUACAUCUACAUUGGUUCAAUUCCAUUCACAUCAUGCUCCAAUGUUAUUGCCAUCACCAAAAUUUUCCACGGCAACUUCCAUGUAGGCGUGCAAGAUGACUAAAUUUUAUCCACCUCAUCAUUUAAAUAUCAAUUGAGGGUUGUGUAAACUGGAUUUGACUGAAUUCGGAGUCGGAGAGAUCUAAUUACAAAAUUUAUGGAAAGUAGAAUAAUUUGAUUAGACAAAUUUAAAAUAAAUAAAUAAAUAAAUUAGAAAGAGUAAAAAUACAAGGGGGAGAAGUGGAAUUUUUCCUACAUUUAAUGCAAUUAGGAAAUGGGCCAACAAAAAGGGGCCCGUCAUGAGGUGGUGAACGAACUUUAUAGGAAAUGGGCCAACAAAAUCUUGACGGGCUGUACCGACCGAUGCUAGCGACCCACAUCAAGAUUUUAUGUUGGGCUCAUUCAAAUGGAAUGAAAAGUUGACCACAUGGAUCGUGCAAGUAGGCCUAUAUAUCAUGACUGAUUUGGGCCGAUCACAUAAACUCUAUUGCUACUUCACUGACUUGUCAUGUCCUGUCCUAUUUUAGGUUGGAUUCGGACCAUCAUUUGAUUGAUCCGACUUUAGUUACCAUGGCUGCCGAGCUAAUGGGUAGACAAGUUGGAGGCAAAGCCAGCCUUUCUCUCGGUCCUCCAUUUUUAUCCAUUAAAAAGACAACUUGCGGGUACAAUAAAAAGAAUCACUCGAAACCUUGUGCCCAAAAGACAAACUACUUUAUGACCCGACUCAAGCAAUUUUGGCAUUUCCAUCCUCUUCUGUUUCUCUCUAUCUCAUCGUCACCAUCGUCGCUUCCACCGAGCCCCAAGGCAACCGCCAUGAGGAGGAGGUACGGGUGAUCCUCCCCCUGCGUUAAUCGCUCUCAGAGUUGGUGAAGAAGAAGGAAAUAGAGACGAAGAUGAUGGCUUCGGGUUGUUCGUGGGUGUGGCCUUGUUCUGAGAGACCUAGAGUUGAAAAAUGGGUUAAAAAAUGGGUCACUUAGGCUGCGCAUAACAACGUUUCUUAGUUGGGGAAGAGUUUUUUUUUUUUUUUCAGAAAUAGUUCUUUUCUAUUUAUAUUCCGAGGAACAAUUUUUGAGUAAAAUAAUUGUUUGGUAACUACACAAAAUUUUUACCCAGAAAUAGAAAAAUAAUAGAAAUGCGUUUGGUAUGAAACAGUUUCUUUUUUAUAUUUAUUCGUUUUUUAUUCUUACUCACGGAUUGCCAACUGUCAACCACUGGCCGCCGCCGCCACUGCAUGACCGCCGGCCAUCGACCAUCACCGCCGACCUCCGCCGCACAACCCACGUCUGCCUCCGGCGGUCGGCGAUGGCUGAUGGGUUGUGCGGCGGCGGUCGGCAGUGACAGUUGGUGGCUGGCGGUCGUGCAACGGCAGCAACGAGCGGUGGCGGGCGUCGACAGACGGUUGGAGGUGGCCGCGGCAAGAGAGAGGAACAAAAGAAAAAUAAAAAAGAAAAUUAGCUUAUUUCUAGAAAUUAUUCCCGGGAACAAGAAACUAAUUUUUUUUUUUUGUUUCUUAUAUCUAUUCCAAAACUGUUCCCGAGAACAAAAAAAUAGAGAAAUUGUUUCCAUGAACAAAAUUUUUACCAAACGGAUUUCUGUUCUUUUUUUGUUCCGAGAAAUAAAAGAACAGAUAUUGGGAGAAACAGAAAUGUUACCGUGCAACCCUUAGUGGCCCGCAUUUUAAUCCCUUUUUUGAGCUUUAAUUUUUUUCCAACGAUUUUAAUUUACUUUAACGAAACAAUGAGUUAUCCAUAUAAAAUGGGCACUCCUAAAAUGAGUUAGAAAAUGGGUCCGACGCUAGUUAACAGUCAGAAUAAUAUAUUGGAAGAAUGACAUUAUAAGUCGUUAAACUAUUGCCUCAUGUGCAAUAUCAUUCUUAGACCUUUAAGUAGUUUAAUGAGAUUUUUGAUCUAUUUCUAAAAAUUUAUUCUAGUAUCUAGAUUUCUAAUUUAUUUAAUCUAAAGUCUCAACUUUCUAUAGCGAAGUCAUAUGAGUAUUUGGUAACUAUUCACAAGUUCUCGUAAUUUUACCAUUGUUUGGAUGUGAGAAUAUUUCUUCAUUUUUACUCAUUUCCUAAAACAGAAAAAAAUGAUAUCUUUUCUUACCUCUUAUCUUUUUGGUUUAACACAAAUAUUACGAUCAGGGAAUCCGGCCCGACUCGCCGAUCUGACCCGGAUCCUAAAGGUCUGGGUUGUGUCUGCAAUCUAAGGUCUGGUCCCAUUAUACAACUCCUAUUUAAAAUUCACCCAACCUGGCCUGGGCUUAUUACACUCAAGUCAUAACAGCCCGACCUCCUUCUGUUCAGCCUAUUUUUCAUAUCUUUUUAUAUUUUAUAUUUUUAUUUUUUUACUAUUUCUUUAAAAACCUACAUACUUAUUCCGAAAAAAAUUUGCAAUGUCAAAACCGGCUAGAUAAUUAGAUUAAAUUUUAAUUUUCACUCGAAGAAAAGUUUCUUUCAAACUAUUUGAUGAAAAAAAAAGAGCAAAUAAACCGUUACAACUAGAAAUUUCUAAUUAUAUAUAUAACUUUAGUGAUUAAAAUAUGAGAUCCUAAAUUAAAAUUAAUAACGUUGUCUAGGCAAAAUGAUAAUAUGGUACAGAGUAAGACAAUAUCUUUUUGGGUGUAAUUUGACAUUUAUAUUGUAAAACUGCUAAGAUUAAAAAGAAGAUAAAAAUAAACACAGUUUUGCGGGUUAGUAUGAUGAAGAAAAAGAAAGUAUGGUUUGAAUUGAGAGAGGGUAUUUUGGUAAGUUCAUCGGAAAAAGAAGCGUUAUAGCCCAAAUGGGAUGAAAAUAGCACCGCCCUUUUUUUUAUUUUAUUCUUUCCUUUUCUGGCUCGUUUUCUUCUUCUUCACCGAGACUCCUCUUCUUAUUCACUCAGGAUCCUCUAUUCCCAUUCUGCAAGACCGACGAUUCACCCAACCGACCAUAAGGAAAAAAAAAUUUAUAUAUAUAUAUUGGCUCUCUAUUCCGACCAACGUCGGAUCACCACCUCUAUCAUUAAGUGAACAUCACCCAUCAACAACAAACCUUCACGACCGGCUUGCCAUUUUCAGCCAUCAAAUCCGGCCAUCCAAAAAUUGUCCACAGCCAUCUCCCCGCACUGACGGCUAGUCCACAAGCAUUCAUUUGAAAAAUCCUUGAAUCUACACAUACACAUGGCAGAGGAGGAGGAGAAAGGAGCUAAUCUGAUGGGACUCUAACCCAAGCCAAUCACUGGGGAAGGAGAUUCAUUAAAUCGCUGCGAUUCAUAUAUUUAUGGACGUCCGGCGCGUGAUACACGAAAAUGACAUAAAAUAAACAGAAAACUAGUCAUCAGCUUCAACUCAACAAUCAAUGAAGCAAAUUUGCAUUAAUACUAGACUUAGACACUGUCGCACAGCCAAUUAUGCCAAAUCAGAUUCAACGCUUCUCAUGAGCAAACCGUCGAACAAGUGGUGUGUACUUUGAGUGCAAGUUUUAGAUUCGAAUCUUACCUAUUUAAUGCGCAAAACGAAGGCUAUGCGCGUCGAUUAUAUCAAAUACAGAAGCUUUAGCAUUCAUCGAUGAACGAAAUCCUCCGAAAAUGAAUGCUCCAUGAAAUAUAACUUGGAAAUAACCCUUAGCUCAAAGGCUUUCUACUGUGAAACAAAGCAAAACAGAGCGCAUCUAGAGUUCUUUGAAGAUGAGGCCAGCGAUGACGAUGAACAGCCACGAGCGGAUGGUGUUCAGGAGGUAGCUGACAACUGUUAGAAUAAAAUAAAAUUUAUUGUUGAAGGUUUGAGCACGUUGGUUACUAAAGCUCUAGAUCUGGUUGUCAGUCUUCCUCAAAAUGCCUUCAUUUAUGAUGGGUGUACGAAGAAGAAUGAAAACGAAUAGGUAAAGCACGAUUCAUGAUAGGUUCUUGAAGGAGAUUGAAGACAAAAAGGCUACAAGCAUCUAACGAAGAAAACCUUCUGCAGCAUGAAGACAAAGAAGGCUAGAAUAGUUCAUUGAAGAGUUCUCCACAUUUAUCUUCAUGUAUUUAUUGUGUGUCUUUUCAUUUGACUUUGUUUGCUCGUAUCACUUUGUGGACUUUCUUGUUUUUUCUCAUUUAAUUUUUGCCAGGUUAUGUACACAUCCAACCACUAUAAUAGGUUGUGAAAAUACAAAGUAGUAAAUACACGGAAGCAAAAAAGGCAAUGCAUUUCAUUUACUUCUCCCUCAUAUUUUCAUUUGUGCCUCCUUCCAAAUUUUCAAUGUCGUCAUUAUUCUUUUGAUUCCAAUAUUUGGUAUCAAAGCUAGAAAUGGCAUCCACCAGUUCUUUUCAAUUUCAACUUCCAAAAUUGAAUGAAAAGAAUUUCAAUAAUUGAUCCAUCCAUAUGAAGAUUUUCUUCAGAUCGCAAAAUUUGUGGAAUCUAGUUGAAAACACCUACAUUGAAGUGGCCAACACCAAAGUGCUCAAGGCUUUAAGAAAGGAGGAGAAAGAUUCUUUGGUGGAGUCCUAUAAAAAAAGAUCGGAAUUCAUUGUAUGCAAUAUUUCAAGCCGUGGAGUAAGGCAUAUUUUAAAAAAAUAUCGAGUGUGACAACUGUAAAAGUAGCAUAGGAUAUUUUGCAAAAAUCUUACAGAGGCAAUAAUUGUGUUCGACGAGUGCGGUUUCAAACAUUCUGGGUGAUUUUGAGUCUUUAAGCAUGAACGACUUCGAAUUAAUCUUGAUAAAUUUUGAUUGUUGUCACGACCUUAUCUUGAGUGCAUCAUAUAAGGUUUGAUUAAUGGAUUACUAAGUUUAAACUUAACUCGGGCUCUCUCAAGCCUAUAUCAAUUCGCAACUUAGGUUUAAUUUAGACUAAUCGGUUUAUAGUGGUUCAAUUAAUUAUCCGAAUAAAGCAUUGGGAGAAAUAACUUGAUUACACUAGCAUACUCUAACAGCCUUUCAGUGUGUUUUCUCUUGCAUUUUGAAAAUUAUUUUGUAAACAGUCUAGAUUUAUUUUAGUCUCAAUCACUAACAUACAAGAGAGUGAUCACACGAGUGUGCAAACAUUAAAGAUAACACUUAAUAUAUAAAUAAGUUGCGGGAAAUUAAACACCAUAACAAGCAAUGAGUUUUUUGGGUUUUCUUUUAAUUAUGGAAUUAGAACUAGCCUAUAUGACACACAAUUUCAAAUUAAAUGAACCUAACAUGCAUACUAUGUGACACACAUAAGGCAUAAGAAUAUAACAUGGCCUAAACUACACGACAUGCAUAUAAUAUUUUGGUAUUAUUAUAUUAAAAUUCGAAAUAAAUAAUUUACAAAAAUUAACUACUAAACUUGAAAAGUUAUCCUAUUUAAACUAGAAAAUAAUUUAAAUUAAAUCCUAUUCUAAUUUGGAUAACUUAUCUUAAUUAAGUAGAUUCUACCUAACAUGCAAUAUAAUCUAAAAGAUAAAUCUAACUAUAUAAAUUCUAAACAUGCAAUCCUAAUCUUUUUAGGAAAUUAUCCAAUCUAUCAAACAAUUUGAUCUUUGUAGGUGUUUUCAAAACAAGCAGUUAUCAAAGAUAAGCAUUAUAUCCAACCCACCUAAAGAUAUUUAUCAAGAUUUCAAAUAAAGGAUUAAAAUUAAUUGAAAAAUAAUCCAUCAUUUCACGGAUUAAAUUAACAAUUAUUUUAACCCUGAACAUUACCAACACAUAGGAAGAAUCAAAAUAAUUUAAAAAAAUGAUUUGAAAUAAUUACAAAUCUAAUUAGUAAUUAUAAUGAUAUGGAUUAAAUUAACAAUUAUUUUCCAGGAAAAAGCAAAAUAAUUUAAAAAAAUCAAAAGUCUUAGGGAUCAAAAUAGUAUUAAUUUUGUUAAUAAAAUCCUAUUGAAUAAUGCCUAAAAUCUCAUCGAAAUCAAUAUUAGCAUCAAGUGAUUUAAUAGGCAAUAAAAUAUUGAGACCAAAUUUUGUUCAAGAAAAUUACUUAGUUUGGAUGAUUUGCUUCGAAAACAGGACCGACAUCACAAACGGUGGCCAGCAUUGAGAUGGUUUGCGGUGCCCGAUAAUUGACGAUCUCAAGGUUUUGGUUCGGUGGCGAGGUUCGUUUGAGCGGGUGAUGCUCGGUGGUUUGACUUCGUCCAUAGGACGGAGACGUGCCUGCUCACGUCUUGAUGAUCCACGAGGAAGCUUCAGGACCGCUUUAGAAACCUGCAAAACGGAAGUGAAGUGCCGCAACAACCGGGCUGGAACUUCACGACAGUGCGGAGCGCGAUGAGGCGGUGUCAAGCACGGCUGCAAGGAUCAGCGGGAGCGGGCGUUGUCGCGGAUCAGGAAUGGCUCGGCAACAUGUUCGGCGAGGGGUGACGCGAAUCAGCAACUUGUCGUCGCGGGUCACGAGCGGCAACGGAACAGAGCAGCUUUGUCGUCACCGGUGCAAGCGGCGAGCAGCGGCAAAACUCGGGAUGGUGGCUCUCGUUGGGCGGCAAAGACAUCGCAGGGCAGCAGGCGUGGUGCAAUAGCCUACUUCGAGCUCUUGUAGUCGGGACAGCAAGCAAAGCAGCAGCUCGUCGCAGGUGGUAAGGGUGCGAUGACGGUGGUGGCGCGGCGAUGAUCUCGGUUAGACGUGGCGGCGCUCAGGCAGUCGGGACAGCGGCAGAGACGUCGCAGGGCGGCCCAACAUCAAGGACGUCGCAGGGCGGAGAGCAGCAUCGGGUCGUUGUCGAUGACGGAGAAGCUCGCCGGGAGAAAGGAGGUGGCGGCCAUGAGUUGAAGGCGUCGGAAAGGGGGGUAUUCGGUCGGGGGAUGGCCGAAGAUGACAACCCCCUACUUUCUUUUAUCUCUCUCCUUAUCUUUUUCCCUUGCGUGUUGUCGGACAAGAAAGAAAAGCCCCUUUUGUUGACCUAUUGACCUAGAGACAAAAGAGAAACCCUGUCUGAUCUUUAUUCCCCUUUGUCUGUAAUGAGAUAGCUUUGGUGAGAGGACUAGGUUGUCGAAAAGCGUAGACUUUCUUUCCUAUUGUGAGCACUUUUUAAAAUAUUUUAUUUCCUUCUUCACCCUUUUCCUUAAAAAUAUUUUAUUUCCUUAUGUUGGCAUUUUUUGAAUAUCACCAAAUAUAUACCCCUGUGCCCACCGACGACGUAGCGCACCCUUCCUUGUGUUUUCCUAUCUUUAUCUUCCAUAUAUUACAUGAAUAUAUAAAUUCACCACCAUAUCAUCCUUUCUUUUUGUUCGUUUUUGUUGGCCAAAUUUUCCUUCUAUGCUCUUGAACGAAUAUUGGAAGAAUAAUACCAAUUUUUUCCUAAAUAUAUCAAUCUCUCAACUCGUCGCACCUUAUAAGUUAAUUUUUGAUCAUUAAAGAAUAAUGGACUUAGUCAAAUUUCUUCACUGUGGGUUUAGUCCAACUUGUUAAAUUAAAGUUCAAAACAAACAAUUUAAGAAAUGAAUAACUAAUUGGGCCACCAAAAUUUAGACGUCAACAAUCGUGUACAAAUCAUCAUUAAUCAGUUGAGGGCUAAUGGUGAAAAACUUCAAGAUGUACGAGUCGUAGAAAAAAUCUUGAGGUCUUUGAUUGAAAGAUUUGUCUACGUCAUUGCAGCGAUCGAGGAAAGACAAAAUGUGUCAACCCUAAUGUUGGAGAGGUUGAUGGGUUCAUUGUGCUUGCGUGAGCAAAGAAUGAAUCAAAAGUCCAUUGAUGCAAAUCCCAAGCAAACAUUGUAGAGUCGGGUCACUCCAUCAAGUCGAGGAGACUAUCAAGGCGAUCGAGGCUAUGGAGGAGGCCGAGAUUGAGGUGGAAAUUCAAAUUUUAACAGAAAAUAUAAAACACGUGAAAAAUCAAAAGUCAAGUAUUUUAAGUACAACAAAAUUAGGAAUUACAAUUCCGAAUGCCAAGCAAAGGCGAUACACAAGCAAGCGGAACAUGCACAUGCCACGGACACUGAAGAAUAUAUGGUGCUAGCAUGUAAAAAAGAUGACUCAAGCAUUUUAGACACCAACAUAUAGUACUUGGAUACUCGAUGCAACAAUUAUAUACCUGACCGAAAGGACUUAUUCUCAUAGUUGGAUGAGACGAGUUGUGGUAUAGUCAACUUCGGGAAUAAAUCAAAAAUUUCUGUGAUGGGCAAAGGUAACAUUAACAUCAAUUUAAGAUAUGGUACUUAUGUUACUAUUGCAGAUUUUUACUUCAUAUCACGACUUUUUUGGAAUUUGCUAAAGUGUUGGGCAACUUUCUAAAGAAAGCCACAAGUUUCAUAUUGAAAAUGGAGUUUGCACCAUCAGAGGUGUCAACAACAAGUUGAUCAUGACAAUGCAAAUGAAGAAAAACCAUAUGUUUCCCCUGACUUUGCAGAAGAAGAGUCUCUUGAGUUUUCAAGCGAUGAUGAAAGAUAGUAACUAGUUGUGGCAUCUUCGAUUCAAGCAUGCAAAUUUUCGUGGACUAAAAUUACUAGUCCCGAAAAAGAUGGUAAUCAAUAUGCCAUUGAUUGACUAUCCAGAUCGUCCAUGCGAAGAAUGUCUCAUUGGAAAAUAACAUCAAGACUCUUUUCCAGUUAGAAAAGCCUGAAGAGCAAAACAACAUUGUAGUUGGUACAUACAAAUAUUUGUGGCGCUGUUGAGGUGGAAUCAUUUGGACAAAAAGAAUAUAUACUAAUUUUUGUGGAUGAUUUUACCAAAAAAAAAAAUGGAGUAUAUUUCUUGAGAGAAAAAUCGGAAACUUUUGGCAAGUUUAAAAAAUUUAAAGUCUAUGUUGAAAAACAUAAUAGCUUUAAUUUGAAGAUGUUAAGAUAAGAAAGGGGGAGAAUUUGCCUCAAAUGAAUUUGGCAAAUAUUAUAAAAUUCAUAGAGUGAAAUGUUAGUUGACUACCAGCUGUACUCCUCGGCAAAAUGGUAUAGCAGAAAGAAAGAACAUGGUAAUUUUUGAAACAACAAGAAAUAUGCUAAAAGCUAAAAAUUUACGCUAAAAAUUUUGUGCAUAAGUUGUUGCAUGUGUUGUAUUUAUACUGAACAAGUAUCCAACAAGGAGUGCUCUUGGAAGAACCCCAAAAAAGGCUUAGAGCGAUCACUAGCCAUUAUAAAUUGUAUAACCUAGUCACUGAAAAGGAAAUCAUCAGCAAGGCUGUCCAGCUUUGAAGAUGAAACUUGGGGUUGAAACCAAAAGGGUGACUAGAAAAACAUUACCAUCGAUGAUGAACCAUUAGGGGGAGAGAUAGAAAACCCUCCAUCAUCUUCGACUGGUGGUGCUCUUCUUCACCAUUGGUAGCUUCAAAACCACCAUUAAAUCAUUCACAGUGAUUACAAGAAACUCCAGCAAAAUUCAGGGAUUAUGUGGUUACAAGAGACAACGACAGUAAAAAUAAUGGAAUUAUUGAUGGAAGCUAUGGUAAAUUUUUGUUUAUUUGCUAAAUGUAACCUUGUAUCCUAUAAUGAAGCAGCUAUAAGUGAGAAGUGAAUCCAAGCAAUUGAUGAAGAAAUCUAUACCAUAGACGAGAAUGACAUAUGUGUUAACUUCUUUACCUCAUAAUAAGAAACCCGUUAGUGUCAAGUGAGUGUACAAGACGAAAUACAAACUUGACGAUUGGGUGGACUAUUACAAAGCUAGACUAGUUGUACAGGGCUAUAAGCAAAAGUCAAGUAUAAAUUAUUUUGAAGUAUUUGCAUCGGUGGCCCAAAUAGAUACCAUUCAUAUGAUCUUAACACUUAUAAAUCAAAACCAUUGGAGGAUCCAUCAAAUGGCUGUGAAAUCAGCAUUUCUUGAUGGUGUCCUUGAAGAGAAAGUCUAUGUCGAGCAACCAUAAAGUUAUGAGAAGAAAGGGCAUGAAAAUCAAGCUAACAAGCUGAAGGCGCCUCGUACUUGGUUUCGAUUUGGUCACCCGCUUGUUCGUCACGGACGAAUUUGCGAAGUCUGUUGCCUACCUUUUCUCACAGCUCCCUGCUUUUUUUCAGUGGAGCUCCUGACGGAGAGAAGGAAAAGGGCCGGAUGAUCAUGCCUUGGGCCGUAAAAUGAAUACCGAACUGGACCUUUUAUUUCAUUUAUUAUUAUCGUAUUUUUCUUUAUUUUGAUUUUUUAUAUUUUUGCCAAAAAAGUGGACGCUUGGAUAGUCAACAAAAUUACAGGUGUAAACAAAUAUGCUUUGUCAAUUCUUAAACAUGCUUUGAAUCCUAUGAUGCAUCAAGUUAUCGUUUAAUUUGUAAUCAAUUUUGUUUAUCAAUGCAUCCAUCUAUGAGUCAUUUUCAAAUUGCCAAGCGCAGUUUAUAUUAUAUUAGGGGCAUAGAAGAUCAAGGGAUGCGAAUCUUAUCCAAGUCAACUUUGGACUAGUUUUUUUCAUCUGUCUCUUUAAUAAAGUUUUGAGAACCGUUUUCGGACCGGGGGAUUUCACGGGACGGACUAGCUUUUUUUGGCGAGCAGGAAAAGAUAAGAAUUGUUGAUCUUUCACAUAAGAGGUGAUACAUUCCCGCAACAAAAGUUGAUGACUCAGUGGGGUCAACGUCAAGCUAGUAGCGACAGGGCUUGAAAUUCUUUGGCAUUACUGACUAAUCAAGUGUUCUUAAUCCGAGAAGAUUUAUGGUACAUUUGAUAAUCAUUUUAUUCUCGGAAAUGACUUUUGCUCAUAAACAAUUUUUUUUAUAUUGUUCCGAGAAAUAAUUUGUGAGUUUUUAAAGAUGUUUAGUAACUACACAAAAUUUUUAUUUCUCAAAUAGAAAUGUAUUUCAUAGGAUUCUUAAUUUUUUUUGUUUCUUUUAAUUUUUUAAUAUUUUUAUUACAUUUUUCUCUUUUUUCUCUCUUAUCUUUUUUCUUUUUUCCUUUUCCUUUUCUCUUCUACUUCCUCCUCCUUUGUGGCUGGUUGUCAGUGUGGCCGAUCGCCAACCAUGGUGGUGGCCGAUGAUUGGCUUCACGAGGUCCAACAAGGUCGCCGAAGCCUCGCCAUAGUAGAGUGAGGUCCCACGAGCUCGCCAGAGGCUUGCAUUAGGCUUGCAUGACCAUUGCAAGCCUCGGCCUCACAGAUUUGGGCGAGGACAAGCCUUUCUGAUGGCCAAAUGAGCCUCGCCUAGGCCGACGAGCCUCAUCAUGGUUCGGCAUCUGACGACGCUUUGGCAAGGUUGCUAGUCCUUGUUUGACCGGUCGCCAGCCACGGUUGAGGCCGAUGAUGAGCCAAAAGAAGGAAGAAGAAGAAGAAGAAGAAGAAAGAGAAAUUAGACUUGACUCUAGGAGUUGUUCCCGAGAAUAAGAAGUAAUUUUUUUUUCUACUUCUUAAUUUUGUUUCAAAUCUAUUUCAGAGAAUAAAAAAAUGAAUUGUUUUCUGGAGCUAAAAAUUUACUAAAUGAAUAUCUAUUUUUUUUUGUUUUUUUUUGGAGAACAAAAAAAAAAGAAUCAAUUGACAUUACCAAAUGGAUUUAUAUUUUUUUUUUUGUUCCGGGAAAUAAAAAAACAGAAUAACAAAGAAAUUGGAAUAUUAACAAACAGACCCUUAACAAAACGUUAAACUUCGGUCAAAGUUAUGAGGGGUUACAAACAUAUAUAUCUAAUCAUUAUUCUCCACUAACGGCCAUAAAAAUUAAUAAAAAACGGAUGAGCAAAAAAGGAAAAGAAACAUUCCUAUUUGAUCCAUUAUUUACAUUUGAUAUUGUAAAUACAUCCAGCGAGUUGCUUGAAAAAUCGACAAAGUCUAUAUCCUCAAGCAGAUCACGGGCGCAGUUCAUUGGAAGAAGGAUGAAGACUCCAAUAACCCCCGCAAAUUCAAAUACUCUCAAGCCGUAAAAUUUCAGAUCAAAGGCAAAAUUGUAUAAGGAAGAGCCAACAAGGUAAGUAAAUACAUGAUCCAGAGAAGCUAGUGCACCAGUUACCAUAGCCACAACUCGCUAAUUAAUGGAGACAAAUAUGAAUAGCAAGAAGAAAGGUUAACAUAUAUCCAAACAUAUAUCCAAAGUCCAGAUCUAACUUCUCUCAUCCCAAUCAUUUCCUUAGAAAAAAAACAUGAAACAACGGCCUUUUCGUUUCUCGUUUACUCGAGUUAUCGUUAAUACUUGAUGCUCUGUCAUGAUGGAUUUUCUCUAUACACAUCCAAUGAGCACUACAAAUGAAAACUCAGAAUCAGUCUGAAUCCCUAAUGGCACAUUAACAACGGUUAGGUUAGAAAUAAUUAUAUAAAUCAGAAGAAGCAUAAACAAACUUUCAACUGUCACAUAUUAGCUAUGCAAUUUGAGUCAUGUAAAACAGAGAGAUCCUUCGCUACCCUUUGCACUGACCCUAAUAAGCUGUGCAAGGAAUUAGGAAACCAUCGAAUCUUCUAAGGAAUUUUGGGUAAAUAGGUCUAUUCAAGCAUGCGAUGUGGGGAUACCGUCCACUCUGUCACCUCACGCUCACUUAAGAUAAAGAGAUGAUAGGUCGGUACCUUCGAAUUUGUCCAAUUAUUAAUUGGAUUUCGAGAAAACCAGAAUUAACGAAACUGCACAAAAUUCUAUUUUCCUAUGGUAUUCUAUGAGUCUCUUCCAUUUUGCGUAUGGUAUCACGUCACGUCCCCCCGCCUAAGUAACACCGAUAUCGACACGUGACACAUGACACAACACGACACGCCGACAUAUUAUUUUUAAAAGAAGAGAAUCUCGACACGUUGUGACGCGUUCUAUAUUAAAUAUAUAUCUUAUAAAUACGUAAUAAAUUAUCAUUUUUAUAAUUUUUUCAAUCAAAUUAAUUUGAUUCAAAUUCACAAAUAAAUAAAUAACAAAACCUAGAAUGAAUUUACACUAAAAACAUUAAUUCACCAUUUAUUAAUAUCAUUUAUUGUUUCAAUUUGACAAAUUCCACGCCAUUCUAAUAAUCUAUAAGAUUUGAAAAAAAAAAAAACAAUUCACAUUCUAGACUCACAUGUGUUGGAAGAGAGAAGAAAAAAUUCAGAGAAUAAAUUAUGUAUCACGAAAAGUGAGAGUUAAAAGAGAAGAGAAAAUUAUGUUUUUUUUUCCCUAUUUAUUAUUUUUAUGAUUGUUUUUUUAUUUUUUCACUUAUAUAUAUUCUGACUCCUCAUUUAUUGCGGACUUUUAAGAUUGAUUUCAUGUGUUAGAAUAAUGUGUCGGAAACUCACAUGUUCGAGUUCCAACUCGAGUGUCGAAAAGUGUAGGGAAAGUUAAUCAAGUGUCGAGUUUUUCGAUGCAUGUUAACCGAGUGUCAAUUCCAAGAGUUUCAAAGAGCAUUGAAUACGUGUCGGAGUAUCCGUAUUUUGACCACUCAUUCAUUUAAAAUUUUUAAAAUUGCCUGGCACCUUACUUGUCACAAUUUGCCUUUAUCAUAGUCCUAACUUUGAGAAAAUGUACUAGAUACUACCAUUAAAGAGUAACAUUAUCAUAUGAAUCCUUUGAGCAUAUAAAUAGUUGUGGGACGGGAACGACUAAAUAAAUCCUCGCCUUACCUCUUAUGCUAGGACUGUACAUUGACAAGCACCAUAGCUGGACUAAAGGGUAAGCGACCAAUCAAACUCCUAUUUCAAAAUCAAGAGCAAUGGAUCUAGAUUCAACAACAUAUUUGUAAUCACAAUAAGAUUAAAUAACGCGAUCGUAUUUUGAAAUUCGAAUAUUUACAUGUCGGGUGCACUCUCCUUUGAUGGAUUAAGUUUUGUUUUGGGUCAAUUUGAGAGAGAGAGAGAGAGAGAGAGCUCUUACACUCUCCUAUUUUGAGGUAAAAAAAGAGAGAAAAAAAGGAAAACGAAAGAAGGCAAUGAUUAAAAGAAGAGAGCCAAAAAGAAGCCUCCCUUUUGACCAACUGAGAACGAGGAAUCGAUUCUCAACCGCUCGCCUCUCUCUCUCUCUAUUGCUCAGGCUGUCGCUCGAGAUCCGGUGUCGUUCCGUCGCUCUCUCUCCCUCGCUCGCUCUCUCGAUCGCUCGGUCUGUCUCUCGGGCUCUGGUCGUCCCUCCCUCUCUCUCUCUCUCUCGAUCGCGCGGUCGGUCUCUCGAGCUCCGGAGUCCUUCCGUCGCUCUCUCUCUCUCUCUCGCUCGCUCGCUCGCUCGGCCUUCGGUGUCUGAAUUCAUCGGAAAGAUGAAUCUAGGGCAACUUUUCGGGCAUUUAAAGCGAUCGGCUGCUUUGAACUUGUUGGAGGGGCUAUUCUUUUUCUGGAAUAUAUCUAGGGCAACUUUUCGGGCAUUUAUCACGGCUUUUUACUUUAUCGGAAAUGCGAUUCUGUUGCUCAUCAUGUCGGACACGGGGAUUCCGAUACUGAAAAGUAACGUUCAGUCAAUUUGGCAGAGCUUGAGAAAGAAGCUAGCGGCUGGCUCCAGAAUCGCCGCCGAUGCCCAGGUACCGACCACACUAUUAUCAUCAUCUGUGGGUUUAUAUAUAUAUAUAUAUAGAGAGAGAGAGAGAGAGAGAGAGAGAGAGAGAGAGGGGUCAUGGGGAAAAGAGAAAGCUUGCUGUGUCGUCUGUGGUCGAAAAAGGUAUACUUUUCAGUGAUAGGCUUCAGCUUCUUGAAGGAAAGUUGCUUUCCUGAAAUUUUGUCAUGAUAUUGCAUUUAUUAAGAAUCAUUAUGCUUGAUUUAGCUGUGAUUCAUAGAAAGAAAAAACCUGAAAUGCUUUCUAAAGGUUACUUUUUGCAAAGCAAGCUUGCUUGUGUACUAAAUCGAGAUCUGUUGUCGGGAAAUGGAAAAGCAUGCUUGCUAUACAAACUUCUCCUUUACUUGAAUACCAAAGAAUGUCGACUUUUCUGUUGUUGAUUAUAAGUUGACUGUCAUUUGUAAGUCUGGAAAAAAGGGCCAUGGUAGGAUGGUAGCACAACUUAAUAAUUCAUAGCAUCGGAGAAUUCGCUUUAGCAAGAAGUUGAAAAAAGUACACUUAGAGACAGCAAUUGGAUAAUCGCACGUUGUGGACAGAAAGGUUGAGAGGGAAUUUUGCGAAGCUGUUGAAACUUGAAAGGAAUUAAACUUUCUUUAGUUAAUGCAGAAGACAUUAACGACCAGCUUCCUGCGCAACUCUCUUGAUAAACCAUUGAUUAGUUGCGCUUUUUCCUCGAGAUUAAUUACAGGUGCAUUGCAUGUCUCGGUUCAUUUUAAAUGCCUAAGAGUUCUGUACUUGAUACUGUCGUCUUGUGCUUUUUGCUUUGGGGGAUAUUCUUGGGGUAUGAUUAGGACAUGAUGGGCUAGCCUUUCUUCACUGCAACAUUAAUCUCAUCCUCAUGUUUCACCCAUCCAGUGAAUUCGGACUUGGAUUAUGGUAUUAUUAUUAUGGGUUGAUCACUAUUUGGAAACAUUAGUUAGCCAUCUUGCAGCUUUCAUCGACUGUGAAUGACUUUGCACACUAGCAUCGAAUCGGACGCCGGAGGGAGGGAGUGGAAGAAACGAAGAGAAUUUUUGGGUGGGAGAGCGAGGGGAGAGAGUGCAAGGGAGGGGGGAGAGGGAGGGGAGGAAGCAAUGACUGCGAAGGAGGAAAAAAGUCGGGGUGUGGGAAAGGGCCAAGAAAGAGAGAAUAUGUUUCACGCUCUCGAGAUCAAAGGGGGCUAGACGGAUAGGCAAAAGACGAACACAUGUCGGAACAGUGCUUGUCGUUUAACGCCUGGCAGCGAGAAGAAGCAGCAGGGAGGGUUGGCAGAGUUGAGAGCGAGAGCCAUCCCACGCCCCUACGACACACCGGCGCUUCGACCGAUGCAGCUGGCAGGAGCUGGCGGGGAAAGGGGAGAUGAGCGUUCACCCCAACCCCCAACCCCACGCACUCCUUAGUCCACGCUAAACCCGAUUACUUUACUGAUUCACGUUCGUCGUUACGGUAGUUUGGGACCAUGGUAACGAAAUAAAUUGUGUUCUAACUUUAACUCAUUGUCUACUGAUGUUCCUUAAUUUUAAAUUCGUUCAAUGUAAUUCCAAAACUUUAUCUCGUUAGGAUGGGUAAUACAGCAAAUUCGCUUGUGCUUUGUCUUUUGUUUAUCCAGUGUUCUUCUACUUAGCCAAAGUUGGUUCACUCUCUUGUAGCUUGGUUGGUAUUUAUAGCUUGUUCUCUAGCUGAUAACUGUCACAUUUGAUUGGACAAAAGAAAGCUUGGUGUGUUGUUCGUGGUAGAAAAAGAUAUACUUUUGCGGAACGUUGUGCAGUCUCUGUUUCUUCCCUUCCUGAUUUUUAUAAAACGAGGCAGGCGGUCUCUUUUGUUUCUUUUCUAUCUUUCUGACGACAGGCAUCAUCUCGCAAAACGUAUGUUUUUGUUGCUGGAUCUUAACUUUCAUGGCUCACUUUUGUCUCCCUCUGUGUGUUUUUAUCAGGGGGACCUUAGGAAGAGACAGGAUUUCCUUCCUGUGCGGAACCAUGGCUCGGGUGGCGAUGGCGAGCAAAACAAGAAGGUUAGUUCUGUUUUCCAAUCUCCUGGUAUCUCUAUAUGAUAAGGUUUCGUCUAGACAAUGAUCGACACAGUUGGAAAUUGCUUGAUUAGUGCUAUUCAGUUACAAAAAAUUUCGUAUCGAAUUUUAAACAGAUCCAGCUUACUGGGUUGUACGUACUAGUACAUGUAGGUCUUCUCAUGGUUCUGGCAUCAAUAUUUUCACCUUGCCAUCGAUCACAAGAUUUGUUUGCCCGGAGCAAAGUGUUCACUAAAUGAAAGUUUUCAUUUGAAACCUUUUGGGUGGACAAUAGUUUACUGAAAACAUUUUCAUCUUAUGCACCGGCUAACGAAACAAGAGUGAUCCUCGGAUCAACGAACUGGUUAAAUUUGCCAAGAUGCAAGAUUGUGCCUACAUUGAAAUACUGUAGGAAGUGUGGAUCCUUCUUUACUUUCUUUCAAGUUCAAUAACCUAAAGAUCUAAUAAUUUCGAAGAGGCUCUGGGAAAGCUGGAAUUUUUUGGCCACUUCUCCUUGACUUGCUUAUUUCCCAUGCCUUAAAUAUAUUAGGAUCUUUUUUCCCUUACUAUAUUGUUGAGGGUGACAGGGAAUUGAUGUGCUGAGGAUGGGAUCGGCUGGUGGUGGAAGAGGCAAGAAUGGCCACUUGAAGGUUGUGGUUUCAGCAUCGGCAUCGGAGGGGGCAAUCGUCGAGCAGCCAGUGCAUUCUGGUGCUCUUGCAAAUGGUGGUGGUGCAGGUGCAGUGGUAAGUAGCACGAGCUAAAUAGACUUCAGCUUCUAGAAGGAAAGUUGCUUUCCUGAAAUUUUGUCAUGAUAUUGCAUUUAUCAAGAAUCAUUCAUCUUGAUUUAGUUGUGAUUCAUAGAAAGAGGAAAGCUGAAAUGCUUUCUAAAGGUUACUUUCUGCAAAGCAAGCUUGCUUGUAUACUAAAUCGAGAUCUAUUGUCAGGGGAGAUGGAAAAGCAUGCUUGAUGUACAAACUCCUCCUUCACUUGAAUACCAAAGAAUGUCAACUUUUCUGCUGUUGAUCAUAAGUUGACUGUCAUUUGUAAGUCUGGAAAAAAGGGCCAUGCUAGGAGAAGAUUUUUUUUCCCCGCGAGGGAUAGUAGCACAACUUAAUAAUUCAUUGCAUCGGAGAAUUCGCUUUAGCAAGAAGUUGACUAUUUUCAGGAAAAAAGCACACUUAGAGACAGCAAUUGGAUAAUAGCACGUUGUGUACAGAAAGGUUGAGAGGGAAUUUUGCGAAGUUGUUGAGACUUGAAAGGAAUUAAACUUUGUGUAGUUGAUGCAGAAGACAUUAACGACCAGCUUCCUGCACAAUUGUCUUGAUAAUCCAAUGAUUAAUCGUGCUUUUUCCUCGAGAUUAAUUACAGGUGCAUUGCAUGUUUCAGUUUAUUUUAAAUGCCUAAGAGUUCUAUACUUGAUAUUGUCAUCUUGUGCUUUCUGCUUUGGGGGAUAUUCUCGGGGUAUCAUUAGGACAUGAUGGGCUAGCUUUUCUUUGCAGCAACAUUAAUCCCAUCCUCAUGUUUCACCCAUCCUGUGAAUUCAGACUUGGAUUAUGGUAUUAUUAUUAUGGGAUGAGCACUAUCUGGAAACAUUAGUUAGCCAUCUUUCUGCUUUCAUCGACUCUGAAUGACUUGUACACAANNNNNNNNNNNNNNNNNNNNNNNNNNNNNNNNNNNNNNNNNNNNNNNNNNNNNNNNNNNNNNNNNNNNNNNNNNNNNNNNNNNNNNNNNNNNNNNNNNNNGGGGGGGGGGGGGGGAGUAAGCAAAGACUGCGAAGGAGGGAUAAAAAGUGGGGGCGUGGGAAAGGGCCAAUCACGCUCUCGAGAUCAAAGGGGGCUAGACGGAUAGGCAAAAGACGAGCACGUCGGAACAGUGCUUGUCAUUUCAUGCCUGGCAGCAAGAAUAAGCAGCAGGGAGGGUUGGCAAAGUUGAGAGGGAAAGCCAUCCCAUGCCCCUCCGACACGCCAGCGCUUCAACCGAUGCAGCUGGCGGGGAAGGGGGGAUGAGCUUCACCCCCAACCCCACGCACUCCUUAGUCCACGCUAAACCCGAUUACUGAUUCACGUUCGUCGUUACGGUAGUUUGGGACCAUGGUAACAAAAGAAAUUGUGUUCGAACUAACUCAUUGUUUUAUUAUGGUCCUUAACUUUAAAUUCAUUCAAUGUAAUUCCAAUUUUUUUUUUUAAUCUUCAAUGUAAUUCCAAAACUUUAUCUUGUUAGGAUGGGUAAUACAGCAAAUUCGUUUGUUCUUUGUCUUUUGUUUAUCCAGUGUUCUUCUACUUAGCCAAAGUUGGUUCACUCUCUUGUAGCUUGGUUGGUAUUUAUAGCUUGUUCUCUAGCUGAUAACUGUCACAUUUGAUUGGAAAAAAGAAAGCUUGGUGUGUUGUUCGUGGUAGAAAAAGAUAUACUUUUGCGGAACGUUGUGCAGUCUCUGUUUCUUCCCUUCCUGAUUUUUAUAAAACGAGGCAGGCGGUCUCUUUUGUUUCUUUGCUAUCUUUCUGACGACAGGCAUCAUCUCUCAAAAUAUAUGUUUUUGUUGCUGGAUCUUAACUUUCAUGACUUACUUUUGUCUCCCUCUGUGUGUUUUAUCAGGAGGACCUUAAGAAGAGACAGGAUUUCCUUCCUGUGUGGCAACAUGGCUGGGGUGGUAAUGGCGAGCAAAACAAGAAGGUUAGUUCUGUUUUCCAAUCUCCUGGUAUCUCUAUACAAUAAGGUUUUGUCUAGACAAUGAUCGACAGAGUCAGAAACUGCUUGAUUAGUGCUAUUCAGUUACGAAAAAUUUCAUGAUGAAUUUUAAAUAGAUCCAGCUUACUGGGUCUACGUACUAGUACAUGUAGGUCUUCUUAUGGUUCUGGCAUUAAUAUUUUCAUCUUCCCAUUGAAGUUGUUGACAUACUGGGUUGUACAUACUAGCACGUAGCGGACAGAAGGGUGGAGAGGGAAUUUUGCGAAGUUGUUAUAACUUGAAAGGAAUUGAAGUUUCUUUAGUUAAUGCAGAAGACAUUAACGACCAGCUUCCUUCAUAAUUCUGUUGAUAUACCAAUGAUUGGUUGCGUUUUUUCCUCGAGAUUACUUACAGGUGCAUUGCAUGUUUCAGUUUAUUUUAAAUGCUUAAGGGUUCUGUACUUGGUACCGUCGUCGUGUGCUUUUCACAUUGGGGGAUAUUCUCGGGGUAUCAUGACAUCACGGGCAAGCUUUUCUUUGCAGCAACAUUAAUCACAUCCUCAUGUUUCACCCAUCCAGUGAAUUCAGACUUAGAUUAUGGCAUUAUUUAUGGGAUGAACACUCUUUGGAAACAUGUAUUGGCCCUCUUGCUGCUUUCAUUGACUCUGAAUGACUUUGCACCGUGAAAAAAGCAGCUAAAAACAUCUGUUUGGUGAGUAGAUUUGAGAAGAUGCAUGCAUAUCUCUGAGAAUUCCAUUAUGUUUUCAUCUGACUAGUUUGUUAGAAUGGGGAAUACAACAAAUACAUUUAUGCUUUGUCUUUUGUUUAUCCAUUGUUCUUCUACUUAGCCAAGAAUAAAAGAAGUAAGUUAUUUCACUCUCUCGUCGCUUGGUUGGUAUUUAUAGCUUGUUCUUUAGCUGAUAACUGUCACAUUUGAUUGGGUUGAAUUGUCUUUUGUACUUGAAUUUAACAUCUAUUCUCUCUUCCCAAGUUUAAACAUCAAAUAAGAGUUCUCUGGGUUGACUUUGUUGAACUUCCAUUGAUGUUUAUACAGGCAAUUAUGUGUUAUUGUAUAGUAACACAUUUUCAAAGAACUUAUCUGUUUGGGUACCAGUAUAGAUUGUCAUUAUCUGAAUAUCUAGUGCUUGAUCUCUUUUACACAGGAUGUCAAGAAAUUUAAGUGCCGAUGUUCCACUAGUAAGAUUAGACUUGUCAUGUUCCCUGUUUGAUGAUAUUGCAAACUCUGAGGACUAGAAAAGCCCUCAAGUCCCCUAUGUGCUGCCUAGAUUAACACUAACCCCUAUUACUGAUUGGAUUGAUGGAGUUUUUUGUCAUUAUCUGAAUAUCUAGUGCCUGAUCUCUUCUACACAGGAUGUGAAGAAACUUCAGGUGCCGAUAUUUUGCUGGUAAUAUUAGUUUUGGCAUGUUCCAUACUUGAUGAUAUCACAAACUCUGAGAACUAGAAAAGCCCUCAAGUCCCCUUUUGUUCUGCCUGUACUUCAACACUAAACCCCCAUUACUAAUUGUAUUUGAUGGAGUUUAAUCUGUGCACUUGACAAUCGUAGCUCGAUCUUCUCAUGUAAUCUUGUUUCUUCAAUUCUGCUAUGUCUUUUUGUUCUUAUUUGAUAUAUUCGGCAGCACUGUACAUUAUAUCUAAGAUUGUAGUUUUCGUUUGUAGGAUCCCAAGAUGAAAAAGGCUGCUCCACCCUUUUCGUACGAUCACAAAUCUGGCAGUUGCAAGGAAAAGGGAGAGGUUGGUAUUCCAAUCUUUCUACAUUUAUAAACUGGAAAAUGCAUAGACAUGCUCUUUUUUUGACUUCUCUCUUUGAUACGUAACGUAUAGCUAUGUUAUGAUAUCUAAGAAAGUUGGUCCACAAAUAGUAUCAAUUACCCUAAAGAUUGAAAUCUCAUUGAAUGUUAUACAUGUCUAGAUUAGUGAGAACAAGUGUUGCCAUGUAAAGAUCUUCUUGUGAAUCCUCUAUCGAAAACUUAACCUUAAUGUUGCAUCAUUAUGAUUCUUGUCCUUUUUCCUUACAAAUUGGUCCUUAGGCCUGCUACUGAGCUUGGUCUUCCAGAUCGAUGUUUGAAACGAUUAAGUCCACUUGUGCAUUGAUAAACAAAGGAAUAGAUGGCUUGAUUUCUAUACUUGAUCGAUAGAUAAACAAAGGAAUAGAUGGCUUGAUUUCUAUACUUGAUUGCUAGACAUCGUAAGACUCUCCUCCGUUAGUAAAUGGUUGGCAUGGGUUCCUGCUUAUCAGUGCUCCUCGUUUCCCUGAUUAAGAAACUUAGGGCUCAUUUGAUUUUAGAAAACAAUUUCAAUUUCCAUUUUUGUAUAUGAAAACAUCAAUGGUAUGAAAAUCAAAAUCAAAACUCUCCAAAAUAAUAGCGAGUCUUUUCCUUUGGUAUUCACUCUCUUCGUGUUUCAUUCGGAAAGGAGAAGACUUGGAGAUAUCAACAAUAUAUUUUCAGUUUGUAACGUUGACUUGGAAAACAAUUAACUUAUUUACCUUAUUAACUUGGAAAAUAAUUGUACCUCAUUAGUGAGAUAAUCAUUCUCUUGGAGUGAUUAAACGAUUGAAUGAUUUUAAUCUGUUGUGAGGGCAUUGUCUCAUCAUUAUUUGCUCUGUUUGGCAAUCUGUCCAUGAUGCCUGUAACCUCUCAAAAUAUUCCAGAUAUUCCAGAUGGCAUUUGGAGAAAGAAGGUCUUUGCCAGUGCAAUCCUUGGUGGUGUUAUUCCUAGUUGGUGAGACUCUGAUUUGCUAGGCAUCUUCCUCUUUUCUUAGGUUUUCUUGUUGUCAUUUCUCACUGGAUUGAUCCCAAUACCAUUUGGGAAGCUACCUGGAAUUGGACCGCUUUGUUGUUGUCAUUUUUAUUCUUUAAUCCCUUUAUGAUGUUUUUGACUAUCUGUUAUUUGAAUCUGUAGGGGGGAUGCCUGUCUUUGCUUCAGCGAGUUUUACACUAGUCCAUUACAACAAUUGCCCGAUACCAAUAUUUCCAUCACUGUUCCCUACCGGCAGUUCUAUGAAAAUUGAUAAUAGUAUGAGUCUCGGUGCAAUUGAUCCAAGUGAAGUACAGAAUUAUACUCUGCCAGAUGGGUGGGCAGGCUUUGGCUUUUUCAGUACUGGAUGCACUUUGGAUGCAUUGGCUGCUCGGAAUUGCACCACUGGUAAUUGCGAAGGGAGAGGUUGUACUGCAGAGGACAGUCCAGUUGCAACAACUUACAUCAUUUCCGAUGAUGGUAGCAUCACCAUAUCUGCGGGAAGGGGUUAUAAUCUCGAACUAGAGAUUAUGCCAAUGUGUGUUGGCUGCACGUCUGCAAGCUGCAAAGCCCAGUUGGAGAGCUGCCCAAAUGAUCUGAGGCUAUUAAACAGCUCAGGAGCUGUGGUUGGAUGCAAGCCGCCAGGUAGGGGCCUACAUUUCUCUGAGAGUCAAUGCACCAUCCCCGGUGAUUACGGUAUUUCCACAGUGAGAAUCACCUGUCCCCUGAAGAAUUGCAUUACAAAGAUUACGGUGUCUUGUCAACACUAAACGUACAAACAUAGGUUGUACAGCAUCAACUUCAAAUAGGGGUUUCUGGAAAUGCUACUUAGACAAUUGACACAGGGGCUCCUUGUUACUUGUUAUCCUGGCUUCUGCUCUAUCCUUUUUAACUUGAACUUUCCGUCUGCGGAAAGGGGUUAUAAUCUCAAACUAGAGAUUAUGCCAAUGUGUGUUGGUUGCACGUCUGCAAGCUGCAAAGCCCAGUUGGAGAGCUGCCCAAAUGAUCUGAGGCUAUUAAACAGUUCAGGAGCUGUGGUUGGAUGCAAGCCGCCAGGUAGGGGCCUACAUUUCUCUGAGAGUCAAUGCACCAUCCCUGGCGAUUACAGUAUUUCCACGGUGAGAAUCACCUGUCGCCUGAAGAAUUGCAUUACAAAGAUUACGGUACAAGGUCAACACUAAAGGUACAAACAUAGGUUGUACAGCAUCAACUUCAAAUAGGGGUUUCUGGAAAUGCUACUUAGACAAUUGACGCAGGCGCUUCUUGUUACUUGUUAUCCUGGCUUCUGUUCUAUCCUUUUUAACUUGAACUUCCGUCUAGGUUCCGAGAGUAUUGCAAACAUCAUCUGUGUGACUGCAUAAACUGUUUUUAACAGUACAGAUGAACCGAGGGAGAACAUUGACGAUUGUCCCACCACGGCACAAUGCAUUCAUAGAAUUAGCCAUUAGGGAUGCAGCACAGUGAGCAAUAGUUUUGACUGUUAGAAUUAAGAUCCUUUCGAUUUAGAGACUUAAUCAGUUGGGGAUGAUGCAAAAUCACUCAAAAAGUUCGGCUACCUACCUUUUUUUCCCCAAGGUAUUUGGCCAAAUUAGAAAAAUCAAUUUUCCAUUGUCAUCCGUGAUAAUAUUAAAUAAGCGAAUCGAGUGAAGCAAUUGAAAGGAUCUGAUCAUUAAUCCUGCAUAUUAUUGCGAGAGUAACAUCAUGAACUACUCAAGAUGCAUAGUUCGAUAAAAAUUGCGUUACACAAAAUUAAACGAUUACUAACCUUUUGGGAACCUUUUUUUUCCAAGGUAUUUGGCCAAUUAAAAAAAUCUAUUUUCCUAUCCUUCCUUUUGAAAGAUAGAAAUAUCAGGUCUACAGUCACAACAAUAUCAACUCGAUGCAUGCAAACCACGUAAAAAAGGAGGCGAUGCAGAUGUCUAAGCACUAACAAUUAUUGUUUUGUUUCUGUUAGAGCCUGAAUUUCAUUUGAGACGUAUCAAGCAUAAAACAAUAUCAGUUGCACUUACCUGAUGAGCUUCGUGCGGAGGUCAUUUUUGUGUAAUAGGAUCAGGUCCUUGUUAGCCACCAACCUAUAUGUAUAUCAAAAGAAGUCAUUUGUUGCAAGAGAACAACAAAAUUUGAUUUGAGAGACGAGGACGAGGCCAAGUGAAAAUUGUUAGAAAGUCUAAUCUAAAAAGCAAUGAAUUCGACUAACAGAGUGGACGCAAAUCACGAGCCAACAGAUUUUUGGCUAGCCUUGCGUUGCCGAAGCGCGGUCUUGCGUUGCCGCUUCUGUUCAUCAGAGUCACGUUCGUGGCGCCGGAAACUGCCGCUGCUUGCCCUUCCUCCUCCAGUGGUGUUCUUCCAUCGCUAUGGAGCUUCCGUUUGAUUUGCUUCUCUCCAUACGAUCUCGCGACGGAAGAGAGACGUUAAAACGAAGGUUUGAAAGAGGUGAGGUUUGCCGACCGAAGAGAGGCGUCAGGAAAUGAGGAAGUAGGGGCCUGCUGCGUGCUGAUGCGGUUUAAUGAUUUAUUAGUCGAGUAAAAUAAAACGAAAAAAUCAUCAAAAACUUCAAAUUUUAUUCAAAAUGACAAAUUUUACCAAUCGUGAUACAUUUAUCAUAAAUUUUUUUUCGUGACAUAAAAACUCUAACUUUGCAUCCGUAUGACAUAUUUACUUUUUAACUUUUUUUUCUUCUCCUCUCUUCCCUCUUCUACCAUCUCUUUCCUCUCCCACUAUGGCGGAAGAAAGAGAGAAGAAGUAAAAAGGAAAGAUAAAAAAAUAAGAUGAAAAUCUCUUUAGUUGAGUAAAUAUGUCACAGUUAAUAAAGUUUGAAAUUUUUCACGUAACGAAAAAAGUUUUGAGAAAAUUUGAAAUUUUUAAUGCUUUUUUUCCAAAAUAAAACGUAUAAAAUGUUCGAACACUGUACGGAUUCCUGGGUAAAAAAAAAAAAAAGGUUCGAACACUUUUCGGAACAAGUCUGACUGAUCGGUUCGAAUCCACUCACGUUACCCUCUGGCAAUUGGUUGAGAAAAAGACAUUACAAAAAGACUUGGCAACUUAGUCAAGUCGAAAAAAACGUAUGAAACGUUCGACACUUCCGAAAAAAAUAUGAUUGAUCGGUUCGAAUCCAAUGCACGUUACCCUCUUGCGGUUGGCUGAGAAAAAGAAAUUAGACAGACUUGGCAGCCACCGCUCCUUCGAGGAAAAAGAGAUGGAACAAGGACGUCACGUGCCGUCCUUUUCGUGCCAACUAUUUAAAUGUCACAUCUGUUGUCUUUCUGAUCCGUGAGAGCUUUUAAGUCUUCGGCACUGUGAUACGAGUACGAAAAACACCGAGUACGAAAUUUCAAAUUGUGUUAAUUUAGAAUGGAUCGGAUCAAACCCUUCUAAUUCUCUCUUUGACUAAACCAACUUGAGAAACUCAUUUCCUUCUCCGACCACAGAAAAAUUCAUUUACUUAUUAGAAAGUGGAAGUCUGAUGACUUGUUAUGCAGGAUGUCGAAUUGUAGAUUGUUAUAUUAUGUUUUGCUUUUUUCUUUAGCCUUUGUGUUUUAUGGAGAAAGUAUGUUUGACCCGUCUAUGUUGGUGCAAGUGAAAAUUGAAGCGUGCAAUUCUCUCUGAACCCUAGGUUAGGGUUUUCCUCACUUUCCUCCUCAAGCCACCGCCUCUCUACUAGGGUCCCUUCCCCUUUCCCUCUCUUUCUCUCUCUUCCCUCUUUUGAAACUCUUUCUUUUCUAUCCUGAUUUGUUCUGGGAAUUGUGUGUGUAAAUCAAUUUUAGCAGCUGAGCUCCGGUGAACAUAGAAACGAGUUCGGCCAUUCAUCCAGUUGACAACCAUCAAGAAUGAUGUUUGUAAUAUGAUUCCAUAACCUCUCCGAGAUAGGCCACUCUUCUCUUCCAAUUUAAAUUUAGGUCAAGUUUUGGUAUAGAUUUGAGAGUUCCUUAUAGGUAUUUGAUCUGUGUUUUUUUUUUUAUAUUUUGAUGUUGGUAAUGAGAUGUUGAAUCUAGACGCAUACAAUGGAGUGGAUAUAUCUCGGUGUAUGCUCAUCACUGAAUCUGGUGAUUGACCGCCAAUUGUUUAUAGCGACAAAUCCGUUCUUUAGGGAUGAGAAUUGCUUUCUUUUUUUUGCUUUUUUCUACAUUUAAUUGGGAUUUUCUAGGCUUGGAAAAAUUUCUAUGUACCUUUUCAAGUAUUAUUCUGAUAUAUGAAUGAUAUUUGACCAAAAAAAAUUACAAAACAAUUGAAUUGCUUAAUGAUGAUGGCGUGUCGUGUGAUUUUAAAGUUUAAAAUAGAGCAUUUGUAAUAUACUCUAUUGGUACAAAAAGAAAUCUCCAAAACCUUAUCUAUCAGUAAUUUGAUGAUGGUUAGUGAGAGAGAAAAUGGAUAAAACCACUCAAACUUACGUAAAUUUCUUUUUAUACCAAAAAUUUACUCUUAUUUUCUUUUAAAAUAUUGUUAAGUCAUCGAUGCCAGAAAAGAAAUAUAUACGAGAUCCAAUAGUGAUGGAGACCGUCUUAACCUAGUAAUUUGAUGAUGAUAACUCCCAUUAUCGAGAUAAUGACUUUUUUCUAACUUAAAUAGUAUGGCUGGUUAAAGUAUCUAAUACAGCCGUACUAUUUAAGCUUGGCUUCUUUUUAAAAUUAAAUAGUAUGGCUGAGCAUUUCAAAAAAAAAAAAAUAUAGUUUGGCUGGGGGACCAUUAAAGAUCUUUGUAUUGCUCUUCCAUGAAAACGCCUUGAACAAGUAAAGCAACUUGUCUCAUUUUCUGAACACGAUGUGCUAAUCAGCACACUGGUAAAGGAGGUGAGCGGUGUGCUUUGGAAGAUAUAUUUGUUUUUAAGAGACCAGUGUAACGUAGCAUUUGGACAAAAGUCAUAAGAUCCUUAGCGUUGGAUUCUUCUAAUGCCUGUAAUAACUACAGGACGAACCCUUGCCGAGGCUAUCUAAUGAUAUUAAUUAUGUUUGCUUUCUUGUAAAGUUACAUAGAAUAAUACACCCAAAAACCAAACAAAUGCUUGCAUUUCCUUCUCUAGCCCUCCCCCUCCUCACGCCGCACCAGAUUCAUACGGACUGCUAUUCAGACGGAUCUUAAUAUUAUUAUCUCCUUACCGUAUCAAAAAAAGGAAAAAAAAAUUAAUACUGUAGAAAACGCAAAACUGGUACACAUAUGACUAAUUUACUUCAAAUUAAUUUUUUGACCACAAACAAAAUUUCAAACCAAUAUACCUAUAACAAGUUUACUCCGAACUUUUGUGAUAAAUUUACUUUCUGUCACUUGAUAAACGGAUGCUAAAAUCUAAAAUUGAUACACUUAUCAACUGUCAUAUAUCAUUCAACUCAAUAAUUUGACUGUAAAAUUUAAUUACAAAUAAUAAAUUUAUCGUAAAUGUACUAGUUUGAGAUUUUUGUGGUUAAAAUAUUAGUUUAGAGUAAAUUUAUCACGGAUUUAUUAAUUUGAAAUUUUUCAUAAGAUUAAUGAAAGAAAAAAGGAAAUAAUGUGAGAGAAGAGAGACGUUAAAAUGAUGAUUUAAAUGUGACGUUUGUGAGAUGAUAAGAGACGUUUAAAAGGAAAUGAGCCUGCUGAGUGCUAACCCGGCUUGCAAGGUAACAAAAUUUGAUUGAUCGAAUUCAUCCAUGCCUGGAACGCGUUUGGUGCAUUAAGAACGUCUGAAACGGCUUUUUCAGUCUAAUUUACUUUUUUUGGGUCGAAGGUCUAAUUUAGAACGUCUGAAACGUUUGCUUAAAAGUUAAGCGCGAAAAGAAAACAUCGAACAACCACCCCAAUUGGUCAAGUCCUUGCCCCAAGUCAUCCGUAAUUUUCUCUUUAGGCGUGUAGUGUGGGGUUUGUUGUGGCUUUUCCCUUUUCAACAAAAUCACGUGCCCGCAAGAUUCCUUGCGUGAGUAACGUUGCUUCUCAGAAACGCGGAACUCUCAUGACUUCUCAAUUCCAAUGAAAUAAAUGUUGGGUCCGCGAACAAUUCCAACGACUUUCCCUACGCGGCACCAGAUGAUAACGUUUCCAGCAACUUUGUCGCGGAGUAAUUAUCGCGCCUGAUUAUUUUGACUUUUUGAAACUUUUGAAAAACAGUGGUCCCAUCAAAAGAAAAGUAGAUCUAUCUAAUUUACAACUCAAUCAAAGGAUGUUCAUCUACAUCGCCUUCAUUUGAGGCGAAGCUUAGGAGAAAGGCCCACCGGUAGGUGAAAAGUCACCAUCAACGCACCUGCCAAUUUCUUCUAUUGCUUGUCGGCCAACAAAAGUUUCUCUUAUUUAUUGCCGAGCAAGUCUUCGUCAAUCCUUAGUGAAAGGUCCGUUUAUCUCGCAAAAAAUUAAUCACUUUUAAAAAAAAAAAAAUAUAUAUAUAUAUAUAUAUAUAUAUAUAUAUAUAUUUGGGGGUGACUUAAAAAUUUGUAUAGUUGGUAGCCGACGAGUAAAUCUAGGAAACACAUAAGCGGGAAGAUUCACCACUCUCGGUAUCCCAUUUAAGACCCAAGCGACCGUAAGGGAAUUCGAACUCCUCCCAUUCGUGAGAAAGAGAGAGCCCAAAUCAUCCUGGCCACCAAUGCGAUAGUUUAAAAAAAAAUUAUUUUUAAGUAUUUGACUAAAAUCUAAAAACAUUUUAAAAAAUAUUUUUCAGUGUUCGGUAAGGAAAAUAUUUUCCGCUGCCCAAAUUGGCGAGCACGAGCGUUAAGCUCAAAGCUCGCCAGAUUGAGUGUGAGUUUGAAAUUGACGAGCUUAAGGUUCAUAUGGUCCGACGACUAGCCAGGAAAGAAGAAAAUAAGAAACAAAGAAAAGAAAAAGAAAAAAAGAAAAUUAAAAAUAAUUGGAAUUAAAAAAGAAAAUUAAAAUUAAAAAAUAAUUCGAAUAAAAAAAAGAAAAGAAGAAGAAGAAAGGGAAAAAGGAAGUGAGGAUUUGUAGAUAUGUGAGAUAAGAGAGAUCAAGUGAGGAAAAUGUUUUCCACUUGUUUUCCACUUUUCAAAAGUGAAAAACAUUUUCCCCUACUUUAGAAAACUUUUUUCCUUUGAUGGAAAACAUUUCUCCAAGGAAAACGAACGCCGGAAAAUUUGACAAACGUUUUCCCGAAAAUUAUUUUCCGUGAAACGAACGGUAUUAAUUUCCCAGAGUGGGCCUAGUUUUGGCGUUCUAAAGUCUAAAGUCAAGUCUUGGUGAGUAACACUACUUUUUCGGACCGCUUUGCCUGAGGCGGUCCCUCGAAUUCGAGGAAAUCGUCCAAGUCUCCGCUAUUUGGUUUUAGCAAAUAGAACAAUUUUCGUCUUAUUUGGUUUAAUUUUGCAAUUGAAAAAGAGAGAGAGAGGUGAAGUGUUCCUUAAGGAAUAACACUUACAAGCAUAAUAACCACUAUUGUCAACAAAAUGAGGCAAGCAAAGGACUAUUUUGUAAUACUUUAAAUAGUAUCCGAUUCUAUCAUUUGUUCAAUAAAUUUUUUGUUCCUAAAAAAAUCCAUUUUUUUGUUCUUCGAAAUAGAAAUUAAAAAAAAAUUGUUUCUUAUUCCCGAAAGCAAUUUUUAGAAUCAUAUCUAAUUUUUUUUUUCUAUUCUCUUUCCUUCCCUUCUUCUUCUUCCUUUUGGAUGAUUGUUGGCCUCGACCAACCCUUGGCAACACCGAGCCACGGCGAGGCUCGACCUCUACUUGGCUAGGAAAGGUUGACCUCACCCAAAUUGAGAGAGACUGAGCCCACCCAACCAUUGCCAAGGUUGUCGACCUUGCCCUAACUGGGAGAGGUCGACCUCGCCUAGCUAGCUAGCACGAGGUUGGGCCUCACCUCGCGCCUCCUAGGCAAGGCUUGCCUAAAUCUACAAGGCCAAGGCUUGUGAUGGGGAUGAGGCUAAAAAUGGUUGUGGUUAGUGAUUGGCCACAAAGAAGGAGGGAGAAGAAGAGAAAAGGAAAAAGAAAAAAGAGAGAAAAAUAAGAAAAAUAUAAUAAAAGUAUAAAACAUUAAAAGAAACGAAAAAAAAAAAUUAACAGUCCUAACAAACGUACUUAUAUACUAGCAAUAAAAAUUUUAGAUAGUUAUCAAACGUUUUUAAAAAUUCAGAAUUUUUUUUCGGGAUCUAAAUAGAAGGAAUCAUUUAUGAGUUGCUUUUCCAGAAACAAAAUGAUUAUCAAAUGCAUCCUAAGUCUUAAACUUGUGUAUGACAAGCAUAAUUGCAAUCAAAUGUACAGCCAGUAGAGUCAGAGAUGACAGGAAUACCUAUUCCGAACAUCAACCACUCAUCAGCUUGUUAUCAACUUUCACUGCCGGAAAGAAAAUAUAUUUUAUGUUACUGAUAAAAUACAUUGUUUGAAUGAGACAAGUGUGCACGUAUAUUACUCCGGGAUGUCGACGGCAAUCUUUGGUACAUCAACUAGUCUUAAUUGCAGAAAACGUUUGGUUAAGCGCCAUCCCUGUGAUCCACAUAUCCCUGUGAUCCACAUGGAGGCGUAUCCUCAAAGGAUCCUUUUUGAAAAUGAAGAGAAAGAAGAUGCCAUCAAACAUUCCUAUCUUCAGGAUCAACACGAAUUCUAAGCUUUUGACGCAUGGAACGCAACGUAGUUCAUUCUUACGCUAUACGCGCAAAGAAAAGACGAACUCUGAAAGGGAAGCUAUAGCUAUACCAGGGUUCAGGACUGCAUUUACCUGAUCAGUUCUAGACGCAGAUAGAGUAUCAUGUUCAUGCAUAUUUCAUUAUUGGGACAAUUAUGUGUCUAGACUAAGGAAAAGUUUAUGGAAAGACUUGGCAAGAAAGACUUGGCAAGUCUCCACCGAACAUGGUUAUAAAUUUCCACAGGAGUUCCUCAUAAUAUCAUUACUAACUCCAUAUCAUUCACAUAUACACCUAGGCUAACUCCGAAAGGUGAUCCUGCAACCGAAGGGUAAGGCUUUUGCAUCCCUAGAUUAAAAAUGCAACGCUUGUCAAGAUCUCUUCAAACUGCCCUGUUUCUGUUCUCAUUCCUCAUCGAAGGACAAGCAAUGCACACCAUGUCGUCCUCCUCUCCCUCUUCUCUCUCUCUAGAAAGAGCUCCAUGUCGCCCUGAUCAAAAGUCGGACUUGCUUCACUUCCUGCGUGCUUUAAUAUCAGAUAAUUCCACGUCAAUUUUCUGCCAACUGGAUAUUGGUUGGCUCAGGAGACCAAAGAUGCUCUCCUGGAAUGUUGCAUCGGAUUGUUGCUCGUGGGAUGGAGUCAUAUGUGAUCCAAUGACAGGUCAUGUGACUCGCCUUGAACUCGGCUGUUCACCUCCGAACCCGACCUGCUACUCUUCCACAGGGUCUUCAAACAGCAGCGAACCAUCUACCCUUGGUUUACUCAAUCUUCCUUCACCCCAGGAAGCUGAAAGACCAUCGAGGUCAAAUAAGCUGCUUCAAAACCUAACCAAGUUGAGAGUCCUUGCUCUCGACGGGUUAAACCUGUCUGGCAUUGAUGUGACUUGCUUAAUGAAUCUCUCUCCAUCUCUGGAAGUCCUCAGCCUCAGUUACUGUAAAUUGCGGGGCACAUUAGCAGCAAACAUUUUCCUUUUGCCAAAGCUGACAUGUCUCAAUUUAUCAGGCAACAAGGAGCUUUCGGGUUACUUACCUGAAGCAACUUGGAACAGCUCUUUGAAGGUUUUGGACUUGUCCUCCUCAGGCUUCUCUGGAGUAUUAGCAGAGUCCAUCGGCGACCUGCAUUCUCUGCAGAUACUUUGGCUGAACCGGUGCAGCUUCACAGGCUCUAUUCCAUCAUCACUUGGUAACCUAACACGUCUCACCCAUCUGGAACUUUCGUAUAAUGAGUUUAGUGGGCAGGUUCCUCCAACUUUGUCAAAUCUUGAUCAGCUCACUUUGCUUGAUCUUUCCUCGAACAAUUUCAUAGGUCCAAUACCCGAUGUCUUUGACAAUAAGACACAACUUCUUCUUCUAGAUUUCUCACAUAAUCUCUUCACGGGUCCUAUUCCUCCAAGCACAAAGAAUCUUUCGACUCUCGCCCGACUUGAUAUUUCCAACAAUCUCAUUGGCGGGUUUAUACCGUCAUCAUUGUUCUCUCUUCCCUCCUUGACGAGCCUAGACCUCAGUAACAAUGGGCUCAGUGGUCACAUCGGCGAGUUCUUUGCUGCAUCUGCAUUAGACCAUGUUGACCUGAGUGGUAAUCAGUUGCGUGGCUCAGUCCCGAGCUCAAUUUUUCAGCUUAGGAACCUCACUUAUCUGAGCAUCUCAGCAAAUAACCUAACCGGUGUCUUAGACUUACAAUUGCUCUCAAGACUCGAAAGU